This 178834-nucleotide long non-coding RNA is filed under the name Prunus persica (peach). RNAcentral's name for it is "long non-coding RNA (PPER_LNC001496)". The record is from RNAcentral. Lineage: Eukaryota; Viridiplantae; Streptophyta; Magnoliopsida; Rosales; Rosaceae.
UCACCUGCCCUGUGUAGCUCUGUGAUGCUGGGUGUGUUUAUAGUUGUUUGUACCAUAACUGACCGAGCAACUAGCUAGGCUAGAUCAUUCGAGUGCCAUGCUUUGAGAGGUCAUCACCUUAGCCAAAGAAGCAUCACCACAAAUCACAACUCUAAGCAAAGCAAGAGGAGUCCCACAUCGGAAAACUACAAGAGAUGAAGACUCCUCCUCACCUAUAAAAGAAGACUGCUCUUUCCUUAGAAGAGGAUCCGGGUCUUGGAUCUAGACUCUUAGGCCUUGGACUCUCUCUUCUAGAUCACUAGACUGGGCUUCUCACUUGUUAUCUUUAUAUUUGGGUCUAAUCCCCUUGUACAAAUGUAAACAAACAUUAUCAUAAUGAGAACACCCUUCUCCGUGGACGUAGCCCAUCAUUCGGGUGAACCACUUUGAGCAUCAACAAUAGUUUUGAGUUUCCUUGCAGCAAUUGGUUUCGAUGGUAGACAUGAAAUUCUUAUCAAAUCAACAAAAUGUUCCGCUUCAGGAAAACGUGUUGUCUGCCAAUCGACGUUUUCUGUUCCUUCCCUAUAGAAUGUAGUACUGAACACAAAGAAAGACUACUUAUUGAAGGCUUAUUAGUAGAAGCAAAAUAUUUAUCUGCGACAAAAAGGUGCUUCAGAAUGAAGAGUGGCAACUGAUUUUCAAGCAUCCGCAAGUCAACCAAUACUGAUACACAUCCAUGGCCUAUAAAAUAUGUAGUCAUCCUCAUCUCCAAUUUUUUCCUCACUGCACUUCAACAAAAACUCAAUAACGAAGACGGCAUCCACUAGAAUGAUUUUUAGAAAGUCUUCACUGCUAUACUCAAUCGGUUCUGCAUAACAACUUCUUAGUCUUGCUUCUUGGUCCCGUAGUUUCUUCUUAAGAAACUCCAAUGUUAUCGUGGUUCUACGUAGAAAACUUCGUAGAUACCUCUUUUUGUGAUAUUCCAUACCAUUUAAGUGUUCCUUUCCAUGGUGAAGUGGGCCUAUAGAGACUACCUGAGGUGUGUAGGCUUCAUCAUCGUUUCCCUGACGUAGUCGCUUAGGAACUCUGUAGAUACACCGCAAAGGGCACAAGGAGAAGCUAUCCAAUUCCUGCAUCAAAUCGUAUGGCAUACUUUCCUCCUGAUCAUCAUGCACAGCGAUUCAAAUAUUUCAUUAUGAACGUUGGAAUUAGAGCUUCAAAGCAAACUUUUGAAAAGAAUAAAAAAACAAAUGACAAAUCAAAGUAGAUGGUUAGAAAAUCUAGUCACUUAAAGCGACUGUCUAUGGACACUCUCCCUUUGUAGCCCACGUGUCCUUAAGUAUUCUGGAGAAACAUUAAAAAAAAUAAUUACGUUACGGCAUCACAUUGUUCACCAACUUUAGUGAUACCAACUUACGUGGCAGAUGACAUAGCAUCUUUUCUUAAUUAUUUAAUCCAAUUUUUUUUUUAACAUUUAUAAAUUUUUUUAAAAAUAAAUCUGAUGUGCCCUCCCUUCAUCCUAAGAUCUGCCAUGGCCUCUGUGCUUCCACAAAUAUGUCAUGGUUUCCGUCUAAUCAAAGGAAAAAAAAAAACAUAUCCAAAAUUUUUCACACUUAACAUAUAUACUUAUCGUUUGUUUGCAUCUAUAUAUAACCAGUUUAGAUUUUAUCAAUGUUGCAAACAAAAAAAGUUGAGAUAUUUAUAGGCCCUCCUUGAAACAACUAGUACUAGGAAGCUAUAUGGGGUUUUCUACGUUAUGUGGAGCUUCAUUGCUGCAUCCUUCCACUUCCAUUAUGUGUUGUUCUGAUUGUAAGUGAUGAGGGUAUUAUUGGCACGAUAAUAAACAAAUGUUUCAAUCAUUACAUACAUUUCAAGAUGGUUCCUUCAAAAAUUUAGAAAACAUGCAUCACAAAAUGCGAAAUCGUACAAUAGAUAGGUUGAGAAGAUCCACACAUUGCAAAUUGCAAUUAUACAUUCCUAUCCUCCUAUAAAUAGGUCAAUCUCUCUCUCUCUCUCUCUCAAAAUCGACAAAUUUUCAUGUCAAUAAGAUAAGAGAUCUCAUUGCAAGUGACUUGUAGAUGAAGUGGUAAAGAACAAAAAGUCAUAUUCUUCCAAUCAAAACGAAGAAAAAAAAGUACGUAAAACAUCAUAUAAGAAAAUGGAUAUGUGGAGAUGGGUUUAUAUAUACAACACAGAAGAAAGAUUGUGUAUUGAAAAACAAAGCAAAAAAGGAAGUGAACUCACACCUUCUAUGUAUUUAAAAACAAGAAGCAAGUUGUGUUUUUGCCUUUUGGCGGCUCAACACACAGAUUACUUUCUCCUGAGCGGAUAGAUGUAGUAAUAAAUUCUCUUAAUACAAUCAAAGCACAAUGAUGUACUAUAUAUAACAAGUUAUGAUUCCACCCUUAUCCUUCCGUGACCAUUAACAUAUGGUGCAUACAAGUCUAUGGCAGAACUUCGACUUGGAAUAUUGGCUCUCCAAAGACCUGUAGAAGACAAAGAUCUUGACCUAAGAUAAAGACCCAAGUAGACCUUCCUUCUAUAGUCAUGCACAUUCUAAGGAAAGAUAACCACAUUCAUGCAUGUAAGAAAGUUGAUUUCUUCCAAUUUUUUUAUUGUAUGGUCGCGAUUGAUGCCUGUAGAUACACGGUAGAAAGUUUGUGCCCACUUCAUAGUUGUUUCAUGUUUUUUUGUUUUGAAAGCAACUAGAGAGUCCCCACGCAACUCUUGAGGAACUUCUAAGAGGACCCAAAACAAGGUGAUUCUUACUUUCCCAUGACUGUAUCAGCCUUAUCAGAGACGACUCUGUCGAUAUUAUCCUUUUAAGUUAUUUAGCUCUUGUGCUUCCAAUCAAAACAUUGCGAAACAAAGACCAAAUUUCCAUUAAGAUUGAAAGAAGUAACCUUUUUUGAUUCAAUCCUUGUACAAUUUGUCUGAGGGAGAUUUGAACACAGUAGCUCAUAUUGGUUAUAAAAAAAAUUUCUUAGACAGGAUCCUGCAUUUGCACAUAUGUGAGAAGCCGGUCGACUAACCUUCUCACAUUCUAUUCUAUACAUGCGGGAUCCUUUGUAUAGCUAUGGGUAUCGAAUAUACACCUCAAGCAAAGACAAACAAAUAAACCAAGCACAGCACAAUAACAGUAUUCAAUGUAGGAAGAGCUCAUGGGGGUUCUUGCUAGCGAGGAAAGCCUUGCGUCUCUCUAGGGUUUUCUUCUUCCACGUCCAGCUGCCGUCUUAAUGGGUUUCCAUCUACCACUCAUCUUUGGUCUUCUCAGUGUAAGCUUUUUUUUUUUUUUUUUAGUACAAGAGGGGAGGGGGAUUUCUCAAUGUAAGCUUUGCAAUUUGAUAAUUAAUAUUUCCAAUAUCUCAUUGUUAGUAAAAUACGGAAGGGGAAAAGUAUGAAUAAAAUACGUACGUGUUUUAUUCGACAAAAUUUUGACAAGAUACAACUGAAAAGUUUGGCUACUAUAUAAUAUUUUUAAUAUAUAUUAUUUUUAUUCAAUAAUAUGUGAAUAAUAGGUGUAUAAUAUAUGAAUUUUGUAUGUAUCAUUCAAAAUCUUGUUAAAUUUUUUUUUUUUAAAUGUGAAAAAUAUGUACGCACAUAUAUAAAACGUGUAUUGUACAUUUAGUUUUUUAAAAACUUGUAUUUUACUGAAUCUUUAAAUCGUAUAUGGAAAAUGGAAGAAUUAUUAAAAAAUACAUACAUAUACGUGUAUAAUACGAGUAUUAAACAGAAAAAUGUGCUAAGUACUUAUCUUUUAAUUUAAUAAUUCAUUUCAUUUUGUGAUCUCAUACGUAGUAAUGAGAGUUCAAAUUAAUGUUGCAGCUGACGAUGGUGGCUCUGGCAAGCCAUGCUGCUCUCCCAGUACCUCAACUUUACUGGAACUCUUUCCUGCCAAACACACAAAUGCCAAGAGCCAUCAGUCAACUUCUAUAGCCUGGUUUCUAUUAAGGGACUUUUCGAGAGCUUAUCAUCUACCUAAAUUUUACUCAUGUGACGUAAUUUUAAAAGUGAUUUGAUCCUUCGGCGAAGUAAAAAAGAAGGGCACUCGAAUAGGCAUGCCAUUUGGUAUUACCCACCUAAUUUCUUUUUAAAUUUUAGUAACUGAUUUUUAAGAUUAGAAAAUGGGAAAAUUUCAAAACCGAAAAACUUGUUUCACUAAUCAUGUGGCCUUCCAAGUGCUCAAGGUUAAGCCAGGAACCGUUCCUAUCUGCCAUUUCCUUCCCAACUAUGAUCAUGUUGUCUGGGUUCCAACCCACAAAUCUACAUCAGUACCUGAACUAAUCAGUUCUGCGUGAAUGUUCAUUCAUGGCAACAUUGGGCUAAGUAUUUGAAUUUGUAUGCAUAUAUUGGAUAAGUUUGAGAUGGCAGUGGCUUGGGUGUGGAGAGGAAUUGCAUGGGUGUCGGCUGAGCUUGAACAAGUUUGGGUGUGCUGAGUGUUUCCAUGGGUGUGUUUCUGAACAUGGUUAUUCGAUUUGUGAUAGUUUGAUUAGUUUGGGCUCAAUUUCUACAGAACUUGUCUCAAGCCUAGAUAGUUGAUUCUUAAGUUUAUCAGGAUAAAAAAAUAAAAAAAUCUUAAGUUAAGCCCAAGGCGCCGAACUUGGACUUCUCACCAAACUUGUGAAUAAAUUGAAAUAUUUAAUAGAAGCCCAAGAUUUCUAAAGCACAUAAUAUCUACAAAAAUCUACAAAAUGUUAUACUUUACAAAUUUCCUAUGUGUACCAAUUUCUACUAAAAUUAAUUUCUCUGUGGUGCUGAGAUUCAUCAUAAUUUUAGUAGAAAUUGGAAGUUUUCAUCAUUUUUGCUUUAAGUCUCUCCUCCACUCACUAAUAAAGAUUACUCAAGUGAGUUUACAAAACAUUUUUUUUCUACUCUAUCCUGAAGACUACACUUCUUCUCAAAAGUUUAGAUCACUUCACAUCUUGUAUAUGUGAAAACUAAUGCAAAAAGUUGAAACUUUAUCAUAAAACCUCGACAAAAAUUAGCUUUGCUUAAAACGUUAAAUUUGGAUUCGUUGAUUUUAAUGUCAAUUUGACACUUCAUAGAAAUUUUUACAUACAUGUGUUAGUGUUUGAUCACUUCACUUGUUACUUACUAUAUUUAUUCCAUGCUGCAAGACUCCAAGCAACCAUGAGAAUUCAUCAAAGGCAAGAAUCCCCUCUGGAACCCUUCAAUUUCAUGCUUUGUUCUUCCAUCUUCCUCCUUUCUCUCUCUCAAAACCCACAUCCAGAGAGAGCAAGCAUCAUCUCUCAUCUCUGGAACCCUUCGAUUUCAAGCAUUGUUCUUCCAGUGCUUCCCAUUUUCUCUUCUGUCAAAUCACCUAGGAGCUUGACGAAGCUUUCAUCAAGUUGCUGGAAAUAUGCUAAAGCCACCCAUGCUGCCAUCUUCUUCCUCUCUUUCCAUAAACACACAUCCAAAGAGCAAGCUUCAUCUCUCAUCCUCUAAACCUUUGCAAUUUCAAGCCUCAUUCCUCUAUCUUCUCCCAUUUUCAGCGGUAGUGAGAACGAUUUCUGCUUGUGCAUGGGAAGGAUUGUGACUCAGAUGAGGAGGAGAUGGUUUGGAGUGGGGUGAGGCAGUUGGACAGAGCUCUUGGACUUUUCAAGUUUGUAUGGGAAAGAGCAGGGAUGAAAGAAGCUUUACAACUGCAAGGGCAUAUAUGGUGCGUAGGGGCUGAAGGCAGAACACUUACAUAUAGAGGAAACACAUUUUUUGUCCAUGGGAUUCAUUUUUGACAAACACUUGUCUUAGAAUAUGAGUUCAAAUUUCAAAACCUUUUUUUUUCUUUCUGAAAUCAGGAUCAGUGUGGAGAACUAGCAAGGAUUGGAGAAACAGAUUUUUGGGCGUCACUUGACCACAGAUUGUUGAUUGCUCAAAAGUGUAGAAUUGGCCAUCUUAAAUGUCAAAAUGAUUUAUCAAUUGGGGUUUUUUUAGAAACGUAUUUAUGUUUGUCAAUAGAGACAGAAGACAGAGAACAUAAACCUUUCUCAGCAAAUUGAAAUUCUCAGUGCAUGCUCUGUUCUUCCAUGGCUUUCAAACCUUCUCUGCCCUUGUAAUGUUCCAAUCGAGGGUAAUAACAUUGCUAGUUUUCUAUGACAUCCUAUUUCUAAUGCAUGUCUACUCUUGUAAUGUUCCAGUCUAGGGUAAUAACACUGCUAAUUUCAUAUGACAUCCUAUUUCUAAUGCAUGUCUACCCCUGUAAUGUCCUAGUUUAGGGUAAUAACACUGCUAGUUUACUAUCAUGUUGAUUAAUUCUUGUCAUGUUGCUAUUUCUAAUACAUGUCCAACAAAGAAAAGAUGAAGAAAGAACAAACCAGACCAACUCAAAAUAAGUUGAGCCCAAAUAGUUAAUACUAUUAUGUCAUAGAAGUACGUUGUUAAUACUCUGUAAUAGAAGUACAUUGUUAAUACACUGUCAUAGAAUUACAUUGUUAAACAAAAAUAAGAUCCAUAACUGAAAUAGUAAUAAAAGAUAAAUCGAUCAUCAAAAAUACAUUUCAAAAAUCAACUAAAAUCCGAAGAGAAACACAUAAUUGAAGCAAAACAUCAAAAAUCUAAAGUCCAAACCAAACAACGACGACGACGACAAUGAUGAUGACAAUGACAAGAACGACGUGGUGAAGAGGAGUAGAGCUCGAAGAUGAGGAGUAGAGCUAAGAGCAUUUGAUCAGGGUUCGUUCGAGGUCUCGAACAAUCAAAAAAAAAAAAUCAAUAGAAGCAAGAUUUUAGAACAAGAAUCGAAGGUGAAAUAUUGAAAAUUGUAGAUUAAAGAUGAAGAAUAUAGUUGGACCUGAGACUGAGCUUCAAUGGAAGCUCCUCUUGCUCCAACACCAGAGAAAGCACCAACAAGAAAGGAGAAAAUAAAUAUGAUUUGGAUUUUUGGCAGAUCUGGUUUUUUGGCAGAUUUGUUUUUUUGGCAGAUCUGAUUUUUUUUUCUCUCAAAUUCAUAAUGCAAGGGCAAUAUAGGUAUUUAACACACACAAAUAAACUAAAAAACAGCUAUUAAAUUGAAAAUUUUGACAGCUGUCAAUUUUGGGAUUUUUUUUGGGUGUGUUUAUAGUUUUUAAAUAGUAUAGGGUUUCUUUAUAAGACUAUGUCUAAGAUUGGGUAUAUAAUUAAAUUUAUAUUAUUAAAAAAAAAGGACCCUAGUAAAGCCGUGCGACGAUACUCCUUUUAUAUAUUAUAUGAUAUAAAUAUUAUAAUAUAUUAUCUAAUACUUGGAAUAUUUACUCUAAAAUAAACAAUAUAUUAGGUUCUUUUUAUCUACAAAUUGACCAUUAAACUUCUUAAUCACUCUUAUACUUCAAUUAAAUCUACUAGGUUACAAUAUUUGCACUAAAAACUCCUAAUUGUUUUUUCUUCUCUUUCUCUUGCUCUUUUGUUUAACUUAAGCUGAAGUUUUUUAAUUUUUUUCCCUCCAUUUUUACAUGUAUGAGUAGGGUACUUUAAUAUUGGGAUUUAUGAACUUUUUUGUAUUUCUUCUCUAUGCUGGAAUAUAAAUUAGAGAUAUUUAGUCAUAUACCCAUUCUUAGCACUAAUAUUAUAAAUAAAUCCUAUAUCAUUCAAUUCCUAUAAACAAACCCAAAAAAAAUCCAAAAAAUAAUAGUUGGCCCUAUUGAAUUUAAUUUUGAUUAUUAAAUUACUUUGAUACCCUAUUGAGUGUUUUGAGAUUUUUUUAUGAGAUUUUGGAGUUGAGUUUGUUUUAAGAAAUCAAUGGCAAUUUUGUAAUUUAAAAAAAGUUAAAAGGCUUUUUGUUAUGUUGUAAAUAGGUUUCGAGUGUGUUUCUAAAGUCCAUUUCAUAUAGGUUUUUUUAUAUAUAAUAAUUUGAGCUCCUAUAUUGGGUAUAAUAGUGAAUCUCCAUUUAUUAACUUUUGAGUCUUUAAUAGUGUAGAUGAUGAGAUUAAUAUUCAACCAUUUUAUAAUAUGAAAUUAAGGACAAUCAUGAUUGUAAUGAAUGGAUUAUUAAUCAAUAUGAAAUGAUAUUAUGAAGUAGGCUAAAUCGAGUAGUUAGUAUCGUAUUAACUUAUUAACCGAUUAGCGCUUGAGCCCCCUAAUUCAAAUUAUUUUAUAAAAUUUUGUGAAGGGCCCCUUCUAAUGCAAAUUCCUGGCUGCGCCACUGCCUAUAGCAACUUGGUAAUGUGUGUGAAACACCCCCUCCUUUUGUCGUUUAGACUAUCGGUUCGCUUGUAUUAAUAAAAUAAAAAAUAAAAUAAAAGAUAAAAUUAUAAAUAAAACAAAACACAUAUUAAAGCCUAACUGUUAAUAAUGGAUCCAACAUAAGAUCCAGCCCAAGCCCAUGAAUAAAGCCCCCGAAAACGGUUGGACCCAAUUUUAAACACGUUAAUGCGUUAUAGGUUUUUUCCCGGCAAACCGUUGGUCUCUCCACCUUCAGCUUUACACGAGCGGCAUAGUCUCUUUCGUCAUUUUCUGUACCCAAUAGAAGUGUAGGCAAGCUUUUGAUCUUGGCUCUCCUGUGCUUGCAUCUUACCUGUUUUAUUGCCGAGUAAGCCGUCUCAAAUGGUUGGUCGUUCAGUUCAUAUUUGAAAGCAACAAAUUGCACGCCAUGUGUUCGAUGUAUUGUCUUACCGAAUUCAAUGCCCUUUUACUAUUGCAGUUUUAACUUCGGAGCGUCAACUUGAAGGGUUAUUUGAGGUUUUUUUUUUCCGAGGUCACAAUGGCCUGUAGACAUGUAGACAGGUUAAUACAUGGUGCAAGGCAUCUAAUGGCUAAGCGAAAGGGAGCUGUCCAUUUGAAUGGGAUGCUACAUCAUUGCUCAGAGGAGUCUCAUGGAGAGCCUAUGCCCCGAGAAUGGUAUCAAAAGGAAUUCCCCAAGUUAACAAAACUAUCCCAAUUGUUAAAAAAUGUCGAUUUGGUUGAUGGAAGGCUUGUUAACAUCAGUGAUGGUUCAAUUAUCAUGGAUGACCGUAUUGAACACAGAAUGCUUACUUUCAAGUCACUUGCCAGGGAAUUUAUUGGUUCUCCAUUAGUUCAGCAAACGUUAAAGAAUGAUGUCGUGGCGUUGUCAGGUGGUAGAAUCUGUAAUCAAUUUGUGUGUUUCAGUAAACCAAAUGAAAGAGAGCCCAUGGUUGUAAAAACACUCUCCGUAGUAAGUGGCUUUCUGAACAUCACUGCUCAACAAAGACAGUCAGUACGUGUUACAUUAUCUCCACAGAUUACACAGCACCGCAUAUGGACUGGGACGCUUGAGGAGGUACUGAAUGGAUUGAAAUCUGAGUUGGAAUAUUUAGAUCAUCGGUGCCCAAGCAAAGGGACGAAGAUGGGACAGCAGAUAGUUGCUAGCUGUCUGAAGUUCUUGGCUGACACAUCCACAUCCAUUUCAUAUGAACAUGAUUGCUCUUCAUGGACGCGCCUAUCGCCUGCAAAAGUUACAGACUCUUCUGGUUUGCAAAAAUGGGAAGAUGUUCUCGAGAUGUUCAACGACCUCAUUGAUUGUUUGAAAAAUGAAAGGGAGUUACUUCUUUACGUAGCGAAGCUUAAGGUCUUGAAAGAGGGGCUGUCUCAGAUCAAGGAUGUGUUGACUGAUAGAAAUAUAGGACACAAGGAAGUUCGGCAUCAAGAAAGCCUAGUGCAGAAGAAGCUGACAAAGACAUUGGGUCAUUCGUCCAAGUGCCUGUUCACACUUAUGUUAUAUUACCUCUUUGGGCAUGUUAGAGAUAUUGAAGUGGACGUACGUGGCGGCAUUUAUAGCAGCGGUAGUGAGAACGAUUUCUGCUUGUGCAUGGGAAGGAUUGUGACUUCAGAUGAGGAGGAGAUGGUUUGGAGCGGGGUGAGGCAGUUGGACAGGGCUCUUGGACUUUUCAAGUUUGUAUGGGAAACAGCAGGGAUGAAAGGAGCUUUACAACUGCAAGGGCAUAUAUGGUGCGUAGGGGCUGAAGGCAGAACACUUACAUAUAGAGGAAACACAUUUUUCGUCCAUGGGAUUCAUGUUUGACGAACACUUGUCUUAGAAUAUGAGUUCAACUGCAAGGGCAUAUAUGGUGCACGGGUUUUCUAUUUUAUUUGCAGCUUCAUCAAUUCCUUCCAUUUUCCUCCUGAUCAUCAUGCGCGGUGAUUCAAAUAUUUCAUAAUGAACAUUGAAAUGAGAUGCUACAAGCAAACUUAUGAAAAGAAACAGAAUAUACCAAAAAGACAAAUCAAUGUAGAUGGUUUAGAAAAUCUAAACAUUGCAAUUAUACUCCUUUGCCCAACUUCUAGGAGCAAACGUACACAAAGACCUUAUUGCUUCCAACUUUUCCAACAGAAUUUCGUAUGAAUUGCUCCAAGUGAAAUCCGUAUGAAAAAUCGGUAGUUGGAUUUUCAUCCUUUAAUAAGAUUAUUUAACUACUAACAAAAAAAAUCUUAUUACUUGAGCAAGUAAAAUACCAUUCCAGGUUUCUCCUAGUUCUAUAUGCGCUUAUAAUUGGUAUACUCUAUAAAUACCAUAAUCUGAAUUUCUCUGUUUUGAUUACUUUAAUUUAUUACUUAUGUUUUAAUUAUUGUUUACUUAGUGAAUUAUUAGUAUUUAAGAGAAGGCCCUCCAUCGAUUAGGCACCACGUGUCUAUAAUAAGUAAAGCCGUCCGGCUAUACUUAAAAAAAAAAAAUCGUAGUAUAGCCGACCGGCUAUACUAUUUAAUACAAAGGUAUAGCCGCGCGGCUAUACUAUUUAAUAAAAUAAAAAACAAAAGAAAAAGAAAAAUGACCCUCCUAUUUGCAUUAGUUUGCACUUUAUAGAUAUUAAUUUGCUAGUUUCAAGAUAUCCAAAGUAGAUAUUAGACUUUCACUAUAUAAUAUUUCAAUAUAUUUUUUUUUAUAACAUGUGUUGUUCUUAUUCAAUAAUAUGUUGAGAAUUAUUUGUAUAAUACGUGAAUUUUGUGUGUCUUACUGAAUUUUUCUAAAUACGUGUAUUAAACGUUACAAAUACAUACACAUAUGUACAACACGACUAUUGUACGUUUGCUUUAUAAAAAAAAAAGUGAGAUGUGUAUAGAAACAAAUGUAUUAUCAAAAAAUAUAUAUGUGUAUAUAUAUGUAAAAGCCUAUAGCCUCUCACCUAUACUAUUUAUUAAAGACAAUUUAAAAAUUACAACAACAAAAAAACCAGUACAACCACAACGCUAUACUAUUUUUUUAAAAAAUAGAAAAAAUAUCAAGUACUGCACAGCGCAAAGGCCCAGUGUAAAAUAGUAUAGCCAUACGACUAUACGUUUUUAAGAAGAAUUUAAAAAACUGAGUAUAGCCCACUGGCUAUACUAAUUUUUAAUAUAAAAAAAGGACCAUCCAUUAGGCGCCACGUGUCAACAGAAGUUUAUUUUUUAAAAAAAAAUUAAAAAACACGGAGUAUAGCCGGGCGGCUGUACUAUUUUUUAUUUUAAAAAGAAGACAGUCCAUCGAUUAGGGGCCACGUGUCAAUAAUAAGUACGGCCGCUCGGCUCUACUAUUUUUUGACUAAUUUUUUUUAGAAAAAUCGUACUAUAGCCGCCCGGCUAUACUAUUUAAAUACAUUAUAUUUAAAAGGUAUAGCCGCACGGCUAUGUGUUGGAUAUUUUGAAACUAGCAAAUUAAUAUCAAUAGCCGGUCGUAACCUAUGCUGUCCACGUCACUCAUGUUUUACCAGCGUUAAAGUAUCCACAAUGAGCUCCCUAAACCAUCUCUUUAGACAAAUUUUAGGGAGGAAUUGGAAAAGUAUAACUCCAACCAUGCUCCCAAUCCACCAACUAAAAUAGGGAGACCUCUUGGAGCUCCUAAAUCUGAGGAGAAGGAAAGGACUCUUAGUGACUCCCUAUAAUUUAAUGUUGCUUUGUUUUAUGCAUAUUUUAAACUUUUUAUUAAAUCAAAUUAUUUUUUUAUAUUAUUUUGUAUACAGAUGGACCAAUUAUAUUAAAUAAAAAAUAAUUAAAGUAUUUAUGACUCUCUAAACUAGGGAGUAUGAUUAGAGUUCAAAUUUUAUAAAAAGCUCUUAAAAUAGCUUUUAUGUGUUUUUAGCUAAAUUUUAACUAAAAAAUAGGGAGCAUGAUUGUAGAUCAUCUUAUAUACCUUAAUUUGAAGAUUCUUUAUUUGGGUUUCUUUCGAGACAAAAACCAUAUCCACAAUUAGCAGACAUCUUUGGCUGUUCUUCACAAUUGAGGGACAAUGAAGAAGACAUAAGGGAGAGGCUGCCAAAUACUUAUCACCUUAGCCACCACCAACACCACAAGACCAAUAUGUGUAGGCCAGGAGGCUCUCCAAUUUUAACAUAUAUAUUAUAAAAUAAAGAUUAUUGCUCCAUCCUCCAUGCACUUGCAUGCCCUCUUACAAAGUGUGAAGUAGAUUUUGUAUGCUUAAAGUCAUUGACUAGAGCUGAAACAUGGUUAGCUGGAUUUAUAAGAUCUUUUGUUUUCUGGGAAUUUUCAGAAUCAAGGAAAAUCAAGUAAAAUUAAUAAAGCAUAAUGGAAAGGGAAAAGAUCUAGAGGAUGCAUUGUAGGAUUGCUCAUGCCAAUAAUUGUACCCUCUAAAUAUAUAGGGACAUAUAUUUUUUUUGUUUUCAUGACACGUCGUCCUAAAAUUUUGGCUCCUAGCGGGCUCUCCACCCCUUCUCGAUUGAAAACCCAUUGUGUUAAUCUUCAAUCCUGAACGAUGCAUCUAAAACUCAAGUGUCCCAGGCCAAUUAUUGCUCUCAUACCACUUGUUGCAAUGCACAUCCACCCAUUCUUAGGGAAAGAUACCCAUCGAUAUUAUCUCAAAUUUAACCACUUUAGUCCAUUAUGAUUAACUAUGUAUUUUAUGGACGAAUCCAGUUGUGAGGUUUUAUACCCAAUUAGAUCGACCAAUACAGAGGUCACAGGUGGACUAAAAAGCUCCAUCGGUAGGGGAGUGUUUGACACCCUUUACUGCCGAGCGCAACACAAGACCCCUUACAGGAACUUGCCUGCUAGGACACAUGGAGCCACCACAACUAAUAUCAACAGUCCCACAUCGAAGUUUAACAUAACAUGCACACUCCCAAGACUUAUAAAGUGGGCACAAGUCCCAAAAAUAGGGGAACUUGGACUUUCGGCAAUUCAGCCAUUACUCUGUCCAGAUUACUAUACACUUCGUACUUAUUUUUACUUGAGCAUUGGAGAGCCUUCGGCUGGUACCACACCGGUGCCCAAGGGCUUACCGAGCAUUCUCUAUCUUGCAAAUUGAUAGCUCUACCAAAGCCCAGAAAGAGCUGAAGGUCAAUACAUCACUAAGUUGAGCCCAAAAGUGCUAAACCGCAUCAAAAAUAUAUAUAGAUUGAAAAAAUAAAAUAAAAAUCAAUCUAUUAUCAUAGGGUUAAUCUUUUUAUUAGUCCCCUAACUUUGACCAAAUUUGCAUUUGAGUACCUCAAUUUCCAAAAUGGUACCCACAGUCCCGCAACUUAAGUUUCGUUUGGAUUACUAGUCCCAUCGUUACUUUUGUCAAUUUUUUCGUUACAUUUAGGGGUAGAAGGGUCUUUGCAUGUUGGUUUUGAGGGACAAAAAAGACUUUUACUCUUUUAGAAUCUCUGAUACGAGUAUAAUGGACCAGAGUACGAACCAAAGAAGAACGAAAAAGCAGAAGAAGGGUGAAAAGACGAAGCUUUCAUACGAAAAGGUUUCUGCAGAAGCUUUCAGACAAAAGCAAAAAAGUUGAAGAGUUUGAGUUGAUUUUGUUUGGGUCAUUGUGUAUUUAGGUCGUCUGGGUCGAUACAUGUUGGUUAUCUCAUUGUGGAGUCAAUAGGUGUUGUCGACAACUUUGAUAGAGUUUGAAUUCAAGACUUCUGGAGACCUCCCUCCCCUCCAUAUACAGUAUGCGAUGCUAAUGGAAGUACUAGAAAUGCUUUUUUUAUAUGUUAAUUGAUUUUUGUUGUUUUGGAAUUCUGUCUGUGUCUGCUCGAAUUGUGCAGCAAUUAAGGGUUUUAUUUUUGUCUCUCUUUUGGGCAAAUAAAAAACUGUUUUCUUUUGUCUUUAUGUCAACAUUGAACGCAUACCUUUUGUUUUGUUCAAACAUUGAGUGCAUACUUGGUCCUACUAUCCUUGGUUGAAUUUAAGGGUUUGUGGUCCUAUUGGUUUGAUAUAUGUGAAUUGAUUGCACAGUUGCACACACUAGUACAUUUGGUGGUCCUACUGGUAGAGAUUUGUGGUCCUACUGGUAGGGUUUAGUUUGAUUUGUCUUUAUUCAGGUGAGUAGAGAUUUUAGAAAUUGGUGUUGAAUUUACUGAAUUGAGAUUAUUGCUUCAUUUGCAGAUAAGGGUGAGUUCUGCAGUUUCAAAAUUCACCAUGGGGGUGUUGUAUAAGAUGAGGUGUAUAAGGGGGGGGGGGGGGGGGGGGCAUUUGCUUAUUUGGACAACGUGUGGAUAAUUAUCUAUCACUCUUGGAUUUAAGGAAAAUAGGUAUAGCGUUAGGAUAUGAAGUGGACCUUACUAAGAAGGAGAUAGGUUUGCAAAUAUAUUGUAAGAUGUAUGACAGUAAUGGUGAAGCUAUUGUAAAGUUCAUUGACAAUGACAAUGUUACAUGUGAGAUGGUUGGCUGCAUAACAAGUAACAAAGUGUUAGUGUUAUACUAUAUUGACAAAAAAACAAGUGAAAAGACAUGGACUCAAAAAUCUGUGGAAUGGCCUAGUUUGCAGAGUGAAGAAUACAACUAUGCGAGAUUUAAUGAAGACCACAUGAAGGAGGUUAAUGAGCCUUUAGAUACUGAUGAGCAUGUUGUUUCGCUUGGAGAUUGUGAAGCUGCAGUUGAUGAAGAAGAAGAAGAAGGGUCAGAGUUUGUGGAUAGUGAUUAUGAGUUUAGUGAAGAUGAGGAGGCAAACAAAGGUUGUAAUGUAGACAUCAAUAUGCCUUGUGAUGAAGAAGUGAAUGUUGAGACUGAAACACAAGGGCCAGGAGAGAUUUCUGAUGAUGGGGCAGAUUCUGAUACUUUAUAUUCUGAUGGGAACACCUCAGAUGAUGAGAAUACUAGUCGACAUGUGACAAAAAAGCAGAGGAUUAGCCUACCAAAGUUCAAGCAAUAUAGGAGAGCUACUGACCUUAAAAAUCUAGAGUUUUAUUUGGGGAUGCAAUUUGUAAAUCGGGAGCACUUGAAAGAAGCAAUAAAGGAGUAUGCCAUUGUAAACGGAAAGCUGCUGAAAUUUGAUAAAAAUGACAAGAGGAGGGUGAAGGUCAUGUGUCGUGGAUCUAGAAAUUGUGCAUUUGUUCUUUAUGCAUCUAGGAUUGAUAAAGAGGAAUCCACUUUUGUAGUAAAGGCUAUACAUGCUGAACAUACAUGUGGCAGAGUAGACAGGUUGAGAUAUGCUAAUUCAACAUGGAUUUCAAAAAGAUUUUGUGAUAAGAUGAGAAGAAAUCCUAAUUGGAAUGUGGGGCAACUUUAAGGUAAGGUGAGGGAACACUAUGCAAUGAAUGUUACACAGAACCAAGUGUAUAGGGCAAAAAAAUUGGCUAAGAAGGUCAUUCAAGGUUUGUACAAGGAACAAUAAGAGAGAUUAAGGGAUUUUGCAGAGCAAAUUAAGAAGACCAACCCUGGAAGUACUGUGGUAAUUAAAACUGAACUAGCAGGUGAUGAUGCAUUGUUUGAAUGGAUUUAUAUUUGUUUAGCUGGUUUUAAAAAGGGUUUCGUAGAAGGCUGUAGGCCUGUCGUAGGGGUUGAUGGGUGCCACUUAAAAGGACCCUGCUCAGGGCAGAUCUUAACUGCAGUUGGUGUUGAUGGGAACAACGGUAUGUUCCCAUUGGCCUAUGCUGUAGUUGAAAUAGAAAGCAAAAGUAGUUGGAUAUGGUUUCUAGAACUCUUAAUUGCAGACUUGGGGAUCCAAAAUGGUUUGGCAUGGGUGUUUAUAAGUGAUAAACAGAAUGGGCUAAUUCCUGCUAUGCAAACAGUUUUACCAAAUACUGAACACAGAAUGUGCGUGAGACAUUUGUAUAACAACUUCAGAGGCCAGCACACAGGACUUGCUCUUAAACAUUUGCUAUGUGCUGCUGCAAAGGCAACCACAUUGCCUUGGUGGGAACCAGAGAUGGAUAAUCUGAAAAAGGAGGAUGCAGAUGCUUGGAGGUGGUUAAUUGAGAAGCCUGCGAAACAUUGGUCAAGAUCUCAUUUUGCAACACACUAUAAGUGUGAUUUGUUGUUAAAUAACCUAUGUGAAAGCUUCAAUGCAACCAUUAUUAAUGCAAGGGAUAAGCCAAUCCUAACAUGCCUUGAGAGAAUAAAGAUGUAUAUUAUGAUUAGGAUGGCUAAUAGAAGGGCUUCUUGUCAACAUUGGAGGUAUACUGUUGGUCCUAGAAUCUUCAACAUAAUAGAGAAAAAUAAGUUGGCAUCAAGUCAAUGCAUACCAAGGUUGGCUGGGGAGAAGAAAUAUCAAAUAAGUCAUAUGUAUGAGGGAGAAUUUGCUGUAGAUCUAAGAGCAAAGACUUGCUCUUGCAGAAGAUGGGACUUAUGUGGGAUUCCUUGCCCACAUGCAAUUUCUGCUAUUUUCCAAAGAAGUGAAGACAUAGAGGAUUAUGUGGAUAAAUUGUACAAGAAAGAGGCUUACUUAAAAACAUAUGGUCCUAUCAUUAGACAUGUUCCUUUCAUUGACCAAUGGCCAAGGAGUUGUUUACUUGUAAUUAAGCCUCCCAACUUCAGAAUCCAACCUGGAAGGCCAAGGAAGGUGAGGACACAAGAACCAGGGAAGGUGGAAAUACCAGCUCCAGUACCUUCAAAUCCAAAACCACCGAACUGGAAACCACAACCUGCAAGGCUCCAGCUCUCCAAGGGCAAGCCGAAGCUCUAGCUCCCCAAGCUUAGGCUCCAGCUCCUCAAGCCUAAACUCCAGCUCCCCAAGCCCAAGCUCCAACUCCCCAAGCCCAAACUCAUGCUCUCCAAGCCAGGCCCAACUAGUAAGUGAUAUUGAACCAAGUCUGAUUUGUCAUUCAAUAACCUCAAUGUUUAUAACUGAAACUGAAACUUUGCUUAUAGGUGGCAGCAACCAGGGAUUGUAGAGGUAGAGGGAGAAUGAGAGGCUUAGGAAGAUCAUCAUCUCAACCUUAAGCCCAAGCUCAAGUCCAAGUCCACGCCCAAGUCCAAGCCCAAGGCCAAACUGAAGUCUUUUCUGCAAAUAUCCAAGCAAGGGCAGUAAUUGGACCAAAUCAAAUGGUCUAACAUGUAAGUGAUAUUUGAAGAUGGUUUGAUAUUCACAUGUUCUUAUGUCAUUUGUAUAACAUCAAUCACAUAUGUGAACAUUUGCUUGUAGGUGACAGCAACUAGGGGUGUACAAGUAGAGGGAGCAUGAAAGGCUUAGGAAGAUCAUCAUCUCAACCUCAACCUCAUGCAUUACCUCCAAAUAUCCAAGAAAGUGCACUAAUUGGACCAAAUCAAAUGGCCCAACUUGUAAGUCAUAGUUGAAUAUGGUUUCAUACUCACAUUUUCUUAUGUCAUUUGAAUAACCUCAAUCACUUCUGUCAAUGUUUGCUUAUAGGUUGCAUCAACUAGAGGUGGUAGAGGGAGAGGGAGAAUGAGAGGCUUUGGAAGAUCAUCAUCUCAACCAGUAAGCAAAGGCUCUAUCACUAGAACAACCAAUGGUGCAUCAUCUUCACAGCCACCAAGAUGAAUAGUGUUUUGUAACGGUUUUGGGGAUACCUUUUGGGACUUAAACUAUGUUGUGACUGCUAUUUUAGGGAUACCUUUUGAUAUUUGAACAUGGCUAUUUUGAUAAUUAAGUGUCUUUUGUACUCUGUUUGAGUAACAAGUUAUCAUUUUGGAACAUGUGGUGGAUCUGGGCAUGUAUUAAACAUGUCAUAUGAUUGCACUUUCCCAAAAAAGGCUCUAUCUGUGAACAUUUGAAUUUGUAAUGAAUGUAAGUUUCACUCUUCUGCUUAUGUGAAAGGUUGCUCUACUAUUUCAUGUGCAUUUGUAUGCCUUAAUUUGAACAAGUCUUGUAUGCAGAUUGAGGUCAAUGAAUCUGGAAUUACAACAUUGCAAAUAACCAAAGUUUUCAAAAUCCAUAAGCCUUUUGCAUAACUAAUAACAUUACAAGAUUGCAUAACUAAUUUCGGGAAUUACAUUAGCUCCAAAAUGGGUUUCACUGCCCUUACUCCCAUACAUUUUCCAGACAUGUUUGACACCAUGAUCAUCACCAUCACAAUGGCCACAAAUAAAACACAAGCACCCAUACUCAUCCUACAUUCUCUUUGUCGAUGCCUCAUCAUAUUGUCUUCCAGCAAAAGUCUAAGCCUUCUGUUGUCUCUGAUUGCAUAAUCCAACUCCUUAUUUUUUUCAAUUAUGCCCUCCAUUUCCAAGUUUCAAGCUUCUAAGGAUUGAAGUGUGUUGACCACAACAUUUUUUCUCUCUUCUGUCUCCCUCAUUUCAGUCUCCAUCAUUCUUAUUCUUCUAAGCAGACCAGGCACCACAUUCUUCCCUCUUGUACAUGUCUCCUUGUCCAACCACCUAAAAUAAUGCUCUCCAACUCUGUUUUUCUACUUCAUUAUUAUCAAAUUCUUCAUCACAACAAAAUCUGAACAUAAUACCAAUUUUGUGCAUAAACCCAAAAAUCUAAAAUUGUUUACCUGGUUGUUGUCACAAGCCUCAAAGCGUCUUCCUGGAUUCAUGUCCGUCCAUGAAGUCCUUAAUUUGAUCAAACUCCCACAAUGACAAUACUUCACUGAUUUGGGGCUUUGGUUAGAUUCCAUUGAUGAUGUUUGAGACAUAUCACUUGCCAUCCUUUGAACUAAUUUGCUCUCCAAGCUUCCAAACUUGACGAUUCCAACUUUUACUCAGCCAAUAUGCGAGCUGCAGAAGCGGAUUGCAACUUUUAGUUCUUUAGGUUUUCAACGGCAGACUGUCGAAGGUCUAUUUCAGAGGGAAGGCAAGUUGUAGAAGGGGGAUAAUAAACCAACCUGAAAAGACCCAUCUAUCCCUAAAUGUAACGAAAAAAUUGACAGAAGCAACGGCGGGACUAGUAAUCCAAACAAAACUUAAGUUGUGGAACCGUGGGUACAAUUUUGGAAAUUGAGGUACACAAAUGCAAAUUCGGUCAAAGUUGGGGGACUAAUAAAACGAUUAACCCAUUAUGAUAUAUAUUAUAUAAAAUAAAUAUUGGGUAAAUUACUCAAAUGGUCCUCAAACUUAUACUCGAUUUACAUUUUGGUCCCUCAAUUAUUAUUUGUUCAAAUGGUCCAUCAACUCUAUAUUAUUCUCUCCAUUGGUCCUACCGUUAUAUUUUGUCAAUAUUUCUGUUAAAUGUGAGGGCAAAUUGGUCAUUAUAUAACUAAAAUUAGGGUAAAUCUAACAGAAAAUUAGACGGUAGGAAUUCGGGGCGGUUCAUGUCAAAAAGCUAAUCAGAGGGGCGAAAUUGACAAAUAAAUUUAAUACAAUGGCUAAAUUGGUUGAAAGAUUAAUUCAAGAUGUAGAUUUCAACAAGUGUGAUAAUUCAUGGGGGUAUUCGGUAAUUUACUCCUUUUUUCCCCCUUGAUCUUCCGUAUUCAAGUAAUGGAAAUGUGUUCCACAUUUUCCAUUUAGUUGAUUAUAGAAAAGGAAGAGCAAACAUGAGUUAAGCCCAAGGCACUGAACUUAGGGUCAGUUUGGCAUUGCUGUGCUGUGAAAAUAAUCGUUGUCAGAUUUGCUAUGAGAGAAAAUAGUUUGGCGUUUGGUAAAAUUUUUGUUAAAAGUAUUAUUAGUAUUUAUUUUACACAUAAUCAGAAAAUAAUUGCCGCAUAAUCAUUAAAUUCAGCGCCUCUUCGAAACUGAUUCUUGCAUAAUCAGAAAAUGAAAGCACAUCAUUAGCUGCUUUCCUUUAUAACUUUCUCUCACAGCAAUUUUUAACAAUAGGUGAUUUUCUCACAGUUUACCAAAUGGGUUGGGCUUCUCAAAAUUAAAAAAAAAACACUUAUCACCCCAAAUAAACAAUGCCAAACGGGCACUUAGACUUCUCACCAAGUGAGGAAGAAAAAUAUGACAAAUUGAUAUAUUUAAUACAAGCUCAAACUGUGCACAAAUUAAUAUAUGCAAUGGAAGCCCAAGAUUAUUUCUGAAGCACAUAAUUUCUGCAAAAUCUACAAAGUGGUGGGAGGCAGACCAACAAAAAAAAGUAGCGAAGGCUUAUAACUCUGGUAAAACAAGAGUGACAACUGAAGAUUUUUGGGUUUCUUUAAUUGGUUAAGUUUAUAUACCUUCAUUUGAAGAUUCUUUAUUUGGGUUGCUUUCAAGAUGAAAACCAUAUCCACAACCACAACCACAACUGGCAGACAAUCUUUGGCUGUUCAUCACAAUUGGGCGACAAUGAAGAAGACAGAAAUUGGAGUAAUGUAUGUUACCAGCAAUCCACGAGAAACUGACGUCUGCAAGCUUUCGUAAUAUAAGGAGGAUGGGGAGGUUGUGCAAUACUUAUCACCUUAGCCACCACCUACACCACAAGACCAAUAUGUUGUAGGCCAGGAGGCUUUCCAAUUUUAAUAUAUAUAAAAGUAACGUAAAAAAGAAAUUAAUGUAGGGUAAAGUAGAAUAGAAAAGAGAAUAAACAAAAUUAAUAAAAAAAAAUUUUAAAAAGUAAAAGGGAGUGUAAAUGGAGAAAAGAGGAAUGGGGAAAUCAGCUCCCUAUAUAUAUAUAUAUAUACAUGGAUUGAAAAAUUAAAAUUAAAAUAAAUCUAUUAUCUUAUAUAUUAUAAAAUAAAGAUUAUUGCUCCAAGGAAAUGAGAUCUUUUGUUUUCUGGGAAUUUUCUGAACCAAGAAAUAUCAAGUAAAAUUAAUAAAGCAUAAAUUGGAAAGGGAAAAGAUCCAGAGGAUGCAUUGUAAGAUUGCUGAUGCCAAUAAUUGUACUCUCUAAUUAUACAUGGACGGGCAUUCAAAUCGGCAAAUCGGAAAUUCGAGCCGAACCACAAAAAAAAAAACCGAGUUGACCAAAAAGUCAAAAACCAAUCAAAAACCAAACCGAAUCGGUUUGGACUGGUUUUGGAUCCAGUUCUAUGUCUUCAAAAACUGAACCAGGCGGAACCGAACCAAUCAAAUUUAAAAAUAUAUAAUUUCAAUAUUUAUUUAUAUUCAAUGCUAUAUUUUUAAUCUCAUAACUAAUAUUUAUACAAGUUCAAUUUCAAAACAUCUAUCUUUUCUAGCUUUAAUAUUUAUUUUUAUAUGAAAUUAAAUAAUUUAUUAAUUUUCAAGUCAAAAAAAUAAAAUUUUAGUUGAAAUUUGUAUUAAAAAAUUAAUUUUAAUAAUCCAGUUCAAAACCAAAUCGGACCGGAACCUAAUCGAAACUGGUUCAACCUGAACCAGACAGUUUUUGAAUUUUUUUUGUUAAAACUGAACCGAACCAAACUGGAUAAAUAGUAUCGGACUUUGUUCUAAUUUGAGACAAAAACCGGUCCAAACCGGACCGUGCCCACCCUACAUGGACAUAUUUUUUUUGUUUUCAAGUCUUAGAUGACAUGUCGACCUAAAAUUAUCGUUCCUAGCGGCUCUCCACCCCCACUCAACCUAUUGUGUAUUAUUAUUUUCAAUAUUAUCUCAAAUUUAACUACUUAUGUCCAUUAUGAUUAGUCAUCUAUUUUAUGGACCAUCCAGCUGUGAGGUUUUAUCUCAAAAACCUUCAGUAACUUUUUCCCGCUUGCAACAAUUGUAUUUGAUUCAGAAUUAUGUCCUAUAUUGGUGGGUGGAGUGUUACUUCUGGGUACCCCUCAUCAUUCGUCUAUAAAAUGGUGAAGCCAGUUGCUACUGUUACCAUAAGAUCCAGCUCCGACUUUCUUUAAUUUCUUGCUUCAUAUCCACUAGCUACAUCUGUUGCCGAGUUAAUUUCAGUCCUAAUGGGGUUUCAUCUCCCACUCAUCUUUGCUAUUCUCAUUGUAAGCUCUGCAAUUUGAUUAACUUUUCCAUUCUCUCUCAUUGUACUUUAUAUAAUCCUCUCCGAAAGUGUCGUCCACUAAUUAAUUACACUUUGUGAUUUUAUUUUAAUUAGAGUUCAAAUUAAUGUUGCAGCUAGCAGCGGUGGCACUGGCAAUCCAUGCUGCGCAACCAGCACCUCAACUUUACUGGAACUCCGUCCUGCCAAACACACAGAUGCCAAGAUCUAUCAGUGAACUUCUGCAUCCUGGUUUGUGUUAAGCCAUUUAGAAUCUUAGAUAUUUUUUCUACCUGCCAUUUUACUGAAAUGUGUUCCGACCACAUAUUUAUCGGUUAACUACUGUUUUCCAAUUUAUUAUUAACCUCGACAAAAGUUAUUACAUGAGUAAUUAUAGUAUGGUACUAGAGUACGUACGGCUAAAAGACUUACGGAAAUGUGUUCCGACCACAUAAAAGACUUACGGAAGGCUGGUGAGUUCUCCAAGUUUUCUAAACGCAGUGCCUGUUGGAAGAACCUGUAAGAGAGUUCAAUUAUUGAAGGCUCCCCAGUCUGAGCACCUGUGAGAUUGUAAAGAUCCUCGAGAAUGAAAAAUGGCAGCUGAUUUUCGAGCAUAAGCAUGUCAGGCAAUAUAUUUUGUUGCACCCAUGGUUUUUUAAAUAUCCAAGCAUUAUCAUCCGGCAAUUUUUCUUCCUGAAAUUUUUCUUCGGAUUUAUUCCUCAACAAUAGCUCAAUGACAAAGGCGGCAUCAACUAGAAAGAUAUUCACAAAAGCGGCAAUGUUAAACUUCUUAGUGUCUUCAUAAUAAUGACGGAGUUCAACUUCUCUCUCCUUUAGGUACCUGAGUUUGUGAUCUUCCAUGGCUUCUAAGUUUUUGCUGCCAUGGUGAAGUGGGCCUAUUGAGACUACUUGUGGUGUGUAGGCCUUUUGUUUUACGUUCCGUAGUCGCUCAGGCACCCUGUAGAUAUUGCAGGCAGGGGACAGGGCACGCAAGUUUGUCAACUGAUUUUCCAUGGAAGUUGCUUGGUUUUCUAUGUCAAAAGAAGCUUCAUUGCUGCUUUCUUCCACUUUCUUCCUCCGCAUUAUGUGUUGUUCUGAUUGUAAGUGACGAGGAUGGUGAUGAUUCUAGACACCAUAAUCAACAAAUGUUUCAAUCAUAAUUGACAUUUCAAGAUGCUUCCGACAAAAAAUUAGAAAACAUUCAUCACAAAAUGCGAACUCAUACAAUAGAUGGGUUGAGAAGAUCCACACAUUGCAAUCAUACAAUCCAAUUGCACAGGGAUUACUCCCUAUUCUCCUCUCUCUCUAAAAAAGAUUUUCAUAUCGAUAACAUCUUAUUACAAGGGAUUUGUAUAUCAAGUGGUGAUGAACAGAAAUUCAUAUUCUUUCAAUCAAAAUAUACAAAUUUCGAAAAAGUUUGUUUGUUUUAUUUUUGGAGGAAAAAAAUCUGAGCAUAUAUAGAUGCAUAUUAUACGUAGACCUAAGGUGAAAACAUACCAGAUUUUUACUCCAUUUUUCAUGAGGUUUAAGUUCUUGAUGUAUAUAUUUAUCUCAAGUGUAACAUCCCACAUUGAUCAACGGAGAGGGGGUGAUGUGCCUUAUAUGUACAUGCCAGCCUCCAUCUAGCACGAGGCUUUUUGGGAGCUCAUUGGCUUCGGAGUCAUAGGAACUUCGAAGUUAAGCGAGUUGGAGCUAGAGCAAUCCCAGGAUGGGUAACUCAUUGGGAAGUUGCUUGUAAGUUCCCAGAAAUAAAACCGUGAGGGCAGAUAGGGGGCCCAAAGCGACCAAUAUCGUGCUACGGCGGAACCGAUUCUGGGAUGUGACAAUUUGGUAUCAGAGCCACUCUGCCGUGUGGUGCGAGUGUGCCGACGAGGAUGUCGAACCCUUGAAGGGGGUGGAUUGUAAUAUCCCACAUUGACCAACGAAGAAUGGGUGAUGUGCCUUAUAUGUACAUGCCUGCCUACAUCUAGCACGAGGCCUUUUGACAGCUCACUGGCUUCAGAGUCAUAGGAACUCCGAAGUUAAGUGAGUUGGUGCUAGAGCAAUCCUAGGAUGGAUGACGUGACAUCAAGAAUUUAUAUCCUCCCUUUUAGAUCUCAUGUUCCAGUCAAAACAUAUAGAAACAAACGAAACAUAAGAAACUAAAAUCUUGUUUAUACCCAUCCUCCCACCCACCCACGGCCAUCCACCCCUACUGAAAGGACCCGCCCCCAAUUUUCUCAAAACCCGAGACGAACCCUUUGGAAUUCCUGACAUCACCCCGAUGCCAGGCCCACUUACUAAAAACUGAGACUUCCUGCCGAAAUUUCGGCAGAGUCUCCCCUAUAAAUUGGACAUUUCCCAAAAUUUCAACCUGCAUAAAAACGCAUUUAAUAUUCCCAACUGGCAGCAUGCACAAUAUAAUUUCAUGCAAUUCACACAAAUGGCCUUCGGCCUUUCAAUAAUUCCUAUCCAACUACCAAACCAUUCAAAUACAAAUUAUGACUAAUAUUUAGUCUGCGGCUGCACCUAAUAACCUUAGGCUGCCUACGUACCCUCCUUGAGGGAUCAAGCCACACGUAGUUCUUCCCUAAAACCCAAUUCCACACUUGGGCGAUACCUUAUUUCAUUUCUCUGGAUUUCAUAUAAUCUCCCCAUACGCCGGUACAACCAACGCCACGUAUGGGGCCUGUCAACACGCCGGAUAACCUACGCCACGUGCGACCAUGCCAUACUAUCAUAAUAUCUCCCCAUACGCCGGUACAACCAACGCCACGUAUGGGGCCUAUCCCAACGCCGGAUAACCUACGCCACGCGGGACCUCAAUAUUCAUAUCACAAAUCUCCCCAUACGCCGGUACAACCAACGCCACGUAUGGGGUCUGUCGACACGCCGGAUAACCUACGCCACGUGCGACCUCAACACAAUAUCACAAUAUCUCCCCAUACGCCGGUACAACCAACGCCACAUAUGGGGUCUGUCUCAACGCCGGAUAACCUACGCCACGUGAGACCUGAACAUCAUAUUACAAAUCUCCUCAUACGCCGGUACCACCAACGCCACGUAUGGGGCCUGUCCCAACGCCGGAUAACCUACGCCACGUGGGACCUAACUUUUACUUGGUGGUGCUUGUAGUGAAUCCAAAAUCCGGGGAGGUACCUAAAGUAGUGCGUAUAGCACUCCAAACUGACACUCUAGACUCUGUUGUACCCUUGUACAACCAUAUAUAAUUAUAGUUAUAUAAAUUAAUUCUAAUAUUGUGUAACCCUCCACAAUAAUCUAGCUCCCGAUAAUCCCCCCCUUAGAAAGGUGAGAUUACUCCGGGAGACUCACGGUCAACCAAGGGUCAAACUACUCUAACCCUGGUCAACCGGACCUGCAGAACCCACGACCUCCAAUUUCUGAUCCGAAAGUCUCUAUGGGUUCUACUAGGUAUAGGACACUUGUCCUGCAAGUUUGGUUCAGAUCGGACGGUCGGAUUUCUCACGAUCGCACGAUCUGACGGUUAAUAUAAAAUAUAAACUUUAAAAUUAUUAUUCGGAACAUCCGGGGCUCCGAUUCACGAUCUGUAAAUUCCUACAUGAUCCUAGAAAUACCUUGAUUAACAUAUAUUAAAUUUGGGACCAUCCAACGGUCCCAACCUAUCGAACCCGGAUAACAUACACUAUGCGAUUAUCUGUUCGAUAGUCAAACGACGUCCGAAUUGAGAUCCGCGAAAUCCUACGCACUCGUGACAACCUAAGGAUCUCAUCGGAACACAUCGCUACUUUUUAUACAGUGCCCACGCGCCGCCGCACGCUCCGGCAGCGCGUGGGUGCCCAAAGCGAUAACGCUUCGCCGGAAAAUCUCAACAUCUCGGCUCCAAACUCCUACCCUAGGUAUAACACCCUAUUUGGAGCCACUUUUGUUCUUGGACCUACCCCAAAAAUUGGCCGGAAAUGGCCGAUCACGGCGGCCGAAGUUCGGCCGAUUUUCAAUUCGAAAAUCGAGUUGUCUACGCUAAGAAUCGAUCUAAUCCUACCCAACAGGCAGCUAGAGCAUGAAAAAUAGGUGAGAAACCAUACCUUGCUCGUCGGAUUUGGUGGCCGGAGGAGGGAGAUCGAGCUCCUUGAAUUUUGGGUUAAAAUCGGUCGGAUUUUUGCAUUUUCCGGCGAGCACAGGUGGUUCCGGUGGCUGAGAUCGGUCGGGAUGGAAAGAGGAGGAUGGCACGGUUCUUUUGGGACCGGUGCCACCCCGAGUGGUGGCCGGAUGCGGCGACGGCGGCCCAAAAAACCGCCGCUGUGAACAGUAACAGGGGGGGCUGUUCUGCGCGCAGGGGAGAGAGAGAGAGAGAGAGAGAGAGAGAGAGAGAGAAAAUCUGAUUUUAUAAAAAAUCCCAUUUCAAAAUAUUUACGAUUGUGCCACUGGACUUCUUUUGACCAUAUCUCUCUCGUUACAACUCCGAUUCGAGCCCACUACGUGUCUGUGAACUCGUCUCAGUACGACCUAUCCAAAAAUAUAAGUCACGGUCCCAAACUCUCUCUGGUUAAAAAUAUGACUAAAAUACCCUUAAAUAAUUAAAUAAUUAAAUGAGGGUAAAAUUUGGGAAAAUUUGGGGUCGGGGUGUUACACCUACCCUCUAUCUCCAUUAAAUCUACAAGUAGCUCAUCAAUUUAUCCACUAUCCCAAGUUCAAUAUACAACCCAACAACCAUCUUACCCAUCUUCUCAUUGAUCUUCCACCCAGCAUCCAACACUAUCUUCAUAAACUCUUUACCCUUUAAAAUAAAUAUGGCAAUAAACUAAAAAUUCUGAUUUAACGCAUGUUUUGCUCAUAAGAGAACUAAAACCUAAAAAUUCUAUACUCUUACACAAAAAAUAAAAAAUAAAAACUAAAAUUGAAAUGGUUAUCAAACAAACCCUUAUAUUACAAAAAACACUGUAAGGGAGGUAAAUAGUACGUUUACAGAGUUUAAGUGUAAUAAAGGAAUAAAAACAUGCCCAGAGGAUUGAUAAGUGAUAUCAAUUCUUGAAUAUACAGAACGUAAAAUAAAGCAACACGUAAAAAAUUAUUUUAUAUGGUAAAACUCCAUCUCUGGGGAAAAUCCAUGGGACUUCUUAGUCCAAAACAAAUCCAUUAUAGAACGAUGAUUAUAAGAAGUACUCACACACUUAUCCUAAACACAUUCUAGAUAAUGUUUAUUGACCUCUUCGUAACUCAACUUCUGUCUCGGGAUGAUCUUUCGACACUCUUUAUGUUGAAUGCAAUAUUGGUCACGGUUUCUUCAAGCUCGUCAGAGUUCUUCCAACUCUCCUAAUAUUGAAUUCGAUACUAGUCACGAUUGAUUCAAGCUCAUCGUAGAAAAACCGUCACAAUGGUCUUGGUGCCCUCAACCGUAUGAGUCAUUGAACAUGCAAAUGAAUACAAUAUGAAUGAUAAAAGUGUUUGAUAAAUCACCGAGUUAUGGAACACUUGAUGAUUUAUCUCAAAUAAAAACUCAGCUUUCCAAAAUUUAUGAAUUGAAAAUAUGAUCGUUAAUGCUCUCUAAACAAAGAAGACAAAGGUCUUAUUUUAGACUUUUUCUUUACAAGAAAGAAAAUAAGUUGGAAACCAAAUCUCCAAUUUCCAAGGCAAAAUCACAAAAGUAUCUUUUCUAGAGAUUGGUCACAUGUAGUCCAACCAAUAGGAAAUGAGAUAUUUAAGAAAGGAAGAUUUUGAUCAAUAUCAAUAUCAAAUGAAUUCUUAUACGCCUAGUCAACUAUUAAGGGUAUCUUGACUCCUUGAUAUUUUGAUAUGAUUGAAACAUGAUUUCCAAGUUAGAAAAUUAAGGGGAUGUUAAAACAUGAAAGUAAUAGGAGAAACAAAUUUAUUUGGACCAAAAUUGCCUAAAAAGAAAACACUCCUAAAUAAACUUCAAUUCACUUUAGUAAAACAUGAUUGAAUCGUUCGUUAAAACAAUUCCCUAAUAUACAUGCAUGAUAAUGACAUCACUUACUCCUGAAUCAAAUUGUCACGCCCCGGACCCGGGGGUUGAUGGAAAUUCCGCGCCCGGUGCGUAAGAAAAUAAAAAGUAAAAUAAAAUAAAAAGAAAGCCGAAACAAGGUGCUAAAUGAAAACUAUGAGAGAAUAUUUGUUUGUGGGAAUUUUCUGUGUAUUCUUCUCCUUGUAGGAGGUCAUAUUUAUAAUACAACGAAACCUGAAUGGGCAAGUAAAUAAUAAAUUCCUAAAUCUAUUUGCAGUAGGAAAUCAGGAAUUAAAGUAAAUCAAUUACAAUUAUAAUAGGAAUUCUUGGUGUGUAAGGAAAGUAAAUCAAUAUCCACAAGUCAAGCCAACACUCCCCCUCACGUUGGUGCAUAGAUGUCGCCAAUGCCCAACUGAUCUAGUGAAUUGUGGAAUGCUUUACUGGAAAUCGCCUUUGUCAAAAUAUCCGUCAAUUGAUCCACGGAUUUCACAAAAGGAAACUGAAACACUUUAGCCUCAAGCUUUUGUUUGAUGAAGUGUCGAUCCACCUCAACAUGUUUUGUACGGUCAUGCUGAACCGGAUUCUGUGCAAUGGCUAUAGCAGCCUUGUUGUCACAAAAGAGAUUCAUUGUGGAUGUAGGUUUAUACCCAAGUUCAGUAAGCAACUUUCUUAACCAAAGAAGUUCACAAAUCCCUUUAGUCAUGCCUCUGACCUCGGCUUCUGCACUGGAUAAAGCUACUACAUUCUGUUUCUUGCUUCUCCAUGUCACCAAAUUACCUCCCACGAAUGUGAAGUAACCCGAUGUGGAUUUUCUAUUUGUUACAUUACCUGCCUAAUCUGCAUCUGAAUAACCAUCAAUAUUUAGAUGACCAUGCUUUGAGAACAUAAGUCCUUUUCCAGGUGCAGACUUCAAAUAUCUAAGUAUCCGAAGAACUGCAUUCAUAUGGUCUUCACUUGGAGAGUGCAUAAAUUGACUGACAAUGCUCACUGCAUAAGCAAUGUCUGGUCGAGUAUGUGACAAAUAGAUCAAUCUUCCCACUAAUCUUUGGUAUCUUUCUUUGUUAGUUGGAACUUGAUCCGGAUAUUCUCCAAGAUGAUGAUUCUGAACAAUAGGAGUGUCCGCAGGUUUACAAUCUAGCAUUCCUGUGUCUGUCAACAAGUCUAAGACAUAUUUCCUUUGAGAGAGAAAUAUGCCUUGCUGCGAUCGAGCCACCUCAAUUCCCAAGAAAUACUUGAGUCCACCUAGAUCCUUCAUCUCAAACUCCGUAGCCAGAUAGCCUUGUAGCUGUGAUAUUUUCUGUUUAUCAUUCCCAGUAAUAAUCAUAUCAUCAACAUAGAUUAUUAAUGUUGUUACCUUCCCUUUUCGAUGUUUCAAGAACAGAGUAUGAUCUGAGUUGCACUGUUUGAAACCAUUGUUCUUCAUUGCCAUGGUGAACCGUCCAAACCAUGCACAUGGUGACUGUUUCAAUCCAUACAAUGCUUUUCAUAACCUUCAAACUGUUCCAGUCUGAGUAGUAUUAUAUCCAGGAGGAAUGUCCAUGUACACCUCCUCCGUGAGUUCGCCAUGUAGAAAAGCAUUCUUUACAUCAAACUGGUGUAGUGGCCAAUCCAAAUUAGUUGCAAGGGACAAUAAGACUCUGGGUGUUUAACUUUGCAACUGGAGCAAAGGUUUCUUCAUAGUCUAUACCAUAGGUCUGUGUGUACCCUUUUGCCACAAGUCUUGCCUUGUAUCGCUCGAUAGAUCCAUCUGCAUUGUGUUUUAUAGUAAACACUCAUCUACAUCCGAUAGUCUUUUUUCCUCGGGGUAUAGUCUCCAAUGUCCAAGUCUGAUUUUUCUCAUUGGGCUUUCAUCUCCUCUUUUAUAGCUUGGACCCACUUAGGAUCUUUCAAUGCUUCAGAGACCUUGGUUGGAAUAUGGAUAGCAAACAACUGAUACACAAAAGCCUUGAGUAGUUCAGACAGCUUCUCAGUGGAUACAUGAUUUGCAAUUGGAUACUUGGAUGUCUUGCCAAUAUCAGGUGAAUAACGGUUUGGUGGCUUCCCACGAUUUUGCCUGAAAGGUAAUUGAUAUCCAAUAGUUUUAUCAUCUAAAUGCAAAGUCUAGUAGGAGUAGUUACCUCAAGGAUAUUCUCAGGAGAUUGGUCUGUUGGUACUGUUGAGUUAGAGCGGGGGUCUUCAUCUUGUUGUUCUGUAUUGUCUGUAGGUGUGAGACUCGGAUCAGAAAUAUCUUCACAUGGAUCAGGUGGGUCAGGCAAUUGAUCGCUAUGAAUGGGCGAUUGGUCACUUUUCGACAGAGAGUAAUCUCGUGCUCCAGACUCAGAAUGAUCAAUCAUUUCUAUACAAAGGAGAAUUUCUUUAUUUUCCAAGUCGCUCCAAUUAUGCUCUUCACUUCGUAUCUCCCCCUGAAGUGUAGAAUUGGAUGAUGGGUCAUGGAAGAACAGCUUAGAUUCCAGAAAGGUCACAUCCAAAGUGACAUAGGUUCGUUGGGUAGGAUGGUGAUAACAGCGGUAGCCUUUCUGAUGAGUGGCAUAACCCACAAAAAUACAACAAAGCGCACAUGGAUCAAGUUUGCUACGUUGAUUUUUGUGGAGAUGAACGAAAGCCACACAUCCAAAGAUUCGAGGUGUGAGUACCAAAACAGAAGGCAGAGGUCUGUGUUGUGCCAGCACCUGUAAGGGAGUUUUAAAGGUCAGUACACUAGAAGGCAUGCGGUUGAUCAGAUGAACUGCGGUGACAAUAGCAUCAUCCCAAUGAUGGCGAGGACCAUGAGCGUCAAUCAGAAGCGGGCGGUUUCAAGAAGAUGUCGAUUCUUUCGUUCAGCAACACCAUUUUGUUGUGGUGUCUGAGGACAAGUCGUCUCAUGGAUAAUUCCAUGUUGUUGGAACUAAUUCUGAAAGUCAUGAUUGACAAAUUCUCCACCAUUGUCUGAGCGAAGAAUCUGAAUUUGAGCAUUAAACUGAGUUUUCAUCUGUUUGUGGAAGGACUGAAAAUAGGAAAACACUUCGUUUUUAUUUUUCAGCAAAUAAAGCCAUGUCAUCCGUAUACAAUCAUCGAUGAAUGUGACAAACCAUCGAACACCAGAAGGAGCAGUGACAGGAGAAGGUCCCCAGACAUCAGAGUGAAUUAACGUAAAUGGAGUAGUACACUUGUUCGUACUCAACGGGUAAGGCACACGGUGACUCUUGGCCAAAAUACAAGUAUCACAUGUGAAGUCAGAGUCCUUGAAACCUGAGAAUAAAUCUGGUAUAAGAUGCUUCAUAUAACUAAAAGACGGAUGUCCCAAUCGACGGUGCCACAACCAGAUUUGCUUUUGUUUGCUAUCAAAGGGAUGUGUCACGCUGUUAGCCAUGCGAGACUGAAGUCAUCGACAUAAUAUAGCCCCCCUCUCUUAGUACCACGACCAAGAAUCUCCUUAGUGUGAAUAUCCUGAAACAAAUAAAAACUCGGGUAAAUGAGUACACAACAAUUCAAUUGUUCAGUAAGCUGACUAACUGACAACAAUUUAGUGGAUAAAGAUGGAACAAGUAAAGUAUUAGACAGUGUGAGAGAGGAUGAGAGUGCAACAGUGCCAGCCCCUGUCACAGGAUAAGUAACACCAUUGGCAUUUGCAAUACAGGGUCGUCGAGGUUGUGUAGUAUUCAGAAAAUCAUCAGGAUCAAACGUCAUAUGAUCAGUUGCACCGGAAUCAAUUAUCCAGCUCCUCGAAUCAAUCUUAUCGGAAGUAUGAAAUCCAUAACCAGUACCAUUACUGGUCAAAUUGCAUUGUCCUUGAUCUGUAAGAGUAGCCCACCAAUUGGGGUAGCCAUGCGAUUUAAAACAAGUCUCAAAAGUGUGUCUCGGAUCACCACAAUAUGCACAAGCUGGUCCAUGUGUCGGGGUCGUUAGUCUAGAAGUCAUAAUCUGUGCAGCGGAAGAUGCAUAGGAUACAGGUUGAGUAGGAAUUGGGAUUGGAAUCUGAGCCUGAGUCGGGGACGGAGUCGGAGUCGAAAUCGAGAUCAGGGUCUGAAUCAGAGACAAAUUCGGGGUUGGGGUCGUCAUCGGAGUGGGGUCGGGGUCAUCUUCGGAGUCGGGGUCGGGGUCGUCAUCGUCAUAGUCGGGGUCGGGGUCAGGGUCGUCAAAAGAGGAUCUUGAUUCUGAAUCGGAUUCGGGGUCAAAGUCUGCAUCUGUAGGAGCGGAGCCAUCUGGGCACUCAACUCAACGAUGGUGGGUGGAGAAUGAGAGAAGGAGUCGGUGGUGCUACCUCCAUGAGGGUUGAAAAAAUCAUCAACCCCCAUAGCAGCGGUGGGGGUUUGAAACUAGAGUCAGCAAUUCCAAGAUUACCGCUCUGAUACCAUACUAAAAUAUGAAAACUAUGAGAGAAUAUUUGUUUGUGGGAAUUUUCUGUGUAUUCUUCUCCUUGUAGGAGGUCAUAUUUAUAAUACAACGAAACCUGAAUGGGCAAGUAAAUAAUAAAUUCCUAAAUCUAUUUGCAGUAGGAAAUCAGGAAUUAAAGUAAAUCAAUUACAAUUAUAAUAGGAAUUCUUAGUGUGUAAGGAAAGUAAGUCAAUAUCCACAAGUCACGCCAACACAAGGGUUUAAAAUAAACCUCUCUUAUAAAAUAGCUCCAAAAUCUUACAACUUUACAAGAAAUAAAUAAAGCUUUAUCAUUCUUAUCUAAUUAAGCCUCAACUUGUUUAGUCCUUGUCUUGCCCACUAAUUCGUCUGAAAAAUUAAAGGGACAUGCAUGAGACCUUACCACAGUAGAUUGAUAUAACUAAAAUUAUCAUAAACAUAGAAAUAUAUAAGUAUUAUUAUAAUAGGAUUCAUAAUAAUUAAUAUAAAAGUAUAACAACAAUAUUUACGUAUACGUACCAAGAUAAUUACACAUAUAAAUAUAACCAAUAUAUAUUUAUAUAUAUUUUAAAAUACGGGUCUUCACACAAAUGCCUUUCGCUGGUCAAGCCACAAGUCUGUGUUUUGGGGAUUGCUGAGCUGCAUCAAUCCUGCCAAUGUCAAUUCUGCCCCUAGGCUCUCUCAAAGCACGUUUACAACCUAUGCUAACAUAUACUAGAGUUUGUGCUAGUAUCUAGAAAAUGCCAACACUAAUUUCGUAACACGUAGAAAUUGUUAGAGAUUGGAAGUUUUUAUCAUUUUUUCUUCCAAUCUCUCCACCACUCACUAAUAUAGAUUACUCAUGUGAUGAGGUUAUAAAACCUAUUUCUCUACUCUCUCAUUUGUUAUUUACUUUUUUUUUCCUUGGAAAUAUGUUCCGCCAACGUGAGAAAGAAAAAUAUGCACAAAUUGAUAUAUUUAAUAGAAGCCCAAGAUUUCGGAAGCACAUAAUUUCUACAAAAAUCUACAAAGUGUUCUACUUUACAAACUUCAUAUGUCUACCAAUUUCUACUAAAAUUAAUUUCUCUGUAGUGCUCAGAUUCAUCAUAUGUGUAUCCUUAAUUCUAGUGAAAAUUGGAAGUUUCCAUCAUUUUUAUUUUCUGAGAAUUUUCUGAACCAAGGAAAGGGAAAAUAUCUAGAGGAUGCAUUGUAGGAUUGCUCAUGCCAAUAAUUGUACCCUCUAAAUAUAUAAAGGGACAUUUUUUUUUUUUUUUCAUGACAUGUGGUCCUAAAAUUAUUGUUCCCAGCAGGCUCUCCACCCUUCUCAAAUUUAAGUGGUCCAUUAUGAUUAAUCAUGUAUUUUAUGGACCAUCCAGCUGUGAGGUUUUAUCUCAAAAACCUGCGGUACCUUUCUCCCACAUGCCACAUGCAAAUGAAUUUAAGUGAGAGAGGCAGUGGGAAGUAAUUAAGCUCUAUAUUGGUGGGUGGAGUGUUACUUCUGGGUACCCCUCAUCAUUCGUCUAUAAAAUGGUGAAGCCAGUUGCUACUGUUACCAUAAGAUCCAGCUCCGACUUUCUUUAAUUUCUUGCUUCAUAUCCACUAGCUACAUCUGUUGCCAAGUUAAUUUCAGUCCUAAUGGGGUUUCAUCUCCCACUCAUCUUUGCUCUUCUCAGUGUAAGCUCUGCAAUUUGAUUAACAUUUCCAUUAUCUCUCAUUGUACUCUAUAUAAACGAAAGUUUUGCGUUCCUAUAAUCCUCUCUGAUUUUAUUUACCACAUAAGUGUCGUCCACUAAUUAAUUACACUUUGUGAUUUUAUUUUAAUUAGAGUUCAAAUUAAUGUUGCAGCUAGCAGCGGUGGCACUGGCAAUCCAUGCUGCGCAACCAGCACCUCAACUUUACUGGAACUCCGUCCUGCCAAACACACAGAUGCCAAGAUCUAUCAGUGAACUUCUGCAUCCUGGUUUGUGUUAAGCCAUUUAGAAUCUUAGAUAUUUUUUCUACCUGCCAUUUUACUGAAAUGUGUUCCAACCACAUAUUUAUCGGUUAAGUACUGUUUUCCAAUUUAUUAUUAACCUCGGCAAAAGUUAUUACAUGAGUAAUUAUAGUGUGGUACUAGAGUACGUACGGCUACAUAUUCACAAAUGUGUCACUCACUCUUCAAUCGGCUGACCACUUAUUUUCCAUUAUGGCGUGGAUAUAUAAUUUGCAGACUCCAAAAAUGAAGAAAAGAGCACAAAUGACGUUGGCAAACCUGAAACUUUCCCAUUGGGCAAUAAACGUUACUACAGUCAAAAAAGGUAUGGAAGAGGCAAUAAAAGUUACCGCAGUCAAAAAAGGUAUGGAAGAGGCAAUAAAAGUUACUCCGUUCAAAAAAACUAUGGAAGAGGUGCUUCUCCAUCUGACAAUCAACUACUCCAUUAUAAAGACUUGGCUAUUUUCUUCUUGGAGAAGGACAUGAGCCCUGGCACAACAAUGAAGUUCCAAUUCCCUAGAAAUUCAAACACGGCUACUUUCUUGCCGCGAGAAAGCGCUCAAUCGAUCCCCUUCUCCUCUAACAAACUACCAGAAAUUUUCAACCAUUUUUCAGUGAAGCCAACAUCUGAGGAAGCCAAAACAAUUAAGCAAACAAUCGAAGAGUGUGAAGCUCCAGGCCUUAAGGGAGAGGAAAUAUAUUGCGCCACAUCUUUAGAAUCAAUGGUUGAUUUUAGCACUUCGAAGCUUGGAACAAGAAACGUUGAAGCAAUCUCGACGGAGGUAUUGGAAAAAGGAGGCACCAUGUCCAUCCAAAACUAUACAACAAUGCCGGGACUGAAGAAGUUGGCAGGUGACAAAGUCGUUGUGUGUCAUAAGCAGAACUAUCCCUAUGCUGUGUUUUUCUGCCAUGCAAUAAAACAUACAGCAGCUUAUGCUCUCUCCCUGAAAGGCGAUGAUGGGGAGAAGGUUAAAGCAGUAACCAUCUGCCAUCUAGACACAUCAGAAUGGGACCCAGAGCAUAUGUCCUUCCAAAUCGUCAACGUUAAGCCCGGAACCAUUCCCAUCUGCCAUUUCAUUUCCACUGAUGCUAUUGCCUGGGUUCCGAACCACAAAUCUGCAUGAUCAUCACUUAGCACUGUACGUAUAAUUAUCUCCUUACUUAUUUCUGCCUCUUCAUCAUGUGGUGUAAGAUAUAUGAUGAGAUGAAGUUUUUGGGAUUAGUGGUUGGGUUGCCUGAAAAACACAGAUUACAGAAACUGCUUGAAAUUAACCCGAUCAUGUUUUCUCUUGUAACUAUAUAGACUUCAACUUGUACUCAUAAUAAAGCAUGCUAUAUUUAUGAAGAGAUAUUAAUCUAUAUAUAUUUUUUAUAUAUGCUUUGGCUUUGUGGUUCUACCCAAUGUUUGAGUGUUGAAUUGUUACGUUGGAAUAGGCUGCUAAUGCAUGUAGUUAGAGAAGCCUUCAUUUAUAUCAAAGUCCUCAAACUAUCAAGAACUAAUGUAUCCAGAAACAUAUACCAAGACGCAAAACAACAUAUUUUCCAUGCUCUGUCUGUAACACCAAAGCAAACUUCCUUGAUCACAAAAGGAUCAAAUUCCAGUACUAAUCUAAUCCAUCAUGUAAAGCAUACAAGUGCCUCCCUAAAUACUAUACUCUUUUUGUUAUUUCCUACUAUACUAUUUAAGUUUGCAUACUCAUAUAGCAUAUGCAAACACAAUUAGAAAUUCUACAAGAUACAAACAACCCCCUCAACUUUGACCAGUGUGUCAAUUUAGUUCUUGAAAUUUAGAUUACAAAGCAAAAUCAAAUCAUACCAUGAAACACAAGCGACUUAAACCUCCAGGCAAAUAGAUAUUAUGAACAUAUAUAGCAAUUUAUAGAACAAUACAUUAAUCCAGAAGAAAUAUUAUGAAAUGAAAAGAAUAAAAAGUAGAAAAACACAAGGAAAGGAAUUUGCACCUGCUCACUUGCAGAUUGCUUUCUCCGGCCGUAGAUGUAACAGAAAUUUUCUCUUAAUAAUACCACAAUGAUCGGGUAAUUGUAAGAACAAGUUGAUUUAAAAUUCCUUGACCCAAAAAAAAAAAAAGUUGAUUUAAAAUUCAGGUCAACCCAUAGAUUUCUCCCCUUUUUCUUCUUCAUCUCGUGGGGCUUGUCUUCUUCUUGAGGAUUGUAUAGGCCAAGGAAAUGCUUUGAGUUAGUUUUUACGCUUUUGCGUUUUGGGCCUUGGAAGUUGGGACCCAAACCAACUUCACAAAAAGAAAACGCUCAGACUAUAAUGAAUGGAAAGUUAUAAGGGGUAAGUUAUAAGGGGUUCACUUUAUAGCCAUCAGAUCAAUCCAAGGGCUGGGGAGAAUUGAGAUAAAGUUUUAAAAUCGGGUAGGUGAGGAACCCAAACCCGAAUUGAAUAUCCAGCACGUCCGAAAAAGAAGAAGAAGAGGCAAGCACGUCCGAAAAAGAAGAAGAAGAGGCAAGUUCGAAGUUUGAACAGAAAAAACUCAUCUCUUUAAAACCCAUAGCUCUGAGAAACGGUUGAAGGCAACGGUUAACGACGGUUAAAGGCAACGGUUGAAGCCACUCCGUUCUCCAGACCCUGAAAAAGUAUUUAUUUUGAGUAGAAGGGGCAAAGGUGUGGAUUCCGAAACAGUGAAGGGGCGAAGCAGUGGAAGGGGGAGGAGAGAAGCCGUAUUCGUUGGAAGUGGUAGGUUCCAUUUGUGGAGCAAAGCAACACAAAGACCCCGCACAGACACCUUGCGAUUGUUCAAUAACCAGCAUUUGGUGAGUAAUUUAUGGAAUUUGAGUUUAGGGUUAGAGUAAUGGUUUUCCCCAAUUUGUACCAUCAAUUUUGUUGGAUUUGGCAUCUCUUCUUUGUGCUUCAGUUGCAUGUUAAUUUUUGCUUGGGUAUAUGUUAAAAAAAGAAUGAAAAUCAAGUCAAUAACAAGUGAAUAACAUGUCAAUAAUGAUAUGAAUAAGAUAAUGGUGUUGAAUUGGAGGAGGCCCUCAAAACAUUCCACAUUUGAAGCAGUGCAUAGUGCAGAUUAUCUCUCUGGCGCUAGAAUAUAUAUAUAUUUUGAAAUAAAUAUGAUUUCCUUUGUUACUAAAUUUGCCUGAGAAACAUGAGAACAGAUAAUAAUAAACUCAUGAAUAGAAGUGCAAAGCAUUUGAUGAGUAAUUUAUGGAAUUUGAGUUUAGGGUUAGAGUAACGGUUUUUCCCAAUUUGUACCAUCAAUGUUGUUGGAUUUGGCAUCUCUUCUUUGUGCUUCAAUUGCAUGUUAAUUUUUACUUGGGUAUAUGUUAAAAAACAAAUAAAAAUCAAGUCAAUCACAUGUCAAUAACAUCUCAAUAACAUGUUAGUAAUGAUAUGAAUAAGAUAUAAUGGUGUUGAAUUGGAGGAGGCCCUCAAAACCUUCCACAUUUGAAGCAGUGCAGAGUACCUCUCUGGCACUAGAAUUUAUAUAUUUUUUUAAAUAAAUAUUAUUUCAUUUGUUACUAAAUUUGCCUAUGAGAAAUGAGAACAGAUAAUAAUAAACUCAUGAAUAAAAGUGCAAAGCAUUUGAAAUAAAGGUUGAUCUAUGACAAUUGUGGCUGACAGAAGAAAAAGCUAGAAAGAAAGAAGGAUGUGGCAAUUGCUUAGCAAGCAGAUAGCAGAGUAGAUGCUUUGCUUUGCUUCCUUCCACUAUAUUAUUUAUUUAUUUAUUUUGUGUUGUGUAUGAGAUGACAAUAAUUGUCAUGUGUGUGAAGUGCAGAACUUGCCUAGAUUGCACUCACACUCACUCAUGCAUCAACCAUUGAUUCGAAUUUGGAUCCAUGAAUAAAACACAUGAAAUUGUUUGUAAUUCACAUAAUCAUUGCAUUAACAGGUAUUUGCACAAAAUUUUUCAUAUUGCUUUGAUGAUGUUAAAGCCUGUGAUCAGUAAUCCCUAUGCUUAUGUACUUUGUAAAAUUUGUAAUGUGCCUGGUUGACUAGUUGUGUAAAUACCAAUGUGAUUGUGCAAAUACGUGGUAGUAUAUGUGUUCAUGUUAUUUCAUCUUGUAUUUCAGGAAAUGGGAUCCAAUGUGGAGCUGGUAUGGCCAGAGUCAGAGGCAUAUUCGUCACGGGUGAACAACUGCUCACAUGCAAAUUCAUCUCUAGCUGCAAUUCGAGCGAAGUUGAGUGCGGAACAAUUAGAACAAUUCAAGACAUCAUGCUUUGGCCAUCUUCUGAAUAUAGAUAAGAUUCAGUUUAGCGGGCAGAUUGUGCAUGGGGUUGUGUUGCGUAGAGUAGCGGGGCAGGGUGUGAAAGACUUGGAUGGACUGAGUUUCUUAAUAGGGUGUGACGUUGCUCAGUUCACUCGUCAAGAUUUCUGUUUGAUCACAGGGCUUCGUUUUGGGGAAGUGCCUGAAGUUUCCAGUGGAGAGAGUGAUGAAAUUAGACUUCAGAAAAGAUAUUUUAUAGACGAAUGAAUUACAUGCAAUGCUUUAGAAUAAACAUUUUUGAGGUGCACAGAGGAAGAUGACAUCUACAAGCUAGCUCUUGUUUACUUUGCUGAGUUAGUGGUUUUGGGAAGGGACAAACAUUUGAACAUCAAUCUAAAUUACCUGACCCUUGUAGAGGACUUAGAUGCGUUCAACAGGUAUCCGUGGGGUUCGGUGUCCUUUGACAAAACCAAAGACAGUCUAUUUUCUGCACCAACAAAGUAUGUGAAAAGCUUUGAAAAUGAAGAGGGAAGAGGGAAGGGGAAAAGUAAGGUAACAGGAACAAGCCGGAGAAAUGAAAAGGGCAAGAAGGAUAAGCAUGGUGAAGUGCAAAGGGGUGGUUGGAGUUUUAAAGGUUUCACGUAUGCUUUCCAGGUACAUGGUAAUAAUGUUCAUGUCAGUUAUGUCUUGUUUUUCUUUAAAACUUAAAUAAUGACUUUUGUCCUGUGAAUUGUGUAGAUUUGGGUAUAUGAAUUAAUUGCUAGAAUGGCAGACCUGAAUUACUGCAAGGUUGUUGAUCCGACAGCUGUCCCGCGUAUUUUGCGAUGGAGAACUACUACGUCUGUUCCUGAGAUGAGAAAGUUGAACAAUUAUUUUUUCCAGAGCAAAGAGGUUUGGUUUGCAGCCCUUAGAACUAUUUAUAAGAUUUAAUGAAAUUAUGAAGUAGAAUGAUUGAAUAUGACUCUUGUCUGUAUUCUGAAACAGUCAGUUCAGUUGCGGGCGCUAUGUCCGAGUGAAGAGGAAAUGAGACAACCAUAUUGGAGUUGGCCACAGGAUCGCCCUGCUGUUGUCUCGGCAGAGUCAAUUCCUUCUUCAUGUGCUGACCUUGAUGAGUUGAACAAGGUGGUAAGCUUGUUGAGGUCCGAGUUGUUUCAAGUAAAGUUGGAAAAAGACGUCCUUGAGUUAAAGGUCAUACGGAUGGAAAAACUUUUGGACCACUGUUUAGGUCCUCAAUUUGAGCAGGAAGUAAGGAGGGACCUAGCUUUACUGAAAGAGAGGACGAAUCUUUGUGUCAUCUCACAUCUAUUUAAGGGAAGUGAGGAAAUGGAUGACAUUCAAUGGGAUGAAGGGCCAAGUAACAGAAAUGAGGGAGAGGAAAAGGAAGAUGAAGGGAUUGAAGGGGGUGAAGGGCCAAGUAAUAGAAUUGAGGGAGAGGAAAAGGAAGAGGAGGGGAUUGAAGGGGGUGAAGUGCAAGGAAAACCAAGUGAGGUAGAGGAAGCUCAAAGGAAAAGAAGUGAAGGAGAGCAAGUGAAAAUAAAAAGCAGUAAGGGAGAGAAAACGCAAAGAAAGAGCAGUGAGGGAGAGGAAGUGAAAAGAAAAAGCAGUAAGGGAGAGGAACUGCAAAGGAAAAGCAGUGAGGGAGAUGAUCCGCAAAGAAAAAGAAGGGAGGGCAAGGAAGUGAAAAGACAAAGAAGUGAGGAAAAGGAAGUGUAAAGAAACCAAUGUGAGAAAGAAGAUAAUGAAGUUAUGUUGCUUGGCGAUGACAUUGGCGAGAGCACAGAGGGGACAAAGGUUGAGUUUAGUCUCGGGGACAUUGAUUUGGAUCAACCUACAGCUGUGCUAUCUCAGUUGAAUGUUUGGUUGAAUGAUAAAGGUAAAGCUGUGGAACAAGGGGUCCAAUUACGGAAGAGGAAGAUGAUCAUUCCUAUGUGGAAGAUCAUUGAAGGUAGUGAAUUGGUUUCAAAAACUUUGGCAGAGACAACCGGACUUCAGAUGUUAGACCCAACGAAGGCGAUUCUGUAUGAUGAUCUGGUGAAAUUGCUGAAACUUUGUUGGGAAUGGCGCCAUAACCCAAAGUAAGUCCCUUGUUUUUUGAGAUAAAAGGCAUGAGUGUAUAUAUUUUUUAAUUGUUGUGUUCUAAAACUUUUUUAUAUUCAUAGUUUGGUGAUGCAAUUUGGCAACAUGGAAGCUGAGAUUGAAUUCUUCGCUUCCCUCAUCAAAGCUGAUGGUUGGCUGAAAGGAGAUGUAAGUUUAAUUGAUUAUGCAUUUGUUUUAAUGUACAUAGAUUAUGAGAUUGACAAGAAAAACAUGUUGCAGCACAUUGAUUUGGGGUUGUAUCUCAUCCGGAAGCGACAACAAGAGUUGGAGGAAGUAGAAAUAUCGGACUGGACAAUGACCGAUGUAUUUUUUAUGGUAUGUCAUGGGCCUUGACCAAGUGCUGUUAAUAAUUACAAAUUAUCCAUACUUGUUUUGUGGAGGUGUUUAACCAUUGAUUGUUUUCUAUUUCACAGAAUCACAUUCGUACUUGCUUUGCGGAUAAUAAAAGAAAAAAAGAGCAGGUUUGGUGGAAAAUUAGAAACAGUUUACUGAACGUUGUAAAUGGCAAGGUUCCGGCGUGUGAGAUGGAUUGGCAGAACAUAUAUAAGGUGUAUGCCCCUUGUAUGUUGACGAAGUACAAGCAUUGGGUGGCUGUAAUGAUUGAUCUAGUUUUGUGUGAAAUCCAAGUGUACGAUUCAAAGGUUUCACUUAUUCCAGAUGAGAUCUUAAAGGAAGAACUCGCCCCGCUUUCAAUUACGAUUCCAAAUCUUCUCAACACCAUCGACUUUUAUGAAGAAGGUGUUUACGUAAACAAUUGCAGCCGAGAUUGGUGGUGUCCGUGGCCAAUAGAGCGUGUGGAUGUUCCACAACAGUCUAAUCAGUAAGCACAACUUUUUAUUUAAUUUUAUUACUUUAAAUUGUCAAUUACGUUAGAAUGUCAUUAGUUGAAUUGAUCGAGUUCUUGUUUUGCUUCAGAGGCGAUUGUGGCAUGUUCGUGUUGAAGUACAUUGAGCUUUUGGGCGCUGAGAUUCCGUUAGCUACUUGCACCUCGGAGAACAUGCCCUUUUUUCGGUUGAAAUUGGCUGCAAAGAUAACACGGGGAGAUGCUUACAUGCCAUGAUAUUGGUUGAACUUGGUUUAGGUACAUGAUGAUUAAAUAGGUUUUGGGAAUGUCCAAUUUCAAACUCAUGUAAAUACACAAUAGAGACCUACGGGUCCUUUUCGAAUUCUACCUCUGCUCCUCUAUUCUUCUUCGUCUUUCUCAAUCUUAGUGUAUUUUUGUACAUAAUUUGAGGUUUAAGUUAUUGGACGAUAACAAUUAGAACCAAAAUAGUGGCAAAUAUUAUAGCGGAUGCAUGCUUUCAUUUUGAUUAGUGUGAUACUACGCUACAUUUAUUCUCAUAUUGUGCUAAAUGUAUAUGGAGUUGGAUGCAGAGCAUAGACAGAAAAAUGAAGAAACUGAAAUGGAGAUGCUGAGGCUUGGUGAGGAGAAAAGUAAAUGGAUCUGUAAAUCUAUUGCACGUAGGCAAUCUAAAUGGAUAGGCAGAUGAGUUUUUGAAGUUAGACACUUGUCAUUCCCAUACAUAGAAUGUGCCUAUGGAGUGUAAAGUAUUUUUGGAUUUAAUGAAACAAACUUCUGUGUAAUAUUAGCCUAACUCCUUCACGACAUUUACAUAACCUUAACCAACUGCAUUGAAUUGGGAUUUAAAGACUGCAUAUGUGAAUUGGGAUUUGAAGAUGGCUUUUUAAGUGUAUUACAUCAUUGCAAAGUGAUAUGUCAUCGUUUAUGCAAGCCACCAUUAAUCGCAAUAGGUUGCAUCUUAAUAAGGUAAUUCUGUAAGGGGAAUAAGCGGCUAUGGCCUCGCCUCUAAUGUUUUAUUCAACCAUGCCCUCUUUAUAGAAACACAUGAAAAAAUGUCCCCAGGUGCAAUGCUAUAAAAACUUCCAGUUGGUUCUGUACCGCCCCUCGGGUUUGAAUCCCUCUCUCCUUUAUAAUCGGUUAAUAAAUUCAUUGAUUUUCUUUUUUUUAUUGGUUUUGGGCAGCUCAGUAGCAUAAAAGUAAUGUAUAUUGGUGCGUCUAUAUUGCAUGUCUGUUGCGUCUAUAUUGCUUCUCUAUUGUGUGUAUAUCUUACAUUUAUUGUAUGUGUAUUGAUUGUUUAUUGCUUACGAAGGAAAUAAACAACAAUACACAGGCAACAGACAAACAAUAUAUACACAACAGACAAACAAUAUACACACAAUAGAUACGCAAUAUACAUACAAUAGACAUGCAAUAUACACACAAUAGACAUGCAAUAUACAUCCGUCCCCAAUUACACAAACCAUAAGGAAGUCGUAUUGAAUAGGAAAUUAAACUUAACAGUUGUUCUUCCUACUAAAAGAAAGAAUAAGGUCCGUUUUCCCCCUUAAAUCUUACUUGAGUGGUACUUGUGCCCCCAAUAAACAUCCAAUAUUGGAGCAAUAACAUUCGAUAUACAUGCAGCAAACAAUCAAUAAACCUUUAAUAAACAUUCAAUAUCGGUUCAAUAACAUGCGAAAUACAUGCAGUUAAUAAUCAAUAAACCUUCAAUAAACAUGUAAACAAUCAAUAAACUUUCAAUAAACAUUCAAUAUCGGAGCAAUAACAUGCGAAAUACAUACAGUAAACAAUCAAUAAACCUUCAAUAAACAUUCAAUAUCAUGCGAUUUAUAUGCAGUAAACAAUCAAUAAACUUUAAGUAUACGCAAAUAAACAAUCUAUAUACACUAAAUAAUUAUGCAAUUUUCAAAAAAAAAAAUGUAUUGUCUUGUUAUUGCAUCGUAUUGGCCCUGUAUUGUGAUUUUAUCGUCUUCGUAUGAUUUUAUUUUUUUAAAGUAAGUCUUGGAAAGUUUUUGCUGGGUUUCAAACAAAUAAAUGCUUUUGUUUAAAUUCAAUGCCAAUCCACUUAUUUCAAGAACAAAAAUUACAAAAUGGGUUUGAAAACUCAUUGGUGGUGCGUGCAACAUGUCUUUUUGGGGAGAAAUUUCACAAUCCUUGAAACCGUGCACUUAAUUGAUCAUUAAAAGAACAAAUAAUAUGACAAUUGAUACAACUAAUAAAACUAAUACCAAGUCCUUAAUGGACUUCAGCAUAUUCAGCACUGUAGCAUCAUACGUGUCAUCUUGAUGUUCUGCUUCAGCGGAGGUUACAUCAACCCAUUCGAAUCCAUUGCAACUGGUGGAUCCCUAAUUGCAGGCAUCAUAUAUGCAAAAUAAUUCUGUCAGAGUUAGACAUAGGUUUUUUUUCCCCCACACACAUAUUCUUGAAAUGAAAACUUACAUAGGAGGUUAGACACUUCCAAAAUGGCUUCCCUCGAUUUUUAUCUGAUUUUGAAACCCGAACCACCAUUGUAGCUCCACAAUACUGACACCUUUUUGUUUGAGCAGGAGAUGAAGACGAAGACAUGUUGAAUCUUCUCACUUGUACCUCUUCUCACUCAGAUCUUCUCACUGAAACCUCUUCGGACUCAUACCUUCUCACUCAUAGUUCUCAGUCAUACCCCUUCACUCAUAACCCUAAAUUUCUCACUCAGCUCUCUCUCAUCUCUGCCCAAAUCAAAUUAUAUCCUUCUUUGCUGUGUGUGGGUGGGUUGGUCACGAUCUGGACACCUGUACCGUCAGAAUUGUGACAUCUUUUACCCCGAAAAGCAAUAUAAUAUUUCACUACCAAAUAUUAAUCUGAAAAUUGAGGGGACACUGCUUGAAAUAUAUUAUUUUAUUUAUAUUUCAUUAAGACAACUAGUUGGAUAAGAAUCCAUCAUCAUUGGUUUCAUUUUAAUAACAUUACUAGUGGUAGUUUGGUGUGGGAAAAUGAAAAAGUAUAUGAUGGGACCUUCUGUGACUAGUCAGUAAUCCAUCACAUUUGUAUCAAUGAAUUUGAUGGUGGGAAAAUCCUAAAAAUGGCUAUGCAAAUAGGUUAUUAAUUGAAUUUUUGACUGUCUGACUCUCUAUGCAAUUUUAUGACGUUUUCCCUUCUUUUGUCUCGAGUUUUAGGGUGUCGGGUUCAGUUUCUUUAAAAACGGUCAACUUGGAAAAACCCCAAGUGGAAACACCUUUUAAAAACACUAUAAACAGAGGCUAAAACAAAACCAAAACCCCAUAUAUUCUCAUUUCUGCCCUCUUCCACUCCUCAAAUCGUUCCAUUCCAAAAACAUUUCAAUGAAUUCGAAACAUUUCACUACACUCGGAGGAAAGAGAAGGAAGCAUCUCCAUUUGGAUAUGCCCCAAGCCUUCAUCCCGGAGUUAGCUUGGUUUAAAGUGAUGUUAUACGUGGCAACCCAAUCAUCGGAAGAUCUCUUCCGUAUGGCAUCUGUGUGCCCAUUGUUCCAUACUUUGGCAAACACUCCACAAGUGUGGAACACCAUUUCAGUGGCAAAGUACCCAAACCAUCCUAGCUGGUACCGUGCCAAUCCUGCGGUCCAGCAUUUCUUGCAACAAUGCAGGGCUUGCGAUAACCCUAAGUCGAUAUUUAGAGAAGCAUUCGAAGUGUUUUUUAAGCAGGGUAACGUGGAAGCAUUGUAUGGGAUGCGCAUUACAGCCACGGCAGGCCAUAUAGAAGCGGCAUAUCUAGUUGGACUACUUGACAUGUCCGGAAUUGGUCAGUCAAAAGAGGAUGCAUUAGAAUUCUUGUGUUCUUUGAAUCAAUGUAACAACAUUGAUAUGAAAGGAACCAGGGAUGCUUUGAGACAAAGAUUAAGCCGACCAACAGUUGCAAGACAUAUCCUAGAUAUGUUUGACUAUGGGAAGAUUAAGUUCAAUCACUGCAGCCCUUGUAACAACAAUGAAUGGUGUUUUGUUAUUCAAGGCUGGCCUACUGAAGAAAAGAUAAAUCCUGCCUUCUGGACUUGUUGCAAUCGAUGCAAAUGGCACCGUGAGAGUAUUUUUUGGUUCAAGGUGAUGCGUGUGUAUGUUGUGCGAGGGAAUCCAUACCCUUAUAAUUAGUUGUAGUAUGUUUUUACGGUUUUUAUGCAUUGUGGACUUGCUUCUCUUCAGUUCUAGGUUCGCUGGCUACGUUGUACAAAUGUUGUUUAAAUGUGGGGUUUUAAUCUAUUUUGUCUGGUAUUUGUGCUGUCAUAAACCGUUUUAUAUAUAAAUGUAUAAUAUAUAUUAUAUAGCGGAAUUAUUACUGACAUCAUAGACGGCUACGAAUGACAUUUUACUGACACAGAUAUUUUGCACAACUGCAAUCUUAAUAUUUGGUAAACGAAAAGGCAUGCAUGGAGUAAAUAGGUGUCUUUUCACCAGUGCUUGGGAAUGACAUUUUCCCACUGAGCAUAUCCCAAAUGAUUUGGUUACAAGUUUCUUAAGCAAAACUUGAAUAGUGAAUGACGUUGAAUAAUUUUUUCCUAAUGUUGUAGAAUAGAUGACUUGUAUAUUUCCAUUUUAUUUUUCAAAACAUCCCUUAAACCUAAAAAAUAAAAAAAUUAACAAAUUGAAGAAGAGAGAAACCGAUUAGCACCAGAAAUGGCCUAUUCGCACGGAAAAUAAAAAUUAAAAAAAAAAGUUGGAGUAAAUAUAAUUAACAAAUGGACAGGCUAAAAAGUAAUAUAAUAAUAAUAAAAAUAAUUUAGGAUAAUAAUAAAAUACUAAUGUAACAUAACCAUGAAACAGGGAAUUCAGUAGGAAGAUGAAAUCUCAAUAAGUUCGUAGCAAUUUUCGAAACAUUAUUGGGAUUUUUGUGUAUUUAGUUAUGAAUUUUCCAAGAAAAAGUAAUAAAAUAAUAAUUUAGGGUAAAAUGCAAGGAUGUGGCCAUGUUGACUGACGUACACUUGUGCAAGUGAUGAAAGUUGACGGGCUGAGAUCGUGCCAGGUGUCCUCUUGCAAUUAUUUUGGCUUUUUUAGUGCAAAAAUCUUUGAAAAAAGGUAAUAAAUAGUAGGUCUUGUGACGUUAUAAAACUAGGGGAACCUAUAAAUCAUCCGUCUCGCAAUGAAAAAAUCCAAAUUAUUUUAGAUAACUCACUUUCCUCUUAACCCUAAGUAUUUAUGUUUGUUAACUUUAACUUCAAUAACCUACUUGAACAAUCAUCUCCCGUUAAUGUUCGGAAUUAUUUUUUUAAAAUGUGUAACCAUGUAUCGGGGAAUUCAACAAGGGAGAUUGAGUGUCAAUGAGUUCGUAGCAAUUUUCGGAUCAUUUUUCUAAUUUUUGUGUAUUUAGUUAUGAAUUUUCUAAGAAAAAGUAAUAAAAUAAUAAUUUAGGGUAAAAGGCAAGGAUGUGGCCAUGUUGACUGACGUACACUAGUGCAAGUGGUGAAAGGUGAUGGGCUGAGAUCGCGCCAGGUGUCCUCUUGCAAUUAUUUUGACUUUUUUAGUGCAAAAAUCUUUGAAAAAAGGUAAUAAAUAGUAGGAAAAUCCUAAAAAUGCCCCGAAAAUUACUCGGACCUCCUUGUGAUGUUAUAAAACUAGAGGAACCUAUAAAUCAUCCGUUUCGCAAUGAAAAAAUCCAAAUUAUUUUUACAUAACUCACUUUCCUCUUAACCCUAAGUAUAUAUUUUUGUUCACUUUAACAAUUAUAUUUCCUUAAUAUUCGUUAUAUAAUUUGUAAUAAUACAAGAAUUAGUUUCCUUUCAUAUAUAAGGAUGUAAAAUAAUUUGUUUUGUUAUAAUAAUGUACAUAUAUAAUAAUUGCACAUGCUUUGAAGCCAUCAUUGCAACUACGCCUAGAGCUUUGAACACGUCAGAGGUAUUCAAUAAGUUGUCCAUAUGACGCCGCAUUGGGAAUCAGUAAUAUAUUUUCUAUCAUGUCCAAUCACAUAAAAUAAUGCCAUACUUUUUCUGAAAAACCUCACACAAGUCAAGCAAUUUUAAAAUAUUAGUGAAUAUUUGUCCUAGUCUAUAUGAGUGAUUAUAUAUUCAGUCUGCAUUUUUUCACAGUAUAUGUUAACUUUCAGAGGGAUUCCACAAACAUAUAAUAUAAAGAAAGAAAGAAAUAGUAGGAGAUGAACCAGUACAAAAAACAAUAUAUAAAUGGUACAUAAUAAUUCCAUAACCUUGUCACAAACGCACUCACAAAUGCUUUUCCAUAAACCUUGUCCUAACAUAUAAUAAAUAAAGGCAACAUUGCAUAUGAUGCAACCAUGUCCAAAUCUGAUACGUGAUCACAAAAAAAUGGACAUGGCAGCAACAUAUGACUGAAGUAGAUGAGCUCUUUGCAUCUUGUGUUAUCGUAAUUAAAGACAUCAAAAGAUUAAGGUUGAAAUCUUCCAUAGUAGUAAGCAUCAAAAUAGGUUUGAAGCAGAGUUUAACGAAAAUUCCAAUUCCACUUAUUGGCCUCUGCUCAAACACGAGAACCAAAAUGGUUACUUCCCUUGCUGAGUAUAUUUGUUAACGUCGGAAACAGUAACAGAUGACCAAUCAAACCCGGGUACGACGAGUUUUGCAUAGGAUCGGAAGUAGUCGAAUCCAGCUUGCAUCACACGCUUCUUUGACUCCACUGCAUUAGAUGAGUUCUUGUAUUUUUGAACAGCUACACUCCGAAGUCGUUUGUGUCUACGCUUCAUGCACUGCAAAUUCGCCCUAUCCAGAUUGGCCUGCCUUUUGUCAUCUUCAAUUUGGCCUUCAACAAAUUCCAAACGUGCCCUUGGCCUUUGGAUUUCAUCACCAAGUUGAAGAUGCCUCUCCUUCCAAAAAGCAAGAACUCUUUCAGAUUCAAAACUUCCAACAAAAUGGUCAUUCUGUCUAGGAAUGUGACAUUGCUUGUCUAGUGACUCACUUGCGUUUCGAAGGCAGUCUUUGUUUGGAGGGGUGUUUAUUAUGCUCACAUCAAACUUGGUUAGUAAAUCCAUUUUAUGGGGGGAGUGAGUUUCUAUGGAGGAGAGAGUUUUAGUAGAUGGAGACAGAUUCGGUGAAGGAGUGAGUUUUGUGUGGAGGGAGAAUUUCUAUGAAAGGAGUGAUAGUAAUAGCAAUAAAAGGGUUCCCGCCAAAAAAUAUUUGGUUGACAAUGUAUAAAUUAAUUUUUGGUCUGAUACAAUCUAAGUUUAAUCCUAACUAGUUUGGUUGAGUUCACUAACUAGAUGUCACUUCCAUUGAGUUUCUUUCAACCACUAUCAGUGGUGUAAGGAGAGUGUGAGGUUGACAUGCUUGAAAAGCAAAACCUGACACCUCUUUUUUUAAAAAUUGAAAGAAAGUACAUAUGUUGACUACACACAACCUUUGGUAUGUUGGUCUAUAAACCUAUGUUCCCUUUCUCAAAUGAAAUUGCAUAUGCAAUCCUCAUCCUCCCAAAACAAAUAGGAUUAUUCAAGCAUGUCAACCUCUUCAGGCGCCAACAACACAAUCGAAGAUGACAAAUUGGAGUCGCAGGUUCUAUUUCCACAUUGUACUCACCGACCCCUUCCUUUUUCAACAUCAUUUGGGAGUGAGGGGGACUCCGAUGAUCCAUUAGAGGCAAUACAUGCAGUCAGUAGCAAGCUGGAUUAUAAUUCCAAACUGAUCAAUUCAUGGCACGAGAAAUGUGUUGAAGACGAGGCCAUUUUGGCUGAUCUUAACAUUAGAGUGAACAAAGGGUUCUCCCAAAAGAACAAGUACUUGAAGCUGAGUCAUAAAAGGAAGCUGAAAGCUGAGGAGUUGGAUACAGUAAUAAAUGAUGAAAUUAAAGGUUGUUUGAUGAACCAUAUGCGAUGCAAAGAGCAUCAUAGUGAACUGGAGUUGGCAUUCAACGAAGGAUUUUUAAAAUUUCAAGCAUUUGCGGCAACUACUCAUACAAGUUAUAAUUGGGACUAUGUGUCCCCUGAUGCUGUGAGAGAGAUACUAGACGAUGAUGGUGACAUGAAUGAGCAUAAGCACGUCAAAGCUGCUCGGAAGAAGCCGACCGAUACGACUAAGUGAUUGCGGCUACCGUUGUUCAGUUGGUUGAGGGUGAUCAUGGUAUUGCACAAAUUAGAAGUAUAUUCCCUUAAUGUCAUUAUCUAAUUUAAAAUAACACAAAUAUCAGUUUCAUUUGCUUCAUAUAUAAUUAUUGGGACUAUGUAUUGCAAGUCAUCAUGUGUUCCUUCUGUCUAACAUUAUAUUUUGCAAAUAUCGAAAUAUUAUUCAAUAAGCAGUCAAUAUCACAGCAAGUUGGGAAUCAGUAAACCCCCAUUAUCAUGUACAUUCACAUUAAAGAGCUGGUGUACUUUUUCUCAAAAAACUGACACGUGAGUCAUAAGUAACAUAACAUGUGCUAUACAUUGUUUAGUGAAUGGUUUAUGAUUUAUUUAUAUAUAAUAAAAUUCCAAAUAUUGCUGAAUAUUUAUUUCGUCUAUAUCACUGGGGACAUGAGUGAACAUACGCAUGUGAGACCUGCUAAGAAGAAGCUGACCAAUACGACCGAGGGAUUGUGGCUACCAUUGUUCCGUUGGUUGGGGAGAUCGUGGUAUUGCUAAGAGGGAGCACAUAAUAUGUUUUGCAAUCAAAUUUUCUUUUGUGUGUGGAAUUUUCUUUUAUGUGUGGAAUUAUGAGUAGUUCAAAUGUUAGUGUACCCUUUAAUAUUCUCCAACAGUUCAAAAUGUGAUUAGCUGAAUGUACUUUUUUACACGCUGCUUUCUAAUCACUCUGUUCCAACAAAAGGCUUUAAGUAUCCUUCAGUUACAAAUGUUUACAAAAUCGUGCCCCUAAUAACCAGUCGAGCUUAGAUCUUAAUAACCAGUAAAACACUAGAACAUAACAUUCGGAAAAAGUGAGUACUGUUGGAAAUCAUUACUGGUAAUGGAAACAACAGCUGGCUGCUGGAAAUGCUGCAUUAGCAUGUGAUAUAAUCAAUGAAUCUCUGUUAAAACAUAAUUCACCAUAAACUACCCAUUUUACAUGGUAAAAGUCAUUGCUUCUUCACAUAACUCAAAAUUUGAUACUUUAUCAAAUGUCUAUGAAAAUUUCUAAAUAGGGAGAAGACGUAAAAUUAACAUGUGUCCAAAUUUCAUGCAAGAAUGAAACCAAGCAAAUUUUCAUUUCAAUUACCAGUGGACAUAGUAAGAGCUCAUGGGUGGACAUGAACAAAAUAAUAAUAAUAAUAAAAACUGAAUCUAGAAAACUUCACCUGAUCAUUAGUCUUCAUAACAACCGGAUUUCGUCUAAUAGAAACAUAAAUCAUUCAGUUGGUCCGUGCAUCCUGUCAAAUUCGUCGAAUAAUGGGUCACUACGAUCUAUUGGAGUUGAUUCGUCAUUGUUCGAUGGUGAUGUCCUGCAUAAACAUCAAACAAAAGCACAUAAAAAAUUUACCUAUUCAAAUUUUAGGUGUUAUUAUAAAUAGUGUUAGCAUCUUACGGUGUGUUCAAAUUUCUUGAGCAUUGUCUUCUAUCAUGGCCAAUGUGUCCACACUCCCGACAGUGUCUAAUCCUUCGCUUCAUUGCCUUUUCCUUUGCUCCCGUUACUCGUUUCGACCUUCCUUUGCACCUCACUCUCUUAGGGUCUUUCAUAUAUUGUGUUUGAGAGCUGGACUCUCCAACUUCGUUAUUACUUGGUCCAUCCUUCAACAACUUCAACUUCACCUACAAACUUUUUAGAGUCUCUGACAGUAGCUCACAUCCUUCUUCACUCAUUAAUGCAUCCUCAACCACAUCUGAAGCAAGUCGAGACAUUGUACUCCGCUUUAUUAAAAGACCAGGAUUUGCAGAGUCUUUAAUUUCGUUGCCAUUUGCAUCUGACACCAAUCCAGAUUUCGCAGUUUUCUUCCACCUCUUCAAAAUAUAUUUAUCGGGCAUAUAUUCAAUCUGGUCCCUUCUGAACAAUGCUAAGAUGUGCUUGCAAAUAAUUCCAACAAAUUCAAAUCUUUUGCAGCUACACGAUGCGUGGUCAGAAUCUUUGACAUAUACAACUUCUGCCACUCUUGUUUCCCAAUUUUUCCUUUCGCUCACGUUAAAGACAACUUUAGAAGCAUCCUCUGUUUUGAGCUCUAGGAAACAUGCUGUACUUUGUAUUAGUUCUUGCUCAAACUUUUGAAACAUUGUCCUUGUGUACAAGGUAGCCAUUUGUUUGUUUAUUGGCAUCGGUAGAAUACAUUGAGCCACUUCAAAUGCAUCUAUGUGAUCAGCAACUAACUCUUUUUGACGUUGAUGAGAAAGUGCCCUCUCAAAUCGUAUUAUGAAAUCCAUCAACGAAUUUCUCUUUGAUAUGUAUUGCUUGAAAAAACCAUGAGAACCUUCCGCUAUUUGGCUGCUUGAUAUUCCAGCGGCAAAAAAUUGUCGUGCGUAGGCUGGAACCCAAGAUUCCCUUAAAUCAAACAUUGAACUUAGCCAUGGAUGGUCAGUCAAACCAGCCUUUGUAACCACAAUAUUCCAUUUUGCAUCAAACUCAUCCUUAUUGUCAGUAUCCCAUAUGACUUUCUGAAAUUCACUCCAAUACUCCUUAUAAGCAGAAUGUGGUAACUUAACAGAGAACUUUGAUGUGAUGUGCCAUAUGCAAAGUCGAUGAAAUGUAGUCGGGAAGGCUAUUGAAAUCACUCUGGUCAUUGCCGCAUCUUGAUCUGUAAUGAUCAUUUUAGGUUCGCCACCUGGCAUGGGUUUCUUAAACUCCUCAAACAUCCAAAUAAACGACUCAGUCGUUUCCUUGCUAAAAAAUGCACAUGCUAAGACAAUUGUCUGACCAUGGUUAUUAACUCCCAACAUUGGUGCAAAUGUCAAGUCGUAUCGAUUCGUGUUGAAUGUGGUAUCGAAUACAACAACAUCUCCAUAAAACCCGUACGCCCGUCUAGAAGUUGCAUCUGCCCAAAAAAAUCGACUAAACUUGUCAUGGCCAUCUCCCUCAAUCUUGAAAUAAAAAGCCUCAUUUUUUUCUGUUCAGCCAUAAAAUACUCGGUCACUAGUUCAACAUCGUGGUUCCUCAGCUUCCCAUUCACACUACAUUCAAGAUUGUAGAUAUCUUUUUUGAUAAAUCUGAUUUUAUCCAUUCCUCCGGAUUGCACCUCGAAAAUACUUACCUUCUGAUGAAUGAGAAUAUUAACUGAACCCAACUGUUUUGUGAGUACUUUUGUAGAAUCUGAAAUACGACGGUGUGAUCUUAAUAAAUGCAUUCUUUCUGAGGGUGUCAUCUUAUGAUUGUGUCCCUCUGCAAAAAGAGAGAUGGUAUACUUCUUGCUCCCAUUUGCCUUCACAACUACAAUCUUAGCUUUGCAAUUGCAUCUACUUAUUCCCCGUUGUCUUUUUCUCUCUCAAGUUUCAUCUCUCAUGUAUGCACCUUGUUUGCAACAUACAAAUUCUUUCCUCAAAAUCUCUUUCUUAUUUUUCCCCCAAAAGCUGGAAUGAAGUCGAAUACCAAAGCCAGCCAAGAAUGCAUAUCUAUUAUAGAAAUUGUAAACGAGGUCAAGCGAGUCGAACUUCAUCCCAACUGCUGGUGUUUCCUCAUUUCUUACUUCAGGAAUAUAAACCCUCCCAUUAGCUGUUACACAGUCAUCACUCUCUGAGCCCCCAGACAUUUUAUCUACAUAUAUUAUUGAUCCACUUCUAUAUUACUGCAUAGCAAAUAUUAAUUCAUUAAUCAGUCAUUACUGCAUCACAACAUAUCAAUGCAUUCCACUUACACAAAACAUUGCCCAAAUUGACACAAAACACACAUAGCCUAACUUGUUGGAUUCCGAUUACACAAAACGCAAGCAAAAUUUAAUAAUAGUUACGUCAUCUCUUGUGAAAUAAUCUGGAAAAAAUAACAUUAGAACCAACAUGUUCAACUAAGAACACAAAUGUAAUUCAAACCACCAAUUACAGAACUUCACCCAAUAUCCUCUCCAAAUGCUUACUCCUAAUGUCAUUAAGCCUAAAUUUAGGAUCUUUUACCUACAUUUCAUAAUUUUCCACCCCCACCAAAAACAAUCAACUAAGUAUAUUGAAUAUUCAUAAAGAAAGGACACAUUAUUGACUCCACCAAUGACGCAUUAUUGAUGCCACAAAUGACGAAUUUCCCACCCUCACAAAAAAUAAACCAAAGCCAAUAAAAUCAAUCCAGCAAGUGAACUUACCUCUCAAAAUCAAUCGGGAGCUCCGAAGUCAGUCAGCUUGAGAGAAUGUGGUGGACAUUAGAGAAGACUCUUUGGUAUUUGAGACUCCAUCUCUACCAAAAUUGAGGAACAACUGCUGCUGCGGCAUCUAGCUACAAAAAGAGAUAUGCUACUUUACUUUCAUCUGGAAUCUUGUCUGCUGAAUGAAAAAGAGAAGGGGUUUUCACUUGAGCCAUAAAAUCAAAACAGGGCAACAGCUAGGUAAGAGCCAUUAAUCGCAAUACCGAGGAUACCAUAGAUCGCAGGCCUCCCAAGAAGCUGAUGACAAUGGAGUGACUAUAGGGUUUGGGAGCUUUGGAUCCUUCUAAUUGUGGGUUUUCUUUACAUUCAAAAAGAGAGGAUUAUGUUCUUGAGUUUUUCACAAAGAGGGAAAGAGGGAAAGAUGAGACUGAAGUUGGGUUUCUAACGGGUUAGAUUUCAACCCGAUUCUACAUGCACCCUUUUUAAAAACUCACCGUUGGAUGAAAUCCAACGGCUCUUACAUACCCCUCAAAAACACCCCUUAUAACUUUCCACUCACUAUAGAAGCUCCCAAAAGAAAACAGAUUUGCCAAAAAUCAAAUUUUAAGUCUCUCCUACGAUCGAAAUUUGGAUUUGAUGAACUAAAGUGGUUUUACUUUCUCCAUCAGUGUUUGAUGACUUAAUUUGUUAUUUACUUUUUUUAAAAAAACUUUAUCUUAUAUAUAUUAGUUUUCUUUUUUCCUUCAUAUUCACCACCUUUAUGUUGCUUAAGUAUUUCAGUCUUAACGGGUUUCCAUCUACCACUCAUCUUUGCUCUUCUCAGUGUAAGCCUUUUUUUUAAGCAUAAGAUUAGAGGGGAGGGGGGGGAGGGGGAUUUCUUAAUGUAAGCUUUGCAGUUUCAUAAUUAAUAUUUCCAAUAUCUCACUGUUAGUAAAAUACAAAACAUGAAAAGUAUGAAUAAAAUACGCACAUGUUACUAAUUUAUUGAGAUAAAAUACCAUUUUGCCCCUAGAAUAUUUUAUUAGGUUUAAAGUUGACUUUUUGACCAGGAAGGAAUUUGGGUAUUUCGACUAUAUCGUUGCAUAGAGCACGACGAGGUGAUUCCAUAGACACGUGGUAGGCUCGAAUCGGAGUUGUAAUGAGAGACAUACGAUCAAAAUACCUUCAGUGGCAUAAUCGUAAUUUUGGCUUAAAGGGUUUGAUAAAAUAUGAUUUUUCUUUCUUUCUCUCUCUCUCUCUCCCCGCCCAGUCUCUCUCUCGUGACGGCAGUGAUAGCCGGCCACAUUUUGGCCAGCCGUGCUCUCGUCCGGCCACCAAAGCUGAUGGGGCCGGUACCAAAAUGAUCAGGCCACCAUCCUUUUCCAACCUCAGCCAGGCCCCGCCGCCAGCAGUCGUGGUUUUGCCGGAAAAUGGAGAAGAAGCGGCCGGUUUUGUUCGAACUUCUCCGACUUCGUUCUCCCUCCUCUGGCCACCGAUUCCGAUGAAUGAGGUAUGGUUUCUCACCUACUUUUCAUGCUCUAGCUGCCUGUUGGGUAGGAUUCGAUCAAUCCCUAGUGUAGGUGGCUUGAUUUUCGAAUUGGGUUUCAGCCGAUUUUGGGAUCUCGAUUCCAGCCCCUUUCGAUCAGUUUUUAGGGUAGGUCCCAGAACAAAAGUGGUUCCAAAUAGGGUGUUAUACCUAGGUAGGAACCUUGAGCCGUGAUUUUGAGAAUUUUCUACGAUGCCUAAUCGCUUUGGACACCCACGCGCUACCGGCACGUGGGCACUGUAGAAAAAGGGCAUUGUGUCCCGAUGCGAUCCCCUUGUUGUCUUGAGUGCAUAGGUGUGCUCGGAUUUCAAUUGAAUACCGUUUGAGUCUCGAACGAAUAUCACAUAUUGUGCGUUAUCCGGAGUCGAUAGGUUUGAACCGUUGGAUAGUCUUAGAUUUAUAAUAUGUUAAUCUAGAUAUUCUUAGGAUCAAAAAGGAUUUGACGGAUCGUAAAAUGGAGUCCCGGAUACUCCGAAAAUGCCAACCCUAGGGCUAGGUUCCUAGUAACCGUCCGAUCGUGCAAUCAUGAGCAAUCCGACAGUCCGAUCCGGACCAAACUUGCAGGACGUGUAUCCUAAACCUUGUAGAACCCAUAGGAACUUUCAGAUUAGAAUUUGGAGGUCGUGGGCCCCUUGGGCCCGUUUGACUAAGUUUGGGUAGUUUGACCAUUGGCUGAUCGUGAGUCUUCAAAGGUAGUUUUACCUUCCUAGGAGGAUUAUAAAGACCCUAGUGACAGGUCUUGAGCGUUGUUGAGCUAUGUUGACUAGGUUUAGACUUUUAGAGUGUUUAUUAUUAUCGUAGGAAACUCUUGGAUAUUAUUUUAAUAAUUGAAAUUAUGAAAUUUAUGUUUAUGUGCAUGAUCGUUGGUCUAAAAAUAGCAUUAUUUUCCUGAUAAAAUUACGUUGCAGUAUACUAUAGAAUGGUAUCACUAAAUGGGGAUUACCUCUAUUAUUAGUUUAGAUAAUUAUGAGUAUGUCAGUUUGAAGUGCUAUACGCACUACCCUAAGUACCACCCUGUGAUUGUUAGGUCCCAUGUGGUGUAGGUUAUCCAGUGUAAGGACAGACCCCAUACGUGGCUUCAGAUGUUCUGAAGUAUUGGGGAGAUUAUGUGAUGGUUUUGUCACACGUGGCGUAGGUUAUCCGGCGUGUUGACAGACCAUAUACAUGGAGUUGGAUGUUCCGGCAUAUGGAGAGAUUUUGUGAUUGUUAGGUCCCACGUGGCGUAGGUUAUUCGGCGCGAGGACAAACCCUAUAUGUGGCUUUAGAAGUUCCGGCGUAUGAGGGAGAUUAUGUGAUGGUUAGGUCACACGUGGCGUAGGUUAUCCGGCGUGUUGACAAACCUCAUACGUGGUGUUGGAUGUUCCAGCGUAUGAGGAGAUUUUGUGAUUGUUAGGUCCCACGUGGCGUGGGUUAUCCGGCGUAAGGACAGACCCCAUACGUGGCUUUGGAUGUUCCGGCGUAUGGGGGAGAUCAUGUGAUGGUUAGGUCACACAUGGUGUAGGUUAUCCGGCGUGCUGACAGACCCCAUACGUGGCGUUGGAUGUAACGACCCGGUCCUAAAUAAAUUAGUAAAUAUUAAUUUAUUCAAAGAAAAUACCAUUUUGCCCAUAGAAUAUCUUAUUAGGUUUAAAGUUGAUUUUGUGAUCGGAAAGGAAUUUCAGAAUUUCGACUAUACCGUUGCGUAGAGCACGACGAGAUGAGUCCGUAGACACAUAGUGGGCUCGAAUCGGAGUUGUAACAAGAGAGAUACGAUCAAAAUACCCUCAGUGGCAUAACCGUAAUUUUGGCGAAAAGGGUUGAUAAAAUCAUAUUUCUCUCUCUCGGCCGGAAAUCCCAGUUGACAAAAUCCCGGCCGGAAACCUUGAAUUUCAGCCACAGCUUCGACUGGUUUGAACAGGGUUUUUCCCGGCUUUGCCCCAUCGCCUCCGCCGCCCAAUUCUGGUGAAACAGGUAUGGUUCCUCACCUAUUUUCCGAGAUCUAGCUGCUGUUGUGUAGGAAUUGGACAAUUUUCGUGUUUAGGAACUCGAUUUAGAAUUUUGGUUUUGCCCGAAUUUUCAAAGUGAAAUUUCGGCCACUUCUGCUAGUUUUUGGGGUAUGUCCAAGAACAAAAGUGGUUCCAAAUAGGGUGUUAUACCUAGAGUAGGAACCUUGAGCCAUGAUUUUGAGAAUUUUCGGCGAUGCGUAAUCGCUUUGGAAGCGCGUGGGCACUGUUGAAAAGGGGCAUUGUGUCCCGAUGAGAUUCCCCUGUUGUCUUUAGCGCGUAGGUGUGCUCGGAUUUCAAUUUGGAUACCGUUUGUGUCUUGAACGGAUAUCACAUAGUGUGCGUUAUCCGGGUUCGAUAGGUUUGAACCGUUGGAUAGUUUUGAAUUUGAUAUAUGUUAAUCUAGGCAUUUCUAAGAUCGUGUAGGAAUUCACGGAUCUUGAAUCGGAGCCCUGGAUGUUCCGAUUUAAUAACUUAAAGUUUAUGUUUAUAAUAACCGUCAGAUCGUGCAAUUGUGAGCGAUCCGACCGCCCGAUCCAGACCAAACUUGUUGGACGUAUAUCCUAAACCUUGUGGAACCUAUAGAAAUUUUCGGAUUAGAAUUUGGAGGUCGUGUGCCCCAUGGGCCCGUUUUACCAAGUAUGGGUAGUUUGACCCUUAGUUGACCAUGAGUCUUCCGAGGUAGUUUUACCUUCCUAGGAGGAUUAUAAUGACCCUAGUGACAGGUCUUAACCGUUGUUGAGCUAUGUUGACUAGGUUGAGACUUCUAGAGUGUUUAUUAUUAUUGUAGGAAAUUCUUAGAUAUUAUUUUAAUAAUUGAAAUUAUGAAAUUUAUGUUUAUGUGCAUGAUCGUUGGUCUAAAAAUAAUAUUAUUUUCCUGAUUAAAUUACGUUACAGUCUACUAUAGACUGGUAUCACUGAAGUGGGAAUACCUCUAUUAUUAGUUUAGAUAAUUGAGAGUAUGUCAGUUUGAAAUGCUAUACGCACUACCCUAAGUACCACCCUAUGAUUGUCAGGUCACCCGUAGCGUAGGAUUUUCUGGCGAGAUGACAUACCCCAAUUGUGGCGUUGGAAUUUCCGGCGUAUGGAGAGAUUAUAUGAUUGUCAGGUUACGCGUGGCGUAAGAGUUUUCGGCAUUAUGACAGACCUCAUACGUUGCGUUGGAAUUUCCGGCGUAUAAGGAGAUUAUUUGAUUGUCAAGUCACCCGUGGCGUAGGAUUUUUCGGCGGGAUGACAGACCUCAUACGUGGUGUUGGAAUUUUUGGCGUAUGGGGAGAUGAUAUGAUUGUUACGUCACAUGUGGCGUAAGUUAUUCGACGUGCUGACAGACCCCAUAGGUGGCGUUGAAAUUUCCGGCAUAUGGGGAGAUGAUAUGAUUGUUAGGUCACACGUGGCGUAAGUUAUCCGGCGUGCUGACAGACCCCAUACGUGGCGUUGGAAUUUCCGGCGUAUGAGGAGAUUAUGUGAUUGACAGGGAGAUGAAUAAAGGUAUUGUAUGUGUUUGGAAUGGGGAUUUAGUAGGAAGAACUACGUGUGGCUUGAUCCCUCAGUGAGGGUAUGUAGGUAGCCUAAGGUUAUUAGGUGCAGCCGCGGACAUAGAUGUGAUUGUGUUAGGAGGUUAAAACCUCGUAUGUUGGAAUUGGAAAAGUUAGAUGAUGUAUGUUGUAUUUAGUAUUCAUAAUUCAUAUUUGAGUUUAUUAUUUGCCUUGCUGAAAGCAAUAUGUGACUCAAGAGCUUUGUGGGUAGUUUGGGAUAUUAAAUGUGUUUUAUGCAGGUUGAAAAAUUUGGGGAAUGAUCAAUUUACAGGGGAGACUUUGCCGAAAUUUCGACAGAAAGUCCCGGUCUUUAGUAAGUGGGCCCGGCAUCGGGGUGAUGUCGAGAAUUCCAUAGGAUUCGUAUCGGGUUUCGGGAAAUCUGGGGCUAGUCUUGUCAUUGGAUGUUCCGGCGUAUGGGGAGAUUUUGUGAUUGUUAGGUCCCACGUGACGUAGGUUAUACGACGUGAGGACAGACCCCAUACGUGGCUUUGGAUGUUCCGGUGUUUGGGGAGAUUAUGUGAUUACUAGUGAGAUGAAUAAAGGAUUGUUUAUAUUGGGAAAAAUGUGUUUGUAGAAAGAAUUACGUGUGGCUUGAUCCCUCAGUAAGGGUACGUAGGCAGCCUAGGGUAGUGGUUAGGUGCAGCCGCUGACUAAACGUUAUAAUGUUGUUUUUAGGUUUGAUUAUAUGGUAUUAUGGGCCGAGGCCCCUGGGACUAUUGGUUAUAAUUCAUAGAUGGUAGUUGAUGCAUGCUAGAAAUUUGUAGGAAGUUAUUUCAUGUGGAUUGCAGUGGUACUCGUAAAAUUUAUUUGAGUUCCUGAAUUGCAUUGUUAGUAUAUUAAUUGACUUAAGAGUACUGCUAGUAGUUCUGCCUUGAUUUAUUUGAAGGUUGGAGGCCUUGUCUGUAAACUGUGUGCAAUUACAUUGUGUGUGCUGGCAGUUGGCUUUUUAAAUUGUGAAUUUUGUGCAUGUUGAAAUUUGGGAAAUGUUCAAUUUACAAGGGAGACUCUGUCAAAAUUUCGAUAGAAAGUCUUGUGCCCUUAUUCCUUUUUCGGAAAAAGGAUAUAUAGCUUUAGAAGUGGGCCCGACAUCGGGAUGAUGUCGGGAAUUUCGACAGAAUUCGUCUUAGGUUUCGGAAAAUUCGGGGCGGGUCCGAAAAAGUUGCUUCAGUUUUGGCAAGUAUCGGAAAAGACCAAAAUUUUCCGACUUUAUUAUUACUAGAAACAAAGUCGAAGUAUUCACCAAUCAUGUGGCCUUCCAAGUGCUCAAGGUUAAGCCAGGAACCGUUCCUAUCUGCCGUUUCCUUCCCAACUAUGAUCAUGUUGUCUAGGUUCCAACCCACAAAUCUACAUUGGGCUAUGUAUUUGAAUUUGUACUAAAGCGUGAUCUAUAGUAUGCAUUUAUUAGAUAAGUUUGAGAUGGCAGUGGCUUGGGUGUCCGCCGAGCUUGAACAAGUUUGGGUGUGCUGAGUGUUUCCAUGGGUGCGUUGAUGAUCAUGGUUAUUAGAUUUGUGAUAGUUUGGGCUCAAUUUCAACAGAACUUAUCUCAAGCCUAGUUAGUUGAUUCAUAAGUUUAUCAGGAAAAAAAAAUGAAAAAUGAAAAAUGAAAAAUGAAAAAAUCUUAAGUUAAGCCCAAGGACUUCUCACCAAAGUGUGCAUAAAUUGAAAUAUUUAAUAGAAGCCCAAGAUUUCUGAAGCACAUAAUAUCUACUAAAUUCUACAAAGUGUUAUACUUUACAAACUUCCUAUGUGUACCAAUUUUUACUAAAAUUAAUUUCUCUGCGGUGUUGAGAUUCAUCAUAAUUUUAGUAGAAAUUGGAAGUUUUCAUCAUUUUUGCUUUAAGUCUCUCCUCCACUCACUAAUAAAGAUUACUCAAGUGAGUUUACAAAACAUUUUUUUCUACUCUCUCCUGAAAACUACACUUCUUCUCAAAAGAUUAGAUCACUUCACAUCUUGCAUAUGUGAAAACUAAUGUAAAAAGUUGAAACUUUAUCAUAAAACCUCGACAAAAAUUAGCUCUACUUAAAACGUUAAAUUUGGAUUCGUUGAUUUAAAUGGCAAUUUGACACUUCAUAGAAAUUUUUACAUACAUGUGUUAGUGUUUGAUCACUUCACUUGUUACUUACUAUAUUUAUUCCAUGAUUCUCCCUCAAGUUAGGUAAAUAUUAUUAUCAAACAUUUCAAUUCAUUUGUGAUCUUUCUUGUCCAUCUUUUAAUGUACCCUGAAAUCCAUUAGCCACAUAUGAUGACCAAAAUCCAUACGUUCCUAUUUUUAAUGUAUGUUUACUCCCUAUAAUGUUCCAGUCUAGGGUAAUAACACUGCUAGUUUCAUAUGACAUCCUAUUUCUAAUGUGUAUCUACCCUUGUAAUGUUCCAGUUUAGGGUAAUAACACUGCUAGUUUACUAUCAUGUUGAUUAAUGCUUGUCAUGUUGCUAUUUCUAAUACAUGUCCAACAAAGAAAAGAUGAAGAAAGAACAAACCAGACCAACUCAAAAUAAGUUGAGUCCAAAUAGUUAAUACUAUUAUGUCGUAGAAGUACGUUGUUAAUACUCUGUAAUAGAAGUACAUGGUUAAUACUCUGUCAUAGAAUUACAUUGUUAAACAAAAAUAAGAUCCAUAACUGAAAUAGUAAUAAAAGAUAAGUCGAUCAUCAAAUCUUAAAAUACAUUUCGAAAAUCAACUAAAAUCCGAAGAGAAACACAUAAUUGAAGCAAAAGAUCAAAAAUCUCAAGUCCAAACCAAACAACGACGACGACGACAAUGAUGACGACAAUGACGUGGCGAAGAGGAGUAGAGCUCGAAGAUGAGGAGUAGAGCUAAGAGCAUUUGAUCAAGGUUCGUUUGAGGUCUCGAACAAUCCGAAAAAAAAAAAUCAAUAGAAGCAAGAUUUUAAAACAAGAAUCGAAUGUGAAAUAUUGAAAAUUGUAGAUUAAAGAUGAAGAAUAUAGUUGGACCUGAGACUGAGCUCCAAUGGAAGCUCCUCUUGCUCCAACACCAGAGAAAGCACCAACAAGAAAAGAGAAAAUAAAUAUGAUUUGGAUUUUUGGCAGAUUUGAAUUUUUGGCAGAUCUGGUUUUUUUGGCAAAUUUGAAUUUUUGGCAGAUCUGUGCAGAUUUGUUUUUUUGGCAGAUCUGAUUUUUCUCUCUCAAAUCCAUAUUGCAAGGGCAAUAUAGGUAUUUAACACACACAAAUAAACUAAAAAACAGCUAUUAAAUUGAAAAAUUUGACAGCUAUCAAUUUUGGGUGUGUUUGUAGUUUUUAAAUAGUAUAGGGUUUCUUUAUUAGACUAUGUCUACGAUUGGGUAUAUAAUUAAAUUUCUAUUAUUAAAAAAAAAGGACCCUAGUAAAGCCAUGGGACGAUACUCCUUUUAUAUAUAUUAUAUGAUAUAAAUAUUAUAAUAUAUUAUCUAAUAUUUGGAAUAUUUACUCUAAAAUAAACAAUAUAUUAGGUUCUUUUUGUCUACAAAUUGACCAUUAAACUUCUUAAUCACUCUUAUACUUUUAAUUAAAUCUACUAGGCUAGGUUACGAUAUUUGCACUAAAAACUCCUAAUUGUUUUUUCUUCUCUUUCUCUUGCUCUUUUUUUAACUUAAGCUGAAGUUUUGUAAUUUUUUUUCCCUCCCUUUUUACAUGUAUGAGUAGGGUACUUUAAUAUUGGGAUUUAUGAACUUUUUUUGUAUUUCUUCUCUAUGUUGGAAUAUAAAUUAGAGAUAUUUAGUCAUAUACCCAUUCUUAGCACUAAUAUUAUAAAUAAACCUUACAUCAUUCAAUUCCUAUAAACAAACCCAAAAAAUAAUAGCUGGCCCUAUUGAAUUUAAUUUUGACUAUUAAAUUACUUUGAUGCCCUAUUGAGUGUUUUGGGCUUUUUUUUAUGAGAUUUUGGAGUUGAGUUUGUUUUAAGAAAUCAAUGGCAAUUUUGUAAUUUAAAAAAAAUUAAAAGGCUUUUUGUUAUGUUGUAAAUAGGUUUCGAGUGUGUUUCUAAAGUCCAUUUCAUAUAGGUUUUUUAUAUAUAAUAAUUUGAACUCCUAUAUUGGGUAUAAUAGUGAAUCUCCAUUUAUUAACUUUUGAGUCUUUAAUAGUGUAGAUGAUGAGAUUAAUAUUCAACCAUUUUAUAAUAUGAAAUUAAGGACAAUCAUGAUUGUAAUGAAUGGAUUAUUAAUCAAUAUGAAAUGAUAUUAUGAAGUAGGCUAAAUGGAGUAGUUAGUAUCGUAUUAACUUAUUAACCGGUUAGCGCUUGAGCCCUCUAAUUCAAAUUAUUUUAUAAAAUUUUGUGAAGGGCCCCUUCUAAUGCAAAUUCCUGGCUGCGCCACUGCCUAUAGCAACUUGGUAAUGUGUGUGAAACAUCCCCUCCUUUUGUCGUUUAAACUAUCGGUUCGCUUGUAUUAAUAAAACAAAAAAUAAAAUAAAAGAUAAAAUUAUAAAUAAAACAAAACACAUAUUAAAGCCUAACUGUUAAUAAUGGAUCCAACAUAAGAUCCAGCCCAAGCCCAUGAAUAAAGCCCCCGAAAACGGUUGGUCCCUCAAUUAAAUUAUUCGUUCAAAUGGUCCAUCAACUCUAUAUUAUUCGCUCCAUUGGUCCUACCGUUAUAUUUUGUCAAUAUUUCUGUUAAAUAUGAGGGCAAAUUGGUCAUUAUUUAUCCUAAAAUUAGGUUAAAUCUAACAUAAAAUUAGACGGUAGGAAUUCGGGGCAGGUCAUGUCAAAAAGCUAAUUAGAGGGGCGAAAUUGACAAAUAAAUUUAAUACAAUAGCUAAAUUGGUUGAAAGAUUAAUUCAAGAUGUAGAUUUCAACAAGUGUGAUAAUUCAUGGGGUAUUCGGUAAUUUACUCCUUUUUUUCCCCUUGAUCUUCUAUAUUCAAGUAAUGGAAAUGUGUUCCACAUUUUCCAUUUAGUUGAUUAUAGAAAAGGAAGAGCAAACAUGAGUUAAGCCCAAGGCACCGAACUUAGGGUCAGUUUGGCAUUGUUAUGCUGUGAAAAUAAUCGUUGUCAGAUUUGCUGUGAGAGAAAAUAGUUUGGCGUUUGGUAAAAUUUUUGUUAAAAGUAUUAUUAGUAUUUAUUUUACGCAUAAUCAGAAAAUGAUUGCUGCAUAAUCAUUAAAUCCAGCGCCUUUUCGAAACUGAUUUUUGCAUAAUCAGAAAAUGAAAGCACAUCAUUAGCUGCUUUCCUUUAUAGCUUUCUCUCACAUCAAUUUUUAACAAUAAGUGAUUUUCUCACAGUUUACCAAAUGGAUUGGGCUUCUCAAAAUUUUAAAAAAAUCACUUAUCACCCCAAAUAAGUAAUGCCAAACGGGCACUUAGACUUCUCACCAACGUGAGGAAGAAAAAUAUGACAAAUUGAUAUAUUUAAUACAAGCUCAAACUGUGCACAAAUUAAUAUAUGCAACGGAAGCCCAAGAUUAUUUCUGAAGCACAUAAUUUCCGCAAAAUCUACAAAGUGGUGGGAGGCAGACCAACAAAAAAAAGUAGCGAAGGCUUAUAACUCUGGUAAAACAAGAGUGACUUGGACAGAAUAAUGUUAUGUCGUACUGAAGAUUUUUGGGUUUCUUUAAUUGGUUAAGUUUAUAUACCUUCAUUUGAAGAUUCUUUAUUUGGGUUGCUUUCAAGAUGAAAACCAUAUCCACAACCACAACCACAACUGGCAGACAAUCUUUGGCUGUUCAUCACAAUUGGGCGACAAUGAAGAAGACAGAAAUUGGAGUAAUGUAUGUUACCAGCAAUCCACGAGAAACUGACAUCUGCAAGCUUUCGUAAUAUAAGGAGGAUGGGGAGGCCGUGCAAUACUUAUCACCUUAGCCACCACCUACACCACAAGACCAAUAUGUUGUAGGCCAGGAGGCUUUCCAAUUUUAAUAUAUAUAUAUAUAUAUAUAUAAAAGUAAAGUGACAAAGAAAUUAAUGUAGGGUAAAGGUAGAAUAGAAAAGAGAAUGAACAAAAUUAAUAAAAAAAAGUUUUAAAAAGUAAAAGGGAGUGUAGAUGGAGAAAAGAGGAAUGGGGAAAUUAGCUCCCUAUAUAUAUAUAGAUUGAAAAAUUAAAAUUAAAAUCAAUCUAUUAUCUUAUAUAUUAUAAAAUAAAGAUUAUUGCUCCAAGGAAAUGAGAUCUUUUGUUUUCUGGGAAUUUUCUGAACCAAGAAGAAUCAAGUAAAAUUAAUAAAGCAUAAAUUGGAAAGGGAAAAGAUCCAGAGGAUGCAUUGUAAGAUUGCUGAUGCCAAUAAUUGUACCCUCUAAUUUUAUACAUGGACGGGCAUUCAAAUCGGCAAAUCAGAAAUCCAAGCCAAAUCGCACAGGAAAAAAUCGAGUUGACCAAAUAGUCAACAACCAAUCAAAAACCAUACCGGACCAGUUUGGACCGGUUUUGGAUCCAAUUCUAUGUCUUCAAAAACUGAACCAAGCGGAACCGAACCAGUCAAAUUAAAAAAUAUAUAAUUUCAAUAUAUAUUUAUAUUCAAUGCUAUAUUUUUAGUCUCAUAACUAAUAUUUAUGCAAGUUCAAUUUCAAAACAUCUCUCUUUUCUGGCUUUAAUAUUUAUUUUUAUAUAAAAUUAAAUAAUUUAUUAAUUUUCAAGUCAAAAAAAUAAAAUUUUAGUUGAAAUUUGUAUUAAAAAAUUAUUUGAAAAAAAUUAAUUUUAAUAAUCCAGUUCAAAACCAAAUCGGACCGGAACCUAAUCAAAAUCGGUUCAACCUGAACCGGACAGUUUUUGAAUUUUUUUUGUUAAAACCGAACCAAACCAAACCGGACAAAUAGUAUCGGAUUCGGUUCUAAUUUGAGACAAAAACCAGUCCAAACCGGACCGUGCCCACCCUAUUUUUUUUGUUUUCAAGUCUUAGAUGACAUGUCGACCUAAAAUUAUUGUUCCUAGCGGGCUCUCCACCCCCACUCAACCUAUUGUGUAUUAUUAUUUUCAAUAUUAUCUUAAAUUUAACUACUUAUGUCCAUUAUGAUUAGUCAUGUAUUUUAUGGACCAUCCAGCUGUGAGGCUUUAUCUCAAAAACAUUCAGUACCUUUUUCCCGCUUGCAACAAUUGUAUUUGAUUCAGAAUUAUGUCCUAUAUUGGUGGGUGGAGUGUUACUUCUGGGUACCCCUCAUCAUUCGUCUAUAAAAUGGUGAAGCCAGUUGCUACUGUUACCAUAAGAGCCAUCUCCGACUUUCUUUAAUUUCUUGCUUCAUAUCCACUAGCUACAUCUGUUGCCAAGUUAAUUUCAGUCCUAAUGGGGUUUCAUCUCCCACUCAUCUUUGCUCUUCUCAGUGUAAGCUCUGCAAUUUGAUUAACAUUUCCAUUAUCUCUCAUUGUACUCUAUAUAAACGAAAGUUUUGCAUUCCUAUAAUCCUCUCUGAUUUUAUUUACCACAUAAGUGUCGUCCACUAAUUAAUUACACUUUGUGAUUUGAUUUUAAUUAGAGUUCGAAUUAAUGUUGCAGCUAGCAGCGGUGGCACUGGCAAACCAUGCUGCUCAACCAGCAGCUCAACUUUACUGGAACUCCGUCCUGCCGAACACACAGAUGCCAAGAACUAUCAGUGAACUUCUGCAUCUUGGUUUGUGUUAAUCACUUUAGAAUCUUAGAUAUUUUUUCUACCUGCCAUUUUACUAAAAUUUGUUUGACCACAUAUUUAUCGGUUAACUACUGUUUUCCAAUUUAUUAUUAACCUCUACAUGAGUAAUUAUAGUAUGGUACUAGAGUACGUACGGCAACAUAUUCACAAAUGUCUCACUGAAUCUUCAAUCGGCUGAUCACUUAUUUUCCAUUAUGACGUUGAUAUAUAAUUUGCCGACUCCACAAAUGAAGAAAAGAGCACAAAUAUCAUGAAUGCUGUUGGGAAUGGAAAGCCAACUGACCACAAGGGAAAACCUGAAAUAAACGCAUUGUUUAGCGGAUACACAAUUCAAGUACAGUAUGCAGGAGUUCCUAAUUCUGACAAUCAACUCCAGUAUUAUAAAAACAUAACUAUUUUCUUCUUGGGGAAGGACAUGCGCCUUGGCGCAACAAUGAACUUCCAAUUCCCUAGAAAUUCAAACACGGCUACUUUCCUGCCACGCGAAAGUGCUCAAUCAAUCCCCUUCUCCUCUAACAAACUAUCAGAAAUUUUCAAACAUUUUUCAGUGAAGCCAACAUCUGUGGAAGCCAAAACAAUUAAGAAAACAAUCGAAGAGUGUGAAGCUCCAGGCAUUAAGGGAGGGGAAAGAUAUUGCGCCACAUCUUUAGAAUCAAUGGUUGAUUUUAGCACUUCCAAGCUUAGAACAAGAAACGUUCAAGCAAUCUCGACUGAGGUAUUGGAAAAAGGAACUGCCAUGUCCAUGCACAAGUAUACAACAAUGCCGGGACUGAAGAAGUUGGCAGGUGACAAAGUCGUUGUGUGUCAUAAGGAGAACUAUCCCUAUGCUGUGUUUUUCUGCCAUGCAAUAAAACAAACAGCAGCUUAUGUUCUCUCCCUGAAAGGCGAUGAUGGGGUGAAGGUUAAAGCAGUAACCAUCUGCCAUCUAGACACAUCAGAAUGGAACCCAAAGCAUUUGGCCUUCCAAAUCCUCAAAGUUAAGCCCGGAACCAUUCCCAUCUGCCAUUUCCUUUCCACAGAUGCUAUUGCAUGAACAUCACUUAGCACUGUACGUAUAAUAAGCUUGCACCCCUGUAUAAUUAUCUCCCUACUCUACUUAUUUCUGCCUCUUCUGUUGAGAUUUCAAUCAGAACUUGCACACACAAUGCAUCAGCUCACACAAAACCAGAUGAAUUUAAGAAAACAGAAAAAUGCAGAGAAAGAAUGGAUUGGCUACUCAGUAAUGCUCAAAGGUUCGUUGCUAUGCACAAAACAUGGCAGUGCACAAUACUCUCAUUUCUAACGGAACCAUUCCUUUUUACAAUGCUGAGAAUGUGAUCUCAGCCUUACAAUUGAUCCAGCAAUGUAAGCUGGACACUUGUCUUAAAUCUGAGUCAUAUAAGUUUCAUCCAACCAAAAUAUUACAUCUGUGAAAUAAAACUUAAACCAGCAGGAAUUUAUAAUUCGACAUUCCCUUCUAAAUUGUUGACUGGUUUAACACCAAGUAGACCUCUUAAGUAAUUGAAUCGAUCCUUAGACAAAGCUUUAGUGAAUAUGUCAGCUGCUUGCUCUUCGGACUUGCAGUAUCUUAGAUCCACCACACCUUCUUGCAAAGCAUCUCGAAUGAAAUGGUAUAUGCGGUUAAUGUGUUUGGUCUUUUGAUGGAAAACUGGAUUCCUUGUCAUUGCAAUGGCAGAGGUGUUAUCUACCAUUAAUGGAGUUGCCUCUGUUUGCUAUUCUCCAAAGUCUUCAAGCACAAACUUCAACCAUAUAGCUUGAGUAGUAGCUUCACUUACACUAACAUAUUCAACUUCAGUUGUGGAGAGAGCAACACUGGGUUGCUUGACAGAUGCCCAAGAUGACACGCCACUUCCAAAUGAGAAAGCAUAUCUAGAAGUGCUCUUCAUGUCAUCUUGACUCCCACUCCAGUCACUGUCACAGUAUCCAAUUAAUACAACUUCUUUUCCCUUCUGGUAUUCAAUACCAUAAUCAAUUGUGCCUUUGAUAUACCUCAACACCCUCUUAGUUGUUCCAUAGUGUUUCUUUUAGGACAAUGCAUGAAUCUAGCUAAUAAGCUAGCUGCAAACAUUAUGCCAGGCCUUGUAGCUGUUAAGUACAACAAACUUCCCACAAUCUGCCUAUAUUCAUUCUCAUCUGCUGGAUCACUUCCAUCUGCUUUGCAUAAUUUCUCACUUGCCACCAGAGGAGUGCUAACAGGUUUACAUUGUUUUAAGCCAAACUUGCUUAACAGAGUCAAAGCAUAUUUCUUUUGACUUAUGAAAAUACUCUUUUCAGUUUGAAUCACAGCCAUACCAAGAAAAUGAUACAAAAGACCUAAGUUAGUCAUUUCAUACCUUCUCAUCAUCUUAGACUAAAAAUCUGCAAUCAAUUCUUCACUGCUUCCUGUAUACACUAUAUCAUCAACAUAUAUCGAUACAAUGAGUGUUCUAGAGUUUUCCUUGGUCUUGCAAUACAGAGUUGCUUCACUAGAGCUCCUUGUAUAACCGCAGUCAAUAAGAUACGAGUUUAUUUCCUCAUCCCAUGCUCUUGGCGCCUGUUUUAGACCAUACAGAGCUUUCUUUAGUUUGUACACUUUGUCUUUAGAGUUCUUAAUCACAAAACCAUCUGGCUGGUCCACAUAUACUUCUUCCUUAAGCACACCAUUCAGAAAAGCAGACUUGACAUCCAAUUGAUACAACUUCCACCCCUUUUGAGCUGCCAAUGCAAUAAAAGUUCUAAUGGUGUCUAAUCGGACUCUGCACCCCUCUCGAUUGAAAACCUAUUGUGUAAAUCUUCAAUCCUAAACGAUGCACCUAAAACACAUGUUGCAAUACACAUCCACCCAUUCUCAGGCCAAUUAUUGCUCAUAGUGGGCUCCCGACCCCCUCUCAAAUUUAAGUGGUCCAUUAUUCUUAACCACAUAUUUUAUGGACCAUCCAGCUGUGAGGUUUUGUCUCAAAAACCUUCGGUACAUUUCUCCCACAUGCCACAAUUGUAUAUUCACAAUUACGUCUGAUACAUCACAUCAUGCCACUUGCCUCAAAUGAAUUUAAGUGAGUGAGGCAGUUGGAAGUAAUUAAGCUCUAUAUUGGUGGGUGGAGUGUUACUUCUGGGUACCCCUCAUCAUUUGUCUAUAAAAUGGUGAAGUCAGUUGCUACUGUUACCAUAAGAGCCAGCUCCGACUUUCUUUAAUUUCUUGCUUCAUAUCCACUAGCUACAUCUGUUGCCAAGUUAAUUUCAGUCCUAAUGGGGUUUCAUCCCCCACUCAUCUUUGCUAUUCUCAGUGUAAGCUCUGCAAUUUGAUUAACUUUUCCAUGCUCUCUCAUUGUACUCUAUAUAAACGAAAGUUUUGUGGUCCUAUAAUUCUCUCUCGAUUUUAUUUAGUACGUACUUAAGUGUUGUCCACUAAUUAAUUACACUUUGUGAGAUUUGAUUUUAAUUAGAGUUCGAAUUAAUGUUGCAGCUAGCAGCGGUUGCACAGGCAAACAAUGCUGCUCAACCAGCACCUCAACUUUACUGGAACUCCGUCCUGCCAAACACACAGAUGCCAAGAUCUAUCAGUGAACUUCUGCAUCCUGGUUUGUGUUGAGCUCUUUAGAAUCUUAGAUAUCUCUUCUACCUGCCAUUUUACUUAAAUAUGUUCGACCACAUAUUUAUCAGUUAACUACUGUCAUUACAUGAGUGACACAUAUUCACAAAUCGGCUGAUCACUUAUUUUCCAUUAUGACGUUGAUAUAUAAUUUGCAGACUCCACAAAUGAAGAAAAGAGCACAAAUGACGUUGGCAAACCUGAAACUUUCCCAUUGGGCAAUCAAAAUUACUCCAGUCAAAAAAAUUAUGGAACAGGCAAUAAACGUUACUGCAGUCAAAAAAGGUAUGGAAGAGGCAAGAAACGUUACUGCGAUCAAAAAAAGUAUGGAAGAGGUGCUUCUCCAUCUGACAAUCAACUACUCCAUUAUAAAGACUUAGCUAUUUUCUUCUUGGAGAAGGACAUGCGCCCUGGCACAACAAUGAAGUUCCAAUUCUCUAGAAAUUCAAACACGGCUACUUUCUUGCCACGAGAAAGCGCUCAAUCGAUCCCCUUCUCCUCUAACAAACUACCAGAAAUUUUCAACCAUUUUUCAGUGAAGCCAACAUCUGAGGAAGCCAAAACAAUUAAGCAAACAAUCGAAGAGUGUGAAGCUCCCGGCCUUAAGGGAGAGGAAAUAUAUUGCGCCACAUCUUUAGAAUCAAUGGUUGAUUUUAGCACUUCGAAGCUUGGAACAAGAAACGUUGAAGCAAUCUCGACGGAGGUAUUGGAAAAAGGAGCCACCAUGUCCAUGCACAACUAUACAACAAUGCCGGGACUGAAGAAGUUGGCCAGUGACAAAGUCGUUGUGUGUCAUAAGCAGAACUAUCCCUAUGCUGUGUUUUUCUGCCAUGCAAUAAAACAUACAGCAGCUUAUGUUCUCUUCCUGAAAGGCGAUGAUGGGGAGAAGGUUAAAGCAGUAACCAUCUGUCAUCUAGACACAUCAGAAUGGAACCCAGAGCAUAUGUCCUUCCAAAUCGUCAACGUUAAGCCCGGAACCAUUCCCAUCUGCCAUUUCAUUUCCACUGAUGCUAUUGCCUGGGUUCCGAACCACAAAUCUGCAUGAUCAUCACUUAGCACUGUACGUAUAAUUAUCUCCUUACUUAUUUCUGCCUCUUCAUCAUGUGGUGUAAGAUAUAUGAUGAGAUGAAGUUUUUGGGAUUAGUGGUUGGGUUGCCUGAAAAACACAGAUUACAGAAACUGCUUGAAAUUAACCCGAUCAUGUUUUCUCUUGUAACUAUAUAGACUUCAACUUGUACUCAUAAUAAAGCAUGCUAUAUUUAUGAAGAGAUAUUAAUCUAUAUAUAUUUUUUAUAUAUGCUUUGGCUUUGUGGUUCUACCCAAUGUUUGAGUGUUGAAUUGUUACGUUGGAAUAGGCUGCUAAUGCAUGUAGUUAGAGAAGCCUUCAUUUAUAUCAAAGUCCUCAAACUAUCAAGAACUAAUGUAUCCAGAAACAUAUACCAAGACGCAAAACAACAUAUUUUCCAUGCUCUGUCUGUAACACCAAAGCAAACUUCCUUGAUCACAAAAGGAUCAAAUUCCAGUACUAAUCUAAUCCAUCAUGUAAAGCAUACAAGUGCCUCCCUAAAUACUAUACUCUUUUUGUUAUUUCCUACUAUACUAUUUAAGAUUUAAAAUUCAGGUCAACCCAUAGAUUUCUCGCCUUUUUCUUCUUCAUCUCGUCGGGCUUGUCUUCUUCUUGAGGAUUGUAUAGGCCAAGGAAAUGCUUUGAGUUAGUUUUUGCGCUUUUGCGUUUUGGGCCUUGGAAGUUGGGACCCAAACCAACUUCACAAAAAGAAAACGCUCAGACUAUAAUGAGUGGAAAGUUAUAAGGGGUAAGUUAUAAGGAGUUCACUUUAUAGCCAUCAGAUCAAUCUAAGGGCUGGGGAGAAUUGAGAUAAAGUUUUAAAAUCGGGUAGGUGAGGAACCCAAACCCGAAUUGAAUAUCCAGCACGUCCGAAAAAGAAGAAGAAGAGGCAAGCACGUCCGAAAAAGAAGAAGAAGAGGCAAGGUCGAAGUUUGAACAGAAAAAACUCAUCUCUUUAAAACCCAUAGCUCUGAGAAACGGUUGAAGGCAACGGUUAACGACGGUUGUUGAAGCCACUCCGUUCUCCAGACCCUGAAAAAGUAUUUAUUUUGAGUAGAAGGGGCAAAUGUGUGGAUUCCGAAACAGUGAAGGGGCGAAGCAGUGGAAGGGGAAGGAGAGAAGCCGUAUUCGUUGGAAGUGGUAGGUUCCAUUUGUGGAGCAAAGCAACACAAAGACCCCGCACAGACACCUUGCGAUUGUUCAAUAACCAGCAUUUGGUGAGUAAUUUAUGGAAUUUGAGUUUAGGGUUAGAGUAAUGGUUUUCCCCAAUUUGUACCAUCAAUUUUGUUGGAUUUGGCAUCUCUUCUUUGUGCUUCAGUUGCAUGUUAAUUUUUGCUUGGGUAUAUGUUAAAAAAAGAAUGAAAAUCAAGUCAAUAACAAGUGAAUAACAUGUCAAUAAUGAUAUGAAUAAGAUAAUGGUGUUGAAUUGGAGGAGGCCCUCAAAACAUUCCACAUUUGAAGCAGUGCAUAGUGCAGAUUAUCUCUCUGGCGCUAGAAUAUAUAUAUAUUUUGAAAUAAAUAUGAUUUCCUUUGUUACUAAAUUUGCCUGAGAAACAUGAGAACAGAUAAUAAUAAACUCAUGAAUAGAAGUGCAAAGCAUUUGAUGAGUAAUUUAUGGAAUUUGAGUUUAGGCCCAGGAAAUUCCUUGACCCCAAAAAAAAAAAAAAAGUUGAUUUAAAAUUCAGGUCAACCCAUAGAUUUCUCGCCUUUUUCUUCUUCAUCUCGUCGGGCUUGUCUUCUUCUUGAGGAUUGUAUAGGCCCAGGAAAUGCUUUGAGUUAAUUUUUGCAUUUUUGCGUUUUGGGCCUUGGAAGUUGGGACCCAACCCAACUUCACAAAAAGAAAACAGAUUUGCCAAAAAUCAAAUUUCAAGUCUCUCCUCCGAUCGAAAUUUGGAUUUGAUGAACUAAAGUGGUUUUACUUUCUCCAUCAGUGUUUGAUAACUUAAUUUGUUAUUUACUUUUUUUUUAAAAAACUUUGGCUUAUAUAUAUUAGUUUUCUUUUUUCCUUCAUAUUCACCACCUUUAUGUUGCAUAAGUAUUUCAGUCUUAAUGGGUUUCCAUCUACCACUCAUCUUUGCUCUUCUCAGUGUAAGCCUUUUUUUUUUUUUAAAGCACAAGAUUAGAGGGGAGGGGGAUUUCUCAAUGUAAGCUUUGCAGUUUCAUAAUUAAUAUUUCCAAUAUCUCACUGUUAGUAAAAUACAGAAAAAGUACUAAUAACAUAUGCACAUGUUACUAAUUUAUUGAGAUAAAACACCAUUUUGCCCCUAGAAUAUUUUAUUAGGUUUAAAGUUGACUUUUUGACCAGGAAGGAAUUUGGGUAUUUAGACUAUAUCGUUGCGUAGAGCAUGGCGAGAUGAGUCCGUAGACACAUGAUUGGCUCGAAUCAGAGUUAUAAUGAGAGAGAUACGAUCAAAAUACCCUCAGUGGUAUAACCGUAAUUUUGGCUUAAAGGGUUUGAUAAAAUAUAAUUUUUCUUUCUUUCUUUCUCUCUCUCUCUCUCUCUCUCUCUCUCUCCUCUCUCUCACGACGGCAGUGAUAGCCGGCCACUUUUUGGCCAGCCAUGCUCUCGUCCGGCCACUAAAGUUGACGGGGCCGGUACCAAAAUGACCGGGCCACCAUCCUUUUCCAACCCCAGCCAGGCCCCACUGCCAGCAGUCGUGAUUUUGCUGAAAAAUGGAGAAGAAGCGGCCGAUUUCGUUCGAACUUCUCCGACUUCGUUCUCUCUCCUCCGGCCACCGAUUUCGAUGAAUGAGGUAUGGUUUCUCACCUACUUUUUAUGCUCUAGCUGCCUGUUGGGUAGGAUUCGAUCAAUUCCUUGCGUAGGUAGCUUGAUUUUCGAAUUGGAUUUCGGCCGGUUUUGGGAUCUCGAUUCCGGCCACUUCCGGUCAGUUUUUGGGGUACAUCCCAAAACAAAAGUGGUUCUAAAUAGGGUGUUAUACCUAGGGUAGGAACCUUGAACCGUAAUUUUGAGAAUUUUCGGUGAUGCCUAAUCGCUUUGGACACCUACGCUAUGCCUGCGUGUGGGCACUAUAGAAAAAGGGCAUUGUGUCCCGAUGCAAUCCCCUUGUUGUCUUGAGCGCGUAGGUGUGCUCGGAUUUCAAUUUGGAUACCGUUUGAAUCUCGAACGAAUAUCGCAUAUUGUGCGUUAUUCGGGGUCGAUAGGUUUGAACUGUUGGAUAGUCUUAGAUUUAUAAUAUGUUAAUCUAGACAUUCUUAGGAUCGAAUGGGAUUAAACGGAUCGUAAAACGGAGUCCCGGAUACUCCAAAAAUGCCAACCCUAGGGCUAGGUUCCUAGUAACCGUCCGAUCGUGCGAUCGUGAGCGAUCCGACCGUUUGAUCCGAACCAAACUUGCAGGACGUGUAUCCUAAACCUUGUAGAACCCAUAGGAACUUUCGGAUUAGAAUUUGGAGGUCGUGGGCCCCUUGGGCCGUUUGACUAAGUUUGGGUAGUUUGACCCUUGGCUGAUCGUGAGUCUUCAGAGGUCUUGAGCGUUGUUGAGCUAUGUUGACUAGGUUUAGACUUUUAGAGUGUUUAUUAUUAUCAUAGGAAACUAUUAGAUAUUAUUUUAAUAAUUGAAAUUAUCAAAUUUAUGUUUAUGUGCAUGAUUGUUGGUCUAAAAAUAACAUUGUUUUCUUGAUAAAAUUACGUUGCAGUCUACUAUAGACUGGUAUCACUAAAUGGAGAUUACCUCUAUUAUUAGUUUAGAUAAUUAAGAGUAUGUCAGUUUGAAGUGCUAUAUGCACUACCCUAAGUACCACCCUGUGAUUGUUAGGUCCCAUGUGGUGUAGAUUAUACAGCGUCAGGACAGACCCCAUACGUGGCUUUGGAUGUUCUGGCGCAUGGGGGAGAUUAUGUAAUGGUUAGGUCAUACGUGGCGUAGGUUAUUCAGCGUGUUGACAGACCCUAUACGUGGCGUUGGAUGUUCCAGUAUGGAAAGAUUUUGUGAUUGUUAGGUCCCACGUGGCGUAGAUUAUCCGGCGUGAGGACAAACCCCAUUCGUGGCUUUGGAUGUUCCUGCGUAUGGGGGAGAUUAUGUGAUGGUUAGGUCACACGUGGCGUAGGUUAUUCGGCGUGUUGGCUAACCCCAUAAGUGCCGUUGGAUGUAACGACCGGUCCUAAAUAAAUUAGUGAAUAUUAAUUUAUUCAGAGAAAAUACCAUUUUGCCCAUAGAGUAUUUUAUUAGGUUCAAAGUUGACUUUUUGAUCAGAAAGGAAUUUGAGAAUUUCGAUUAUACCGUUGCAUAGAGCACGGCGAGAUGAGUCCGUAGACACGUGGUAUGCUCGAAUCGAAGUUGUAACGAGAGAGAUACGAUCAAAAUACCCUCAGUGGCAUAACCGUAAUUUUGGCAAAAAGGGUCGAUAAAAUCAUAUAUAUAUAUUUUCUCUCUCUCUCUCUCUCUCUCUCUCUCUCUCUCUGCGAUAUUGUCCCUCUCUCUCUUUGAUUCACUGCCAUCUGCCCACGGCAGGACUUGAGACUGGUCACGUUUGAACCGGCUCGAUGUCCCGAUCACGUCGCACCCAAAAUGCAAAUGGAAACCUUGAAUUCCAGCCACGGCUUCGACUGGUUUGAACUGGGUUUUUCCCGGCGUUGCGCCACCGCCUCCGCCGCCCAAUUCCGGUGAAACAGGUAUAAUUCCUCACCUAUUUUUCGAGAUCCAGCUGUUGUUGUGUAGGAAUUAGACGAUUUUCAUGUUUAGGAACUCGAUUUAGAAUUUAGGUUUUGGUCGAAUUUUCAAAGUGAAAUUUCGGCCACUUCCGCUGGUUUUUCGGGGUAUGUCUAAGAACAAAAGUGGUUCCAAAUAGGGUGUUAUACCUAGGGUAGGAACCUUGAGCUGUGAUUUUGAGAAUUUCCGGCGAUGCGUAUUCGCUUUGGACACCCACGCGCCGACAGCGCGUGGGCACUGUAGAAAAGGGGCAUUGUGUCUCAAUGCGAUCUGCUUGUUGUCUUGAGCUCGUAGGUAUGCUCGAAUUUCAAUUUGGAUACUGUUUGAGUCUCGAACGGAUAUCGCAUAGUGUACGUUAUCCGGGUUUGAUAGGUUUGAACCAUUGGAUAGUUUUGAAUUUGAUAUAUGUUAAUCUAGGCAUUUCUAGGAUCAUGUAGGAAUUCAGGGAUCAUGAAUCAGAGCCCCGGAUGUUCCGAUUUAAUAACUUAAAGUUUAUGUUUAUAAUAACUAUCAGAUCGUGCGAUCGUGAGCGAUCCGACUGUCUGAUCUGGACCAAACUUGCAGCACGUAUAUCCUAAACCUUGUGGAACAUAAAAAAAUUUCGGAUUAGAAUUUGGAGGUCGUGGGCCCCGUGGGCCCAUUUAACCAAUUAUGGGUAGUUUGAUCCUUGGUUGACCGUGAGUCUUCCGAGAUAGUUUUACCUUCCUAGGAGGAUUAUAAUGACCCUAGUGAUAGGUCUUGACCGUUGUUCAGCUAUGUUGACUAGGUUGAGACUUCUAGAGUGUUUAUUAUAUUAUUGUAGGAAACUCUUAGAUAUUAUUUUAAUAAUUGAAAUUAUGAAAUUUAUGUUUAUGUGCAUGAUCGUUGGUCUAAAAAUAAUAUUAUUUUCCUGAUAAAAUUACGUUGCAGUCUACUAUAGACUAGUAUCACUAAAGUGGGAAUACCUCUAUUAUUAGUUGAGAUAAUUGGGAGUAUGUCAGUUUGAAAUGUUAUACCCUAAGUACUACUCUAUGAUUGUCAGGUCACCCGUGGCGUAGGAUUUUCCGGUGAGAUGACAGACCCCAUACGUGGCGUUGGAAUUUCCAACGUAUGGAGAGAUUAUAUGAUUGUUAGGUUUCACGUGGCGUAGGAUUUUUCAGCGGGAUGACAAACCCCAUACGUGGCAUUGGAAGUUUCAGCGUAUGGGGAGAUGAUAUGAUUGUUAAGUCACACGUGGCGUAGGUUAUUUGGAGUGCUGACAGACCCCAUACGUGGCGUUGAAAUUUCUGGCGUAUGGAGAGAUGAUAUGAUUGUUAGGUCACUUUGGAUGUUCUAGCGUAUUGGGAGAUUAUGUGAUUACCAGUGAGAUGAAUAAAGGAUUGUUAUGUUAUAUUGGGAAAAACAUGUUUGUAGAAAGAAUUACGUGUGGCUUGAUCCCUCAGUAAGGGUACGUAGGCAGCCUAGGGUAGUGCCUUGGUGCAGUCGCUGACUAAACAUUAUAAUGUUGUUUUUAGGUUUGAUUAUAUGGUAUUAUGGGGCAAGGCCCCUAGGACUAUUGGUGAUAAUUCAUAGAUGGUAGUGGAUGCAUGCUAGAAAUUUGUAGGAAGUUAUUUCAUGUGGAUUGCAGUGGUACUCGUAAAAUUUAUUUGAGUUCCUUAAUUGCAUUGUUAAUAUAUUAAUUUACUUAAGAGUACUGCUAGUAGUUCUGCCUUGAUUUAUUUGAAGGCUGGAGGCCUUGUCUGGAAACUGUGUGCAAUUAGAUUGUGUGUGCUGGCAGUUGACUUUUUAAAUUGUGAAUUUUGUGCAGGUUGAAAUUUGGGAAAUGUUCAAUUUACAGGGGAGACUCUGCUGAAAUUUCGGUAGAAAGUCUUGUGCCCUUAUUCCUUUUUGGGGAAAAGGAUAUAGUUUUAGAAGUGGCGAUGUCGGGAAUUUCCACAGGAUUCGUCUCGGGUUUCGGGAAAUUCGGGGCGGGUCUGAAAAAGUUGUUUCAGUUUUGGCAAGUAUCGGAAAAGACCAAAAUUUUCCGACUUUAUUAUUACUAGAAACAAGGUCGAAGUAUUUACCAAUCAUGUGGCCUUCCAAGUGCUCUAGGUUAAGCCAGGAACCGUUCCUAUCUGCCGUUUCCUUCCCAACUAUGAUCAUGUUGUCUGGGUUCCAACCCACAAAUCUACAUUGGGCUACGUAUUUGAAUUUGUACUAAAGCGUGAUCUAUAGUAUGCAUAUAUUGGAUAAGUUUGAGAUCAGUGGCUUGGGUGUCCGCUGAGCUUGAACAAGUUUGGGUGUGCUGAGUGUUUCCAUGGGUGUGUUGAUGAUCAUGGUUAUUAGAUUUGUGAUAGUUUGGGCUCAAUUUCAACAGAACUCAUCUCAAGCCUAGAUAGUUGAUUCUUAAGUUUAUCAGGAAAAAAAAUUAAAAAUUAAAAAAUCUAAAGUUAAGCCCAAGGCGCCGAACUUGGACUUCUCACCAAACUGUGCAUAAAUUGAAAUAUUUAAUAGAAGCCCAAGAUUUUUGAAGCACAUAAUAUCUACAAAAAUCUACAAAGUGUAAUACUUUACAAACUUCUUAUGUGUACCAAUUUCUGCUCAAAUUAAUUUCUCUGUGGUGCUGAGAUUCAUCAUAAUUUUAGUAGAAAUUGGAAGUUUUCAUCAUUUUUGCUUUAAGUCUCUCCUCCACUCACUAAUAAAGAUUACUCAAGUGAGUUUACAAAACAUUUUUUUUCUACUCUCUCCUGAAGACUACACAUCUUCUCAAAAGAUUAGAUCACUUCACAUCUUGUAUAUGUGAAAACUAAUGCAAAAAGUUGAAACUUUAUCAUAAAACCUCGACAAAAAUUAGCUCUACUUAGAACAUUAAAUUUGGAUUCGUUGAUUUAAAUGGCAAUUUGACACUUCAUAGAAAUUUUUACAUACAUGUGUUAGUGUUUGAUCACUUCACUUAUUACUUACUAUAUUUAUUCCAUGAUUCUCCCUCAAGUUAUGUAAAUAUUAUUAUCAAACAUUUCAAUUCAUUUGUGAUAUUUCUUGUCCAUCUUUCAAUGUACCCUGAAAUCCAUUAGCCACAUAUGAUGACCAAAAUCCACACUCUGUUGUUUGCAAACGUUCAAUAUACGACUUGCAUCCACAGUCCUGACCCAAAUGAAAUGCGGAAACUGUCAAGCUAACUGUAGGGAGGACUAUAUUUGAUUUUACCUUAAAGACUGAUCCGAAACCACCUUCUCCAAGUUUAUUGUUGUUUGAAUAGUUUUUGGUUGCACAAACAACAGCGGCCAAGUCAAAUAAUGGCAAUUCCAGAUCUUCCUUUUGGCCGGGCUUCAGUUCUCCUGUGAAGUACGUAGUGAAGUAAAUAAUGUAGCAUGGAACCUUAGCUUAGAAACCAGAGAGGCAACAGCAAAAAUUUUCUAUAGAACUGAACCUACCUAUCUUAGAAAAUGAAGGGGCAGAAGAGUAGAAAAUCAAAUAGCUUACCAUAUUUUUGUUGCUGGUUCUUCCUCACAUAUAAUAGCAGGGUAAGGCCCAGGGUCAGCAGUCCAGUAGACAACACAGUACUGGUUACUAUGAUCUUUGUAUUGUGUCCUUGAUCUAGGAAUGAAGUAUUUGAAAGCAGAAGAUUGAGGAGUCAGAAAUUCAUAAAGAAAAAAUCUCUACUUUUUAUCAUCCAACGAACAAUUAAUGCUAGUUUCUGAGACAGUUCUAAAGAAAUAUUUUUCUAACAAUGUCAAAAGUUUUCUGGCUCUAUCUUGUUUCUAAUCAUGUCACUGUUGGAAGAUUUCUUUCUUCUUUUUUCCUUGGUGGCUUUUAUUUUUCUUUCAAACUUUGUUUUAAACAGCAAGAUGAUUCCAUACCUAGUUCUGACGAAGCCAUUCUUAUGUAAAUAUCUUGCCCAUUUAUAUUGGAAUAUCUUAUAUCAACCAGAUCGCUGAACCACAGCAAGGACCCCCUUCCUCCAUCUCGGAUAUCCAAAUUUGAAAAAGCGGCGCAGGAGCAGUUGUUCAUGCACAUCAUCUCACAUUCCUUGAGGUUCAUAAUUGUGUUAUACUAGGAUUGUUCUGUACUUUAUUUCACCCCAGUGUACUUCUUAAAGAUGUCUCCACUGCAAUUCAGUUGGCUCUUUCUCACAGAUCUAUAUGACCAAUCCACCAAGUCCCAGUCUUGUUGAAAGUCGGUAUAAAUCCUUUCAAGCAGCUACGUACUGGGGACUUGUCAAUACAACAUGCACCAUUCGGACCACAUAUUCCAUAUUUGUCGCAGAUAUCAGUCGUUGCUCUUAGAUAAACAACCCAACCUUGGUUUCCAUCACUCCCGAUGUAGCUCAGCCCAAAUCCAUCUUGAGUUAACGCCAGCCUGAAAAGAGUUGAGCUGUUGAGAAGCUUAUAACCAUAAUAUACUUCAUCAUCAUUAUCCAACACAAAAUCAUAUGUUGGAUUUAAAUUAUGCAUCCCACUAAAUUGGAUUCCAUUCCAUGGUGCAGUCCGAUAUUUUAUAACAGAACCCUCCCUCAGAAUUAAUUCAUGGUACCCAUAAGGACCAAGUUGAUAUGGGUAAUGUCCUUGAGAAGGAUCCUGGGGGCUUUUCCAGGGUGUAAGAUGCCAAUUAAAACCUGUGAUUUUGUUCCUAACAAGCUUCAUACCUGGUAUUAAUGUAUCUCCUGGGUAAUCAAAACUCUGCCAUAAAAUAUUAUCAGAGUCAUUACGACCAUUGCCAUCUAUCACAACAAGAUUUCCGGAAUCCAAAAUCUGUGCCACUGGAUUCUAUGAAGAACUUGAUGUGUUGGAAGACCUGUAGUGUUCUUUGUUGAAUAUUUGGAUUGCAAAGGGAGCAAGAAAUGUACUGAGAGAGAAAGAGAGAGAGAGAGAGAGAGAGAGAGAGAGAGAGAGAGCAGUGAGCCUUAGAUUGUUCUAACAGUUUUCUUACUCUGCAUGAACAUAGCAGCAGAGCUUAUAUUCCUUCAUGACUGUUACAUGUUCUCUCUUACAUCAGUAGAUUCAAAUCUAACGGUUUGUAAUAGUAAGCCAAUGUGAGUAUGACACAUGGCAAUACACAGCUGUCCUAACAGCUGGGAAUUCAAAACAGACUCUAGCAUUGCACCUGGCAUAUAAGCACAAGGCACUCAGCUAACACAAAGAUUAAAAACAGAUUGAAUAUAAACUGACAUAGAACUUACUAACUAAUCUGAAAUUAGCUAGACAGUUUACAUUUUAACACUCCCUUCUAAAGUGCUAGCUGAUUUCACUCCAAGCAUUCUCCUCAAAUAGUCAAACCUGUCUUUGGGAAGAGCUUUGGUGAAGAUAUCAGCAAUCUGCUCUUCUCCUUUGCAGUAGAGCAGUUCAAUCACUUCUUCUUGUAUUGCAUCUCUAAUAAAAUGAAACUUCCUUUUAAUAUGCUUGCUCCGUUGAUGAAAAACAGGAUUUUUAGCCAUUGCUAUGGCUGAAGUGUUGUCACAAAACACAGUUGUUGCAGUGGUCUGUUCUUCCCCAAAAUCUUCAAGAACAAACCUGAGCCAAAUGGCUUGUGAUGUAGCUUCUGCUGCACUCACAUACUCUGCCUCUGCAGUAGAGAGAGCCACACUGUGUUGUUUGACUGAUGCCCAUGAAAAAGCACCACUUCCAAAUGAAAAUGCAUAUCCAGAAGUGCUUUUCAUAUCUUCCUCAGAUCCACUCCAGUCACUGUCACAGUAACCAACUAAGAGUGCAGAUUUUCCUGUCACAUACUCAAUUCCAUAGUCAAUUGUGCCUUGUAUGUACCUUAGAACCCUUUUAGCUGCCCCAUAGUGCAUCUUAGAAGGGUUAUGCAUGAAUCUUGCAAGCAGGCAGGCAGAGAACAUGAUAUCUGGCCUGGUUGCAGUAAGGUACAGCAGGCUGCCUACAAUUUUUCUGAACAAACUUUCAUCUGCAGCAUCACUUCCAUCCUCUCUUUUCAAUUUAUCAGUAGCCACUAAUGGAGUGCUUACUGACUUGCAGUCUUUGAGUCCAAACUUAUCCAAGAGAGUGAGAGCAUACUUCUUUUGAUGAAUGAAGAUGCUCCCUUCAGUUUGUGUUACUCCCAUACCAAGAAAAUGGUGGAGUAAACCCAAAUCAGACAUCUCAUACUUGCACAUCAUUUCAGCUUUGAAUUCUUUCAUCAUUUCAUCUCUACUUCCUGUGUACACUACGUCAUCUACAUAGAUUGACACUAUUAGUGUUCCCACCUUCCUUUGUUCUCACAUAGAGAGUGGCUUCACUUGGACUUCUGUGAAAACCACACUGAUUCGAGUAGGUGUCAAUUUCACUAUACCAGGCCCUUGGAGCCUGCUUCAACCCAUAGAGGGCUUUUCUUAACCUAUACACCUUAUCCUCAUCAUCUUUAACCACAAAACCAUCCGGUUGAUCAAUAUAAACUUCUUCUUCAAGGACACCAUUUAGGAAGGCUGACUUGACAUCCAAUUGCCAUAGUUUCCAGCCUUUCUGAGCAGCAAGAGCUAUGAGAGUUCUAAUGGUGUCUAACCUUGCUACAGGAGCAAAGGUUUCAUUGAAAUCAAUCCCUGGUUUUUGUGUGUAUCCCUUGGCAACAAGUCUUGCUUUAUGUUUUUGAAUGGAGCCAUCAAGAUUAAGCUUAAUUUUGAAUAUCCACUUCACUCCCACAAUUGGUUUACUACUUGGCCUGUCAACCAAUUCCCAACUGGAGUUUUUCUCUAUCAUAAGUAUCUCCUCAGUCAUAGCCUUCCCCCAAGCUUCAUCUUUGACUGCUUCUUCAAAAUUUUCAGGUUCAAUGAUGCUCAUCUUGCAUUGAGCAUACACUUCACUCAAACUCUUCCAUUUCUUUGGGGUGUUAUCAUAAGUUUCUAAUGGAGCAGAGUCUUGAGUAGCAUGCACAUCAUUACUUGUUUGUGUUUCCAUAGGAGACUGUACAAUCUGUUGCUGUAACAGAUUUGGUUAUGAAUCCAAAUCUGAUACAAUUGAACUUACUCCAUCACCCCAAGACAUAGGGAUUUGCAAUGCCUCAUUGGUUUCCCAAUUCCACAUUGCUUCUUCAUCAAAAAUAACACUCCUAGACAGCUCAAUCUUUUGAGUUCUCAAGUUGAGCACUCUAUACCCCUUUUCACAUACACCAUAUCUUACAAAUACUCCCUUCUCACCUGUGUCUUCCAGCUUGUGCCUUUUCUGUGUGGGGAUGUGAAUAUAGCAUAGAGAACCAAAUAUUCUCAAAUGCUUGACACCUGGUUUUCUUCCACCGAACUUUUCAAAUGGAGUGGAAUUGUCCAGUGCACUUGUAGGACAUCUGUUCUGCAAAUAUACAGCUGUAUUGACAGCUUCUGCCCAAAACUUCAAAGGGAUUUUCUUCUCAUACAUCAUGGCUCUUGCCAUUUCCAUCACAGUACGAUUCUUUCUCUCUGUAACUCCAUUCUGUUGUGGAGAGUAGCCUACUGNNNNNNNNNNNNNNNNNNNNNNNNNNNNNNNNNNNNNNNNNNNNNNNNNNNNNNNNNNNNNNNNNNNNNNNNNNNNNNNNNNNNNNNNNNNNNNNNNNNNNNNNNNNNNNNNNNNNNNNNNNNNNNNNNNNNNNNNNNNNNNNNNNNNNNNNNNNNNNNNNNNNNNNNNNNNNNNNNNNNNNNNNNNGGUGUGGUCAUCAAUGAAGGUGAGGAAAUAUCUGUUCCCUCCAAGAGUGAUGGUCUGCAUUGGACCACAAAUGUCUGAGUGAAUCAGUUCUAGAGGUUGAGUGGCUCUCCAAGCUCCUUCCUUAUCAAAAGAGCUUCUGUGAUUCUUGCUUUCAGCACAACCUGAGCAGACCUUCUCAUGUUCUUGUAAAUUAGGCAUUCCCUGAACCAUAUCUCUCUCUUGUAACAACUUCAAACUAAUAUAGUUUAGGUGCCCAAAUCUUCUGUGCCACAGCCAGGAUGUUUCUCCAACUGUUGCUCUGUUUGCCAUAGGAGGAUUAACAUAGUCAAGAUUUAAAGGAAAACAUUUGUUUCCCUUCAUUGGCACUCUUGCAAUGCAAUCUUCCAACUGCCUAUCUCCAUAGAUAUCAACUGCAUUAUCACCAAAUACAAGCCAAUGCCCAUGUUCUAUCAUUUGACCUACACUUAGCAAAUUUUCAUCUAAACUUGGUACAAUCAUGAUUUCUUUGAUAUAUCUAGUCACACCCUUCAUUUCUAUAGCCAAAGUCCCUUUGCCUAUUAACUGCACUAGAUCACCAGUCCCCAUUUUGACUUUACUCUUCAUACUUUUAUCAACAUUUACAAGUAAUGACUCAUGGGAAGUCAUGUGAUUGCUGCAUGCACUAUCAACAUACCACAUAUUCACAUUCUUUCCAAUUGUUGCAGCAUGACAUGCAUAGAACAUAAUGGCAGGUUCAGUUACCUGAUUUGCAAUGUUAGCAAGUUUCCCUGCCUUGUUUGCUUGGUCACAGUCCUUAACAAAAUGACCAAAUCGAUUGCAGCCAUGACACUUUGGUUUUCCUUUAAACCAACACUCACCAUAGUGUAACUUCUCACAAUGUUUGCAUUUUCCAGAUUUGUCUCCUUGACUUGGUUUUCCCCCUUGAUUGGCACUGUUUUGGGGUUUAGAAUCCCAUUUCUUAUCCUUGGACUUCCAAUUCUUCUUUGAUUUAUUAGAGCCAGAACUAGAACUUGAUUGAGAUCCUUUUGAGUUUAUGCUCAUGCUGCUGAAAGCUUUCUCAGUGGUGCUUUCUGCAUGUCUGUCAAGGCGCUGAGCAAAACCUCUUAAUGCUGCAAUUACCUCCUGCACUUCAAUGGUUUCAAUGUCUCUAGUUUGCUCAAUCACAUAGCAGACUGGAUCAAAUUCCUUGGUUAAGCUUAUUAGCAGUUUUUGAACUAUCCUCCCUUUGGUCAGAUCUUCCCCAUAUCCCUUCAUCUGAUUUACAAGCUCAAGUAACCGAGUGAUGUAUCCAGACAAGAUCUCAUCAUCCUUCAUCCUGGUGUACUCAAAAUCUCGACGCAGACCCUGCAACAUGAUGGAUCUGACUUGCUUAUCACCAUGAAACUCCUGAUGCAAGAUAUCCCAAACACCUUUUGAGGUUUCUUCAUUUGAGAUUCUGGGAAAGAUGUCAUCUGAAACAGCACCUUGGAUAAUACCAAGAGCCUUAGCAUCUUUCAUCAACAAGGACACCAUCUCUGAAUCUGAUGACCCUUCUUUAUCAGCUUUUGAAUCUGGAACUUGAAGGCCUUUCUCAACCAAAUUCCAGAUUCCAUGAGAUUUGAAAAUUGUUCUCAUUCGAAUCUUCCAAAACUCAUAGUUCUCCCCAUUGAAUAUUGGAGCUCUAAGAUCACUCCCUCCUGACCCAGCCAUCUGAGACCAGACUCAAUGAGUUGAGAGUAGGAAAUUUCCCGUUGGAUUUCCAGACUCAGCUCCCACAGCUUCAACGCCCUCUAUCCAGAUCCAACCUGCGCACCUGAUACCAUGUUGAAUAUUUGGAUUGCAAAGGGAGCAAGAAAUGUACUGAGAGAGAGAGAGAGAGAGAGAGAGAGAGAGAGAGAGCAGUGAGCCUUAGAUUGUUCUAACAGUUUUCUUACUCUGCAUGAACAUAGCAGCAGAGCUUAUAUUCCUUCAUGACUGUUACAUGUUCUCUCUUACAUCAGUAGAUUCAAAUCUAACGGUUUGUAAUAGUAAGCCAAUGUGAGUAUGACACAUGGCAAUACACAGCUGUCCUAACAGCUGGGAAUUCAAAACAGACUCUAGCAUUGCACCUGGCAUAUAAGCACAAGGCACUCAGCUAACACAAAGAUUAAAAACAGAUUGAAUAUAAACUGACAUAGAACUUACUAACUAAUCUGAAAUUAGCUAGACAGUUCACAUUUUAACAUUCUUAUGGUCGGCAGGGACAAGAAUUCCAGGGCUGCUCAACUUGAAUACACCUGAUGAACCAGUGAGGGGUGUGUUUCUUUUAGUCUGCACUAUAUAUGCAGGGUCUGACUCUAAUUAGAAGAUAAUUGUAUUAAUUUGGUAAAGCUUUGUCUGUAACUGUCUCGCACCUUAAAAAAAUUUCACAAUUAGCAGCAUUGGCAAUACUUGAUUAGAAAGCAGAAACCCUACAGUAUAUAGUUAAGUUGAGUAGCUGGGAAGACAAUUAGUAAGCUUUCAAUACUAAAGUUGAAUAUUGGGGAGACAAAUUACUAGAGCUUCAAGUUCAGAUAAAUAGGAUGAAUUUCUCUUAAGGGAUCCCCUUUCACUGUAGCUUGGAGUAGAAUUCAUUUUGACACAAUAUCAAUUAUCAAUGUAAACACGUUACUGAUGCACUAUUGACAAUAUCGAUGCACGUCAUAUCAUAUUUGUGGGAGUAAAUUUCCUCACGAGAAUAUUUGGUUCAAAAGAUUCCCCUUUUUUUUUUUUUUGCCGCCUCUUUCUCCUUGCAAAAUAGAACAAAUAAGAGGACCACACCCGGGGGGUGUUGGCCAAAGGCCCUCCGAUGCUAAAUUAGUUCAAGUAUUUGUAAGAAAAAUACUAGCUAACUAGGGUACAGAGGUGUAUUUAAGGUGUAAACCGGGCAGCCGAAGUCUUAUGUAAAAGAGAGAGAGAAAGGAGGUGGCUAGCGUUUGAGAGGAAUUUUCUGCAGAGUUUUUAGUAGAGAUUUCAGACGUACCUCAACCAUUGUGUGUGGCCAUCUUUUUAUAGUGGUCUUGGAGGCUAGGGUUUCAGAGGAAUAAUUCCGUAGAUGGAAAGGAAUUAUUCCUCCCCUAUUUGGAAUUGAUUUGAUUAAUUAGGGAUUUGAUUUAUUAGGGUAAAUCAAAUCCCUAAUUGUGGUAGGUAUCAAAUCAAAUCCUUUUUUAAUUAGGUAACUCCUCAUUUAAUUGGGAAUUGUGGUAGGAAUCAAAUCAAUUCUCAACCUAAUUAGGUAACGUUCAAUUUAAUUGGGUAAUUCCCAAUUAAAUUGAGUAACUCCCAAUUAGGUUGAUUAAUUCCCAAUUAGAUCAAAUAAUCCCCUAAUUGAAGGAAUUAUUUGACCUAGGGUCUGAUUUAAUUCGAUUCCCACAAAUGCCCCCCAGCUUCUGCAUGGUGCAUGGUGGCACGUAGGAGAUGUAAAUUAUCUGUUGGGCUGUCCAGCUGUAACUGGGCUUCCUUCGUGGACCUGGGCUCCCGAGUAGAGGAGGUGUUUGACUUGCCAAUUUUAUGAACACCCAAUUGGAAAGGGUUUGAGAUUCCUUGUAGGUCAAGGAAUUUUGCUCCUUAUAAAUGUAGGGCUCCUCCAAAUUAUUCUCGACAUCAGAAAUCUACUCCUCCAAAUUUGUUAGUGAGAGAGAGAAGACUUUGGAGAAUUUUUCAGCGUGCUUGAGACUUCAUCUUUGCAGCCCAUCCAAGGUAAUUUGAUAGGAAGAAUUUUAUUUUGAGUUGCUAUGACUUUUGGCAGCAAGCUGUGAGACUAAGGGCAUGUCUUGAGGUGCGCGCUAGGGCUUUAGGCAUGGCAAGAGACUCGGAAAGGCUAGCAGGUUCGUUUCCACCUACGCUGGGCUCAAGGAGAAGGCAACAGGGCUUCAGGCCUUGUGGAUGAAGUGGGCUUUCGCUGGGAGCAAGAGGCCUGGAGCUGAGGCAAGGAGACAAUGGGCCUGGUACGAGGUGUGGGCUGAGCAUGCCAGCUUUGGAGCAAGGGGGCCAGGACGACUGCUGGGCAGGAGGUGCGCUGGGCUGCAUGCGCGAGCUGCGCCGAGUGCUGGCUGGAGGAGCGAGCUGGGCUGCGCGCUAGGCCAUUCAUGCUGGGCUACUUCCGUUUUUUUUUUGUUUUUUUUUAAAUUUUAUUUGCUGUUGCUGCUUUUUUUUUUGUUUUUUUGUUUUUUUUUUGUUUGGUAUUCUAACUCGUAAUUUUUUUUUUCUUCUUACAGCUACUUGUUGAUCAACCAUGUCUUCCGGAGAUGGUAGCAAGGCUCCAAGCUCUUAGGUCCUUUUGUAUUUAUGGGGAGGCUCCAUAGUGCAUGGCAAGAAGUUUGUGGUCAACUUGCAUCGCGUCACGACUUAUGCUCAGUUCCAGAAGUGGCGGGCCACUUAUGCGUCUGCCAUUCCAGAUGACGUGCUGGUCAAGCUAUUGAAAUCUCAAACUGAUAACGAGCCUUUGGUGGACGUGAGUGAUCAUGAUGCUAGGAUCAUUACCUUCCGUCCUUUUUACUUCUCUUUAGGCUUCAAAUUCCCGUUGUCAAAGCUCUUCAAGAAGGUGUUCUGUGCCAUGGGGUGUGCUCCGAGCCACUGUACUCAUGUGCUUCAAGAAUUUGAGUCGUUUCUUCAUGUUGGAGCUGACGAUGCGAGAGUUCUUUUAUUUUUUUCGAAGUGAGGCACUUUGAGCGGUACGCCCAAGUUCGUAUCUACAAGGCCAAGCUGUUCCACGGUCUCAGUCAAGGAGAUCACGCUUGACAUGAAGAUGUGUUGGAGGUCAGCAGACGGUGGGAGGGUGACGUCGGUGACGGCCCACCUGUUCCCAUCACCUAUUGUGAUGGUAUGUCUCUUUACGAUUUUUGAUAUGCUCCUUUUAUUUGAAUUUCUUGAAGUGUGGCAGACUAACUUCUAUCUUCUGCUCGUAGUGAGUGACAUUAGCAAGCAAUUGGAGCUCCGACCAGACAUGGCUAAGGUCCGUCGUGCUUUGAACAUCCCUCUAAGGUUUCACGAGUGGCGCUGGCUGUUGAGUGAGUACCGGGAGGAAGACGGUGGUUUUCUCCUUGCCGAGGAUGUCGAAAGGUGGAAGCAGAACGAUCCUGACCCUGAUGAUCUGCUUGGCAGACAGGAAGAAUGUUCUGCUUAAUCGCUCUUAAAGAGAAAGGCUGCUGCCAAAUCUUUGAGAUGUGAAGCUACUUCUUCGCAUGCAAAGGAUGGGUCUCCAUCGAGGAAGAAACCAAGGCUCCCUUCUGCUGAGAAGACUCAAGUGGGGUCUGCUCCCUCAUCAUCUGCCAGGGUUAAGCAUCUCGUGGGUGCAGAUAGCAAGAAGGUUGGUGGUAUGCAUGGUACUCGGGGUGUUCUGCCCAAGCUUCCUGCUGACACGCUCGAAAACCAUGAUAUACUUCGUGAAGUGGCUCGUGCCCAACCUAGUUCUGCCAAGCGUCAAAGAGAUGUAGACAUUCCUCCUAGAAGUUCGAGUUGUCUGCAUCGGUCAAAAGAUGGAGACCGAAGCGGGAGGUCUGCUUAUGAUCCAGCAUUAUUGACUCAUUUGGAGAUGAGGUUGGCGAAGGCUAAGAAGGUGAAAGAGUCAUCUGCCCGGGUUAAGGGUUCUUCCUCGGCGUUGGUAGUUGGUCCCAAGAUGAACAAGUCUAGCUCUGUAGGGGAUGCAUGCGUAUCUGAUCUGCUCAAGAUGAACUUCCUAUCAAACCCGUCCUCUUGUGUUGAGUUGGUUGAUCACAUCCCUCAAGCGGGCGAUCUAGGCACUUUCUCGUGCCUUUCCUUAGAAAAAUGAAGGAAAAUGACAUUCCAUCUGAUUCAAAAAGGACUGGUUUUUGCUACUGAGACUAUUUGGAACUCAUCUGCUAUUGCCCCUCUUCUGUCCAACUCAGCGAGUUGGAGAAGAAGAAUGCUGAUUGGCUAGACAGCUUUCCGCCGAGCAGGCCCGUUACGAGAAGAAGAUGUCUGAUUUGAGGGCGAUGAUAUCUGAGCUGAAAAGCUCCCUUACCGAGAAGGAUUUCGAGCUCAACUCUUCUGCUGCUGAUUUGGCUAGUCGAAAAGAUACCUUCUUUCGUCUUGAGCAUAAGAAUGCUGACAUCUUCCUUAGCUAUAACAAACUCCUGGCUAGAUUUCAUGCCUACCAUAAGUCUGCUAAAGAAUCCAAGACAGAUGGAGCUGCUGAAGGCGUAGCCGGUCAGGUGGAUGCCGAAGAGGCUGCAGCUUAAAAGUCUUCUGCUGGCGUCUCAGAGUAGAUGAAGACUCUUUUUUGUUUCUUUUCAGCUUUUGUAGUUUGCUUUAUUGUUUAGAAUAACUGGUCUUAUUUGACCAUCUUCUUUUUGUUGAACUUGGCUGGUUGGUCUGUUUGUUAGGGAAAUUUCAGUUACAUUUUCCAACUUCAAUUUGCAUAUUUGACUUGUGAACUGCUUAAGUAACCAGCCUGUGUUUUGAUUGCACAUCCCCCUUUAGAGAUUUGUGAGUACCAGGGUCCCCCUUGGAGGACUCCGGCCAUGCACAGUAUAUCUCGUAGGAUGGUUCCCCUUAGGAAGUUGGCGAGUACCAGGGUCCUCUUUGAGAGACUCCGGGUGUGUUCUGCACAUCCCGUAUGAUGCCUUAAUCGUCGCCUUGCUUCUCCCGUAGGACGCUGCUUAUAGGCAACUAUAUGACUAUCCUGCCUUUCUUAGGAAACGGAUAGGAACCUGGAUAUUUCCCGCAUGAAGCAUGGAGACCUCCUUUUAAGAAAUUUUUGGUGCACCAUGCUUCUCCCUUAGGACGCUUUUUUCGCAGGCUGGGUCUCCAAAUGGACGCUUUUAGUCGUUGCCCUGCGUCUCCCUUAGGACGCUCCUUAUGGGCAACUGUGUGACUAUCCUGCCUCCCUUAGGAAAUGGAUAAGACUUGAAUAUUUCCCGCAGUAAGCAUGGCGACCCCCUUUUAAGAAACUCCUGGCGUACCCUGCAUCUCCCUUAGGAUGCUUUUUAAGAGGGCUGCUUCUCCAAACGGACGCUUUUAGUCGUUGCCUAUGUCUCCCCUAGGAUGCUCCUUAUGGGCAACUGUGUGACUAUCCUGCCUCCCUUAGGAAACAGAUAGGAAACUAGAUAUCUCCCUUAGGAAAUUCCUAGCGCACCUUGCGUCUCCCGAAGGACGCUUUUUUAGCUGGCUACGUCCCGAAACGGACACUUUUAGUCGUCGCCCUGCGUCUCCCUUAGAAUGCGCCUUAUAGGCAACUGUGUGACUAUCCUGCCUCCCUUAGGAAACGGAUAGGAACCUGGAUAUCUCUCUUAGGAAAUUCCUGGGGCACCUUGCGUCUCCCGAAGGACGCUGCUUAUGGGAAAAUAUUGUGUUUCGUGGGCAGAUGAGACAUUUUGGAAUGAGAAACUGAACUUAUAUUGAUAUUCAUAAGAUUACAGUCCUUUAUUUGAAAAUGGAAAUAACUUGGUUCAAAAACUUAGAACUUCUAGCAGCUACGAGGAAGCACUAUGGAUAAUACUUUCGGAGAUGGUGAGCAUUCCAUUGUCGUGGUAUUUCCUUCCUAUCCAUGGUGUCCAGUGUGUUGCUUCCUCUGCCCCGGACCUGCUGAUCACAUAAACGCCCUCCCAGUUAGGAUUCACUUUUUUUGACCCGUGUCUUGGUGCAGUAAUGAAAGCCUUAGCACGAGGUCGCCUGGUUGAAACUGUUUGACCUUAGCUCUUUUGUCGUAGUAAGACUUCAACUGCUAGUGAUAGGAGGCGACCCGAAUAAUGGUCUUCUCACGCCUGCCCUCAAGUAAGUUGAGGUUGAGCCUCAUCUGCUCGGAGUUCUGAUCAACACUGCCUACCUUAAGACUUAUAGAGAGGACAGUGAUGUGAGGUGGUAUGAUCACUUCUGUUCCAUAGGCGAGAGAGAAUGGGGUUUCACCAGUCGAUCUUCGCUUGGUGGUGUGAUAAACCCAUGGUACUCUGGGGAGUUCAUCCACUCAUUUCCCUUCAGCGCCUUCCAGCCUUUUCUUUAAGCAGUCCAAUAUGACUUUGUUGGAUGCCUUGGCUUGUCCAUUUCCUUGUGGAUACCUCGGGGUGGACAAGUGUUGUUUGAUCUUGUAUUUCACAAAAAAAGCGGUGAUCUGCUUGCCAAUGAACUGUGAGCCAUUGUCGGUAACCAACGACUGUGGGCAGCCAAACCGGCAUAUGAUGUUUCUCCAGAUGAAUCACUCCACAUCGGCUUCUUUAGUAAAUGAUAGAGCUUCGGCCUCGAUUCAUUUAGUAAAGUAGUCGGUGGGGACGAUCAUCAUUUCUUUCUUGGCGGGCGCUAGUGGCAAGGGAUCCACUAGGUCGAUGGCCCAUUGCAUGAACAGCCAUGGACUGUUUUGCGGAUGAUAGACUUCGGCAGGCAAGUUAGGGAUCGGCUUGUAUUGCUGACAGCGUCACAUUUCUUGGCACAUUCAGCACAGUCGUGACGUAUGGUAGGCCAGAAGUAGCCUAUGUUUAGAACUUUCUGGGCGAGUGACCUGCCCCAGAAUGGUUGCCAUACUCGUCGUCGUGAAUUUUACAGAUAAUCUCAAGUGUUUGAUGGUACUUUAUGCAGGUGAGAUGAAGGCCGGAGUAUGAUCUGUGGAUGAGCUUGUUGCCGUGCAUGUAGUAUCUCUCGGCCUUUUGCUGGACUUUUCUAGCUUCGGACUUGUCCGUUGGCAGGUUUCCAUUCGUGAAAUAGUCGAUGAUGAGGUCUUGCUAGCUGGGGUCCUCGUCAAUCUGCAUGGUAUUAAUCGGCUCUAUUUCUUCAAUGCUUGGUCGGUCAAGGUGUUCGACCUAGAUGGAGUGUUUGAACUGGGUAUCCAGCGUUGAACCUUGGCUUGCCAGUGCGUCUGCAUGCGCGUUCUUUGCCCGGGACACUUGUUGGAUAGUGAAGGUAGGAAAUGCCUUCAACAGCUCUUGGACUCUAUCAAGGUAUAAGAUCAUCCUUGGGUGCUUUGCCAUAUAUUCACCUGAGGCUUGAUUCGUGAUCAACUGUGAGUUUGAGUAGAUGGCUAGCUUUUUGAUUGCGAGCUCCUUUGCCAAGCGUAAGUCGGCGAGUAAUGCCUCGUAUUCUACCUCGUUGUUCGAGACCGAGAAGCCAAGCGUAAUAGCUUGCUCUAACAGGGUUCUAUCCAGGGUGGUGAUAACGACCCCUGCUCCAGCUCCUUUUUGGUUCGACGCUCCGUCUACACGCAACUGCCACAUGUCUCUGGGAUGGCUUGGUUCUGCGGAGGUCCUGUCUGCUUUUGAACUUCCCUCCUUUUGGUUGACUAACUUCUCUUUUUUGGCUGAUGGGGUGAAUUCUGCGACGAAGUAUGCUAAAGCCUGGGCUUUUAUUGCAGUUUUUGGCCCGUAGAGGAGGUCAUAUUGGCUUAGCUCUAUAGCCCACUUCAUGAGUCGCUGAGAAGCAUCAGGGCUGUGGAGGAUUGAUCUCAAAAGAAAGUCAGUCAUGACUAUGACUCGAUGAGCUUAGUAGUAGGGUCGCAGCUUUCUCGCAGAAACUACAAGAGCCAAAAUAAGUUUCUCCAAUUUCGGGUAACGAGUCUCUGCAUCGAGGAGAGCUUUUGACGUGUAGAAUACCGGAUAUUGGGCCCCUAUCUCUUCUCGGAUGAGAGCUGAACUGACAGCUGAGUUGGACUUACCUCACUAGGGACUGGAUUUGAGAGCAUGGAAGGUGAGGUGAGGUAAGUCUUCAGAUUAUGGAAAGCUACUUUGCAGUCCUCAUCCCAUUUCUCUCUUUGUCCUUUCUUCAAAGCUUUGAAGAGUGGUCUGCACUUGUCGGUUGAUCUCGAGAGGAAUCGGUUGAGAACCGCUGCUUUGUCCGUCAGACUUUAUAUCUCUUUCACCGUGGAAGGCGACUUCAUCUCUAGAAUGGCUUUGAUUUGACGUGGAUGUGCCUCGACACCUCGUUGCGUGGCUAGGUAUCCCAAGAAUCGGCCGGAGGAUACACCAAACAGGCAUUUACUUGGAUUCAACUUCAUGCGAUACUGGCGGAGCAAGCUGAAUGAUUGGGUAAGACUUCCGAUGUGAUCUGCACGUUUUGGGGCUUUGACCAGCAUGUCAUCCACGUAGACCUUCAUAGUUUUGCCGAUCUGCUUAUUGAAGAUUUUAUUCCCGAGCCUUUGAUAGGUUGCUUUGGCGUUCUUCAGCCCAAAGGGCAUGACCUUAUAGCAGCAGGUCCCUCUCUCGAUGAUGAAAAAAGUUUUUGCCUUGUCAUCCUCGUGCAUCAGGAUUUGUUUAUAGCUGGACUAGGCGUCCAUGAAGCUAAGCAGUUGAUUGCCAGAAGUGGAAUCCACGAGUUGGUCGAUUCUCGGCAAUGAGAAGUUGUCUUUAGGGCAUGCUUUGUUGAGGUCUGUGUAAUCGACACAAACUCUCCAUUUGCCAUUUUCUUGUUUUGCCACCAAAACAACGUUGGCAAGCCACUCUGAGUAGGAGGCCUCUUCGAUGAAGCCGACAGCUAGGAGUUUGUCAAUCUCGGCCUCGAUGAUAGCAAGUCGCUGGGGUGCGAAGUUGCGUCUCUUCUGCGCCACUGGCUUGCAGGCAGGGUUGAAGUGGAGUCAGUGACAGAUGAUGUUCUUGUCGAUGCCAGACUUGUCUGACGGCAACCAUGCGAACAUGUCUCUGUUGCUCUGGAGGAAGGUGGUAAGCUCCACAUUCUCUUCUGGCCUUAGGCGCGAACCGAUCCACUCUUUCCUAUCUGGUUGGUCAGGAUCCAAGGGUAUUAACUCGACGUCCUCCUUGGGUUUCCAUCCUUCUUCAGGAAAGACCUAUGGACGGAUUUCCUCGACUUGGUCCUGACGCUUUAAUUGCUAUAAGAUAGCAAGAUCCAGUUGCUCAACCUCCUCCAGAUCUGCCUGGCUCACAGGGAGAAACUGCGCUUGUUUACCUUUCUUUAGCCCUUGGGCGGAGCAUUUCCUCGCCAUUGCCUAAUCGUUGUUGAUUUGGCCGACACCGCCCCCAAGGAUUGGGUACCGAAUUUUCUAAUGUGUGGCGGAGGUGAUUGCAUUAAUUUUGCCAAUCGAUGGUCUGCCCAGAAUGCCGUUGUAGGGUAAGACCUUAUUAAUGACCAUGAAGGUUAUGAGCUGAUUAUAAGUGGGGAGUAGACGUCGAGGUCUAUCAUGCCCACGGUAACCGUUGUUGCACCAUUAAAAUCGCUCAGCAACCUAGCUAAUUUGUAAAUCUUUGUCUCCAAUCCCAUCUGUUGAAUGACCUCCAGUUGCAGGAUAUUGGCUGCGCUGCCCUCGUCUGUGUGGAUUCAGUCUACCAUGACCUGAGCAAUUUGAAUGCUGAUGACAAGGGCUUCGUUAUGUGGCAUGUAGAGGCCGAUCAGAUCUUUCUUUUGGAAGCCGAUUACAGGAUCGUCUUCUGCUGGUGGAAGGUCGGUCGAGAUUUGGGAGAUCACAGUGGUCUGUUUGAUCUUCCUCUUUUUUUCCUUUCUGGUCAGCCCAGACUCCUCGGAGUCAGCUAGGAUUGUGUUAAUUCUUAUGACCUUCUGAGGCGGCUCCUUGGCGAUGUCACGAUCUUCUAUCCGCUGGAUGACCUUCUUUGCAAUGAAUUCUGUGCAGUGACCUUCUCUCACGAGUUCUUCAAGAUGUGCUUUCCAAGCGAAGCAGUUGUUCAUAGUGUGUCCGUGCAUUUCAUGGACGGCACAGUAUUUGCUAGUAUUCCUUUUGUCCGGAUCUUCUUUCAAGGGUGGUGGUCUUCUUACCCAAGGUUGUUCUUCACUUGGGCUAAGAUUUGAUGUAUGGAGAUGGUGAACUUGGUGUAGUUCUCUCCUGCCGUAGCAUCCCCUUAUGGGUGCGACCUGCGCUUGUCCUUGUCCCUGUUGCUAAAUCCGUCGCUUCUUUGGCCUGCCCCCUUAGUCGGCUGAUCUUCCUGCUUAGUAGAGUUCUUUGCGGCGAUUCGAUCGUCAUCCCAAAGCGCAUAGCUUUCCGCGGUCUCGUAGACCUCUGCCAAAGUUUGGCUGGGAGUGAUGGUCAGCUCGUGGUACAAGUCGUGCUCAGUCGAAAGGUCUUUCUUGAAAGCAGAGGACGCAAUUUGGUCAUCACAUCCUACAAUGUUGGCCUUUUCUACUUUGAAUCUCUUGAUGUAAUCUCUAAAGGAUUCGUCGAACUUCUUGCGCAGGUUAUACAGGUGGUCAGGGUUCUUCUUGAUUGUUCGGUAAGAGGUGUAUUCUUUGGUGAAUAAGUAAGUCAGCUCCUUGAAGCUGCUGAUCGACCUGGAUGGCAGAGUAUGGAACGAGUCUUGGGCUUCCUCACAAGGUCAUUGCAAACACCUUGCACAUCAGCGCGUCGUCAACCUUGUGGAGGAUCAUGACACUUUUGAAGUGUUUUAGAUGGCUCUCAGGAUCGGAAUCCCCCUUGAAGUGUGUGAAUGUGGGCGUUGAGAAUCGCUUCAGGAGAGCAGCCUGCUCGAUUUUGGCAGUGAAAGGUGUAGAGUAUGCCUGGUCUACCUCAUUUCGUACAUCUUCGAAAUUUCCACCGGUCUUCAAGUCUCGAAGUUGGUCAUUCACAAGCUUCUCUACGUCUUCCGCACACAUUGCUUGUCGGCCACAUUGGCGACCUUCACGAAUUGUUCGAUGCUGACUGACUUCCUCGUUGAUUUCCGAGGAUCGACCUUCUUGUCUGCAUUGCCUAGGUGGAGUGUUGGUGGAUUGCGCCUACGAAAGAUUCUCUGUGGCUUGUCAAUGAGAAUCGGUUCUUCGAGAGUGAGUAACGAAGUGCCUUUCCUCAUGGUCCUUAUUGUGAGGGUUAUCCAGCUGACCUCCCUGGGGCCUAGCCUUUCCUGAAUGCUUCUCUGCGAGUAGACAGUUGAAUGCUUUUCUUCACGAUCCUCGUUGUGAUGGUUGUUUGGCUGACCUCCUUAGGGUCUUAGCCUUUGAUGUACAUUUCCCUGCCUGCCCAAGUAGGUGCGGACGUCGAGUCGUGGGCCCAGCCUUUCGUGCACGUCGUUCCUUAAACUCAAUCUGCUCUGAGUGUGGCUUGCAGAUGCUUGCGACAUGUCGGCAGGUCGAUCACGUUGUUGUCCCUCGACUUGUCUGCCCACUCUUGCUUGACCUGCUUGGUACUCGUUGAGCUGUCUACCGGCCCGUUCAUCCUUCCUUCUUUCCUCGCCUGGUUGUCCAAGGCCAAGGUUUUGAGCAAAGCUUAUUUGGUUGAGGAGCUGCCUCAUUAGAUUGUUUUGGUCGUCCAUUCUUUAAGCUAGCUGGUCAACUCUCAGAUUAAGGUCUGCUUGAUUUCAUGGAUCAGGAGGAGAGAAGUGUGUGGAGCUCAACUGCACAUAGGCUAGGGUUUCAUUAGAGGUGUAUGCGGGAGCGUGUGUCGAGCGUGGAGGCAAUAGAGGGAAUGCUUGGAGUUGCUCCAAGACCGGCCCUAGGUCGGCGGUGGUAACGAGUCCACCUUGAUGGGAAGUUCCACCAUGUUUGGCGGCAGUGACCGAUGCAGUGGUGAGAGGUGGUGGUGCCACCAUGUCGAUCGCGGGAUCGUUGGUGGAGUGGCUUUGGGCCGUCGCAAAUCUAGCCAUCAUGGCGGCUUUGCCUCUCGUGUUCAUGCUUCCAACCAUGGUUGUUUGGAAGGCUUAGGUGGAUUGGAAAAUUAGAGGAACGGAUUCCUUGAGCACGCAUUGAGUAUAACUCGUGCUCUCAAUGAAAGCACCAAUUUGUGGGAGCAAAUUUCCCCACGAGAAUAUUCGGUUCGAAAGAUUCCCCUUUCUUAUUCGCCGCCUCUUUCUCCUCGCAAAAUAGAACAAAUAAGAGGACCACACCCGAGGGGUGUUGGCCAAAGGCCCUCCGAUGCCUAAAUUAGUUCAAGUAUUUGUAAGAAAAACACUAGCUAACUAGGGUAUGGAGAUGUGUUUAAGGUGUAAACCGGGCGGCCGGAACCUUAUGUAAAAGAGAGAGAGAAAUGAGGUGGCUAGGGUUUGAGAGGAAUUUUCUGCAGAGUUUUUAGUAGAGAUUUCAGACGUACCUCAACCAUUGUGUGUGGCCAUCUUUUUAUAGUGGUCUUGGAGGCUAGAGUUUCAGAGAAAUAAUUUCGUAGAUGGAAAGGAAUUAUUCCUCCCCUAUUUAGAAUUGAUUUGAUUAAUUACGGAUUUGAUUUAUUAGGGUAAAUCAAAUCCCUAAUUGUGGUAAGUAUCAAAUCAAAUCCUUUUUUAAUUAGGUAACUGCUCAUUUAAUUGACAAUUGUGGUAGGAAUCAAAUCAAUUCUCAACCUAAUUGGUAACGUUCAAUUUAAUUGGGUAAUUCCCAAUUAAAUUGAGUAACUCCCAAUUAGGUUGAUUAAUUCACACUUAGAUCAAAUAAUCCCCAAAUGGAAAGAAUUAUUUGACCUAAGGUAUGAUUUAAUUCGAUUCCCACAAUAUUUAGAUGCAUAAUUGAAUGCGAAUAAACAUCACUCUCUCCAGUGUGAAAUGGCGAAAAUUCUCUUCAAUCAAAAGUGGGCUUACUUCAAAUUUAGUUGAAGAAUGAUGGUGUGUCUUGCCUGACAAUUGACAAUUAGGUUUAGGAGCGUUCCUCUAGUAGAAAAAUCUAAAUCAUUUGUGGUCAUCCACUCACUUGGUUAGUCUUCCAGAAUCAAAUACCAAAUCAACCCAAAGGAAGCUGCAAUUUUCUGAAUUGUAUACUUGUUUUAAUUCUUCCUAUCUUUUUCUCUCUUUCAUUUUUUUUGUCUCCCUCAAGUUAAUACUUAAGUGAGUUGCCAAAUGGGGGUAAAAAAGAGAGUAGAAGAGAUGAACCCCACAUUUGACUUUAAUAGACAAAUGCCCAAGAGAAGUACCAGUAAGAGCAUCUCCAAUUGGGAGGUGCUAUCCUAUAAUUUGACACACAUUUCUUUUUUCUUUUUUUUCAAUUCUAACAACAUGUCAUCUAUAUCGCAAUAGGCCGUUGUAGUUAAAUUUUCAAAUAACCAAGUUGCUCUCUAUUUUCCAAAGAAGACUAGAAAACAACUUACCAUCUAUCUGGUGCUGCUUCUUCCAAACAUUAGAAAAAACAGAGCUACACCCAGGAGGAGCCCAGGAGAUGACACAAUACUGCCUACUAUGAUUCUUACUUUCUUCACAUUCAAUGAGACUAUAAAAUAUAACCCAAGUGGUCUAACCCCCCAGGGCGGAAAUUGGGUUUAGCAAGUUUAGCACUGAUUGUUGUAUAGUCUUAAACAGUCCUGAUCUCUUGGACCCCUGUAGUCCAAGAGAUUUAUGGUCACCCACCGUUGGAUGUAAAUUCAACGGUUGACUUGAAUCGGGUAAUAAUAAUUUAUGUCAUAUUGCAUUUAUAUAUAUCAUUUUGAACCAUUGGAUUAAUAUCCAACGGUGGGUGACCACAAUCUCUUGGACUCCUGUGGUCCAAGAGAUCGGGACUGUAGUCUUAAAAUAAGUAGUUUAGCGAGUGCAAACUUCGACUUAAAAAAACUCUCAUGUAUAGCCGCGCGGCUAUACUAUUUACAUAUAAAUAUAUAAAAAAGCACCCCCUAGUCACGUGUCACAAAUAGUAUAGUCGAAAACAGUAGAGCCGCGCGGCUAUACUGUUUUUAAAAUAAAAAAAACCAUAUUCGAUUCUCCUUAUAUUUAAAAGGGGUAUAGCCGCAUGGCGAUACUAAUUUUUUUUUUUCAAAAAAAGGGACCCCAGUACUCCUUUUAUAUAUUAUAAUAUAUUGUCUAAUAUUUGGAAUAUUUACUCUAAAAUAAACAAUAUAUUAGGUUCUUUUUGUCUACAAAUUGACCAUUAAACUUCUUAAUCACUCUUAUACUUUCAAUUAAAUCUACUAGGCUAGGUUAUGAUAUUUUCACUAAAAAACUCCUCCUUUUUUUCUUCUCUUUCUCUUCCUGUUUUGUUUAACUUAAGCUUAAGUUUUGUAAUUUUUUUUCCCGCCCUUUUUACAUGUUUGAGUAGGGUACUUUAAUAUUGGGAUUUAUGAACUUUUUUUGUAUUUCUUCUUUAUAUUGGAAUAUAAAUUAUUAACUUUUGAGUCUUUAAUAGUGUAGAUGAUGAGAUUAUUAUUCAACCAUUUUAUAAUAUGAAAUGAAGGACAAUCAUGAUUGUGAUGAAUGGAUUAUUAAUCAAUAUGAAAUGAUAUUAUGAAGUGGGCUAAAUCGAGUAGUUAGUAUCGUAUUGUUGAGACCCAAAAAAUCCAAGGCUAGGCCCAAAUAUAUUAUGAAGUGGGCUAAAUCGAGUAGUUAGUAUCGUAUUGUUGAGACCCAAAAAAUUCAAGGCUAGGCCCAAAUAUAUUUCCGGUCCAAUGCGAUACCUUACCGAGAAGAAACCUUAUUUGGGCACGCGAAAGUUCGUCAUAUGCUCUUGCACACAUGCCAUGCCAAGCAAAUAAGCAACAUGCCACGCUACAAGCUUAAGUGGGCCCAAGCCACGUGAAUGCCUAGGGCCUGCUGAGUGGGUUGUGGUAUGGAUGGUUAUGAGUAUUCACGAGGCCCAUUGAUGGUCUAAGGAGUGGAAGUUUUGGGCUACUUGGGAGCACCAAAACUCAAGCCCAUUCAUUGAGCCCAAACAUAUGGGUAAGCAUGAGAUAAAACCUAGUAGCCCAUCACCUUAAGAAAUCCUAAUAGCCCAUAACAUGUGAGAAAAUCCCACAUCAACCAAAGCUUCCAGCAGUCUGACGAAAUCAAAGGGAACUCACAAGCCGUUGGAAACAAAACAACCCAACACUGUAACACCCCGACCCCAAAUUUCCCCAAAUUUAACCCUUAUUUAAUUAUUUAAGGGUAUUUUAGUCAUAUUUUUAACCGGAGAGAGUUUGGGGCAAUGACUAGUAUUUUUGGAUAGGUCGUACUGAGACGAGUUUAUGGACACGCAGUGAGCUCGAAUCGGAGUUGUAACGAGAGAGAUAUGGUCAAAAGAAGCCCAGUGGCACAAUCGUAAAUAUUUUGAAAUGAGAUUUUUUAUAAAAAUCUGGUUUUCUCUCUCUCUCUCUCUCUCUCUCUCUCUCUCUCUCUCUCUCUCUCUCUCUCGCUAGCGACCUCUCUCUCUCUCCCCCGUCGGUCUCUCCCCUCUUUCUCCUCGUAACUCCGGCCACCGGCCCCGGCUGUGGACGGGGCCGGUACCAAAAUGACCGAGGCGUCGUCCUCUUCCUACCCCAGCCACCUCCCACCGCCAGCCGUCGCGGAUUCGCCGGAAUCUGGAGAUGAAGCGGCCUACGUCGUCCAAAUUUCAAAGCUGCCGAUCUCCCUCCUCCGGCCACCAAUUCCGUCGACCCAGGUAUGGAUUUUGAACUUCUCGAGCUGCUCUAGCUGAUGGUUGGGUAGGAUUAGAUCGAUUCUUAGCUUAGACAACUCGAUUUUCAAAUUGAAAAUCGGCCGAACUUCGGCUGCCGUGAUCGGCCAUUUCCGGCCACUUUUUGGGGUAGGUCCAAGAACAAAAGUGGCUCCAAAUAGGGUGUUAUACCUAGGGUAGGAGUUUGGAGCCGUGGUUUUGAGAUUUUCCGGCGAAGCGUUAUCGCUUUGGGCACCCACGCGCUGCCGGUGCGUGCGGCGGCGCGUGGGCACUGUAGAAAAAGUAGCACUGUGUUCCGAUGAGAUCCUUAGGUUGUCACGAGUGCGUAGGAUUUUGCGGAUCUCAAUUCGGACGUCGUUUGACUAUCGAACGGAUAUUCGCAUAUUGCGCGUUAUUCGGGUUCGAUAGGUUGGGACCGUUGGAUGGACCCAAAUUUAAUAUAUGUUAAUCUAAUUAAUUCUAGGAUCGUGUAGGAAUUCACGGAUUGUGAAUCGGAGCCCCGGAUGUUCCGAAUAAUAAUUUUAAAGUUUGUAUUUUAUAUUAAUUGUCAGAUCGUGCGAUCGUGAGCAAUCUGACCGUUCGAUCUGAACCAAACUUGCAGGACAAGUGUCCUAUACCUUGUAGAACCCAUAGGGACCUUCGGAUCGGAAAUUGGAGGUCGUGGGUUCCGCAAGUCGGUUUGACCAGGGUUAGAGAAGUUUGACCCUUGGUUGACCGUGAGUCUCCCGGAGUAAUCUCACCUUUCUAGGGGAGAUUAUCGGGUACUAGAUGAUUGUGGACACAAUAUUAGAAUUAAUUUAUAUAAUUAUAAUUAUAUAUGGUUGUACAAGGGUACAACAGAGUCUAGAAUGUCAGUUUGGAGUGCUAUACGCACUACUUUAGGUACCUCCCCGGAUGUUGGGAUUUACUACAAGUACCACCAAGUGAAAUUGAGGUCCCGCGUGGCGUAGGUUAUCCAGCGUUGGGAUAGGUCUCAUACGUGGGGUUGGUUGUACCGGCGUAUGGGGAGAUUUGUGAUAUUAUGUUCAGGUCUCACGUGGCGUAGGUUAUCCGGCGUUGAGACAGGCCCCAUACGUGGUGUUGGUUGUACCAGCGUAUGGGGAGCUAUGUGAUAUUGUGUUGAGGUCGCACGUGGCGUAGGUUAUCGGGCGUGUCGACAGACCCCAUACGUGGCGUUGGUUGUACCGGCGUAUGGGGAGAUUUGUGAUAUGAAAUUGAGGUCCCACGUGGCGUAGGUUAUCCGGCGUUGGGACAGGCCCCAUACGUGGCGUUGGUUGUACCGGCGUAUGGGGAAAUAUGUGAUAUGAUGGCAUGGUCGCACGUGGCAUAGGUUAUUCGGCUUGUUGACAGGCCCCAUACGUGGCGUUGGUUGUACCGGCGUAUGGGGAGAUUAUUUGAAAUGCAGAGAAACGAAAUAUGGUAUCGCCCAAAUGUGGAAUUGGGUUUUAGGGAAGAACUACGUGUGGCUUGAUCCCUCAAGGAGGGUACGUAGGCAGCCUAAGGUUAAUAGGUGCAGCCGCAGACUAAAUGUUAGUCAUAAUUGAUAUUUGAAUUGUUUGGUAGUUGGUUAAGAAUUAUUGGAAGGCCGAAGGCCAUUUGUGUGAAUUGCAUGAAAUUAUAUUGUGCAUGCUGCCAGUUGGGAAUAUUAAAUGCGUUUUUAUGCAGGUAUAAAUUUUAGGAAAUGUCCAAUUUAUAGGGGAGACUCUGCCGAAUUUUCGGCAGGAAGUCUCAGUUUUUAGUAUCUGGGCCUGGCAUCGGGAGGAUGUCGGGAAUUCCAAAGGGUCGUCUCGAGUUCUGAAAAAUUCGGUGCGGGUCCUUUCAAACACCUUAUAAAAUAUCCAACGCCGUGCAUCUCUGUUAAAACCAGAUCACAGCCAAACCACCAAAACCAUGCAAACCCAUAUGCUGAUCACCAUUUUUACUAGCACCCUUACCCAUUCUUUCCUCUUCAAGCUUUGGUGAGAAAACAAGAAACAAAAGUGGGCGGAUCUUCACCCACAUGGAGAAAUCCAGCUGCCUGAGGGCCCUGGAACUCCAAAAAACUUCUUACCUACAUGCUCAGGCUAGGGAAGUUUCACCAAAUAAGCAAGAAUGGAAGAAAGUGAAGGAAAAGGGGAAAGGGUGGCUUGACGAAAUUAAGGUUUUCAGCACUUAUAAAAGGAAACACUUUCUAUCCAGCAAAAACAACUCACCCUGGUUGCUGCAAGCCUCCUAGCAACCAUGAGAAUUCAUUGAAGGCAAGCAUCCCCUUUGGAACCCUUCAAUUUCAUGCUUUGUUCUUCCAUCUUCCUCCUUUCUCUCUCUCUCAAAACCCACAUCCAGAGAGAGCAAGCAUCAUCUCUCAUCUUUGGAACCCUUCGAUUUGAAGCCUUGUUCUUCCAUUGCUUCCCAUUUUCUCUUCUGUCAAAUCACCUAGGAGCUUGACGAAACUUUCGUCAAGCUGCUGGAAAUAUGGUAAAGCCACCCAUGCUUCCAUCUUCUUCCUCUCUUUCCAUAAACACACAUCCAAAGAGCAAGCUUCAUCUCUCAUCCUCUAAACCUCUGCAAUUUCAAGCCUCAUUCCUCUAUCUUCUCCCAUUUUCAGCGGUAGUGAGAAUGAUUUCUGCGUGUGCAUGGGAAGGAUUGUAACUCAGAUGAGGAGGAGAUGGUUUGGAGUGGGGUGAGGCAGUUGGAUAGAGCUCUUGGCCUUUUCAAGUUUGGAUGGGAAAGAGCAGGGAUGAAAGAAGCUUUACAACUGCAAGGGCAUAUAUGGUGCGUAGGGGCUGAAGGCAGAACACUUACAUAUAGAGGAAACACAUUUUUUGUCCAUGGGAUUCAUGUUUGACAAACACUUGUCUUAGACUAUGAGUUCAAAUUUCAAAACCUUUUUUUUUUCUUUCUGAAAUCAGGACCAGUGUGGAGAACUAGCAAGGAUUGGAGAAACAGAUUUUUGGGCGUCACUUGACCACAGAUUGUUGAUUGCUCAAAUGUGUAGAAUUGGCCAUCUUAAAUGUCAAAAUGAUUUAUCAAUUGGGGUUUUUUUAGAAACGUUUAUGUUUGUCAAUAGAGACAGAAGUCAGAGAACAUAAACCUUUCUCAGCAAAUUGAAAUUCUCAGUGCAUGCUCUGUUCUUCCAUGGCUUUCAAACCUUCUCUGCCACGGUGAAAUGGAUCGAUAGAGAUAGUUUAGGCCGUUCCAUUUGUUUGAUGAAGCAUUCGUUCUAGGGAUUCUGUAUAUUCAUAACAAAAUCACUAGAAUGAUUCUUAGAAAUUCAUCACUGCUAAAGGCAAUGGGUUCAGCAUAAUAACUUCUUAGUCUUGCUUCUUGGUCCUUUAUUUUCUUUGCAUAAUACUCCAAGUUUACCUGGGUUCUACAGAGAAAAUCUCGUAGAUACCUCUUUUUGUGGUCUUCCAUGGCAUUUAAGUGCUGCUUUCCAUGGUGAAGUGGGCCUAUAGAGACUACCUGAGGUGUGUAGGCUUUGUCAUUUCCACGCCGUAAUCGCUCAGGAACUCUGUAGAUACACCUUCAAGGGGGACAAGGGAGACAAACUAUCCAAUUCCUUGCGCCUUACAAAUAGAUCGCAUGGGUUUUCUAUUUCAUCUGCAGCUUCAUCAAUUCCUUCCAUUUUUCUCCUGAUCAUCAUGCGCGGUGAUUCAAAUAUUUCAUAAUGAACAUUGAAAUGAGAUGCUACAAGCAAACUUAUGAAAAGAAACAGAAAUACCAAAAAGACAAAUCAAUGUAGAUGGUUUAGAAAAUCUAAACAUUGCAAUUAUACUCCUUUGCCCAACUUCUAGGAGCAAACGUACACAAAGACCUUAUUGCUUCCAACUUUUCCAACAGAAUUUCAUAUGAAUUGCUCCAAGUGAAAUCCGUAUGAAAAAUCGGUAGUUGGAUUUUCAUCCUGCUUUAAUAUGAUUAUUUAACUUCUAACAAAAAAACUCUUAUUACUUGAGCAAGUAAAAUACUAUUCCAGGUUUCUCCUAGUUCUAUAUGCGCUUAUAAUUGGUAUACUCUAUAAAUACCAUAAUCUGAAUUUCUCUGUUUUGAUUACUUUAAUUUAUUACUUAUGUUUUAAUUAUUGUUUACUUAGUGAAUUAUUAGUAUUUAAGAGAAGGCCUUCCAUCGAUUAGGCACCACGUGUCUAUAAUAAGUAAAGCCGUCCGGCUAUACUUAAAAAAAAAAAAAAUUGUAGUAUAGCCGACCGGUAUAGCCGCGCGGCUAUACUAUUUAAUACAUUAUAUUUAAACGGUAUAGCCGCGCGGCUAUACUAUUUAAUAAAAUAAAAAACAAAAGAAAAAGAAAAAUUACCCUCCUAUUUCAUUAGUUUGUACUUUAUAGAUACUAGCCCCUUGACACAUGCUCACGCAUGUGCCAAUUGGUUUUCUUUUUCUUUUUUAUUUUUAUUUUUAGAAUUAAGAAAAAAUAACAGGAUAGUUAUGUUCCAUAAAAGUAGGACCUAUUAUCUUAUUUUGUUUUUAAUUUUAAUUUUUUUAAUAUUAAAAAAAUAUGAAUUUACGAUAUUAUCCUCAUUUAAUUAAUAAUUUCAAUUCUUAAUGUUUGAAUUAACAAAGGGCAUUUUCUGGUAUUUUGAAUGUUUCACCAUUCUCUGCCUUUUGCUUUAUAUAUAUAGAUUAAUUUGCCAGUUUCAAGAUAUCCAAAGUACAUAUUAGACUUUCACUAUAUAAAUUUCAAUAUAUAUUUUUUAUAACAUGUGUUGUUCUUAUUCAAUAAUAUGUGAGAAUUAUUUGUAUAAUACGUGAAUUUUGUGUGUCUUACUGAAUUUUUUUAAAUACGUGUAUUAAACGUUACAAAUACGUACAUAUAUGUACAACACGACUAUUGUAAGUUUGCUAUAUAAAAAAAAGUGAGAUGUAUCUAGAACACGAAUGUAUUAUCGAAAAAUAUAUAUGUAUGUAUAUAUAUAUAUAUAUAUGUAAAAGCCUAUAGCCUCUCACCUAUACUAUUUAUUAAAGACAAUUUAAAAAUUACAACAACAAAAAAACCAGUACAGCCACAAAGCUAUACUAUUUUAAAAAAAAAAAAUAGAAAAAAUAUCAAGUACUACACAGGGCAAAGGCCCAGUGUAAAAUAGUAUAGCCGUACGGCUAUACGUUUUUAAGAAGAAUUUAAAAAACUAAGUAUAGCUCACCGACUAUACUAUUUUUUAAUAUAAAAAAACAACCCCAUCCAUUAGGCGCCACGUGUCAACAGAAGUUUAUUUUUAAAAAAAAAAAUUAAAAGACAAGGAGUAUAGCCGGGUGGUUGUACUAUUUUUUUAUUUUAAAAAGAAGACAGUCCAUCGAUUAGGCGCCACGUGUCCAUAAUAAGUACAGCCGCUCGGCUAUAUGUUGGAUAUUUUGAAACUAGCAAAUUAAUAUCAAUAGCCGGUCGUAACCUAUGCUGUCCACGUCACUCAUGUUUUACCAGAGUUAAAGCAUCCACAAUGAGCUCCCCAAACCAUCUCUUUAGACAAAUUUUAGGGAGAAAUUGGAAAAGUACAACUCCAACCAUGCUCCCUAUCCACCAACUAAAAUAGGGAGACCUCUAGGAGCUCCUAAAUCUGAGGAGAGGGAAAGGACUCUUAGUGACUCCCUAUAAUUUAAUGUUGCUUUGUUUUAUGCAUAUUUUAAACUUUUAAUUAAAUCAAAUUAUUAUUUUAUAUUAUUUUGUAUACAGAUGGACCAAUUAUAUUAAAUUAAAAAAUAAUUAAAGUAUUUGUGACUCUCUAAACUAAGGAGUAUGAUUAGAGUUCAAAUUUUAUAAAAAGCUCUUAAAAUAGCUUUUGUGUGUUUUUAGCUAAAUUUUAACUAAAAAAUUUGAAGAUUCUUUAUUUGGGUUUCUUUCAAGACGAAAACCAUAUCCACAACAGACAUCUUUGGCUGUUCAUCACAAUUGAGAGACAAUGAAGAAGACAUAAGGGAGAGGCUGCCAAAUACUUAUCACCUUAGCCACCACCAACACCACAAGACCAAUAUGUGUAGGCCAGGAGGCUUUCCAAUUUUAAUAUAUAUAUAUAUAUAUAUUAAAAAAUAAAAUAAAAAUCAAUCUAUUAUCAUAUAUAUUAUAAAAUAAAGAUUAUUGCUCCAUCCUCCAUGCACUUGCGUGCCCUCUUACAAAGUAUGAAGUAGAUUUUGUUAGCUGGAUUUAUAAGAUCUUUUGUUUUUUGGAAAUUUUCUGAAAUAAGGAAAAUCAAGUAAAAUUAAUAAAGCAUAAAUUGGAAAGGGAAAAUAUCUAGAGGAUGCAUUGUAGGAUUGCUCAAGCCAAUAAUUGUACCCUCUAAAUAUAUAGGGACAUAUUUUUUUUGUUUUCAUGACAUGUCGUCCUAAAAUUAUUGUUCUUAGCGGGCUCUCCACCCCCUCUCGAUUGAAAACCUAUUGUGUAAAUCUUCAAUCCUGAAUUAGAAAAGUACAACUCCAACCAUGCUCCCUAUCCAUCUCCUAAAAUAGGGAUACCUCUAGGAGCUCCUAAAUCUGAGGCGAGAGAAAGGACUCUUAGUGUCUCUUUAUAAUUUAAUGUUGCUUUGUUUUAUGCAUAUUUAAACUUUUAAUUAAAUCAAAUUAUUUUUUUAUAUUAUUUUGUAUACAAAUGGACCAAUUAUAUUGAAUUAAAAAUAAAUUAAAGUAUUUAUGACUCUCUAAACUAGGGAGUAUGAUUGGAGUUCAAAUUUUAUAAAGAGCUCCUAAAAUAGCUUGUGUGUGUAGGGGUCUUUUUCUUCUGGCAACUACAGAUGGGUUGGGCUACCGUAAGGAGCAAACUGAAGAAAAUAUCCCCUGUGUCUGAGUUCAAAGAUUCGGCCCCAAAAUAUUUCGAAAAGGCAGUAAAGCCUUAGGAAACACCUUAGUUACCUUCACCAACGAAAAUGACGGCUGCUUACAGGUAGAUUCUUAGUGCUUACAGAUGAAUUCUUAGCUUAGCAUGAGGAGAUCGUGGCAUGGAAGCAAAGUUAGCAUGAGUUUAGCACUAAAGAGAAAAUUAUGUGUUCUUGGGAGGAAGAAGGGGUGUCCAGGUAAAUGGGAAAAGGUUUUGCAAGUAGAUUUGGCUAAGAGAGAAGGGAGAGAGAGAAGAGGGUGGCUAGAGUGCUUCUUCCGGCAGCUUGACAGUGACUCUGUCAAAUGUUAGAGCAAUCUGCCAUAAGAGGGAAAAUGGGGAAGAAGGAUGAACAGUGCACAAAAUUGCUAGGUUUUUGCAAGUAAGAGAGGAAGCUUGCUCUCUGGAUGUGGAUGAUCCGUUGGGUAGAAGAGGCCCCAUUUUAUAGCCGCUGGAAACUAUCAUUUCUCAAGAAACCCUAAUAGUUUCUACCCAAUUUGGUCAAGCUUUUCCCUUCCUUUCUCAUCUCCUCCCUUGACUUUUCCUAUCUUGGUGAAAUUUCCUCUGUCUAUUUGCACAAAAUCAGGAGCUCAAGGCCUCCCUUUCCCGCAACUGUUCAAUGGGAGACUCCAUUCUUAGCUAUUUUUCUUCUUCUUUCCUUCCUCCUUCCCUGACCAAAUCUGAUGAAGGAAAGCAAAUAGGUGCACACAUUGGUUUGAAGGGUGCUUCUCCUUCUAGCAGCUUACAUGCCAAUAUCCCUUGGGUCCUUGCAUGUUUUUUGCUUUGAAACUUGUUUCUUCCUUCCCGUCAACUCACGUGGUCUUCCAUGCUUCUUCAUGGCUUUAUCUUUCAGCCAAAAGAUGGAGUUUUUACUGCUUGCUACUUUUAAUUGUAUGGGUCUUCUAGGAUAGGAAGUCAACCUACCAAACAAAUGGGCCACCUUUAUCAAAUAUUGGGCUGUUGGGGUUAGUUUUAGUGGGCCAUUUUGACUGGGCUUUUUGGUUGGGUUAUUUAAGUUAUUUUCCCUUUUGUGCUCACCCAUGUAUUUAGGCCUAAGAAAUGGGCUUGGGCUCCGAGUCUCCCAAGCAACCCGGAACCUCCAUUUCUUGGCCCAUUAAUGGGCCUCAUGACAACCUAUUACCAUCCAUACCACAACCCACUCAAGCAAGCCCCGGGCAUUUGAAUGGCUUUGGCCCACUUUAGGCUUGUAGUGUGAUUGGGUGUGGCAUAACGAUUUCUCGCUUGGCAUGGCAUGUUGCUUGGCAUGUUUUUUCAUUACGAUGCUUGAUGGAUUUGUAGAGCUACCUAUUUUUAUGAUCUUAAUCUUGAUUCCUAGCAUGACAAAUUUAUUUAUUUGGCAUGGCAUGCGGAGCGUGACUUGUGCGUGGCGAGUUUUGUAUGCUCCAACUUGGGCCUUUCCUAAAUAAUGUAUCAUUUUGGGUUAUGAAUUCUUUCGGGCCCAACCGUGAAUUUUUUGGGUUUCAACAGUGUGUUUUUAGCUAAAUUUUAACUAAAAAAUAGGGAGCAUGAUUGUAGAUCAUCUUAUAUACCUUAAUUUGAAGAUUCUUUAUUUGGGUUUCUUUCAAGAUGAAAACCAUAUCCACAACUGGCAGACAUCUUUGGCUGUUCAUCACAAUUGAGAGACAAUGAAGAAGACAUAAGGGAGAGGCCGCCAAAUACUUAUCACCUCAGCCACCACCAACACCACAAGACCAAUAUGUGUAGGCCAGGGGGCUUUCCAAUUUUAAUAUAUAUAUAUGGAGUGAAAAAAAUAAAAUAAAGAUUAUUGCUCAUCCUCCAUGCACUUGCAUGCCCUCUUACAAAGUGUGAAGAAGAUUUUGUGUGCUUCAAGUCAUUGACUAGAGCUGAAACAUGGUUAGCUGGAUUUAUAAGAUCUUUUGUUUUCUGGGAAUUUUCAGAACCAAGGAAAAUCAAGUAAAAUUAAUAAAGCAAAAUGGAAAGGGAAAAGAUCUAGAGGAUGCAUUGUAGGAUUGCUCAUGCCAAUAAUUGUACCCUCUAAAUAUAUAGGGACAUAUUUUUUUUGUUUUCAUGACAUGUUGUCCUAAAAUAUUUGUUCCUAGCGGGCUCUCCACCCCCUCUCGAUUGAAAACCUAUUGUGUAAAUCUUCAAUCCUGAACGAUGCUCCUAAAACUCAAGUGUCCCAGGCCAAUUAUUGCUCUCAUACCACUUGUUGCAAUACACAUCCACUCAUUCUCAGGGAAAGAAACCCAUCGAUAUUAUCUCAAAUUUAACCACUUUAGUCUAUUAUGAUUAACUAUGUAUUUUAUGGAUCAAUGCAGUUGUGAGGUUUUAUACCCAAUUAGAUCGACCAAUACAGAGAUCACAUGUGGACUGAAAAGCGCCAUCGGUAGGGGAGUGUUUGGCACCCUUUACUGCCGAGUGCAACACAAGACCCCUUACCAGGAACUUAUCUACUAGGACACGUGAAGCCACCACAAGUAAUAUCAACAGUCCCACAUCGAAGUUUAACAUAACAUGUACACUCCCCAGGACUGAUAAAAGUGGGCACAAGUCCCAAAAAUGGGGGAACUUGGACUUUCAGCAAUUCAUCCAUUAUUAUGUCCAAAUUACUAUACACUCCGUACUUAUUCUUACUUAAGCAUUGGAGAGCCUUCGGCCGGUACCACACCAGUGCCUAAGGGCUUACCGAGCGUUCUCUAUCUUGCAUAUUGAUCGCUCUACUGAAGCCCAUAAAGAGUUAAAGGUCAAGACAUCACUAAGUUGAGCCCAAAAGUGCUGAACCACAUCAAAAAUAUGUAUAGAUUGAAAAAAUAAAAUAAAAAUCAAUCUAUUAUCAUAUAUAUUAUAAAAUAAAUAUUGGAUAAAUUACUCAAAUGGUCCUCAAACUUAUACUCGAUUUACAUUUUGGUCUCUCAAUUAAAUUAUUUGUUCAAAUGGUCCAUCAACUCUAUAUUAUUUCUGCAAAAUCUACAAAGUGGUGGGAGGCAGACCAACAAAAAAAAUUAGCGAAGGCUUAUAACUCUGGUAAAACAAGAGUUACUUGGAUAGAAUAAUGUUACGUCGUACUGAAGAUUUUUGGGUUUCUUUAAUUGGUUAAGUGAAGAUUCUUUAUUUGGGUUUCUUUCAAGAUGAAAGCCAUAUCCACAACCACAACCACAACUGGCAGACAAUCUUUGGCUGUUCAUCACAAUUGGGCGACAAUGAAGAAGACAGAAAUUGGAGUACUGUAUGUUAUCACCCACACCACAAGACCAAUAUAAGGAGGAUGGGGAGGCUGCGGAAUACUUAUCACCUUAGCCACCACCUACACCACAAGACCAAUAUGUUGUAGGCCAGGAGGCUUUCCAAUUUUAAAUUAGAUAAAUCGGAAACUGUUUCGAUAUCCAAUUGUAUUCUAUAAAAUCAAUGAACACGGUGCUUCAAGAAAGUAAUAAAAUUUCAAUAAUUCAAUUGAGUGGUCAAAUUCAAGUGAUUUUUUGUAGUGAUGAUCUUUGAAUGAGUAUCUAUAAAAGAGACGGUUUGGAUUAGUGAAAUACAAUAUGGAGUGGGCCCUACCAGCAAUCCACGACAAAAUGUCUGCAAGCUUUCGUAAUAUAAGGAGGAUGGGGAGGCUGCGCAAUACUUAUCACCUUAGCCACCACCUACACCACAAGACCAAUAUGUUGUAGGCCAGGAGGCUUUCCAAUUUUAAUAUAUAUAUAUAUAUAUAUAUAUAUAUAUAUAUAGGGAUGUGAUUUCUCUACUCCCCUUUUCUCUACUUAUACUCCCUUUUGCUUUUAAAUACUUUUUAAUCAAUUUUUUUUCCGCUUUCCUAUUAAUAUUCUACCAUUUCCCUACAUUAAUUUCUUUUUACUUCACUUUUAUAUUAGUUCUUUUUCUUUAUACUUAAUUUUUCAACUUGCACUCCAUUUUCAUUAUUUUUUUCCUAAUCGAGUAAGAAAUUAAGUUUUUUUUCCCCAUUUAAUACUGAAAAUGGAGUGUAAGUUAGAAAAUUAGGUAUAAAGAAAAAGAAAUAAUAUAAAAGUAAAGUAAAAAAGAAAUUAAUGUAGGGUAAAGGUAGAAUAGAAAAGAGAAUGAACAAAAUUGAUAAAUAAAUAAAAAAGGUUUAAAAAGCAAAAAGGAGUGUAAAUGGAGAAAAGGGGAAUGAGGAAAUCAGCUCCAUAUAUAUAUAGAUUGAAAAAAUUAAAAUUAAAAUCAAUCUAUUAUCAUAUAUAUUAUAAAAUAAAGAUUAUUGCUCCAAGGAAAUGACAUCUUUUGUUUUCUGGGAAUUUUCUGAACCAAGGAAAAUCAAAUAAAAUUAAUAAAGCAUAAAUUGGAAAGGGAAAAGAUCUAAAGGAUGCAUUGUAGGAUUGCUGAUGCCAAUAAUUGUACCCUCAAAUUAUACAUGGACAUAGGGGUGGGCAUUCAAAUAGGCAAACUAGAAAUCCGAGCUGAACCGCACCUAGGAAAACCGGAAAAAAAACCGAGUUGACCAAAAAGUCAACAACUGGUCAAAAAUCGAACCGGACCGAUUUGGACUGGUUUUGGAUUCAGUUUAUAUGCAAUGCUACAUUUUUAGUCUCAUAACUAAUAUUUAUCCAAGUUCAAUUUCAAAACAUCUUUCUUUUUUAGCUUUAAUAUUUAUUUUUAUAUGAAAUUAAAUAAUUUAUUAAUUUUCAAGUAAAUAAAAUAAAAUUUCAGUUGAAAUUUAUAUUAAAAAAAUAAUUUUAAUAAUCCAGUUCAAAACCAAACCGGACCAUCCAGCUGUGAGGUACAUUUCUCCCACAUGCCACAAUUGUAUAUUCACAAUUACGUCUGAUACAUCACAUCAUGCCACUUGCCUCAAAUGAAUUUAAGUGAGUGUGGCAGUGGAAAGUAAUUAAGCUCUAUAUUGGUGGGUGGACUGUUACUUCUGGGUUCCCCUCAUCAUUCGUCUAUAAAAUGGUGAAGGCAGUUGCUAUUGUUACCAUAAGAGCCAGCUCCGACUUCCUUUAAUUUCUUGCUUCAUAUCCACUAGCUACAUCUGUUACCAAGUUAAUUUCAGUCCUAAUGGGGUUUCAUCUCCCACUCAUCUUUGCUCUUCUCAGUGUAAGCUCUGCAAUUUGAUUAACUUUUCCAUUCUCUCUCAUUGUACUCUAUAUAAACGAAAGUUUUGUGUUCCUAUAAUUCUCUCCGAUUUUAUUUAGUACGUACUUAAGUGUCGUCCACUAAUUAAUUACACUUUGUGAUUUGAUUUUAAUUUGAGUUCGAAUUAAUGUUGCAGCUAGCAGCAGUGGCACUGGCAAACCAUGCUGCUCAACCAGCACCUCAACUUUACUGGAACUCCGUCCUGCCAAACACACAGAUGCCAAGAUCUAUCAGUGAACUUCUGCAUCCUGGUUUGUGUUGAGCUCUUUAGAAUCUUAGAUAUCUCUUCUACCUGCCAUUUUACUAAAAUAUGUUCCACCACAUAUUUAUCAGUUAACCACUGUUAUUACAUGAGUGACACAUAUUCACAAAUCGGCUGAUCACUUAUUUUCCAUUAUGACGUUGAUAUAUAAUUUGCAGACUCCACAAAUGAAGAAAAGAGCACAAAUGACGUUGGCAAACCUGAAACUUUCCCAUUGGGCAAUAAACAUUACUCCAGUCAAAAACAUUAUGGAAGAGGCAAACCUGAAACUUUCCCAUUGGGCAAUAAACAUUACUCCAGUCAAAGACAUUAUGGAAGAGGCAAACCUGAAACUUUCCCAUUGGGCAAUAAACAUUACUCCAGUCAAAGACAUUAUGGAAGAGGCAAACCUGAAACUUUCCCAUUGGGCAAUAAACAUUACUCCAGUCAAAAACAUUAUGGAAGAGGCAAACCUGAAACUUUCCCAUUGGGCAAUCAGCAUUACUCCAGUCAAAAAAAGUAUGGAAGAGGUGCUUCUCCAUCCGACAAUCAACCACCAAUUCCAUAGAAAUUCAAACACGGCUACUUUCUUGCCACGAGAAAGCGCUCAAUCGAUCCCCUUCUCCUCUAACAAACUACCAGAAAUUUUCAACCAUUUUUCAGUGAAGCCAACAUCUGAGGAAGCCAAAACAAUUAAGCAAACAAUCGAAGAGUGUGAAGCUCCAGACCUUAAGGGAGAGGAAAUAUAUUGCGCCACAUCUUUAGAAUCAAUGGUUGAUUUUAGCACUUCGAAGCUUGGAACAAGAAACGUUGAAGCAAUCUCGACGGAGGUAUUGGAAAAAGGAGCCACCAUGUCCAUCCAAAACUAUACAACAAUGCCGGGACUGAAGAAGUUGGCAGGUGACAAAGUCGUUGUGUGUCAUAAGCAGAACUAUCCCUAUGCUGUGUUUUUCUGCCAUGCAAUAAAACAUACAGCAGCUUAUGCUCUCUCCCUGAAAGGCGAUGAUGGGGAGAAGGUUAAAGCAGUAACCAUCUGCCAUCUAGACACAUCAGAAUGGGACCCAGAGCAUAUGUCCUUCAAAAUCGUCAACGUUAAGCCCGGAACCAUUCCCAUCUGCCAUUUCAUUUCCACUGAUGCUAUUGCCUGGGUUCCGAACCACAAAUCUGCAUGAUCAUCACUUAGCACUAGUACUGUGCGUAUAAUAUGCCUGUAUAAUUAUCUCCCUACUUAUUUCUGCCUGUUCAUCAUGUGGUGUAAGAUAUAUGUUGAGAUGAAGUUUUUGGGAUUAGUGGUCGAAAUUAACCCGAUCAUGUUUUCUCUUGUAACUAUAUAGACUUCAACUUGUACUCAUAAUAAAGCAUGCUAUAUUUAUGAAGAGAUAUUAAUCUUCAGGCAAAUAGAUAUUAUGAAAACAUAUAUAGCAAUUUAUCCAGAAGAAAUAUUAUGAAAUGAAAAGAAUAAAAAGUAAAAAAACAGAAGGAAAGGAAUUCGCACCUGCUAUGUAUGAAAGGACCAAGAUUGUUUUCCCUUUGGUUAAUGACUAGAAAAGCUCACUUGCAGAUUGCUUUCUCUGACCGUAGAUGCAACAGAAAUUUUCUCUUAAUAAUAGCACAAUGAUCGGGUAAUUGUAAGAACAAGUUGAUUUAAAAUUCCUUGACCCAAAAAAAAAAAAAAAAUCAUUUCAAAUUCAGGUCAACCCAUAGAUUUCUUGCCUUUUUCUUCUUCAUCACGUUGGGCUUGUCUUCUUCUUGAGGAUUGUAUAGGCCCAGGAAAUGCUUUGAGGUAGUUUUUGGCCUUGGAAGUUGGGACCCAACCCAACUUCACAAAAAGAAAACAGAUUUGCCAAAAAUCAAAUUUCAAGUCUCUCCUCAGAUCACUAAUACAGAUCAAAUUUUGGAUUUGAUGAACUAAAGUGGUUUUACUUUCUCUGUCAGUGUUUGAUGACUUAAUUUGUUAUUUACUUCUUUUUUUUUUUUUACUUGAUCUUUGUAGGGGUUUUUUUCUUCCGGUAACUUAAACGGGCUGGGCUGCCGUAAAGGGUAGAUUGAUGAAAUUGUCUCCUUUGUCUGAGUUCGAAAAUCAAGCCCCAAAAGCGCUUCGAAAGGGCAGUAGAGCCUUAGGAAGCGUUCUAGUCAUCUUCACCAACUAAAACAACAGCAACUUACAGAUGAUUUCUUAAGGCUUACAGAUAAAUUUUCUAGCUUGGCAUGAGAGGCUUGUGACAUGGAAGCAAAAUCAGCAUGAGUUUAGCACCAAAGAGGAAAAUAUGGCUUCCUAGGGAGAAAUGGGAGUGUUUAAGGUGAGGAAGAAGAGGUUUGCAGGCUGAUUUGGCUGAGGAGAGAGAAAGAAAGAACAAUGUUCUUCCAGUAGCUUGACAAAGCUUCUGACAGAUGUGAAAGUCGUCUGCCAUAAGAGGAAAAUGAAGAAGAAUGGUGAAUAGUGCAUGAAAUUGCUGGGUUUUUGCAGGUAAGAGAGAAAGCUUGCUCUCUGAAUUUGAGUUGGUUUUUGGUUGGGUAGAAGAGGCCCCCUUUUAUAGCUGCGGGAAACCAUCUUUUUUCAAGAAACCCUAAUGGUUUCUAUCCAUUUUGGCCAAGCUUUUCCCUUCAUUUCUCUUCUCCUCCCUUGACUUUUCCUAUCUUGGUGAAAUUUCCUCUGCCUAUUUGCACAAAAUUAGAGAUUUUGAGGAGCUCAAGACCCCUUUCCCGCAGCUGCCUCAGUGGAGAAUCCCCAUUUUCAGUCAUCUUUCUUCCUUCUUUUCUCCCAUCUUCCAAGGUUAGGUCUGAUGAGGGAAAGAAAUGGGUAUGCACACUGGUUUGAAGGGUAUUUUUGCUUGAAACUUGUUCUCUCCCAUGUGCUGGAGCUUCCCAGCAACUUACACACAUGGAUAUUUUGGCUUUCAUCGUGGCUUUUGUUUUCAGCUAGGUGCUGGAGAUUUCGCAGAUAUUUUCAUGAGUUGCUUGGGCCUUCUAGGACAAUAGGUUGGUUUAUCAAGUGAAUGGGCUAACUUCAUCAAUUGUUGGGCUAUUUUGGUUGAGUUAAUGGACUAUUUUGGUUGAAGUAAUGGGCUAUUUUGGUUGAAUUAAUGGGCUAUUUUUCUCUCUUUGUGCUCACCCACAUAUUUGGGCCUAAGAAAUGGGCUUGAGUUCCGGGGCUCCCAAGCAACCCCGGGACUUCCAUUUCUCGGCCCAUCAAUGGGCCUCAUAUCAACUUAUUACCAUCCAUAUCACAACCCACUCAAGCAAGCCCUGGGCAUCUUGCGUGGCUUGGGCCCACUUAAGCUUGUAGCGUGACGUGUUGCUUAUUUGCUUGGCAUGGCAUGUGUGCAAGCGCAUAUGACGAACUUUAGCGUGCCCAAAUUGGGUUUAUUCUCGGUAAGGUAUCGCAUUGGGCCGAGAAUUUAAUUGGGCAGAACUGUGGAUUUUUGGGCCUCAACAAUCUUAUAUAUAUUGGUUUUCUUUUUUUCCUUAAUAUUCACCACCUUUCUGUUGCAUAAGUAUUUCAGUCUUAACGGGUUUCCAUCUACCACUCAUCUUUGCUCUUUUAAGUGUAAGCUUUUUUUUUUUUUUUUUAAGCACAAGAUUAGAGGGGAGGGGGAUUUCUCAAUGUAAGCUUUGCAGUUUCAUAAUUAAUAUUUCCAAUAUCUCACUGUUAGUAAAAUAUGGAACAGGAAAAGUAUGAAUAAAAUACACACAUGUUUUAUUUAGCAAAAUUUUGACAAGAUACAACUGAAAAGUUUGGCCACUAUAUAAUAUUUUGAUAUAAUUUCUACACUUCUUCUCAAAAGAUUAGAUCACUUCACAUCUUGUGUAUGUGAAAACUAAUGUAAAAAGUUGAAACUUUAUCGUAAAACCUCGACAAAAAUGAGCUCUACUAGAAAAUGUUCAAUUUGGAUUCGUUGAUUUAAAUGGCAAUUUGACACUUGAUAGAAAUUUUUACAUACAUGUGUUAGUGUUUGAUCACUUCACAUGUUACUUACUAUAUUUAUUCCACUCAAGUUAGGUAAAUAUUAUUAUCAAACAUUUCAAUUAAUUUGUGAUUUUUUUAUUAUUUAAUCAAUUAUGAAUUAAUGGAUUCUUCUUGUUGUUUUGAAGACCAAUAAAAAAAAAAGGGUAAGGAUGGCUUAUAACUCUGAUAAAACAACAGUGACGUGGACAGCAGAUGUUACACCGUACUGAAGAUUUUUGAAGAUUCUUUAUUUGGGUUUCUUUCAAGAUGAAAACCAUAUUAUCCACAACCACAAUGAAGAAGACAGAAAAUGGAGUAAUUCAGAUGUUACCAGCCAUCCACGACAAACUGAAGUCUGCAAAGCAUUCGUAAUCUAAAGGGAGACUUUGGAAAAGCCCAAAGGAGAGAGAAAAUUUUUAAAAGAAGCAAAAAUGGACAAAAUUGCCCUUAUUUAUUUUUUGAUUUCCUAAGAAAUCCUUUACAUUUGCAUGUCUUUGGUUUGAAAGUUGAGAGGUUAUUCUGUCUUUUUUCAAAAAGCUUUGGCUUUUUCCAAAAGUGAAAGUUUUUUUAUGGGUAAAACCUAAAUUUACUUAAUCCCUAAAAAGGAUGGGGAGGCUGCGCAAUACUUAGCCACGUGUAGGCCAGGAGGCUUUCCAAUUUUAAUAUAUAUAUAAAUUGAAAAAAUAAAAUAAAAAUCAAUCUAUUAUCCUAUAUAAAAUAAAGAUUAUUGCUUCCAUGGGCAGUGCUAUGCACAGGACAGUGCCUGCCCAGCACAAAUUUUUUUUAAAUAAAAAAAAAAAAUCUACAUAUGUUAUAAGCUCAUCCAAAAAAAUAAAAUAAAAUAAAAGUAAAUUCUACAUAUAUGUUGCCCAUCUAGGUGGUUCCAUAUCUUCUCUCUCCUUCUCUUUUGGCUAUUAGACUUCUUGUUUCUCUCUCUCUCUUUGCUACCUCACAUCAGCAAGUUUCUCCCUCUCUUUUUUUGGGGUCAAAUUCUUCCUCUAUUGACAAAAUCUUCUAUUAUCUUGGGUGGGCAACUUGGCAACAACAUCUUCUCUUCUCCUUUUGUCAACAACAAGUAUUAUUCUCAUUCUCUCAUUUGCUAUAUAUCUUUAAUUAUAGUUUUAAUUUAAAAUUGAGUAUUCUAGGGUUUAAUUAGGGAUGAAUUAUAAUUUUAGAAUUUUGUUGAAAUUAAUUAAGGCUUCGAUUAGGGGUGAAUUAUUCUACUGCUUUGGUUUGGAAUUUUGUUAAAAUUGAGUAUUAUAGGGUUUAAUUAUGGAUGAAUUAUAAUUUUUGAUUUUGGUAUUAUUGAGAUGUUAUUAUGAGAAUUUGUUUCAUUUUUUUAUUGGUAUAUUUGAUUAAAAUUCUUUCUACAUAUUAUUCAUAGGCUAUCUUUUAUUAUGUCGGAUCACAAUCGGAAUCCCAAGAGAACAAAGAAUUUGAAUAGUGUUGUUUUGUAUUGCAUUGCAUUUACUUUUGGUUUUAGUUUUGCUUUUAGUGUAAAUUACUCAAAUGGUCCUCAAAUUUGUACCCGAUUUACAUUUUGGUCCAUAAACUAAAUUAUUCAUUCAAAUGGUGCACCAACUCUUUAUUAAUCAGUGCUUUGGUCCUACCGUUAUGUUUUCUAUUAAAUUUAGUCAUGUGAGCAGCACAUGCUACAUUUGUAGGGGUAAAUAAGACUUUUGACCACUUUAUCACCUAUGUAUCACCACUUUAUAACCUAUUUGGAGAACAUAGGUCAGUUAUGGACGGUUUUACAAUUAUAUUUGACGGCAACAUUAACAUAAUGUAACAGUGGGAUCAAUGGAGCGAUUAAUAUAGAGUUGAUGGACCGUUUGAACGAAUAAUUUAAUUGAGGGACCAAAACGUAAAUUGAGUAUAAGUUUGAGGACCAUUUGAGUAAUGUACCCUUCGCUUUUAUAUUUGUUGAACUUUUAUUUAUGGAUAGAUAUGCAUUUGAGGGUAAGACCCAUUAUGUUCCCCCUGACUUGGUGUAUCUUUUUAUGUUUAUUAAUGAAAUUCACUCGAACUGUUGAGUUUAGUAUGUAAGUUUUGCCUAACCGGCUUUUGAAUCCUAGAACCGCCACUGUUGCUCCAUCCUCCAUGCACUUGCAUGUGCUCUUACAAAGUGUGAAGUAGAUUUUGUGUGCUCCAAGUCAUUGACUAGAGCUGAAACAUGGUUAGCUAGAUUUAUAAGGACCCAUCUCUCUAUUUCCUAGACAUAUACCCAUCUCUCUAUAAAUCUAUAUGUAAAACUCAAUUUCAAACUUAAAUGACCAGUAAGAUAUAAGAGGUCAUAGUAUUCCUAUGUUUUUACAUCGUUGCCACCAGACUUCUUAUUUUAUUUAUAAUUUAUUUCAAGCAUUUCAUUAACUGCCAUAAUUGUAAUUAAUACUCCAUAUUAAUAGCAUAUCAAUCACCCCAUUUCUUUUGAUUGCCAUUCCCUCUAACAUAUCGCCCCUUAAAAUUGAAAACCAAAAAAAAAAAAAAUGUAAAUUACAUAUCCAAUAAUGUACCUAUGAAAAAUAUAAAUAUAAAUAUAUACGUAUAAAAAUAUAGGUUUAUUAUUUACCAAAUAAAAAAUAUAAAAAAACUAGGUCAGUUGCUUUGUAAUUGAAAUUUCUAUACAUUUUCCACAAAUUAAAAAUAGGUACACAAUAAUUUAUAGAAAAUAUAGGUGCAUUAUUUAUCCAUAGGUAAAAAUACCUAUAAAUGCACAUAGGUAAAUUAUUUACCCAUAUAUUAUUUUUUUGCUAAGGAUUUACCUUAGUUUUUAGUAGAUUAAUUUACCUACCUAGAGGCAUAGGUAGCUUAAAAAAAUUGUAGCACCUUAGUUGGUUGCAUACUAAUUUACCUACCUAGAGGCAUAGGUUGCUAAGAAAAAAUGUAGGUAAAUUCAUGUACCUAAACACAUAGGGGUCAAAUAGAGAAUAACAUGUUAUUUCCCUUCGAACAAAUUAAUUUCAAACCAUAACAAUAAUUGAAUUCGGAAAUUGGUAUAAAUAAAAGGAAAUAAAUAAGCUAUCAAUUUGAAAAUUAAAAUAAGAAAUGAUCAAGUAGUCAUAUUUGAAAAAAAAGAAAAGAAUAUAUUCUUGGUUUUUAUAGGAACAACGUGUAUAUUCAAACCAAAUGGCAGUAACUACACCAAGCUUUAAUUACUUUUUUUUAAGGCCAAAAGUCACUUUUGGUCUCUGUAGUUUGACACUUCUAUUACUUUUGACGCUGUAGUUUCAAUUCCGUCAAUUUUGCCAUUGUAGUUUCAUAUUUGUAGCAAUUCAAGGACAUGUUAAUAUUAAUGUCAAUUUGUUUAAUGAUGCAAGGGGUAAUUUCGUCAUCCCAAAAUCCUUGAGCAUAAAAGCUUGUCUGAAAUUCUCCCCAUUUCAUAUUAGGGCUCGAAAUUCAACCACUAAUCCCAAUUUUUGAAGAACCCUAUACCCAAAUGACCAAUUUCAAGCCCUAAUAACAAAUUAGGGAAGUUUUAGAUGAGCUUUUAUGCUCAAGGAUUUUGAGUUGAAGAAAUUGCCCCUUGCACUGUCAAAGAAAUUGAUAGGAAUACUGACUUGUCCUUGAAUUGCUACAAAUACAAAAAUACAGGGUCAAAAUUAACAGAAUUUAAACUAUAUGGUCAAAAGUGGUUAAAGUGCCAAACUACAAGGACCAAAAGUGACUUUUAGCCUUUUUGUUUAAAUAAGGAAAAAACUUACCUAUUAAAUCCUUGGAAUCUAUACAAAAUUGAAACACAGUUAAUCAGCAUUGAAUUGCAGCUAAUUUCUUAAACAAGGGUAUUAUAGGAAUUUAAAAAGUAUAACAUUUAAUCCAUUGAGCUUGAUUAGGAAUCUUGAUGAGUUGGAUCCUAGUUAUAUAGUUUCUCUUAUAAAAAUCGGGUUUUAUUUAUAGACAAAUAAAACAAUGGGUUGUAGGUAAGAAAAUAUUAAUUUGAAGGGAAAGUGUCACAUCCUGGGAUCGGCUCCGCCGUAGCACGAUAUUGUCCGCUUUGGGCCCCCCUCUCUGCCCGCACGGUUUUGUUUCUGGGAGCUCACGAGCAACUUCCCAGUGGGUCACCCAUCCUGGGAUUGCUCUGGCCCCCAACUCGCUUAACUUCGGAAUUCCUAUGACUCCGAAGCCAGUGAGCUCCCAAAAGGCCUCGUGCUAGAUGGAUGCGGGUGUGUACAUAUAAGACACAUCACCCCCUCUCCGUUGGUUGAUGUGGGAUCUUACAGAAAGAGUCAAAUUUACUAAAUUAAUAAAGCAUAAAUUGGAAAGGGAAAAGAUCUAGAGGAUGCAUUGUAGGAUUGCUCAUGCCAAUAAUUGCACCCUCUCGAUAUUGAAAAACCUAUUGUGUAUUAUUAUCUUCAAUCAUGAAUGAUGCACCUAAAACCCAAGUGUCCCAAGCCAACCAUUGCGCUCAUACCACUUGUUGCAGUACACAUUCACCCGUUUUUAAAGAAAGAAAUUCUACCAAUCGAUAUUGUCUCAAAUUUAAUCACAUAGGUCUAUUAUGGUUAACCAUAUGUACUUUUAUCGGCCAUAUAGAGGUACCUUUUUCCAACGUGCAACAAUUGUAUUUGAUUCACAAUUAUGUCUGAUAUACAUCACAUCAUGCCACUUGCCUCAAAUGAAUUUAAUUGAGUGAGGCAAUGGGAAGUAAUUAAGCUCUAUAUUGGUGGGUGGAGUGUUACUUCUGGAACCCUCAUCAUUCGUCCAUACAAGGGAACAAUUCCCUUCCUUCUAUAAAAUGGUGAAGCCAGUUGCUAUUGUUUGUUAGAGUUUUAGGAUCUGAGUGUUAGAUUUUGUGAGAAGAGAGAAGAGAAUUUAGUGAAAACUUCCAAUACUGCUCUGCUAUACGUGUAGCAGAGAGAACAUUCUGUUUUGUUAUAUAUUUUCAGUACAACAACACACACUUGGUGUGAGAAGAAAAAUGACUGUUAUGCACAGUACCAGCUGGAUGCUUUCCAUCAAAGUAAUCUCAGCCAUUCACUAUCUAACCAAUCAAGCUAUGACACCUGGACUAAGUAUAAAGAAAUACAACUAAGCAGAAAACAAGACUCUUAAUCCUGAAAUCAACUUAAGCACUUAUAAUUCAACACUCCCCUUUAAGUCUUGAGGUGAUUUCACUCCAAGCAUGCCUCUGAGAUAAUUGAAUCUGUCUUUGGCCAGAGGUUUGGUAAAAAUGUCAGCCAAUUGUUCAUUUGUAGGACAAUAUUCCAGAUUGAUUACCCCUUCUUGCAAUGCAUCCUUGAUGAAGUGAUACCUCCUGUCAAUAUGCUUUGUCUUCUGGUGGAAUACAGGGUUUUUAGUGAUUGCAAUUGCUGAGAUAUUAUCACAAUGCAAUGGAGUAGCUUCAGUUUGAAGCUCUCUAAAGUCUUCUAGCACAAAACGGAGCCAAAUAGCUUGAGUAGUAGCCUCAGCUGCACUGAUGUACUCAGCUUCUGCAGUAGACAGUGCAACACAGUUCUGUUUCACUGAGGCCCAAGAAAAUACUCCACUUCCAAAACUAAACGCAUACCCUGAUGUGCUCUUGCAAUCACCAACUGAUCCUCCCCAAUCACUGUCACAGUAACCAACUAGAAUUGAUCUUUUGCCUUUCACAUAUUCAAGACCAUAGUCCAGAGUUCCUUUGAUGUAUCUCAAAACCCUUUUAGCUGUUCCAUAGUGUCUAUUUGUAGGACAGUGCAUGAAUCUAGCUAGCAAGCUUGAGGCAUACAUGAUGUCUGGUCUUGUAGCAGUUAAGUACAGCAAGCUACCAACAAUGCUUCUGUAUUGUUCUUCAUUUGCAGCUCAACUCCCAUCAUCCUUAGCUAGUUUCUCAGUGGCAACAAGGGGUGUUGUCACAGGUUUGCACUCAGUCAAACCAAACUUGCUCAACAAGGUGCUAGCAUAUUUCUUUUGAUGUAGAAAUAUACUAGACUCAGUCUGAAUAACUCCCAUGCCAAGAAAGUGAUGAAGUAAGCCCAAAUCAGUCAUCUCAUACUUAGCCAUCAUGUCUUCUUUGAAUUCAGCCAACAAUGCUUGACUGCUCCCUGUAUACACAAUAUCGUCUACAUAGAUAGACACAAUUAGAAUCUCCUUAUCUCCCCUUACUUUGGUAUAUAAGGUUGUUUCACUUAAGCUUUUCACAAAACCACAUUGAGUGAAGUAGCUGUCUAUCUCUCCAUACCAAGCCCUUGGGGCUUGCUUCAGACCAUAAAGGGCUUUAUGCAAACGAUAAACCUUGUCUUCUUUACCUUUAAUUACAAAACCUUCAGGCUGACUGACAUAAACUUCCUCUUGCAGCACACCAUUAAGGAAAGCAGACUUCACAUCAAGCUGGAACAAUUUCCAAUCCUUUUGAGCAGCUAGAGCAAUAAGUGUUCUAAUGGUGUCCAAUCUGGCUAUAGGUGCAUAAGUCUCAUUAUAAUCCAGUCCAGGCUUCUGAGCAUACCCCUUAGCCACUAAUCUUGCUUUAUUCUUUUGCACUGAGCCAUCCAAAUUCAGCUUUGUCUUGUACACCCACUUAACUCCAAUCACUGGUUUUUCAGUUAGUCUAUCUACCAAUUCCCAUGUUUCAUUCUUUUCAAUCAUCUGCAGUUCAUCUUCCAUAGCCUUAAGCCAAGAUUCAUCCUGAGCAACAUCAGCAUAUUUUUCUGGUUCCAUGAUACACAAGUUACACUGAGCUAGAACAUCAUCUAGCCUUCUCCAUUUUAGAGGGGUGUGAUCAUAAGCUUGAGUUCUCCUUUCUUCACUGCUUAUAUCACCUGGAGUUGAUGAAAUGCUCUCUUGCAUAUCCAAAGUUUGAGGUGUACCAGUAGAAUUCUCAUUAGAACUGUCAGAUUUCAAGUCCAAAUCAACUUGGUUUUCAAUUGAGUAUGUUGUCAUAACUGAACCAUUUUUGUUUGUCCAAUGCCAAGCAUUUUCUUCAUCAAAUGUCACAUCCCUUGAUAGUAAAAGCUUGUUAGAAACAGGAUCAAAAACUCUAUAUCCUUUUUCACAAGUUGCAUAUCCCACAAACACUCCCUUUGUACUCUUAGGAUCCCGCUUGUGUCUCAAUUCAGUUGGCACAUGAACAUAACACAGAGAACCAAACACUUUCAGAUGUGCAAUUCCAGGCUUCCUUCCACUAUAUGCUUCGAAUGGAGUAAUGUUGUUGAGAGCUUUGGUAGGACAUCUGUUCAGCAAAUAGAUAGCUGUAUGCACAGCUUCUGCCCAUAGGAAAUAAGGCAUUCCCUUCUCAUGUAACAUUGAUUUUGCCAUCUCAAUGACAGUUCUAUUCUUCCUCUCAACUACUCCAUUCUGCUGAGGAGUAUAGGCCAUUGUAAGCUGCCUUUGAAUGCCAUUAGCUUCACAAAACUCCAAAAAAUCAGUAGACAUAAACUCUCCACCCCUGUCACUUCUUAUGCACUGAACCUUGUGUCCAGUUUGUAAUUCAGUCAUGGACUUGAACUUCUUGAAACAAAAGAAGGCUUUUGACUUGUUUCUCAAGAAGUAUACCCAAAUCAUUCUUGUGAAAUCAUCUAUAAUCAGCAUGAAAUAUCUGUUCCUUGCAACAGACUCAUUUCUCAUGGGACCACAGAGAUCCACAUGUAUUAGCACUAGUACUUUGCUUGCUCUUUGAGCUUGAUCUUUUGGAAAAACAUUUCUGUGCUGUUUUCCAAAUUGGCACCCGUCACACACACCACUUUGUUCUUCCAAUUUUGGUAAACCAUGUACCAUUUCUUUAUCACUUAGCUGCUUCAAUCCUCCAAAAUGCAGAUGACCAAAUCUCUUGUGCCAAAUCCAUGUGGAUUGAAGAAAACUAGUCUUCAUUAGUAACUGUUUUUCAGCUAGAAAAGAGACAGGAUAGCAUCUGUUACUCUUCAUUUGCACCUUUAUGAUGAGAUAAUCCAUGGAUGGGCUAUCAAAUACCCUGCACAUCCCUUCUCCAAACACUAGACAGUACCCAUGUUCAUCCAUCUGCCCAACACUUAGCAGAUUUUCUUUCAAUCCUGGCAGAUACAUUACUUCUCUGAUGUAUUUCCUGCCCUUUGCUGUAUCAAUACUCAGUGAGCCAAUACCAGCUACACUCACUAAUGCACCAGUUGGCAUUUGUACUCUCCCAGCUACAUUAGUUCUCACAUCAACCAGCAAAUCUAAAUUUCCUGUCAUAUGAUUGCUGCAGCCACUGUCAAUGUACCAUUCAUUGGUUUUGAUCUCAGUGGUUGAGCAAUUGGCAUAAAACAGGUUUCCUGUAACCUCCAUUUGAUUUACACAAUUAGCCUUCUGCACAUUUUUGCUCACUGUACAGUCUCUAGCAAGAUGUCCAACUCUGUCACAGUUAUAGCAUUUUGGUUUUCCCUUAUACCUGCACUCACCAAAAUGAUGCUUUGAACACACCUUGCAUUGAGGCUUUGUGUUUUCCUGAUUUGAGAACUGUGUUGAAGUGUGGUUCUGUGCAGAAUAAUUAUUCUGCUGUGUCUUGUCUUUUGCCUCCCAUGACUUCCCUUUAGAGUUCCAGCUUCUCUGUGACUUAGAUGAACCAGACUGAGAAGCAUUUUUGUUCUGACCCUUUGAAUUCACAGUGAAUGAGGCAAAUGCCUUCUCAGCUGUAUCAACACUAUGCAUUUCAAGCCUUUGCUCCCGACUCUUCAAAAUGGCAGUUACUUCCUGCAAAUCCACAGUUUCUAGUGUCUUUGUGUUUUCAAUCACAAUGCAUAUAGGGUCAUACUUCUUACUUAGACUAAUUAACACCUUCUGAACCUACCUCUCAUUUGACAGAACUUCACCAAAUGUUUUCAUUUGGUUAAUCAAUUCAGUUAGUCUAGUAAGAUAUUCAGAUAAGGUUUCACUAUCACGCAUCCUACUGUAUUCAAACUCACGUCUAAGGUUUUGAAGCUUUACCGAUCUAACAUGCUCUCCACCAUGAUAUUCUGAGUACAGCAGAUUCCAAGCCAUCUUUGCAGAGUCAGCAUUGGCAAUUCUGGGAAAAAUCUGAUCAGAAACAGCAUUUUGAAUGAUACCCAAGGCCUUCGCAUCCUUCAUGAGAAUCGCAGCUGUUUUCUCAUCAACUUCUUCUUCUGAACCAUCCUCAGAUUCCUGCUUCGUCUUUGAAUCUGGGAUUAAAAACCCCUUCUCUACCAAACCCCAUAAACCAUAUGAUCUGAAUAUGGUUACCAUCUUAAUCCUCCAAAAUUCAUAGUUCUCACCUGAGAAAAUGGGGAUUCUAGCCUCUGAACUUCCAGAUCCAGCCAUUACGAAUUUCAGAUUCGCCUGGAAACAAGAUGUUUUCAGAUUUGACCCUUGAUCGAGCUCAAUCAGCUUCGUGAGCUUAGAAUGAGCUCACCUCGAUCGAUUUUCUUCACAGAACAACGCCCAGCUUCAGAUAAUCAAACUUGGCUCUGAGGCCAUGUUAGAGUUUUAGGAUCUGAGUGUUAGAUAUUGUGAGAAGAGAGAAGAGAAUUUAGUGAAAAUUUCCAAUACUGCUCUGCUAUACGUGUAGCAGAGAGAACAUUCUCUUUUGCUAUAUAUUUUCAGUACAACAACACACACUUGGUGUGAGAAGAAAAAUGACUGUUAUGCACAGUACCAGCUGGAUGCUUUCCAUCAAAGUAAUCUCAGCCAUUCACUAUCUAACCAAUCAAGCUAUGACACCUGGACUAAGUAUAAAGAAAUACAACUAAGCAGAAAACAAGACUCUUAAUCCUGAAAUCAACUUAAGCACUUAUAAUUCAACAUUGUUACCAUAAGAGCCAGCUCCGACUUUCUUUAAUUUCAGUCCUAACGGGGUUUCAUCUUCCACUCAUCUUUGCUCUUCUCAGUGUAAGCUCUGCAAUUUGAUUAACUUUCCCAUUAUCUCUCACUGUACUCUAUAUAAAGGAAUAAGUGUCGUCCACUAAUUAAUUACACUUUGUGAGAUUUGAUUUUAAUUAGAGUUCGAAUUGAUGUUGCAGCUAGCAGCGGUGGCACUGGCAAACCAUGCUGCUCAACCAGCACCUCAACUUUACUGGAACUCCGUCCUGCCAAACACACAAAUGCCAAGAGCUAUCAGUGAACUUCUGCAUCCUGGUUUGUGUUGAAUAAAUAUAGUAUGUUACUGGAGUACGUAUGGCAACAUAUUCACAAAUGUGUCACGUAUUUUCCAAUAUGACGUUGAUAUAUAAUUGCAGACUCCACAAACGAAGAAAAGAGCACAAAUGUCAUGAAUGCUGUUGGGAAUGGAAAGCCAAUUGACCACAAGGGCAACCUGAAAAUACUGUACUACCACAGCUUGCACGACGCCCAUUUUCUUACAAGAGUGAUGAUCGUCCCACUGACAAUCAACUCCAUUAUAAAAACGUAGCUAUUUUCUUCUUGGAGAAGGACAUGCGCCCUGGCACAACAAUGAGCUUCCAAUUCCCUAGAAAUUCAAACACGGCUACUUUCCUGCCACCAGAAAGAGCUCAAUCGAUCCCCUUCUCCUCUAACAAACUACCAGAAAUUUUCAACCAUUUUUCAGUGAAGCCAACAUCUGUGGAAGCCAAAACAAUUAAGCAAACAAUCGAAGAGUGUGAGGCUCCAGGCAUUAAGGGAGAGGAAAUAUAUUGCGCCACAUCUUUAGAAUCAAUGGUUGAUUUUAGCACUUCGAAUUUUCGAACAAGAAACGUUCAAGCAAUCUCGACAGAGGUAUUGGAAAAAGGUGCCACCAUGUCCAUGCACAAGCAUACAACAAUGCCGGGACUGAAGAAGUUGGCAGGUGACAAAGUCGUUGUGUGUCAUAAGCAGAACUAUCCCUAUGCUGUGUUUUACUGCCAUGUAAUAAAACCAACAGCAGCUUAUGUUCUCUCCCUGAAAGGCGAUGAUGGGGUGAAGAUUAAAGCAGUAGCCAUCUGCCAUCUAGACACAUCAGAAUGGAACCCAAAGCAUUUGGCCUUCCAAAUCCUCAAAGUUAAGCCCGGAACAAUUCCCAUCUGCCAUUUCCUUCCCACUGAUCAUAGUGUCUGGGUUCCGAACCACAAAUCUGCAUGAUCAUCACUUAGCACUGUACGUAUAAUAAGCUUGCACCCCUGUAUAAUUAUCUCCCUACUCUACUUAUUUCUGCCUCUUCAUGUGGUGUAAGAUAUAUGAUGAGAUGAAGUUUUUGGGAUUAGUGGUCGGGUUGCCUUAAAAACACAGAUUACAGAAACUGCUUGAACUUAACCCGAUCAUGUUUUCUCUUGUACUCGUAAAGCAUGCUGUUGUGGUUCUACUUAAUUUCGUUCUCCCCAAUGUUUGAGUGUUUAAUUGUUACGUUGGAUAAUGCUUGUAGUUAGAGAAGCCUUCAUUUAUAUCAAAGUCCUCAACUUGUAAAGAUAUCAAUGGUCCUAGUGCUGCCACGUGUAAGAAGAUUGAAGAAUAAAGCUGUUGAGAUAUUGUUAGACCUGUUAUGCAGUUUAGGAAAACUGUUAGUAUUGAUAAGAGAAGGUUAGAGAUGUUAGAGAGGUUAGAAAACACGUGAACAAGGCUUUAACUCAGCUGAUAUAAAGUCUGUAGUUGUGCUCAGUUGAACUUAAUGAGAAAUACAACAAGUCUCUUCUCUAUCUCUGAAAUUCUCUCUGCUCUCUCUGCUUUACUUCUUUUGUCUCUGCUCUACAUUUUUUUUCAAUCUUCCUAUCUUAACAAAACUAUCAAGAAUUAAUGCAUCCAGAAACAUAUAUACCAAGACGCAAAACAACAUAUUUUUCAUGCUCUGUCUGUAACACCAAAGCAAACUUCCUUUAUCACAAAAGGAUCAAAUUCCAGUACUAAUCUAAUCCAUCAUGUAAAGCAUACAAUCUACAAGUGCCUCCCUUAAUUUGUCCAUUGGAUAUAUAUGUCACUUUUUGGUAAUUUGGUAUAGCAGCACCACGUAGUCUUGAAAUAGUAGUGCGGCUAUACCAAAUAUACCAUUUGCCCCUGCAUUUAACAGAAAAGUAAACAAAAUUGACGGUAGAACUAUUUGUCCUAACGAAACUGCAGUUGAAAGACCAUGAGAACGAUUUUGAAAAUUGAGGGACUCAAAUGAAAAUUGGGUCUAAGUUCAAGAACCAAUAAAACGAUUAACCCAUAGAUUUUGGAUCCAGUACCACAUCCCAAAGAGAAAACCACAAGUUUGCAAGCAAGUUUGUCCAUAAUAACACUACGUACAGUAUGGGCAGUGCGCUAGACUCAUCUCACUUUCUCAACCUAUCCUAUAGUUGUCUAAAAGAGUUUCUAAUUUAAUGUACUGAGAUUUACGAAAGAAAUAUCAGAGAAACAAUUUUCAGGCAAUAAAAAAAUGUCUUGGCAAGAAAAUGUACAAUUUGUUACAUAACUUAUUAAAUAUGAACAGUUGAAAGAAAAAAGAAUCUGGAUGAGGGAUUUGCAAAUUCCUAUGGCCCAAUUACCUUUUUUUCUUUGUUGUUUUUUUUUUUUUUUUUUUGGUUCUUUUGAUCCAGUAGCAUAUUCCAAAGAAUGAAAACCACAGGCAUGCAAUGCAAGCUCUUUUCCCACGUUUUCCUCUGUUUUUCUCCUAUCAUGGAAGUGAUUAAAACACACCUCUAAGCUUGUUUUGCGUUUGGUAGCCGAGUGUAAAAGCUCAAUGCAAGAUAGUUUGAGGUAGAAUUUUCUCCUAUUUUAUUAGGACAAUGAUAAUUAAAAAAAAGUGUGAUUCAUUGAAUAUUUGCGGGGUUUUGUUCAGACCUGACAAAGUUCUAAGUCAACACAUCAAAUUCCUUUUUCCAACAUGCAACAAUUGUAUUUGAUUCCCAAUUUUUUCUGAUAUACAUCACAUCAUGCCACUUGCAUCAAAUGAAUUUAAUUGAGUGAGGCAAUGGGAAGUAAUUAAGCUCUGUAUUCGUGGGUGGAGUGUUACUUCUGGAACCCUAAUAAUUCGUCCCUACAGGACUCUAGAACUCUCAAACUUCUUACAAGGACUACUUAACUCUAUAGCUUAAUGCAUAUAGCAUAUAUAUGCAAACACAAUUAGAAAUUCUACAACAGAAGCAAGAUCAAUCUCACUAUGCCUUCUAAACAAACAAACAAAUAAAACAAGCAUAUUAAUUGCUUUAAUCACUCUACUAACAUCAACACAGCACACUUAGUUUACUAACAGAUGAUAUAGAAAGGAAAAAAAAGGACCAAUAGGGAGAAAAUGGUGAACUAAGGAGAGACUAAUACUUCUGGUCCUUAGAAGGCAUAACAGAAAUAAUAGAGCACACUGCUUGAAUGCAAGUCAGUAUUAGGAGCAAAACAGCUGCAAUGAAAGAAAUAGUUGCCCAAGGUGUAUUGAAAUAAUGUUGCCUCAAAUUUGCCUUCCAUUUGUUCCAAGGCUUUCUGCAGUAGCUAUUAAGGCGCUCAGAAAGAAUAGCAAAGUAGAAGCUUUCACGAUACACUGCAAUUCCUUUUCCGAGGUUGUUAAUCAGAGUGCACACCUCAUUGUAGUCACCAAGCAUAUUUUUGACAAUCCCAUCCUUCAGAAGGAACUCCACAUCCUUUUCGGUGUUCACAAACUCAUCCAUGAGUGAAACAUAAUCACUUAUGUAAUUCUUACGGCAAUGGCACUAUUCAAAGGCAAUGAGGUUACGGAGUGUGAGCUCUGUGUAAUCGUGUAUUUUUAGUUUUGGAAUUUCUAGAAUCCCAUCGUUGAAUUGUGUUAACGCAGCUUUCCUUUCCUAGCCUACACGGAAGUCAACUUCACAAUCUCCUCCUAGCAAUUAGUCUUUCCUGCUGUAAAUCAGAUUUCCUACUGUAAAUCGGAUUGUAUUCAUGUCUAUAUUAUUUCCUACUUUAAGUAGAUAUCUUGUACUAGUAUAAAUAGGGACUUUGUGUAAUCUGUUAAAUACAAGGAAAUAUAUACUCUGCAUGGUAUCAGCCUAACCUAGGGUUCUCUCUCUCUCCCUUAUUCGAUCCUCUUCUCCUUUAGGUCCACCUCAUGGCUUUGUCUGAAUCCACCAUCUCCCUCCCAAGCCCCAACUCUUCUAUUUUAUCAAGCUUAUUGACUCCAACUAUCUUCUUUGGCUCCGCCAACUCAAACCCUUUUUAGUCGGCCAUGACCUCUGGAAAUUUAUCGAUGGCAUUCAUAAACAACCUUCUGCCCACACCUCCACCUCUACCACCGCAACACCCACAACCACCACCACUCUUACCCAAAUCAAUCAUGCCCAUGCUCAGUGGUACCAACAAGACCAACUCAUUGUUAGCUACAUCACCAAUACACUCUCUGAGUCCAUUCUCUUUCUCACUGUUGGUUGCACCUCUGCCCGGGAUCUCUGGGAGUGUCUCCAACGCCACUUCUCUCAAUCCAGUAUGGCCAGUGAAUCUACUCUUCGUUUUAAACUCAUGGAUUUGCAAAAAGGCUCUGAACCCACUUAUGCUUACAUUCGUCAUGCUAAGUCCUUUGCCGAUUCACUGGCUGCCAUCAAUGAACCUGUCUCCCCAAAAGAACUUGUCACUACUGUGCUUUGGGGUUUAAGACCCUAUUGCAACAUCCUCGUCACAGCAAUUCUCAAUUUCCCUCUGCUUCCUAACUUUGCUAAUCUUCGUGCUCGUUUGUUAGCAUUUGACGCACAGACUCCUUGAAUCUCUCCUGAUCAAAACACAGCGCAAAUGGCCACCCAAUCCUCUCCUCACACCACCGGUCAUACUUCCUUCCCUUCUCACCGUGGUGGUGGCUCUUCCAACAACAGGCGUGGUGGCCUCGGUGGCUGGCGCAAUAGCGGCCGGGGUGGCUGGCGCAGCUUCUCAUCUUCCUGGAGCAACCCGUGGAAUGGCUUCCAGCAGCUCCAAUGACCUAAUCAACCAUGGCCUCCUUUUGCUCCAAGUUCUGGAUCUCAAAGCAACUGGCCUUCCUUUCAGCCUCCUUGGGCCUAAUCUGCCGCUUCUAUCAAACACUUUGCCCGGCCCAACUCAGCUCCUGGUGUCUUGGGACCCGCUUGGUGCACUACCUGCAAUACCAAUCACAUACUACUACAAUAUGUCCUCAUCGCUACAAUGGCCCAGAAUCCUUUCUUUGCUAGGGCUCAAUUCAUGUAGCCACCUGACUCUACUUGGUACCCUGACACAAGUACCACUCAUCAUAUGAUUGGUAGUCCUUCUAAUCUCCAAAAUCAAUCCUUCUAAUCUCCAAAAUCAACAGCCAUAUCAGGUUCAUAAUUCUGUAUUUCUUGGUAAUGGAGAUUCUCUCCCUAUCUCUCAUACUAGCUCUCUCUUUUGUCUUCCAUCUCUUCGUACUAAUCUUCUUUUUGUUGCCCAUUUUACUUGUGAUAAUUUAGUUUUCUUUGUCUUUACUCUUGACUUUUAUCAAAUCUAUGACUUAUGUACUGGUUCGUUACUCUUUCAGGGCCCUUCUAAAGAUGGUCUUUACCCACUUUCCAUCUCCUCUCACUCAUCCAUAGUCCCCCAUGCCCUUACCACCGUGCACUCUCCUGCUUGGCAUCAUUGCCUUGGCCAUCCAUUCCAUCGUGUGCUCUCUCAUUUAGCGCCAUCUCUAGGCUUUAAAGUUUCUCAUGCUUUCUGUAAGGAUUGUGCACUUAGCAAAUCCACCAAACUGUCAUUUCUUAGUAAUAAAACCUUUGCCCCAUCUCCCUUUUAUUUAAUUCACUCUGAUGUAUGGAUGUCCUCGGUCAUUUCUGUCACUGGUUAUCGCUAUUAUGUCUUGUUUACAGAUGACUUUUCUCGUUACUCCUGGAUCUAUCAUAUGCACCGUAAAAAUGAGGUCUUUUCUCACUUUCAAACCUUUCUUGCUAUGGUUAAAAAUCAAUUUCACACCACUGUACAAAUUCUUUAAAGUGACAAUGGCACUGAAUAUGUUAAUAAUGCUUUCUCUGAUCUUUGCAGUCAACUAGGCAUCCACCAACGUUUCACAUGUCCCCACACUCCCCAACAAAAUGGCCUAGCUGAACAUAAACACAGACACAUUGCCACCAUGAUCUGUCCCCGGUCAUUUAUUCAACCAUCUUGACCUUUUGCUUGAUCAUUUUCCACAAGCAACCGUCCACGUACCCCAAUAAUUUAAAAGGGCUGAUGAUCUUUAAUUUGGUGAAAGCUUCUAUCUACCUACCGUGCUAUAUAUGAGCUAUGCAAUCGUGACCGUGUUACAUGACGUCCCAAUGUCGUAGGGAUAAAAAAAUAAUAGUCAUGGUUUUCUUAUUAAUGUCAAUACAUUCAUAGCAAAGAGCUUGUAGCUCUAGUGGUUAAGAGCAAUUACCCAUGCACUUGAGAUAUUUUGUGUUUAAAUCCCCUCUUCCCCAAUAUUUCUUGUAUAAAAAUAAAAAUAACAAUAAUAAUGACAUUAAUGUUGUAUUCUAUAAAGUGUUGGACAUGUUUUAUACCCCUUUCUUGCAAAUUACAGUUUGCCACGUGUACAAAAAUAAUAGAUAAGUGUUGGACAUCAAGAGCACUUACAUAUAGGUUUAAUAGGUAAGUUUUGAAUAUUUCUGUAUUUAGCUUUAAAUAUUGAAAAUCAACCUAUUAGCAUAUUAAAGAUUUGUCCAUAUUCGACGUACAUUCUCUUAUUUUUCUCUCAUUGAAGUAAAUACAAAACUAAGCACAUAGUGGGAAAGUGCGUCACGAUUAGGGGUGGGUUUAGUCUAGGUUGGUUCAUUUUUGGGCUCAAUUUGAACACCGAACUGUAAGCUUCGGUUUGGCUAUUUUGGAAACCGAAACCAAACCAUAAUUGAUGAAAACCGACCACUUCGAUUACCUUCUGGUCUUCCAACCAGAAGAAAACUCAAAACUUUAACCAUACCAAGUGCAACAGAAUUACACCAGGCUGGAUUCAAGUUUAUGAUGGUUAAAGAUAAAAACUUAUUUGACAUACAAUUUGAGAAUGGAAUCCUCAAAAUUCCACACCUGCGAAUACGGGGUUUAACAGAAAUUUUCUUCCGCAAUCUUAUUGCCUAUGAGCAGUGUGAGCUUCAUGAUCAUUACAUCAACGACUAUGUCUUCAUCAUGGACCGCCUGGUCGACAGUGCCAGGGAUGUGGAAUUGCUUGUGAAGAGUGGAAUUCUUGAAUCUAUGCUACCGGACAGCGAGGCAGCAGGGGAAUUUAUUAAUUCUCUUGACUUGGGGCCUAUUUUAGGCAAGCUUGAAACAAGACUAUUUCAGUUCACCAUGGGCUGGCCUGUCUAUUAUUGUAGCCGCUAUACUAGUUGUGCUCACAUUUAUUCAAACAGUGUGCUCCGUAAUGGCGCUGUAGGUUCUUCAUUUCCUCAAUUUCAUGUUUAGUGGUUGCAGAUUUGUUGCUCAUGUACGUGUUUAUCUAAAGUUAAAUAAGAGUGAUUGACUGGAUUGACUGUUAGUCUGUUAGUUUGUUUUUCUGGGGUUUUUCCCCCCUGUUCGUCAAAAAAAAAAAUAAAAGAGUGAUGGCUUGUGCCUAUGAAAAUUACUUAGGAGUAUGCUCCACAGAGCCAAAAUAAAUAAACUAGGGAAGUGGAGGUUCUUCUGUUUGUAUAUAAAUGAGCAAUUCAAACUCUCAGUGCCAAGGGAGUUACCCUUGAUACAUUUGUUAAAAAUUAUAUAUUUGGUCUUACAUCAAACAAAUAAUUUGAAGGGCUUUUUUGACAACUGCUGACAGCGUUUGGCAGAAAAGUUUAGAAGCGCUUCUACGCUUCUAGAUCAUAAAAGUGCUUUACCAAAAAGCACUUAGAUUUCUUAUGAAAAUUUCAACAUUUUUAUAAUAAAAGCGCUUGCUAGAAGCACUUAUAAGCAGAAGUGCUUCAUAGAGAAGCAGUCCCAAACGAGCUUGAUUUUCAAAUGUGCUGCUUAAGAAGAAAUUUAAUACGUUUUGAAAACAAAAAAAAAUACGAAAUUUAAUACGUUUGUUUUACAAAUUGUAUUAAUUGUUAUCAAUAAUACUUGUGCACACCCACAACAUACUUCUUUCUUUCUUUAUUUUCCUUCAGUACAGUUCUGCCUUUCUUUAAUUAUUUUUAACGAAUGCAAAGAGUUUGUCACAAAAUCAAGGAUUGAAAAAAAAAGAGAGUAAAUUAUGUGCUAGAGAAACUUUCCUGCAGAAAUUGAAGAACAACUCUAGUUUCUCUCUUUCGCCUUGUACUCCCGCACUGAGGUUAGUAUUGUUAUAAUGUGCAGAUUAUACGGUCACUCUUGUAUAAUGGCGAGAAGGCUCUAAUUAUAUUUUUGAACCUCUUUGACAGGACCCGCCCCGAAUUUCCCGAAACCCAAGACGAAUUCUGUGGAAAUUCCCUACAUCACCCCGAUGUUGGGCCCACUUCUAAAACUAUAUCAUUUUUCCUAAAAAGGAAUAAGGGCACGAGACUUUCUACCGAAAUUUCGGCAGAGUCUCUCCUGUAAAUUGAACAUUUCCCAAAAUUUCAACCUGCAUAAAACACAUUUUAUAUUACCCAACUGGCAGCAUGCACAAAAUAAUAACAUGCAAUUCACAUAAACGGCCUCUGGCCCUCCGGUAAUUCAGAGCAAUGCAAACUAGCAACUCUAAACCUAAUAAAACAACAUAAGUAACAUUUAGCCAGCGGCUGCACCCAGGCACUACCCUAGGCUACCUACGUACCCUUACUAAGGGAUCAAGCCACACGUAGUUCUUUCAUACAAAAUUUCCAAAUCCAUCAACAUGCAAUCAAUUACAGAAUCCCAAACAAAAUCUUUCUCAAACAUCAUUAGUUCCCAACUCAGUAUAAUAAUCCUUAAUUCAUCUCUGUAAUAAUCACAAUAUCUCCCCAUACGCCGGAACUACCAACACCACGUAUGGAGCCUGCCUGUACGCCAGAUAACCAACGACACGUGGGACCUCAUCAUCAUAUCACAUAAUCUCCCCAUACGCCGAAACUACCAACACCACGUAUGGGGUCUGUCAACACGCCGGAUAACCUACGACGUGUGACCUCAACAUCAAAUCACAAUAUCUCCCCAUACACCGGAACUACCUACGCCACGUAUGGGGUCUGUCCACAUGCCGGAUAACCUACGACACGUGGGACCUCAUCAUCAUAUCACAUAAUAUAUUAACGAUCAAGAAAUAUCACUACGGUCAUUUAAUCCUCCUGGGAAGGUAAAACUAUCUCAGGAGACUCACGGUCAACCAAGGGUCAAACUACCUCAUACUUGGACAAACGAGCCCACGGAGCCCACAACCUCCGUUUUACUAUCCAAGAGUUCCUAUAGGUUCUACAAGGUUUAGGAUACACGGCUUGCAAGUUUGGUCAAGAUCAGACGGUCGGAUCGCUCACGAUAGGACGGUUACUGCAAACCUAGCCCUAGGGUUGGCAUUUUCGGAGUAUCCGAAACUCCGUUUUACGAUCUGUCGAAUCAUAGACGAUCCUAAGGAUUUGCAGACUAACUAUAAUAAAUUCAAGACCAUCCAACGGUCUAAACCUAUCGAACCCGGAUAACGCGCAAUAGGCAAUAUCCAAAUUGAAAUCCGAGCACACCUACGCACUCGUGAGGACUAGGAGAUUACAUCGGGACAUAGUGCCCUUUUUCUACAGUGCCCAUGAGCCGCCGCACGCACCAGCAACGCGUGGGUGCCCAAAGCGAUUAUGCAUCGCCAAAAAAUCUCAAAACCACGGCUCAAGACUCCUACCCUAGGUAUAACACCCUAUUUGGAACCACUUUUGUUCUUGGACCUACCCCAAAAACUGAUCAGAAGUGGCCGGAAUGGCUGAAAUGUAAUUCAAAAAUCAAGCUACCAACGCUCAAAAUCGAUGCAAUCCUACCCAACCAUCAACUAGAUUAUGAAGAAUGGAUAAAUUUCCAUACCUUGAUCGCCAACAAUGGCGGCCGGAGGAGAGAGAUCUGAUCCGGCGAAGUUCGAGUGAAAACGGCCAAAAAUCAUCUUUUUCAGGCGGCUGGAGGGCGACCGAUGUCAGGGAAGGGCAGGGUCGUGACGCUAAGGCUGAGCCUGUCCUUUUGGCACCGGUCCCUUCCGCAGCCGUGUCCGGUGGCUGGAGUUUCGAAGAGAGAGAGAGAGAGAGAGAGAGAGAGAGAGAGAGAAAUCUGAUUUUUAUCAAACCUUUUUGCCAAAAUUACGGUUAUGCCACUGAGGGUAUUUUGAUAGUAUCUCUCUCGUUACAACUUCGAUUCGAGCCCACCACGUGUGUACGGACUCAUCUAACUGUGUUGUACGCAACGGUAUAGUCGAAAUUCCCAAAUUAUUUCCUUGUCAAAAAGUCAACUUUAAACAUUAUAAAAUAUUUUAGGGAAAAAAUGGUAUUUUCUCUCAAUAAAUUAGUAACUAAUUUAUUUAGGACUGGGUCAUUAUACUCUUUUUCGCUUCAAUGGAUGGGAAAAAAUUUUAUGUAAUAUCCCACAUCGACCAACGAAGAGGGGGCGAUGUGUCUUAUAUGUACAUGCCCGCCUCCAUCUAGCAUAAGGCCUUUUGGAAGCUCACUGGCUUCAGAGUCAUGGGAACUCCGAAGUUAAGCGAGUUGGGGGCUAGAGCAAUCCCAGGAUGAGUAACCCACUGGGAAGUUGCUCGUGAGCUUCGAGAAACAAAACCGUGAGGGCAGAGAGAGGGGCCCAAAGCGGACAAUAAGGCCUCGUGCUAGAUGGAGGCGGGCAUGUACAUAUAAGGCACAUCACUCUCUCUCCGUUGGUCGAUGUGGAAUGUUAGAAUGGAAUUGUUACCUUUGGUGUGGAGGUGUUCUAUCAUUUGAGCAAGAAAUUCCCACAUAUUCUUCAACUAUUUUUCAAGCAUGCAUAUUCCUCCCUAUCAAUCUUUGGUUUCUUCCUUUACUGUGCAUAGUAAGGAUCCAGUCAGGGACGGACCGUCGCUAUGACUAUCCUGGGCUAUAGCCCAGGCAAAUUAUUUUUUUUUCUAGUCUAAAAUAGCAAUCCCACCGCUUGCUGUAGUACUUGUUCAGUUCGUCACAAACAUGAGCAUAAUAGAAGUUAUCAACAUCUAUAUAGGAACCCCAAUGAAAAGGCUGUUAACUAAUAAUGAAGUUAACCCGUCAAUUUUUCCGCAUAUCAGAUAUCUCUCAGAAUAUGCGAUUCCAUAUUCAAUAAGCCACUCCACAUGCCCUGAGGUUUUCAUCAAACCACCCAUUAAGGAAACAUACUGACUCAUGUAAUUAUCAUUACUCAUCGGGUAAUGCAAUUGUUCAAAGGCAAGGACAUUUCUCAUUAUUUAUGUAGCGAACCCCAAUGGAAAUGGUGGGAUCUUCAGAACCCCAUCGGUGCUACUGAAUUGUAUGUCAAAUAUGUUUUCACCUUGUCACGCCUCAAACUUGACUCCAGCGUGCUGUAAUUCUGUCAAGCUGGGUAUGGAUGAUGGGAGUUUGAUGCAGGAGCAUAGGGGUGGAUCAAGAUAGAUAUUUACUAUUUAAUUAGUUAUUUCAUGAUAUAUUGUUAUUUUCUUAUUUAGGUAGUUUUAUGAUAUCUUUUAUUAUUUAUGUGUGAUUUUAUAAUUAAUUAGUAUACUUUUGGACCAAGUAGCCUUGGUGCUCAAGUCUUGUAAAGCCUAUAAAUAAGGCUAAUGUAAUAGUUGUAGAAUAGAUGUCGAUGAUUAAUAAAAUCGUUUAUUUGUGGCAUGGAUUUGCUACGAUAUAUGUGAGUUUGCACUAGCCCUAGAUUUCAGUGCUCGUGUAUGUGGUUGGUGACCUGUGUCCGGAUCCCGAUCCCCAUCAAUUGGUAUCAGAGCUAUGGCUCAAGAUCUGCUAUAUCGGGGAGGUUUUUGGAUGGAGGGUCGUUUUAACAACUACAACGACAUGGAGGAAAUUAGGAGGAUGCUACGGCAACUUAUGGAACACAUUGCUCGCAUUGAAGCUCGAACCCAGAUAGGUAAGAGUUCUGACGGGGAGGGAUGUGUGAACCCUUAUCUGAACCGAGUAGCUCGCAUCGACACUCUAAGCCGUGAGAGUCUCGACGGGGAGUACGAGGGAGAUAGCCCUUUUCAUUAUUGUGCUCCGCUGUGUGAGUCAAGUGAAGAGGGGCACGGUUAUUCUCAUUGUGUCUUUGAAGGUAUAAAUGAAUUUAGUAAUUUUGGUGCAUCUUGUUAUUCAUCAAAGUUAUUAAAUUUGGAUUUACCUCCAUUAUUUGAUCCUUGCAAUUGUGAAAAUUGCAAUAAAAAUUGUUUGGGUGUUCAAAGCAAUUUUGAUAAGCAAUUUAUUGACCAGAACAGUGAAGAGAUGAGAAUUGAGAAAACUUUCGAAGAUAUUAUUGAUUUUAUGGGCAUUAAUAUUUUCACUUGGAAGGUUGCCAAAAAUCUGGUUGAUUUUGUCAAUCGGUUGAAGAUUCUAGAGAGAAACAUUUGCAUUGCUAGAGGGAGUAAGAAGUCAAGAAUAACGAAAUAUUCCAAAUAUCUUUUUAUUUGGAAAGGAAGGUUUCAAUUGGAUGCUAAAAGAUCCAAAAUUAAUAUGCAGCAAUUGAAGAUUCUACUCGGAUUUUCCUUAAUCAAAGGCUUGAAUUCGAGGACGAAUUCUUUCCAACUAUGGGAGUCUGAUGCAGGAGCAUAGGGGUGGAUCAAGAUAGAUAUUUACUAUUUAAUUUGUUAUUUCAUGAUAUAUUGUUAUUUUCUUAUUUAGGUAGUUUUAUGAUAUCUUUUAUUAUUUAUGUGUGAUUUUAUAAUUAAUUAGUUUACUUUUGGACCAAGUAGCCUUGGUGCUCAAGUCUUGUAAAGCCUAUAAAUAAGGCUAAUGUAAUAGUUGUAGAAUAGAUGUCGAUGAUUAAUAAAAUCGUUUAUUUGUGGCAUGGAUUUGCUACAAUAUAUGUGAGUUUGCACUAACCCUUGAUUUCGGUGCUCGUGUAUGUGGUUGGUGACCUGUGUCCGGAUCCCGAUCCCCAUCAGAGUUCCCCUCCAGCUUUUGAUUCCAACGGUUGAUAGAGUUUAAAUAUUUUCCUGAAAAGAUCAAUAAUAUGUGCCACUGAUCUAAAAGUCUCCAAAUUGUCUUCCAAUUUGUCAACAGGCAAUAGAUGUUCGAAGAAACUGAAAGAAAUACAAAUUAUUGAAAGCCCCUCAGUAAUGCUGUUAUUGUCAGCAUUAGCAGGGAGUGUAAUUUUCUGUGGGUCGAAAAGAUCCUCGAGAAUGAAGAAUGGCAACUGAUUUUCAAGCAACCACGUAUCUGUCCAUGCAUCUUGCAACAUACCUGGUUUGUCAAAUAUGCGGUCAUUUUCGUCCCAAAAUUUGAAGUAGUCCUUCAAUAAGGGCUCAAUAACGAAGGCGGCGCCCACUAGAAUGAUUGUUACAAAUUCAUCACUGCUAAACUUGAUGGGUUCUCCAUAACAACGUCUCAAUCUUGCUUCGUGGUCCUUUAUUUUCUUAAUAUAAUCCUCCAAACUCACAUUGGUCCGACCUAUAAAAUCUUGCAGGUAUCUCUGUUUGUUCUCUUCCAAUACGACAUUCAAGCCUUCCUUUCCAUGGUGAAGUGGACCUAUAGAGACCGACUGCCUGAGGUGUGCAGAGCUUUUCAUUCACACAUACGUAGAUAAAAUGUCUGGGGGCUCAGAGAGUGAUGAAUGUGCAACAGCUAAUGGGAGGGUUUAUAUUCCUGAAGUAAGAAAUGAGGAAACACCAGCAGUUGGGAUGAAGUUUGACUCGCUUGACCUCGUUUACAAUUUCUAUAAUAGAUAUGCAUUCUUGGCUGGCUUUGGUAUUCGACUUCAUUCUAGCUUUUGGGGGAAAAAUAAGAAAGAGAUUUUGAGGAAAGAAUUUGUAUGUUGCAAACAAGGUGCAUACAAGAAGGAUGAAACUCGGGAGAGAAAAAGACAACGGGGAAUAAGUAGAUGCAAUUGCAAAGCAAAGAUUGUGGUUGUGAAGACAAAUGGGAGCAAGAAGUAUACCAUUUCUCUUUUUGCAGAGGGACACAAUCAUAAGAUGACACCCUCAGAAAGAAUGCAUUUAUUGAGAUCACACCGUCAUAUUUCAGAUUCUACAAAAGUACUCACAAAACAGUUGGGUUCAGUUAAUAUUCCCAUUCAUCAGAAGGUAAGUAUAUUCGAGGUGCAAUCCGGAGGAAUGGAUAAAAUCGGUUUUAUCAAAAAAGAUAUCUACAAUCUUGAAUGUAGUGUGAAUGGGAAGCUGAGGAACCACGAUGUUGAACUAGUGACCGAGUAUUUUAUGGCUGAACAGAAAAAAAAUGAGGCUUUUUAUUUCAAGAUUGAGGGAGAUGGGCAUGACAGGUUUAGUCGAUGUUUUUGGGCAGAUGCAACUUCUAGACGGGCGUAUGGGUUUUAUGGAGAUGUUGUUGUAUUCGAUACCACAUUCAACACGAAUCGAUACGACUUGACAUUUGCACCAAUGUUGGGAGUUAAUAACCAUGGUCAGACAAUUGUCUUAGCAUGCGCAUUUUUGAGCAAGGAAACGACUGAGUCGUUUGUUUGGAUGUUUGAGGAGUUUAAGAAAGCCAUGCCAGGUGGGGAACCUAAAACGAUCAUUACAGAUCAAGAUGCGGCAAUGGCCAUAGCGAUUUCAAUAGCCUUCCCGAGUACAUUUCAUCGACUUUGCAUAUGGCACAUCACAUCAAAGUUCUCUGUUAAGUUACCACGUGACGCUUAUAAGGAGUAUUGGCCUGAAUUUCAGAAAGCCAUAUGGGAUACUGACAAUAAGGAUGAGUUUGAUGCAAAAUGGAAUAUUGUGGUUAUAAAGGCUGGUUUGACUGACCAUCCAUGGCUAAGUUCAAUGUUUGAUUUAAGGGAAUCUUGGGUUCCAGCCUACGCACGACAAUUUUUUGCCGCUGGAAUGUCAAGCAGCCAAAGAGCGGAAGGUUCUCAUGGUUUUUUCAAGCAAUACAUAUCAAGGAGAAAUUCGUUGAUGGAUUUCAUAAUACGAUUUGAGAGGGCAUUUUCUCAUCAACGUGAAAAAGAGUUAGUUGCUGAUCACGUAGAUGCAUUUGAAGUGGCUCAAUGUCUUCUACCGAUGCCAAUGAACAAACAAAUGGCUACCUUGUACACAAGGACAAUGUUUCAAAAGUUUGAGCAAGAACUAAUACAAAGUACAGCAUGUUUCCUAGAGCUCAAAACAGAGGAUGCAUGUAAAGUUGUGUUCAACGUGAGCGAAAGGAAAAAUUGGGAAACAAGAGUGGCAGAAGUCGUAUAUGUCAAAGAUUCUGACCACGCAUCGUGUAGCUGCAAAAGAUUUGAAUUUGUUGGAAUUAUUUGCAAGCACAUCCUAGCAUUGUUCAGAAGGGACCAGAUUGAAUAUAUGCCCGAUAAAUAUAUUUUGAAGAGGUGGAAGAAAACUGCGAAAUGUGGAUUGGUGUCAGAUGCAAAUGGCAACGAAAUUAAAGACUGUGCAGAUCCUGGCCUUCUAAUAAAGCGGAGUACAAUGUCUCGACUUGCUUCAAAUGUGGUUGAGGAUGCAUUAAUGAGUGAAGAAGGAUGUGAGCUACUGUCAGAGACUCUAAAAAGUUUGCAGGUGAAGUUGAAGUUGCUGAAGGAUGGACCAAGUAAUAACGAAGUUGGAGGGUCCAGCUCUCAAACACAAUAUAUGAAAGACCCUAAGAGAGUGAGGUGCAAAGGAAGGUCGAAAGGAAUAACGGGAGCAAAGGAAAAGGCAAUGAAGCGAGGGAUUAGACACUGUCGGGAGUGUGGACACAUUGGUCAUGAUAGAAGACAAUGCCCAGCCUUGAACACACCGUAAGAUGCUACCACUAUUUGUAAUAAUAUCUAAAAUAUGAAAAGGUAAAAUUUUUAUGUGCUUGUGUUUGAUGUUUAUGCAGGACAUCACCGUCGAACAAUGACAAAUCAACUCCAAUACAUCGUAGUGACCCAUUAUUCGACGAUUUUGACAAGAUGCACAGACCAACUGAAUGAUUGAUAUUUGUAUUAGACGAAAUGUGGUUGUUAUGAAGAUUAAUGAUCAAGUGAAGUUUUAUAGAUUCAGUUUUUGAAUGUUAUUGUGUUUUUGUUCAUGUCCACCGAUGAGCUCUUACUAUGUCCACUGGUAAUUGAAAUGAAAAUUUUCUUGGUUUCAUUCUUCCAAGACAUUUGGAGACAUGUUAAUUUUACGUCUUCUCCCUAUUUAUAAAUUUUCAUAGACAUUUGAUCAAGUUUGAAAUUUGUAGUUAUGUGAAGAAGCAAUGACUCUUACCAUGUAAAAUGGGCAGUUUAGGGUGAAAUUUGUUUUAACAGAGAUUCAUUUUUCAAUUCCUCAGGGUAAUGCAGCAAUUACAGCAGCCAGCUGUUGUUUCCAUUACCAGUAAUCAUUUCCAGCAGCAGCCACUUUUUCCGACUGGUUAUUAGGGGCACGAUUUUGUACACUUUUGUAAGUGAAGGAUACUCGAAGCACUUUGUUGGAACAGAGCAAAUAGAAACCAGCGGGUAAAAAAAAAACAUAACAUUGCAGCUAAUUACAUUUCGAUACAUAGGUGAAAAAUAUUAAAGGGUACACUAACUUACAUAAAUACUCAUAAUUCCACACACAAAAGAACAUUUGAUUGCAAAACAUAUUAUGUGCUUCCUCAUAGCAAUACCACGAUCUCCCCAACCAACUGAACAACGGUAGCCACAAUCACUGGGUCGUACUCGUCAGCUUCUUCUUAGCAGGUCUCACAUGCUUAUGGCCACUCAUAUCCCUAGUGAUAUACACGAAAUAAAUCUUCAGCAAUAUUUGGAAUUUUAUUAUAUAUAAAUAAACCAUAAACCAUUCAGUAAACAAUGUAUAGCACAUGUUAUGUAACUUAUGACUCACGUGUCAGUUUUUUUUUUAACACAUUAGUACUCCAGCUCUUUAAUGUAAAUGGACAUGAUAAGGAGCAUUUACUGAUUCCCGGCUUUCUAUGAUAUUGACUGCUUCUUGAAUAAUAUUUCCAUAUUUGCAAAAUAUAAUGUUAGACAUUAUAACACAUGAUGACUUGCAAUACAUAGUCCCAAUAAUUAUAUAUCAAGCAAAUGAAACUGAUAUUUGUGUUAUUUUAAGUUAGAUAAUGACAUUAAGGGAGUAUAUGUGCAAUACCACGGUCACCCUCAACCAACUGAACAGCGGUAGCCGCAAUCACUUAGUCGUAUCGGUCGGCUUCUUCCGAGCAGCUUUGACGUGCUUAUGCUCAUUCAUGUCACCCCCAUCGUCUAGUAUCUCUCUCACAGCAUCAGGGGACACAUAGUUCCAAUCAUAACUUGUAUGAGUAGUUGCCGCAAAUGCUCGGAAUUUGUCGAAUCCUUCGUUGAAUGCCAACUCCAGUUCAGUAUGGUGCUCUUCGCAUCGCAUAUGGUUCAUCAAACAACCUUUGAUUUCAUCAUUCAUUACUGUAUCCAACUCCUCAGCUUUCAGCUUCCUGCUAUGACUCAGCUUCAAGUACUUGUUCUUUUGGGAUAACGCUUUGUUCACCCUAAUGUUAAGAUCAGCCAAAAUUGCCUCGUCUUCAACACAUUUCUCGUGCCAUGAAUUGAUCAGUCUGGAAUUAUAAUCCAGCUUGCCACUGACUGCAUGUAUUGCCUGUAAUGGAUCAUCGGAGUCCCCCUCACUCCCAAAUGAUGUUGAAAAAGGAAGGGGUCGGCGAGUACAAUGUGGAAAUAGAACCUGCCACUCCAAUUUGUCAUCUUCGAUUGUGUUGUUGGCGCCUGAAGAGGUUGACAUGCUUGAAUAAUCCUCUUUGUUUUGGGAGGAUGAGGAUUGCAUAUGCAAUUUCGUUUGAGAAAGGGAACAUAGGUUUAUAGACCAACAUACCAAAGCUUGUGUGUAGUCAACAUAUGUACUUUUUGGCGGGAAUUUUUUAAAAAUAGGUGUUAGGUUUUGCUUUUCAAGCAUGUCAACCUCACACUCUCCUGACACCACUGCUAGUGGUUGAAACAAAGUCAAUGGAAGUGACAUCUACUUAGUUAACUCAACCAAACUAGUUAGGAUUAAACUUAGAUUGUAUCAGACCAAAAAAUAAUUUCUACUUUGUCAACCAAAUAUUUUUUGGCGGGAACCCUUUUCUUGGUAUUACUAUCACCCCUUUCAUAUAAAAUCUCCUUCCACACAAAACUCACUCCUCCACCGAAUCUGUCUCCAUCUACCGAUACUCUCUCAAGCAAACAAACUCAUUCCCCCCAAAGAAUGAGCAUAAGCACAACCAAGUUUGAUGUGAGCAUAAUAAACACCCCUCCAAACAAAGACCGGCUUCGACACGCAAGUGAGUCACCGGACAAGCAAUGUCACAUUGCUAGACAGAAUGACCAUUUUGUUGGAAGUUUUGAGUCUGAAAGAGUUGUUGCUUUUUGGAAGGAGAGGCAUCUUCAACUUGGUGAUGAAAUCCAAAGGGCAAGGGCACGUUUGGAAUUUGUGGAAGGCCAAAUUGAAGAUGACAAAAGGCAGGCCAAUCUGGAUAGGGCGAAGUUGUAGCGCAUGAAGCGUAGACACAAACGACUUCGGAGUGUAGCUGUUCAAAAAUACAAGAACUCAUCUAAUGUAGUGGAGUCAAAGAAGCGUGUGAUGCAAGCUGGAUUCGACUACUUCCGAUCCUAUGCAAAACUCGUCGUACCCGGGUUUGAUUGGUCAUCUAUUACCGUUUCCGACGUCACCAAAUAUACUCAGCAAGGGAAGUAACCAUUUUGGUUCUCGUGUUUUAGCAGAGGCAAAUAAGUGGAAUUGGAAUUUUGGUUACACUCUGCUUCAAAGCUAUUUUGAUGCUAACUACUAUGGAAGAUUUAAACCUUAAUAUUUUGAUGUCUUUAAUUACGAAAACAGAAGAUGCAAAGAGCUCAUCUACUUCAGCCAUAUGUUGCUGCCAUGUCCAUUUGUUUUUGAUCACUUAUCAGAUUUGGACAUGGUUGCAUCAUAUGCAAUGUUGCCUUUAUUUAUUAUAUGUUAGGACAAGGUUUAUGGAAAAGCUUUUGUGAGUGCGUUUGUGACAAGGUUAUGGAAUUAUUAUGUACACUUUAUAUAUUGUUUUUUGUACUGGUUCAUUUCCUACUAUUUCUUGCUUUCUUUAUAUUUUAUGUUUGUGGAAUCCCUCUCAAAGUUAACAUAUACUGUGAAAAAAAUAUUAUGCAACUGAUUAUAUAAUCACUCAUAUAGACUAGGACAAAUAUUCACUAAGGGUUUUAAACUUGCUUCACUUGUGUGAUGUUAUUGACAAAAAGUAUGGCAUUAUUUAUGUGAUUUGACAUGAUUGAAAAUAUAUUACUGAUUCCCAAUGCGGCGUCAUAUGGACAACGUAUUGAAUACCUGUGACGUGUUAAUAACUCAAGGUGCAGUUGCAUGUGGACAACUUCUUGAAUACCUCUGACGUGUUGAAAACUCUAGGUGCAGUUGCAUGUGGACAACUUAUUGAAUACGAACUGACGUCUUCAAAGCUCUAGGCGUAGUUGCAAUGAUGGCUUCAAAGCAUGUGCAAUUAUUUUUUAUGUACAUUAUUAUAACAAAACAUAUUAUUGUAUAUAGUGAAACUAAAUAUUGUAUUAUUAGAAAUUAUAUUUCGAAUAUUAUCCGAAAUAUACGUGUUAACGUGAAUUUGGGUUAAGAGGAAAGUGAGUUAUGUACAAAUAAUUUUCAUUUUCUCAUUUUCCGGGCAUUUUUUGGAUUUUCGUAGAAUUUAUUACCUAUGUCCACAGAUUGUUGCACUAAAAAAGCCAAAAUAAUAGCAAGAGGACACCUGGAGCGAUCUCAGCCCGUCACUGAUGACUACUUGCACAAGUGUACGUCAGUCAACAUGGCCACACCCUCCCAUUUUACCCUAAAUUAUUAUUUUAUUACUUUUCCUUACAAAAAUCAGAACUAAUUACACACAAAAUAAAAAAAUUAUCCGAAAAUUGCUACGAACUCAUUGACACUCCAUCUCCGUUGCUGAAUUCUCCGAUUCAUUGUUACGUAUUUGUAAAAUUAAUUCCCAACAUUAACGGGAGAUGCUUGUUGAAGUAGGUUAUUCAAGUUGAAGUUAACAAACAUCAAUACUUAGGGUUAAGAGGAAAGUGAGUUAUGUAACACAAUUUGGAUUAUUUCAUUGCGAGACGAAUGAUUUAUAGGUUCUCCUAGUUUUAUGACGUCACAAGUAGGCCGGAGUAAUUUUUGGGGCAUUUUUACGAUUUUCCUACUAUUUUUUACCUAGUUUCAAAGAUUUUUGAACAAAAGAAUCCAAAAUGUAAAAGAAGAUGACACCUGGCGCGAUCUCAGCCCGUCACUUUUCACUACUUGCACAAGUGUACGUCAGUCAACAUGGCCACAUCCUCUCAUUUUACCCUAAAUUAUUAUUUUAUUACGUUUUGUCUUGGAAAAUUCAUAACUAAAUACACAAAAAUUCAAAAUUAUUUCUGAAAAUUGCUACGAACUCAUUGACACUCCAUCUCCGUUGCUGAAUUCUCCGAUUCAUUGUUACGCAUUUUUAAAAUUAAUUCCCAACAUUAACGGGAGAUGCUUGUUGAAGUAGGUUAUUCAAGUUGAAGUUAACAAACAUCAAUACUUAGGGUUAAGAGGAAAGUGAGUUAUGUAACACAAUUUGGAUUAUUUCAUUGUGAGACGAAUGAUUUAUAGGUUCUCCUAGUUUUAUGACGUCACAAGUAGGCCGGAGUAAUUUUUGGGCCAUUUUUACGAUUUUCCUACUAUUUAUUACCUAGUUUCAAAGAUUUUUGAACAAAAGAAUCCAAAAUUAACAAGAAUAUGACACCUGGCGCGAUCUCAGCCAGUCACUUUUGACUACUUGCACAAGUGUACGUUACCGAACAUGGCCACAUCCUCCCAUUUUACCCUAAAUUAUUAUUUUAUUACCUUUUUUCUUGGAAAAUUCAUAACUAAAUACACAAAAAUUAGAAAAACGAUCCGAAAAUUUCUACGAACUUAUUGCGAUUUCAUCUUCCUACUGCAUUCCCUGUUUAAUGGUUAUGCUACAUUAGUAUUUUAUUAUUAUUUAUCCACAAUUAUUAUAAUUAUUAUGAUAUUACUUUUUAGGCUGUCCAUUUGUUAAUUAUACCACAUCCAACUUGUUGAAAACAAUUUUAUUUUCCGUGCGAAUAGGCCAUUUGUAGUGCUUAUCGGUUUCUCUGUUCUUCAAUUUGUUAAUUUUUUUAUUUUUUAGGUUGAAGGGAUGUUUUGAAACAUAAUAUGGAAAUAUACAAGUCAUCCAUUGUACUCCUUCCACACAAAAAAAUAGUCUACGUCAUUCACUGUUCAACACCCUAGGUUAAGACACGUGUAACCAAAUCCGUUCGGAUAUGCUAAGUGGGAAAAUGUCAUUCCCAAGCACUGGUGAAAAGACACUUAUUUACUCCAUGCAUGACUUUUGGUUUACCAAAUAUGAAGAUUGGGGUCGGUGAGCAAAAUAUCUGUGUCAGUAAAAUGUCAUUCCUAGCCAUCUAUGAUGUAAGUAAUAAUUCCGCUAUAUAAUAAAUAUUAUACAUUUAUAUAUAAAACGGUUUAUGACAAAAUACCAACAUUUGAACAACAUUUAAACUGAGAUAGGUAUAACGUAGCCAGCCAACCUAGAAGUGAAGAGAAGCAAGUCCACAAUGCAUCAAAACUGUAAAUUCGUACUAAAACUAAUGCAAAAAUACGUGAUUCCCUCGCACAACUUACUCACGCAGGAUUUUGCACCAAAAAAUACUCUCACGGUGCCAUUUGCAUCGGUUGCAGCAAGUCCAAAACGCAGGAUUUAUCUUGUCUUCACUAGGCCACCCUGGAAUAACAAAAUACCAUUCAUUGUUGUUACAAGCGCUGCACCGAUUGAACUUAAUCUUCCCAUAGUCAAACAUAUCUACGAUAUGUCUUGCAACAAAUGCUCCGCGACAUCUUCCUGUUAAAGCAUCCCUGGUUCCUUUCAUAUCAAUGUUGUUACGUUGAUUCAAAGAACACAAGAAUUGUAAUGCAUCCUCUUUUGACUGACCAAUUCCGGACAUACCAAGUAGUCCAACUACAUAUGCCGCUUCCAUAUGGCCUGCCGUGGCUGCAAUGCGCAUCCCAUACAACGCUUCCACCUUACCGUCUGUGAAAAAACCUUCGAAUGCUUCUCUAAAUAUGGACUCAGGGUUAUCGCAAGCCCUGCAUUGUUGCAAGAAAUGCUGGACUGCAGGUUUGGCACGGUAGCAGAUAGGAUGGUGUGGGUACUUUGCCAUUGAAAUGGUGUUCCACACUUGUGGACUGUUUGCCAAAAUGUUGAACAAUCGGCACACACAUGCCAUACGGAAGAGAUCUUCCGAUGAUUCGGUUGCCACGUAUAACAUCACUUGAAACCAAGCGGACUCCGGGAUAAAGGCUUCGGGCAUAUCGAAAUGGAGAUGCUUCCUUCUCUUUCCUCCGACUGUAGUGAAGUGUUUCGAAUUCAUUGAAAAGUUUUUGGAAUGGAACGAUUUGAGGAGUGGCAGAGGGGAUAAAUGAUAAUAUUUGGGGUACACGUUCUACUUCCGAGCCUCUGUUUAUAGUGUUUUGAAAAGGUGUUUCCAGUUGGGGUUUUUCCAAGUUGACCCUUUUGAAAGAAACUGAAUCCAAGUGAAUUAAAACUUAAGACAAAAGAAGGGAAAACGUCAUAACGGUGCAUACAGAGUCAGACAGUUAAAAAGUUAAUUAAAUGGCUAUUUGCAUAGCCAUUUUUGGGUUUAUCCCACUAUCAAAUUCAUUGAUACAAAUGUGAUGGAUUACUGACUAGUGACAGAAGGUCCCAUCAUAUACUUUUUCAUUUUCGCACACCCAACUAUCCCUAGUAAUGUUAUUAAAAUGGAACCAAUAAUGACGGAUUCUUAUCCAACUAGUUGCCUUAAUGAAAUAUAAAUAAAUUAAUAAAAUUGAAGCAGUGUCCCGUCAUUAGUCAGAAAAUAUAUUUGGUAGUGAAGUAGUUUCUAUUGCUUUUCGGGCUAAAAGAUGUCACAAUGCUGACGGUACAGGUGUCGACAUCGUGACCAACCCACCAAAUGAUCCCAAAAAAAAGUAAUAUAACUCGAUUUGGGCAGAGAUGAGAGAGAGCUGAGUGACAAGUUUAGGGUUAUGAGUGAAGGGGUAUGAAUGACAACUAUGAGUGAGAAGGUAUGAGUCCGAAGAGGUUUCAGUGAGAAGAUUUGAGUGAGAAGAGGUACAACUGAGAAGAUUCAACAUGUCUUCGUCUUCAUCUCCUGCUCAAACAAAGAGGUGUCAGUAUUGUGGAGCUACAAUGGUGCUUCGGGUUUCAAAAUCUGAAAAAAAAUCGAGGGAAGCCAUUCUGGAAGUGUCUAACCUCCUAUGUAAGUUUUAAUUUAAAGAAUAUGUAUGUGGGUGAAAAAAAACCUAUGUCUAACUCUGACAGAAUUAUAUUCCAUAUAUGAUGCCUGCAAUUAGGGAGCCACCAGUUGCAAUGGAUUCGAAUGGGUUGAUGUAACCUCCGCUGAAGCAGAACAUCAAGAUGACACGUAUGAUGUUAGAGUGCUGAACAUGCUGAAGUCCAUUAAGGACUUGGUAUUAGUUUUAUUAGUUGUAUUAAUUGUCAUUUUAUUUGUUCUUUUAAUGAUCAUUUAACUGCACGGUUUAAAAGAUUGUGAAAGUUCUCUCGCACAAGACAUAUUGCACGCACCACCAAUGAGACCCUAAACCCAUUUUGUAAUAUUUGGUAACUGCAUGUAUUUCGCAUGUUAUUGAAUGUUUAUUGAAGGUUUAUUGAUAGUUUGCUGCAUGUAUAUGGAAUAUCAUUGCCCCAAAAUUGGAUGUUUAUUGGGGCCACAAGUAUCACUCAAGUAAGAAUGAAGGGGAGAAACGGACCUUAUUCUUUCUUAUAGUAGGAAGAACAACUGUUAAGUUUAAUAUCCUAUUCAAUACGACUUCCCUAUGGUUGGUGUACUUGGGGACUGAAGUAUAUUGCAUCAUUAUUGUGGGCAAGGGCAUGUCUAUUGUGUGUGUUAAGGGAGUAUUGUGUGGGCAAGGGCAUGUCUACUGUGUGUAUAUUGCAUGUCUACUGUGUGUAUAUUGCAUAUCUAUUCUCUGUAUAUGGCAGGCCAAGUUUGUGUAUAUUGUUUGUCUGUUGUGUGUGUAUUGCUUGUCGGUGCGUUUGUGAAUUGUGGUUCAUUUUGUGUAUAUUGUCUUUGUUUCUACUUUUAUGCUACUGAGCUGCGGAAAACCUCGCAUGUUUAGACACCUAUUAUGAUGCAACACAUUGCGAUUAAUGGUGGCUUGCAUCAACAAUGACAUAUCACUUUGCAAUGAUGUAAUACACUUAAAAAGCCGUCUUCAAAUCCCAAUUCACAUAUGCAGUCUUAAAAUUCUAAUUCAAUGCAGUUUGGUUAACAAACAUGUAAAUGUCAUGAAGGAGUUAGCGGUAGAAUUCGAUAAGGACCCGUACGUCUCUAUUGUGUAUUUACAUUAGUUUGAGAAUGGACAUUCCCAAAACCUUCUCAUGUACCAUUUGUCAUCUUCAACCAAUAUCAUGGGAAGUAAGCAUCUCCCCUUGUUAUCUCCGCAGCCAAUUUCAACCGAAAAAAAGGCAUGUUGUGCGAGGUGCAAGUAGCUAACGGAAGCUUAGCGCUGAAAAGCUCAAUGUACUUUAACACAAACAUGCCACAAUCGCCUCUGAAGCAAAACAAGAACUCGAUCAAUUCAACUAAUGACAUUCUAAUGUAAUUGACAAUUGAAAGUAAUAAAAUUAAAUUGCAAGUUGUGCUUACUCAUUAGACUGUUGUGGAACAUCCACACGCUCUAUUGGCCACGGACACCACCAAUCUCGGCUGCAAUUGUUUGCAUAAACACCUUCUUCAUAAAAGUCGAUGGUGUUGAGAAGAUUUGGAAGCGUAAUUGAUAGCGGGCCGAGUUCUUCCUUUACGAUGUCAUCUGGAAUUAGUGAAACCUUUGAAUCGUACACUUUGAUUCACACAAUACCAGAUCAAACANNNNNNNNNNNNNNNNNNNNNNNNNNNNNNNNNNNNNNNNNNNNNNNNNNNNNNNNNNNNNNNNNNNNNNNNNNNNNNNNNNNNNNNNNNNNNNNNNNNNNNNNNNNNNNNNNNNNNNNNNNNNNNNNNNNNNNNNNNNNNNNNNNNNNNNNNNNNNNNNNNNNNNNNNNNNNNNNNNNNNNNNNNNNNNNNNNNNNNNNNNNNNNNNNNNNNNNNNNNNNNNNNNNNNNNNNNNNNNNNNNNNNNNNNNNNNNNNNNNNNNNNNNNNNNNNNNNNNNNNNNNNNNNNNNNNNNNNNNNNNNNNNNNNNNNNNNNNNNNNNNNNNNNNNNNNNNNNNNNNNNNNNNNNNNNNNNNNNNNNNNNNNNNNNNNNNNNNNNNNNNNNNNNNNNNNNNNNNNNNNNNNNNNNNNNNNNNNNNNNNNNNNNNNNNNNNNNNNNNNNNNNNNNNNNNNNNNNNNNNNNNNNNNNNNNNNNNNNNNNNNNNNNNNNNNNNNNNNNNNNNNNNNNNNNNNNNNNNNNNNNNNNNNNNNNNNNNNNNNNNNNNNNNNNNNNNNNNNNNNNNNNNNNNNNNNNNNNNNNNNNNNNNNNNNNNNNNNNNNNNNNNNNNNNNNNNNNNNNNNNNNNNNNNNNNNNNNNNNNNNNNNNNNNNNNNNNNNNNNNNNNNNNNNNNNNNNNNNNNNNNNNNNNNNNNNNNNNNNNNNNNNNNNNNNNNNNNNNNNNNNNNNNNNNNNNNNNNNNNNNNNNNNNNNNNNNNNNNNNNNNNNNNNNNNNNNNNNNNNNNNNNNNNNNNNNNNNNNNNNNNNNNNNNNNNNNNNNNNNNNNNNNNNNNNNNNNNNNNNNNNNNNNNNNNNNNNNNNNNNNNNNNNNNNNNNNNNNNNNNNNNNNNNNNNNNNNNNNNNNNNNNNNNNNNNNNNNNNNNNNNNNNNNNNNNNNNNNNNNNNNNNNNNNNNNNNNNNNNNNNNNNNNNNNNNNNNNNNNNNNNNNNNNNNNNNNNNNNNNNNNNNNNNNNNNNNNNNNNNNNNNNNNNNNNNNNNNNNNNNNNNNNNNNNNNNNNNNNNNNNNNNNNNNNNNNNNNNNNNNNNNNNNNNNNNNNNNNNNNNNNNNNNNNNNNNNNNNNNNNNNNNNNNNNNNNNNNNNNNNNNNNNNNNNNNNNNNNNNNNNNNNNNNNNNNNNNNNNNNNNNNNNNNNNNNNNNNNNUUUUCCUCUCCCUCAUCUCUAUUAUUUGGCCCUUCACCCCCUUCAAUCCCUUCAUCUUCUUUUUCCUCUCCCUCAUUUCUGUUACUUGGCCCUUCAUCCCAUUGAAUGUCAUCCAUUUCCCCAUAUCCCUUAAAUAGAUGUGAGACGACACAACGAUUCGUCCUCUGUUUCAGUAAAGCUAGGUCCCUCCUUACUUCCUGCUCAAACUGAGGACCUAAACAUUGGUCCAAUAGUUUUUCCAUCCGUAUGACCUUUAAGUGAAGGACGUCUUUUUCCCGCUUUUCUUGAAACAACUCGGACCUCAACAAGCUUACCACCUUGUUCAACUCAUCAAGAUCACCACAUGAAGAAGGAAUUGACUCUGCCGAGACAACAGCAGGGCGAUCCUGUGGCCAACUCCAAUAUGGCUGUCUCAUUUCCUCUUCACUUAGACAUAGCGCCCGCAACUGAACUGACUGUUUCAGAAUACAGACAAGAGUCAUAUUAAAUCAUUCUACUUCAUAAUUUCAUUCAAUCUUAUCAAUAGUUCUAAGGGCUGCAAACCAAACCUCUUUGCUCUGGAAAAAAUAAUUGUUCAACUUUCUCAUCUCUGGAACAGACGUAGUAGUUCUCCAUCGCAAAAUACGCGGGACAGCGGUCGGAUCAACAACCUUGCAGUAAUUCAGGUCCGCCAUUCUAGGAAUUAAUUCAUAUACCCAAAUCUACACAAUUCACAGGACAAAAGUCAUUAUUUAUGUUUUAAAGAAAAACAAAACAUAACUGACAUGAACAUUAUUACCAUGUACCUGGAAAGCAUACGUGAAACCUUUAAAACUCCAGCCACUCCUUUGCGCUUCACUAUGCUUAUCCUUCUUGCCCUUCUCAUUUCUCCGGCUUGUUCCCGUUACCUUACUUUUCCCCUUCCCUCUUCCCUCUUCAUUUUCCAAGCUUUUCACAUACUUUGUUGGUGCAGAAAAUAGACUGUCUUGGGUUUUGUCAAAGGACACCGAACCCCACGGAUACCUGUUGAACGCAUCCAAGUCCUCUACAAGGGUCAGGUAAUUUAGAUUGAUGUUCAAAUGUUUGUCCCUUCCCAAAACCACUAACUCAGCAAAGUAAACAAGAGGUAGCUUGAAGAUGUCAUCUUCCUCUGUGCACCUCACAAAUGCUUCUUCUAAAGCAUUGCAUGUAAUUCCUUCGUCUAUAAAAUAUCUUUUCUGAAGUCUGAUUUCAUUACUCUCUCCACUGGAAACUUCAGGCACUUCCCCAAAACGAAGCCCUGUGAUCAAACAGAAAUCCUGACGAGUGAACUGAGCAACGUCACACCCUAAUAAGAAACUCAGUCCAUCCAAGUCUUUCACACCCUGCCCCGCUACUCUACGCAACACAACCCCAUGCACAAUCUGUCCGCUAAACUGAAUCUUAUCUAUAUUCAGAAGAUGGCCAAAGCAUGAUGUCUUGAAUUGUUCUAAUUGUUCCGCACUCAACUUCGCUCGAAUUGCAGCUAGAGAUGAAUUUGCAUGUGAGCAGUUGUUCACCCGUGAUGAAUAUACCUCUGCCUCUGGCCAUACCAGCUCCACGUUGGAUCCCAUUUCCUCAAAUACAAUGUGAAAUAACGUGAACAUAUAUACUACCACGUAUUUGCACAAUCACAACUAGUCAACCAGGCACAUUACAACUUUUACAAAGUACAUGAGCAUAUGGAUUACUCAUCACAGGCUUUAACAUCAUCAAAGCAAUAUGACAAUUUUUGUGCAAAUACCUGUUAAUGCAAUGAUUAUGUGAAUUACAAACAAUUUCACGUGUUUUAUUUAUGGAUCCAUACUCGUGUGAGUGCAAUGUAGGCAAGUUCUGCACUUCACACACAUGACAAUUAUUGUCAUCUCAUACACAACCCAAAAUAAAUAAAUAAGAAAUAUAGUGGAAGGAAGCAAAGCAAAGCAUGUACUCUGCUAUCUGCUUGCUAAGCAAUUGCCACAUCCUUCUUUCUUUCUACCUUUUUCUUCAGUCACCCACAAUCGUCAUAGAUCAACCUUCAUUUCAAAUGCUUUGCACUUUUAUUCAUGAGUUUAUUAUUAUCUGUUCUCAUUUCUCAUAGGCAAAUUUAGUAACAAAUGAAAUAAUAUUUAUUUCACAAAAUAUAUAAAUUCUAGUGCCAGAGAGGUACUCUUCACUCUGCACUGCUUCAAAUGUGGAAGGUUUUGAGAUGUUAUUGACAUGUGAUUGACUUUAUUUUCAUUCGUUUUUUAACAUAUACCCAAGCAAAAAUUAACAUGCAAUUGAAGCACAAAUAAGAGAUGCCAAAUCCAACAACAUUGAUGGUACAAAUUGGGGAAAACCAUUACUCUAACCCUAAACUCAAAUUCCUUACAUUACUCAUCAAAUGCUUUGCAGUUCUAUUCAUGAGUUUAUUAUUAUCUGUUCAAAUGUUUCUCAGGCAAAUUUAGUAACAAAGGAAAUCAUAUUUACUUCAUAAAAUAUAUAUAUAUAUAUAUAUAUUCUAGCGCCUCUUCUUAAUCUGCACUAUGCACUGCUUCAAAUGUGGAAGGUUUUGAGGGCCUCCUCCAAUUCAACACCAUUAUCUUAUUCAUAUCAUUAUUGACAUGUUAUUCACUUGUUAUUGACUUCAUUUUCAUUCUUUUUUUAACAUAUACCUAAGCAAAAAUUAACAUGCAACUGAAGCACAACGAAGAGAUGCCAAAUCCAACAAAAUUUAUGGUACAAAUUGGGGAAAACCAUUACUCUAACCCUAAACUCAAAUUCCAUAAAUUACUCACCAAAUGCUGGUUAUUGCAAGGUGUCUGUGUGGGGUCUUUCUGUUUCUUUGCUCCACAAAUGGAACCUACCACUUCCAACGAAUACAGCUUUUCCCCUUCCCCUUCCACUGCUUCGCCUCUUCACUGAUUUGGAAUCCACACCUUUGCCCCUUCUACUCCAAAUAAAUACUUUCUCGGGGUCUGGAGAACGGAGUGGCGAAUCGUUGCCUUCAACUGUCGUUAGCCGUUGCCUUCAUUGGGUAUCUCAGACCUCUGUGUUUUAGAGAGAUGAGUUCUUUCUGUUCAAACUUCGAACUUGCCUCUUCUUCUUCUUUUUCGGACGUGUUUCCCUCUUCUUCUUCUUUUUGGACGUGCUGGAUAUUCAAUUCGGGUUUGGGUUCCUUACCUACCCAAUUGUGAAACUUUAACUCAAUUCUCCCCAGCCCUUGGAUUAAUCUGAUGGCUAUAAAGUGAACCCCUUAUAACUUACCCCUUAUAACUUUCCACUCAUUAUAGUCUUGGCCAGGUAUGGCGGCCAUGCUAGUAAGUGUUGGGUCUUUGACCCAACUUAAGCUAAAUGGGUCAUAAGAUGACCGAUCAUCUUAUCUCAUAAGGAUAUAUAAGUCAUGUUAUGAUUUAGGAUUUUAUAGGGUUUCCUUUGUAAGAGGUAAGAGAGAAACAAGCUCUCUCUCUCUCUACACAAGGAGGUCAGCCAUAGCAAGGGAAAGGCUCCUAGCACUCUCCUCUCUCUUAUUAUAUCAUCCUUCCAAGGACAGCUUUGGUAUGGUAAAGUUGGAGGUUGCACACUUUGUGCACUUUGGUAAGAACUCAUCCAAGGGAGCCAAGAUUAAAUUGGUUAGCUGUUGGAUUAAAUUGGUUAGCACGAUUCAACGGUUAAUAGAUAAAACUUCACAUAAAAGUCAUAUAUAAGGCCCUCACUAUAGAAUGACUCGUUAGUUUAGUCUCUUGUUACAUAUCAAAUGUUAGAGAUAUUUUUUAAUAAGGAUCUGCCAUACCACAUAGUUGGAUAAGACAUUAUACACGGCUUUUGUAAGAGCAUCUCCAGCGCUCCAAACUAGCCCAAGCAGCAGGGGGGCCUAAGUCUAGGAAGCAGCUCCAGCUCGCAAGAUUCAACCCAGGCAAGGUGUGGAACCCACGAGGAGAUCUAGCCCGUCACCUUGCCUUUGGGUUUCAGUCAAGCUGAUGUCAACGAAAGAAUUUCAAAUUUUUUUUACCGUUACAAUGUACGCGCCAACGAUAAAUUUUCUUUGGAUUUCUUGCAUUGAUCCACAGCUACCAAAAACCAACAGCUACAAGCCACGUGGCUUCUCCAGGAGCCUCCGAUCCAAAAAUCAUGUCAAAUCUAACGGCAGUCCAUUUUUUGGCUAAAAAUAUCAAAAAAUUAUGGAAACAUGUUCUAUAAAUUCCUACAAAUAUUAUUCACUUCCCACACCAAAUCUUCAUACAAAUUCAUAUCCUUUCAAUAUUUUUCACUUUCCAUACAAGAUUUUCUACUACUAAGUUUCGUUUGUGUAAAAAUACAAAUGACCUCUUCUAUCGAAGCCGGAGGCGCGUGUACAACCGUGGAAGAUAUUUUGUUGCGUGAGUGUUGGGUCAAAGUUGGUCAUUCCCUGAUCACGGGCAAUGAGAUGAAGUCCUCUCGUAGGAGUUUCUGACAUCGCAACGAAAGUAAGAUGUGAUAUGAAAAUGUAAGGAAUUUGAUGAGAGGAAUGGGAUUUGAGGAGUUUGAUGUAGGAAUUGAUGUAGGAAUUGAAUUUGGGAGGUAUGUAUAUAAGAUUUGAGGGUAUGUGUUUAGGGAUUUUGAUAAGAGGAUUUGAGGAAUUUAGAUUUGAAGGAUUUGGAUUUGGGGAAUUUAAAUAUGAGGAAUUUGAUUAGGGUUUGGGUUUGAAUAUGUGAAAUUUGAUAUGAGAGUUUAGAGACAACAGAUGAUCGAUUGCUCUGAUACCAUGCUAAAAUAUGAUAUGGUUUGAAUACUUUAGGUUGAGUUUUAUUCUUUUCCAUAAAAAGGUAUAUAUAGGAGUUUACAUGAGUGCUUUACAAAGAAAUAGAUACAAUAAUCAAUUAGGAUAAUAUCUCCUAAUUAUACAAUAAUUUGUCAACUAUAUAGAAUAGGAAAGUAAAUUCCUUAAUUAAUCAAGAAAAUAAAUCUCAUUGAUUAAUUAGGAGACUAACGUCAACAUUUAUAAGCCAUAAAAGAGCAGAAAAAGAGGUACUUAGGAGAUUUUAUACGUCGGACUAAGGUAAGCUUAAAGGACUAUAUCAAAAAAAUAAGGGACCAAGAAGCAAGACAGAGAAGUUGUUAUGCAAACCCAUUAAGUUUAGCAGUGAUGAAUUUGUAAAAAUCAUUCUAGUGGAUUCUGCCUUCACUAUUGAGUUCUUAUUGAGGUUCUAUCUGAAAGGAUCUGGACAUGAAGGAGACCGCUUAUUAAACAAACCGUGGAUGUUUACAGCCUGACAUGUGGUUGCUUGAAAAUCAGCUCCCAUUCUUUAUUCUUGAGGAUCUUUAUCACACAUACAUAAUAACCGACUCUUUUAGGAAUUAUUACAGUACUCAUGAUCAUGAGAGGCUUUCAAUAAUUAAUAUUUCUAAGAAUUUCUUCACAGCCGGAAUAUUGAAUUUGGAGGGGAAGGGAGACAAAUGGAACAGAAUAUCAUCUUCUUCUAGUGUUGGAAAUUUUAUAUUAUUUAAUAAUAUUUAAUUUCUAUUGUGAAUGAAAAAUAAGUUUCUUUAAGAAACGUGUGUCUUAGGCCAGUUUUUCUAACUGGUCGGCUUCCUUAGAUUUGUGCCUAUUGCUUUUCAAAGUAUAAUGAUGCAAUGGUUGUAUCUCGUUCAGGCAAAUGGAAGGUAUAUAGCAAUUUAUAGAACAAUACAGUAAUCCAGAAGAAAUAUUAUGAAAUGAAAAGAAUAAAAAGUAAAAAAAGAGAAAGAAAGGAAUUCCCACCUGCAAUGUAUAUGUAUGAAAGGAAGGACCAAGUUUGUUUUAAAAUGGUAAGAACAAGUUGAUUUUAAAUUGGGUUCAGAUCAACUCAUAGAUUUCUUGCCUUUUCUGUUCUCCUUCCUUGGACAUGAACUGUUUAAUCUUGGACUCUUCCCCAUCAUGUUGGGCCUGUCUUCUUCUUGAGGAUUGUAUAGGCCUAGGAAAUGCUUCGGGGUAGUUUUUGUGUUUUGGGCAUUGGGACCCAACUUCACAAAAAGAAAACAAAUUUGACCAAAACACAAAUUUGAAGGACAUUGAAAUUGUACCCGUAGGAUAGAUUAAAACACUAUAAGGGAGGUAAAUAGUACGUUUACAGAGUUUAAGUGUAAUAAAGGAAUAAAAACAUGCCCAGAGAAUUGAUAAGUGAUAUCAAUUCUUGAAUAUACGUGAAAAUUAUUUUAUGUGGUUAAACCCCACCUCUGGGGAAAAUCCACGGAACUUCUUAGUCCAACUUCUAUCACUUAUCCUAGACACAUUCUAGAUAAUGUUUGCCAACCUCUUCGUAACUCAACUUCUGUCACGAGAUGAUCUUUCAACACUUUAUGUCGAACGCAAUACUGGUCACGAUUUCUUCAAGCUCGCCGGAGUUCUUCCAAUUCUCCUUAUAUUGAAUCUGAUACUAGUCACGAUCGAUUCAAGCUCAUCGGAGAAAAAUCGCCACAACAAUCUUGGUGCCCUCAACCGUAUGAGUCACUGAACAUGCAAAUGAAUACAAUAUGAAUGAUAAAAGUGUUUGAUAAAUCACCAAGUUAUGGAACACUUGAUGAUUUAUCUCAAAUAAAAAUUCAGCUUUCCAAAGUUUAUGAAUUGAAAAUAUGACCGUUAAAGCUCUCUAAACAAAGAAGACGAAGGUCUUAUUUUAUAGACUUUUACUUUACAAGAAAGAAAACACGUUGAAAACCAAAUCUCCAAUUUCCAAGGCUUGACAGAAAAUCACAAAAUUAUCUUUCCUAUUCUAGAGAUUGGUCACAUGAAGUCCAACCAAUAGGAAAUGAGAUAUUUAAGAAAGGAAGAUUUUGAUCAAUAUCAAUAUCAAAUGAAUUCUUAUACGCCUAGUCAAUUGUUAUGGGUAUCUUGACUCCUUGAUAUUGUGAUAUGAUUGAAACAUGAUUUCCACGUUAGAAAAUUAAGGGGAUGUUAAAACAUGAAGGUAAUAGGAGAAUCAAAUUGAUUUGGGCCAAAAUUGCCUAAAAAGAAAACACUCCUUAAUAAACUUCAAUUUACUUUUAAAAAUAGUAAAACGUGAUUGAAUCGUUCUUUAAAACAAUUCCCUAAUAUACAUGCAUGAUAGUGAUAUCACUUACCUUUGAAUCAGAUGGCUUUCACGGGUCAAGCCACAAGUUUUUGUCUUGGGGAUUGCUGAGCUUCAUCAAUCCUGCCAAUGUCAAUUUUGCCCCUAAGCUCUCUCAAAGCACGUUUACAACCUAUGCUAACAUAUAUUAGAGUUUAUGUUAGUAUCAAGAAAAUGCCAACACUAAUUUCGUAACACGUAGAAAUUGUUAGAGAUUGAAGUUUUUAUCAUUUUUUCUUCCAGACUCUCCACCACUCACUAAUAUAGUUUACUCAUGUGAUGAGUUUACAAAACCUAUUUCUCUACUCUCACAAAGACUAUACUUAGGGGGGUGUAUUCAAUUAGGAUUCUAAAGCGUUUAAAAAGAUUUUGUUUAAGUGCCAGCUUUCAUAGAACUUGAUGGAACUUUAUAAUUCGUAUAGAACUUGAUAGACUUUCAGAAGACUUCUGUAUAAUUUUUUAAUAAAACUUUCUUAAGCUUUCAUAGAACUUGAUAGGCUUUCAUUCCAAACUUAUGUAGAUGGUAUAUUUCAUUUUAUCCCCAUCCUUGACAUUUAAAGAAAGAAACUUGAAUUUUUUCAAUCAAAUUUGUUUUUGUUACCAAAGCAGCAAAAACAAAAAGUACUUGUUUGCGAUGGAAGAACAUAUGCACAGUUCAAAAUGAAAAGAAUAAGAAGCAAAGUACCUAUUUGACCAAUGAAUGCUGUGUCAACUAGAGAAGCAAUUGGAUCGGCUGUCAAAGCCAAUGCUGCAGGCAAUGCAUCGAUGGUCCAAAUUGCAAUAAAAAAAUAUUUUGAAUAAUGGCUCUUGCAGACAAAGACCACAUAAAUUCUGAACUGGUCUAGCUUGAAUAAUAAGGUUAGAUUAGCCAAUUGAUGAGAUUAAAAGCAAAGCAAGUUGAUGAAUUUAUCAUCAACUAUUUAAUAACCACAGUCCUGAUCUCUUGGACCCCUGUAGUCCAAGAGAUUUAUGGUCACCCACCGUUGGAUGUAAAUUCAACGGUUGACUUGAAUCGGGUAAUAAUCAUUUAUGUCAUAUUGCAUUUAUAUAUAUCAUUUUGAACCAUUGGAUUAAUAUCCAACGGUGGGUGACCACAAUCUCUUGGACUCCUGUGGUCCAAGAGAUCGGGACUGUUAAUAACCAAUAGAGUAUUUAAACAUAAACAACAAUGUUUGAUCAACAAAACAAAUAGUCCAAAUAUCAUCCAAAAAACAAUAACAAAAAAUCAAUCAUUCCAAACAAACUAGUCAUUCUCAAAAACUCUCAAAAAACCCACUCAUUCCAAAUUGUAGGAUAUCCAAUUUGAGCACUCCUCAGGAGACAUUUUCAAAAAUGCAUCCUUUUUUGUGUUACUAUGCAACAAAGAGAGUGCUUUAUAACGAGCAUGUUCAUCCAAAUUUGGGGUCUCCUUAAUGGCAUCCCAUAUAUAACUCCGCUGCUCUCUCUCUUUUUCCCUUUUUGCCAAUAGGUUAUGGACCUCCCGGAAGUCGAUGACAAUUGAAUCAAUGCUAAGGCUAAUUCUUCCCAUAGCUUGCUGGGUGGUCACAUUUGAGAUAGCAUUCCCUUCCAAAUAUGUUCUAGUUCGUUUCCUCUAGUAACAAGCAUAAAUCCUAGUAACAAGCAUAAACCCUAACCCCAACCUAUAACCUAAUAACAAGAAGAAAACCCAACGAGGUAUUGAUCAAAGAAAAAUUAGGGAGCAUACCUUCACAGAUGGAGGAAGGAAGCUGUUCGUCUUCGCAGAGAGAAAAUCUAGGGAAAGAGAAAAACGUCUUAUGAAAUACUUGGGGGGGAGGUUGGAUUUAUUUUGGUCUUUUUUAUUUAUAACUCUCCCCUUAAAACCUACGUAAAUUUAUCACUUAAUGAAAUCCUUCCAAAUAUAUGACCUUUCGAAUACACCUAGAUUUGAUUCAACUUUUUUAUAAUCAUAAUUGAAUACACCCAUAUUUGAAUGGACUUUUUAAAAGUUCAUAUAGGUCCGAAAUGAAUAUACUCAAACUUGUAAAACCUCUUUUAAAGUUUGUAUAAAUCCAAAUUGAAUACACCUGGAUUUUUAAAAUCUUUUUAAACACUUUAUAAUCCUAAUUGAAUACACCCCCCUUAUUCUCAAAAGACUAUAUUACUUUACCUCUAUCUCUGUGAAAUGUAAAAAGUUGAAACUUUAAUGUCAAACCUCAACAAAAGAUGAACUUUCAUCAGUUACGUUGAAUUUGGAUUUGUUGAACUUAAGUGGUUUUAUUUUCUUUGUCAGUGUUUGAUGACUUAAUUUGGUAUUUAUUUCUUCUUUUUUUUCCUUGGAAAUGUGUUCCACCAACGUGAGGAAGAAAAAUAUGCACAAAUUAAUAUAUUUAAUAGAAGCCCAAGAUUUCGGAUGCAUAUAAUUUCUACAAAAAUCUACAAAGUUUUUUACUUUACAAACUUCUUAUGUCUACCAAUUUCUACUAAAAUUAAUUUCUCUGUGGUGCUCAAAUUCAUCAUAUGUGUGUCGUUAAUUUUAUUGAAAAUUGGAAGUUCCCAUCAUUUUUGUUUUUUGGGAAUUUUCUGAACCAAGGAAAAUCAAGUAAAAUUAAUAAAGCCUAAAUUGGAAAGGGAAAAUAUCUAGAGGAUGCAUUGUAGGAUUGCUCAUGCCAAUAAUUGUACCCUCUAAAUAUAUAGAGACAUAUUUUUUUUGUUUUCAUGACAUGUGGUCCUAAAAUUAUUGUGUAAAUCUUCAAUCCUGAACGAUGCACCUAAAACUCAUCCACCCAUUCUCAGGCCAAUUAUUGCACCUAGUGGGCUCUCGACCCCCUCUCAAAUUUAACCACAUAUUUUAUGGACCAUCCAGCUGUGAGGUACAUUCCCCCCACAUGCCACAAUUGUAUAUUCACAAUUACGUCUGAUACAUCACAUCAUGCCACUUGCCUCAAAUGAAUUUAAGUGAGUGAGGCAGUUGGAAGUAAUUAAGCUCUAUAUUGGUGGGUGGAGUGUUACUUCUCGGUUCCCCUCAUCAUUCGUCUAUAAAAUGGUGAAGGCAGUUGCUAUUGUUACCAUAAGAGCCAGCUCCGACUUCCUUUAAUUUCUUGCUUCAUAUCCACUAGCUACAUCUGUUACCAAGUUAAUUUCAGUUCUAAUGGGGUUUCAUCUCCCACUCAUCUUUGCUCUUCUCAGUGUAAGCUCUGCAAUUUGAUUAACUUUUCCAUUCUCUCUCAUUGUACUCUAUAUAAACGAAAGUUUUGUGUUCCUAUUGUUCUCUCCGAUUUUAUUUAGUACGUACUUAAGUGUCGUCCACUAAUUAAUUAUACUUUGUGAUUUGAUUUUAAUUUGAGUUUGAAUUAAUGUUGCAGCUAGCAGCAGUGGCACUGGCAAACCAUGCUGCUCAACCAGCACCUCAACUUUACUGGAGCUCCGUCCUGCCAAACACACAGAUGCCAAGAUCUAUCAGUGAACUUCUGCAUCCUGGUUUGUGUUGAGCUCUUUAGAAUCUUAGAUAUCUCUUCUACCUGCCAUUUUACUAAAAUAUGUUCCACCACAUAUUUAUCAGUUAACCAUUGUCAUUACAUGAGUGACACAUAUUCACAAAUCGGCUGAUCACUUAUUUUCCAUUAUGACUUGAUAUAUAAUUUGCAGACUCCACAAAUGAAGAAAAGAGCACAAAUGACGUUGGCAAACCUGAAACUUUCCCAUUGGGCAAUCAACAUUACUCCAGUCAAAAACAUUAUGGAGGCAUACCUGAAACUUCCCCAUUGGGCAAUAAACAUUACUCCAGUCAAAAACAUUAUGGAAGAGGCAAACCUGAAACUUUCCCAUUGGGCAAUCAGCAUUACUCCAGUCAAAGACAUUAUGGAAGAGGCAAACCUGAAACUUUCCCAUUGGGCAAUAAACAUUACUCCAGUCAAAAACAUUAUGGAAGAGGCAAACCUGAAACUUUCCCAUUGGGCAAUCAGCAUUACUCCAGUCAAAAAAAGUAUGGAAGAGGUGCUUCUCCAUCCGACAAUCAACAACUCCAUUAUAAAGACUUAGCUAUUUUCUUCUUGGAGAAGGACAUGCGCCCUGGCACAACAAUGAAGUUCCAAUUCCCUAUAAAUUCAAACACGGCUACUUUCUUGCCACGAGAAAGCGCUCAAUCGAUCCCCUUCUCCUCUAACAAACUGCCAGAAAUUUUCAACCAUUUUUCAGUGAAGCCAACAUCUGAGGAAGCCAAAACAAUUAAGCAAACAAUCGAAGAGUGUGAAGCUCCAGACCUUAAGGGAGAGGAAAUAUAUUGCGCCACAUCUUUAGAAUCAAUGGUUGAUUUUAGCACUUCGAAGCUUGGAACAAGAAACGUUGAAGCAAUCUCGACGGAGGUAUUGGAAAAAGGAGCCACCAUGUCCAUCCAAAACUAUACAACAAUGCCGGGACUGAAGAAGUUGGCAGGUGACAAAGUCGUUGUGUGUCAUAAGCAGAACUAUCCCUAUGCUGUGUUUUUCUGCCAUGCAAUAAAACAUACAGCAGCUUAUGCUCUCUCCCUGAAAGGCGAUGAUGGGGAGAAGGUUAAAGCAGUAACCAUCUGCCAUCUAGACACAUCAGAAUGGGACCCAGAGCAUAUGUCCUUCCAAAUCGUCAACGUUAAGCCCGGAACCAUUCCCAUCUGCCAUUUCAUUUCCACUGAUGCUAUUGCCUGGGUUCCGAACCACAAAUCUGCAUGAUCAUCACUUAGCACUAGUACUGUGCGUAUAAUAUGCCUGUAUAAUUAUCUCCCUACUUAUUUCUGCCUCUUCAUCAUGUGGUGUAAGAUAUAUGUUGAGAUGAAGUUUUUGGGAUUUGUGGUCGAAAUUAACCCGAUCAUGUUUUCUCUUGCAACCAUAUAGACUUCAACUUGUACUCAUAAUAAAGCAUGCUAUAUUUAUGAAGAGAUAUUAAUCUUCAGGCAAAUAGAUAUUAUGAAAACAUAUAUAGCAAUUUAUCCAGAAGAAACAUUAUGAAAUGAAAAGAAUAAAAAGUAGAAAAACAGAAGGAAAGGAAUUCGCACGUGCUAUGCUAUGUAUGAAAGGACCAAGAUUGUUUUCCCUUUGGUUAAUGACUAGAAAAGCUCACUUGCAGAGUGCUUUCUCCGACCAUAGAUGGAAGAGAAAUUUUCUCUUAAUAAUAGCACAAUGAUCGGGUAAUUGUAAGAACAAGUUGAUUUAAAAUUCCUUGACCCAAAAAAAAAAAAAAAGUUCUUUUCAAAUUCAGGUCAACCCAUAGAUUUCUUGCCUUCGUCUUCUUCAUCACGUUGGGCUUGUCUUCUUUUUGCGUUUUGGGCCUUGGAAGUUGGGACCCAACCCAACUUCACAAAAAGAAAACAGAUUUGCCAAAAAUCAAAUUUCAAGUCUCUCCUCCGAUCACUAAUACAGAUCAAAUUUUGGAUUUGAUGAACUAAAGUGGUUUUACUUUCUCUGUCAGUGUUUGAUGACUUAAUUUGUUAUUUACUUUUUUUUUUUUACUUGAUCUUUGUAGGGGCUUUUUUUUUUCCGGCAGCUUAAACGGGCUGGGCUGCCGUAAAGGGUAGAUUGAUGAAAUUGUCCCCUUUGUCUGAAUUCGAAAAUCAAGCCCCAAAAGCGCUUCGAAAGGGCAGUAGAGCCUUAGGAAGCGUUCUGGUUACCUUCACUAAUUAAAACAACAGCAACUUACAGAUGAUUUCUUGAGGCUUACAGAUAAAUUUUCUAGCUUGGCAUGACAUGGAAGCAAAAUCAGCAUGAGUUUAGCACCAAAGAGGAAAAUAUGGCUUCCUAGGGAGAAAUGAGAGUGUUUAAGGUGAGGAAGAAGAGGUUUGCAGGCUGAUUUGGCUGAGAAAAGAGAAAGAAAGAACAAUGUUCUUCCGGCAGCUUGACAAAGCUUCUGACAGAUGUGAAAGUCGUCCGCCAGAAGAGGAAAAUGGAGAAGAAGGAUGAAUAGUGCACGAAAUUGGUGGGUUCUUGCAGGUAAGAGAGAAAGCUUGCUCUCUGAAUCUGAGUUGGUUUUGGUUGGGUAGAAGAAGCCCCCUUUUAUAGCUGCGGGAAACCAUCUUUUUCCAAGAAACCCUAAUGGUUUCUAUCCUUUUUGGCCAAGCUUUUCCCUUCCUUUCUCUUCUCCUCCCUUGACUUUUCCUAUCUUGGUGAAAUUUCCUCUGCCUAUUUGCACAAAAUUAGAGAUUUUGAGGAGCUCAAGGCCCCUUUCCCGCAGCUGCCUUAGUGGAGAAUCCCCAUUUUCAGUCAUCUUUCUUCCUUCUUUUCUCCCAUCUUCCAAGGCUAGGUUUGAUGAGAGAAAGAAAUGGAUAUGCACACUGGUUUGAAGGGUGUUUUUCCUUGAAACUUGUUCUCUCCCAUGUGCUGGAGCUUCCCAGCAGCUUACACACAUAGAUAUUUUGGCUUUCAUCGUGGCUUUUGUUUUCAGCUAGGUGCUGGAGAUUUUGCAUAUAUUUUCUUGAGUUGCUUGGGCCUUCUAGGACAAUACGUUGGUUUAUCAAGUGAAUGGGCUAACUUCAUCAAUUGUUGGGCAAUUUUGGUUGAGUUAAUGGACUAUUUUGGUUCAAGUAAUGGACUAUUUUGGUUGAAAUAAUAGGCUAUUUUUCUCUCUUUGUGCUCACCCACAUAUUUGGGCCUAAAAAAUGGGCUUGAGUUUCGGGGCUCCCAAGCAACCCCGGGACUUCCAUUUCUCGGCCCAUCAAUGAGCCUCAUGUCAACUUAUUACCAUCCAUACCACAACCCACUCAAGCAAGCCUCAGGCAUCUUGCGUGGCUUGGGCCCACGUAAGCUCGUAGUGGCAAUGUUGCUUAUUUGCUUGACGUGGCAUGUGUGCAAGUGCAUAUGACGAACUUUCGCGUGCCCAAAUUGAGUUUCUUCUCGGUAGGGUAUCGCAUUGGGCCGAGAAUUUAAUUGGGUAGAACCGUGGAUUUUUUGGGCCUCAACAAUCUUAUAUAUAUUAGUUUUCUUUUUUUCCUUAAUAUUCACCACCUUUCUGUUGCAUAAGUAUUCCAGUCUUAGCGGGUUUCCAUCUACCACUCAUCUUUGCUCUUUUAAGUGCAAGCUUUUUUAUUUUUAUUUUUUUAUGCACAAGAUUAGAGGGGAGGGAGAUUUCUCAAUGUAAGCUUUGCAGUUUCAUAAUUAAUAUUUCCAAUAUCUCACUGUUAGUAAAAUAUGGAACGGGAAAAGUACGAAUAAAAUACACACAUGUUUUAUUUAGCAAAAUUUUGACAAGAUACAACUGAAAAGUUUGGCCACUAUAUAAUAUUUUGAUUUAAUUUUUUUUAUUUUUUUAAUAUAUAUUAUUUUUAUUCAAUAAUAUGUGAAAAAUAGGUGUACAAUAUAUGAAAUUUGUAUGUAUUAUUGAAAAAUUCGUAAAAAAAAAACAUGUUAUUAAAUGUGAAAAAUAUGUACGUAUAUGUAUAAAACAUGUAUUGUACAUUACUUUUUAACAAACUUGUAUUUUACCUAGUCUUUAAACCGUAUAUGGAAAACGGAAGUAUUAUUGAAAAAUACAUAUGUACGUAUAUGUAUAAAACAUGUAUUGUACAUUACUUUUUAACAAACUUGUAUUUUACCUAGUCUUUAAACCGUAUAUGGAAAACGGAAGUAUUAUUAAAAAAUACAUAUGUACGUGUAUAAUAUGAGUAUUAAACAAAAAAAUGUGCUAAGUACUUAUCUUUUAAUUUAAUAAUUCAUUUCAUUUUGUGAUCUCAUACGUAGUAAUGAGAGUUCAAAUUAAUGUUGCAGCUGACAAUGGUGGCUCUGGCAAGCCAUGCUUGAUGCAGGAGUAUAGGGGUGGAUCAAGAUAGAUAUUUACCAUGUAAUUAGUUAUUUCAUGAUAUAUUGUUAUUUUCUUAUUUAGGUAGUUUUAUGAUAUCUUUUAUUAUUUAUGUGGGAUUUUAUAAUUAAUUAGUUUACUUUUGGACCAAGUAGCCUUGGUGCUCAAGUCUUGUAAAGCUUAUAAAUAAGGCUAAUGUAAUAGUUGUAGGAAAAGAGAUGUCGAUGAUUAAUAAAAUCGUUUAUUUGUGGCAUGGAUUUGCUACGAUAUAUGUGAGUUUGCACUAGCCCUAGAUUUCGGUGCUCGUGUAUGUGGUUGGUGACCUGUGUCCGGAUCCCGAUCCCCAUCAAUGCUGUUCUCCCAGUACCUCAACUUUACUGGAACUCUUUCCUGCCAAACACAAAUGCCAAGAGCUAUCAGUCAACUUCUGCAUCCUGGUUUCUAUUAAGGGACUUUUCGUGAGCUUAUCAUCUACCCAAAUUUUACUCAUCCGACGUAAUUUUAAAAGUGAUUUGAUCCUUUGGCAAAGUAAUCUUGAACUACAAAAAAGGAGGGCACUCGAAUAGGCAUGCCAUUUGGUAUUACCCACCUCUAAUUUCUUUUAAAAUUUUAGUAAUUGAUUUUUAAGAUUAGAAAAUGGGAAAGUUCAAAACCGAAAAAGUUGUUUCAGUUUUGGCAAGUAUCGGAAAAGACUAAAAUUUUCCGACUUUAUUAUUACUAGAAACAAAGUCGAAGUAUUCACCAAUCAUGUGGCCUUCCAAGUGCUCAAGGUUAAGCCAGGAACCGUUCCUAUCAGCCAUUUCCUUCCCAAGUAUGAUCAUGUUGUCUGGGUUCCAACCCACAAAUCUACAUCAGUACCUGAACUAAUCAGUUCUACAUGAAUAUUCAUUCAUGGCAACCUUGGGCUAAGUAUUUGAAUUUAUGCUCAUAAAGCUUUAAUGCUUUUGAGGGCCAAUCGUUGUCUACAUAUGGUAUUGUAGCAUCUUUAGAUGGAAGAGGUCAGGGGUUCAAUUCUUGUUUUCCACUUCUUUAUUUGUUGGUUUAUCGAGUGUAGAGUGGAGUUGCACCUAUAUGUUCGUCUCUCACCCCAUCAUUUACCAUUGAUAUAUAUUUAAUAGAAGCCUAAGAUUUCGGAAGCACAUAAUUUCUACUUUACAAACUUCCUGUGUCUACCAAUUUCUACUAAAAUUAAUUUAUCUGCGGUGCUGAGAUUCAUCAUAAUUUUAAUAGAAAUUGGAAGUUUUCAUCAUUUUUGCUUUAAGUCUCUACUCCACUCACUAAUAAAGAUUACUCAUGUGAGUUUACAAAACAUUUUUUUUUUCUACUCUCUCCUGAAGACUACACUUCUUCUCAAAAAAUUAGAUCACUUCACAUCUUGUGUAUGUGAAAACUAAUGUAAAAAGUUGAAACUUUAUCGUAAAACCUCGACAAAAAUGAGCUCUACUACAAAAUGUUAAAUUUGGAUUCGUUGAUUUAAAUGGCAAUUUGACACUUGAUAGAAAUUUUUACAUACAUGUGUUAGUGUUUGAUCACUUCACAUGUCACUUACUAUAUUUAUUCCACUCAAGUUAGGUAAAUAUUAUUAUCAAACAUUUCAAUUAAUUUGUGAUUUUUUUAUUAUUUAAUCAAUUAUGAAUUAAUGGAUUCUUCUUGUUGUUUUGAAGACCAACAAAAAAAAAAAAAAGGGUAGUGAUGGCUUAUAAUUCUGGUAAAACAACAGUGACGUGGACAACAGAUGUUACGCUGUACUAAAGAUUUUUGAAGAUUCUUUAUUUGAGUUUCUUUCAAGAUAAAAACCAUAUUAUCCACAACCACAAGCACAUCCGGCAGACAAUCUUUGGCUAUUCAUCACAAUUGGGAGACAAUGAAGAAGACAGAAAAUGGAGUAAUUCAGAUGUUACCAGCCAUCCACGACAAACUGAAGUCUGCAAAGCAUUCGUAAUCUAAAAAGGAUGGGGAGGCUGCGCAAUACUUAGCCACGUGUAGGCCAGGAGGCUUUCCAAUUUUAAUAUAUAUAUAGAUUGAAAAAAUAAAAUAAAAAUCAAUCUAUUAUCAUAUAUAUUAUAAAAUAAAGAUUAUUGCUCCCAUGGGCGGUGCUAUGCACAGGACAGUGCCUGCCUAGUCCAAAUUUUUUUUAAAUAAAAAUAAAAAUCUACAUAUGUUAUAAGCUCAUCCAAAAAAAAAAAAAAAAAUAAAAGUGUUGUAAAUUAUAAGGUGGAGCCCACAUGUUGGAAGGCUUUGCCUACAAAAGGGUUCACACCCUCCCUUUGUAAUUAGACAUUGAGAAUACUAAGGAAGACAGAAAUGAAUAGAGAGAAAACAUUCCCUUCUCUCCAUCUCAAUUCCCUCUCCAAUUCCUCUAGAUUUAUAACACGUUAUCAGCAGCACGAAUCGCUUUCAAACAAUACCAGCUGAAUUUUAUGAUGAAACCCAGAUCUCUCAUCCAUCUCUGCUGCUCCACUACUUCAAAAUAAAUCCCACAGAAAAAGAAAAAGCCUCAAUGCUCUCUCUCUCUCUCUGUCUCGCUUGGGAGACUUGGACAAUUCCUCAUCCCCGUUACUGACAAUUUCAACAGCUUCAGGGGAAGCUAGUUUAUCUUCCUCUGCUCACGAAACCAUGACUCUUUCAGAGCCAAACAACAACACAAUAGACAACGCAUGGAGACCAGACUGGAGCUCGUCGGCUAAGGCACCGACGAUCCGACCCUACCCGUAUGGACCUUCCGGAUGUGGUUCCUGGGUCUUGUCUCAUGUGCCCUCCUCUCAUUUCUCAACCAAUUCUACAAGCAGCAGAGCUUCAAAUCAAACAGAUCAUGGCAUCGCUUUCACACCUCCCCAUCUUCCUCUUCCUCCUGUUCACCGCUUUCUAUUCUACAGCUUCGCAGUCCUUCAUCGGCGCAUCCAAAGGCGACAUACCGGCGCUCGCCUCAGAUCCGAACGCGGCGGCUCAGUGGGUGAACUCGAAUGUCCUCGCCUUCUACUCGGCCAGCAACAUCGACCUCAUCAACGUCGGCAACGAGGUCCUUUUUCUCCAACGACCAGGGCCUCAUCUCGCAGCUCCUCCCCGCCAUGCGAAAUGUCCAAUCUGCCCUCUCCGCCGCGUCCCUCGGCGGCAAGGUCCGUGUCUCCACGGUCCACUGCCUCGCCGGAUCGGGAUCCUUCCUUCAAGUGUUUCUCUGUCUUCGACUUGAAAAAGAAGGUCAUGGCAGGCCUAUGUAAAAAUUGCGAAAAGGAAGGCAAUCUUCAACCUUUUCUCCUGUCUCUCUCUUGAUCAAUUCAUGGAAGGCACAUUUGGGUCUUCCGGGGGCUCAUCAAAUGAGUCAGCAAUGUCAAAGGUGGAGGUGGUGGAGCAAGACUACGUGGGGAUGUCAUAUGAGGCAACCUCAUACCCAGCUGAGGCAGAGCUUGUGCUGGGCCUGGGCCUUGGCCUGAGCCUUCGUGGUGGUGGUGCAGGGAAGCAGCCAAAGCCAUGUGCAUGGGGUGAGCGUGGUAGAAUCUUGACUGCUAAAGUUAGGUGCUGAGUUACACUGUGUUCUCUGCUACUGACCCUAAGAGGAGUGCUAGAAACUUCCAUGUUCCGCCAUCAUUUCGCUUUCACUGUUACAAGGCACUGGAGUAUGUUUAAUUGAAAAGUGAGAUACACAGCAAGUUGAUCAGCCUAGUGGAAAGCAAAGGAUUAUUGCCAGGGAUAUGAACACCCACCGAAAUAAAGGGAUAAGUACUCUUUUUCCCUUCGACCAGUUUUUUUUUGUCCCACUGGGUUUUUACUGGCAAGGUUUUUCACGAAACAUAUUCCGUAUCAUUUGUGGUCUCUAAGAGGGAGUGUUGUAAAUUAUAAGGUGGAGCCCACAUGUUGGAAGGCUUUGCCUACAAAAGGGUUCACACCCUCCCUUUGUAAUUAGACAUUGAGAAUACUAAGGAAGACAGAAAUGAAUAGAGAGAAAACAUUCCCUUCUCUCCAUCUCAAUUCCCUCUCCAAUUCCUCUAGAUUUAUAACAAAAAGUAAAUUCUACACAUAUGUUGCCCAUCCAGGUGGUCCCAUAUCUUCUCUUUCCUUUUCUUUUGGCUAUUAGACUUCUUGUUUCUCUCUCUCUCUUUGCUACCCCACAUCAGCAAGUUUCUCCCUCUCUUUUUUUGGGAUCAAAUUCUUCUUCUAUUGACAAAAUCUUCUAUUAUAUUGGGUGGGCAACUUGGCAACAACAUCUUCUCCUCUCCUUUUGUCAACAGCAAGUAUUAUUCUCAUUCUCUCAUUUGCUAUAUAUCUUUAAUUAUAGUUUUAAUUUAAAAUUGAGUAUUCUAGGGUUUAAUUAGGGAUGAAUUAUAAUUUUGGGAUUUUGUUGAAAUUAAUUAGGGCUUCGAUUAGGGGUGAAUUAUUCUACUGCUUUGAUUUGGAAUUUUGUUAAAAUUGAGUAUUAUAGGUUUAAUUAUGGAUGAAUUACAAUUUUUGGUUUUGGUAUUGUUGAGAUGUUAUUAUGAGAAUUUGUUUGAUUUUUUGUUGGUAUAUUUGAUUAAAAUUCUUUCUACAUAUUAUUCAUAGGCUAUCUUUUAUUAUGUCGGAUCACAAUCGGAAUCCCAAGAAAACAAAAAAUUUGAAUAGUGUUGUUUUGUAUUGCAUUGCAUUUACUUUUGGUUUUAGUUUUGCUUUUAGUGUAAAUUACUCAAAUGGUCCUCAAAUUUGUACCCAAUUUACAUUUUGGUCCAUAAACUAAAUUAUUCAUUCAAAUGGUCCACCAACUCUUUAUUAAUCGGUGCUUUGGUCCUAUCGUUAUGUUUUCUAUUAAAUUUAGUCAUGUGAGCAGCACAUGCUACAUUUGUAUGGGUAAAUAAGACUUUUGACCAGUGGCGGAUCCACGUUGGGACAAGAGGGGUCGGACGACCCCUUGGAAGGCUGGAAAUUUGGCAAGGGAGUCCAUGAAAGCCCCCUUGGACAGCUGCUGGAAGCCCCCUUGUAUGCACACAAUGUGCUCGACGAAAUGCCCCAACGAAAUGUCCUGCGCAGCUGUGCUGCGCCUUGCGCGUAAUUUUUUUUUAAAACCAGCCUUGCCAAACGACGUCGUUUGGUCAAGGCUCAGUCAAAUUUUUUUUUAAUUAACCUGGCCUCAAAACGACGUCGUUUUGGGCCAGGUUUAAAAAAAAAAAAACAGAACAGUACACACGCACAGCAGCUCUGCACAGAUUCAUUUUCUCCAAACCUUUCAUUCCCAAUUCCACAGCCCCUCUUCCCAUCCUCUCAAACCCUAACCUCCCAACCUCCCAACCUUGGACAACCUCCAUCAACUCUUCACCGGUGGCCCAAUGCCGAUCACCACCACCUUCUACCGCCGUCCGCCGCCCAUUUUUUAAACUACAAGUAAGUAAGCAUGGAAAAUCUGAUAUUAAUAAUUAUAGUGAUAAUAUAUAUUGUUGAUAUUGAUAUUUUUUUUUUAUGUAAUGAAAUUUAUGGAUAUGAAUCAUAUUGAUUGAUUGAGUUUAUGCUUGAAAUUUAUGGAUAUGAAUCAUAUUGAUAUUUUUUUUUAUGUAAUUAAAUUUAUGGAUAUGAAUCAUAGUGAUAAUCAUAUUAAUGUAGAUUGAUUGAGUUUAUGCUUGAUUGAUAAUAUGAAUUGAUUGGGUAUAUUAAAUAUUGAUUGCUAUUUGAUAUGAUAAUUUGGUAUAUUGAAUAUUGAUUGAUAUGGGUUUAGGGAGUAUAUUGAAUAUUGAGAGUGGGUUAUUGAAAUUUUCAUAUUCAUAUGAUAAUUAGGAUAAAAAUUAAUGAUUGAUUGAAUUAAUUGAUUUGUAGAUUUAUGGAACGAUUCUUUAAAAGAAAAUUAUCUACGGAUAGUUCUUCUCUGUCUAAUCCGGGUAGUUCAAAUGCAAGACCAAUUGAAGUAGAUGAGAUCUUAGCUAAUCUUCAAGCAGACCCUGGACUAAGAACUCGAAUGGCGGAUUAUAGUCCUAAUAUUAGGGAUGAGAUCCGAAGAGCAUAUCUACAAAAGGGACCUUGUCAACCUAGAAGUUAUAAAUUCCCACAAACUAAUCAAUCAGGAAUUAAUAGACGCUUCAUUGCUCAUUGGUUUGAUGAUCAUGAUUGGUUGGAAUAUAGUAUUGCUAAAGAUGCUACGUUUUGUCUUCAUUGUUAUCUCUUCAAAUCUAAUUUUGAUCAAGUGGGUGGUGAUGCAUUCACUGGGGUAGGCUUCAAUAAUUGGAAGAAGGCGAAAGAAAGAUUUAACCUUCAUAUUGGACCGGUUGGUAGUGUUCACAACCAAGCUAGAGAAGUUGCUUACAAUUUGAUGCAUCAAACUACACACAUUGAAACAAUUGUGCUCAAGCAAACAAGCCAAGCUCGCACGGCUUAUCGCACUUGCUUGAAUGCAUCACUUAAGUGCACUAGGUAUUUGUUGCGGCAAGGGCUUUCUUUUCGUGGUCAUGAUGAAAGUGCACAAUCAAGUAAUAAAGGGAAUUAUUUAGAGCUCUUGCAAUUUCUUGCGGAUCAUGAUGAAAAAGUUAAGGCCGUUGUAUUGGAAAAUGCUCCGGGAAAUUUAAAGUUAAUAGCUCCUUCAAUUCAAAAAGAUCUUGUCAAUUCUUGUGCCAAAGAAACCAUUGAUCUUAUCUUGAGUGAUGUAAAAGAUAGAUAUUUUUCAAUAAUGGUGGAUGAAGCACGUGAUGUUUCAAUAAAGGAGCAAAUGGCAAUGGUGUUGCGUUAUGUGAAUGACAAAGGACAAAUAAUUGAAAGGUUUGUGGGGGUUCAACAUGUAACCGACACUACUUCAAGUGCACUAAAGGAAACAAUUGAUGAAUUCUUUUCUUCCGCGAAUUUGAGCUUUUCCAAGCUACGAGGACAAGGUUAUGAUGGAGCUAGCAAUAUGAGAGGUGAGUUCAAUGGCCUUAAGAGAAAGAUUUUGAGAGAACAACCUUGUGCAUUUUAUGUUCAUUGCUUUGCUCAUCAACUUCAACUAGCUCUUGUUGCGGUAGCAAAGAAAAACAUUGAUGUCAACUCUUUUUUCACAACGGCUAAUAGUUUGGUUAAUGUGGUUGGAGCAUCUUGUAAGCGUCGCGAUGCACUUAGAGCACAAUACCAAGAAGAGCUUGUGAGAGCUUUUGAAGAUGAUUGUCUUAUAACGGGGCGGGGCUUAAAUCAAGAAAGGACUCUCAAACGUGCCGGCAAUACACGAUGGAACUCACAUUAUGGUACGUUGAUUAGUAUCAUUUCUAUGUUCCCAUCUGUGGUGAAUGUGCUUCAAAUGAUUGUUGAUGAUAAUCUUAAUGAUAGUUCGGGUGAAGCCUAUAAGUUAAGGAGAGAAAUACAAUCUUUUGAGUUUGUGUUUCACUUAUUUGUAAUGAAAGCUAUAUUGGGAAUAACAAACACUUUGUCUCUAGCAUUGCAAAAGAAAGAUCAAGACAUUGUGAGUACAAUGAAUUUAGUGAAAACAUGCAAGGAAAACCUGCAGUUGAUGAGGGAUAAUGAGUUUGAAGAAUUGGUUGGGCAAGCAUCCUCGUUUUGUUACAAAUAUGAUAUUAUAGUUCCUACCAUGGAUGAGGAAUAUGUAAUUCCAGGGAGAUCAUGGCGUAAUGCUCCAAUGAAGACAAAUUAUCAUCGUUAUCGUGUGGAGAUCUUUAUUCAUGUAAUUGAUGGGCAACUUGCGGAAUUAAAUGAUCGCUUCAACGAGGUAAGUACUGAGUUACUUACUUGUUUGGCAUGCUUGAGUCCAAAAAAUAACUUUGUGACUUUUGACAAACGAAAGCUAGUUCGUCUUGCUCAAUUUUAUCCUUAUGAUUUUUCGGAUAGAGACUUAUUGAUGCUUGAAGAUCAACUUGGUGUUUAUGUUCAUCAUAUGCGUUCGAGUAGUGAUUUUUCUCAAUUGGAAGGGAUUAGUAGUCUUGCGGAAAAAAUGGUGGAGAAAGGAAUGCAUGAAAUAUUUCCUUUUGUAUUUGCUUCUUACAUUGGCUUUGGUUUUACCGGUUGCAACUGCAUCAGUGGAGAGGGCAUUUUCCGCUAUGAAUAUUAUUAAAAAUCCACUUCGCAACAGAAUGGGAGAUCAAUGGUUGAAUGAUAGCUUGCUUGUUUACAUUGAGAGAGAUGUUUUUGCUUGUAUUGAUAACGAAAUUAUAAUGCAAUGUUUUCAGAAUAUGAAAACUCGUCGUGGACAAUUGUAACUUGUAUUAUUGGUUUUGUUAUGAAUUAUGAAUGAAAGUACUAUCUUUCUAUCUUUUUAGCAUUAUUUUCUUUGUAGAAAAAUUUCAGAACUUUUACACUAAGCCCCCUUGGCUACAUAAUCCUGGAUCCGCCACUGCUUUUGACCACUUUAUCACCUAUGUAUCACCACUUUAUAACCUAUUUGGGGAACAUAGGUCAGUUAUGGACGGUUUUACCCUUACAUUUGACGGCAACAUUAACAUAAUGUAACAGUGGGAUCAAUGGAGUGAUUAAUAUAAAGUUGAUGGACCAUUUGAAUGAAUAAUUUAAUUGAGAGACCAAAAUGUAAAUCAAGUAUAAGUUUGAGGACCAUUUGAGUAAUUUACCCUUCGCUUUUAUAUUUGUUGAACUUUUAUUUAUGAUAGAUAUGCAUUUAAGGGUAAGACCCAUUAUGUUCCCCUGGCUAGGUGUAUCUUUUUAUGUUUAUUAAUGAAAUUCACUCGAACUGUUGAGUUUAGUAUGUAAGUUUUGCCUAACUGGCUUUUGAAUCCUAGAACCGCCACUGUUGCUCCAUCCUCCAUGCACUUGCAUGUGCUCUUACAAAGUGUGAAGUAGAUUUUGUGUGCUCCAAGUCAUUGACUAGAGCUGAAACAUGGUUAGCUAGAUUUAUAAGGACCCAUCUCUUUAUUUCCUAGACAUAUACCCAUCUCUCUAUAAAUCUAUAUGUAAAACCUAAUUUCAAACUUAAAUGACCAGUAGGAUAUAAAAGGUCAUAGUAUUCCUAUGUUUUUAUAUCGUUGCCACCAGACUUCUUAUUUUAUUUAUAAUUUAUUUCAAGCAUUUCAUUAACUGCCAUAAUUGUAAUUAAUACUCCAUAUUAAUAGCAUAUCAAUCACCCCAUUUCUUUUGGUUGCCAUUCCCUCUAACAUAUCGCCCCUUAAAUUUGAAAACCAAAAAAAAAAAAUGUAAAUUACAUAUCCAAUAAUGUACCUAUGAAAAAUAUAAAUAUAAAUAUAUACAUAUAAAAAUAUAGGUAUAUUAUUUACCAAAUAGAAAAUAUAAAAACCUAGGUCAGUUGCUUUGUAAUUGAAAUUUCUGUACAUUUUCCACAAAUUAAAAAUAGGUACAUAAUAAUUUAUAGAAAAUAUAUGUACAUUAUUUAUCCAUAGGUAAAAAUACCGAUAAAUGCACAUAGGUGAAUUAUUUACCAAUAUAUUAUUUUUUUGCUAAGGAUUUACCUUAGUUUUUAGUAGAUUAAUUUACCUACCUAGAGGCAUAGGUAGCUUAAAAAAAAUGUACCACCUUAGUUGGUUGCAUACUAAUUUACCUACCUAGAGGCAUAGGUUGCUAAGAAAAAAUGUAGGUAAAUUCAUGUACCUAAACACAUAGGGGUCAAAUAGAGAAUAACAUGUUAUUUCCCUUUGAACAAAUUAAUUUCAAACCAUAACAAUUAUUGAAUUUGGAAAUUGGUAUAAAUAAAAGGAAAUAAAUAAACUAUCAAUUUGAAAAUUAAAAUAAGAAAUGAUCAAGUAGUCAUAUUUGAAAAAAAAGGAAAGAAUAUAUUCUUGGUUUUUAUAGGAACAACGAGUAUAUUCAAACCAAACGGCGAUAACUACACCAAGCUUUAAUUACUUUUUUUUAAGGCCAAAAGUCACUUUUGGUCCCUGUAGUUCGGCAUUUCUACCACUUUUGAUGUUGUAGUUUCAAUUCCGUCAAUUUUGCCAUUGUAGUUUCGUAUUUGUAGCAAUUCAAGGACCUGUUAAUAUUAAUGUCAAUUUGUUUAAUGAUGCAAGAGGUAAUUUCGUCAUCCCAAAAUCCUUGAGCAUAAAAGAUUGUCUGAAAUUCUCCCCAUUUCAUAUUAGGGCUCGAAAUUCAACCACUAAUCCUAAUUUUUGAAGAACCCUAGACCCAAAUGACCAAUUUCAAGCCCUAAUAUGAAAUUACGGAAGUUUUAGAUGAGCUUUUAUGCUCAAGGAUUUUGAGUUGAAGAAACUGCCCCUUGCACUGUCAAAUAAAUUGACAGGAAUACUGACUUGUCCUUGAAUUGCUACAAAUACAAAACUACAGUGUCAAAAUUAACAGAAUUUAAACUAUAGGGUCAAAAGUAGUUGAAGUGUCAAACUAUAAGGACCAAAAGUGACUUUUAGCCUUUUUGUUUCAAUAAGGAAAAAACUGACCUAUUAAAUCCUUGGAAUCUAUACAAAAUUGAAACACAAUUAAUCAACAUUGAAUUGCAGCUAAUUUCUUAAACAAGGGUAUUAUAGGAAUUUAAAAAGUAUAACAUUUAAUCCAUUGAAUUUGAUUAGGAAACUUGAUGAAUUGAAUCCUAGUUAUAUAGUUUUUCUUAUAAAAAUCAGGUUUUAUUUAUAGACAAAUAAAACAAUGGGUUGUAGGUAAGAAAAUAUUAAUUUGAAGGGAAAGAGUCAAAUUUACUAAAUUAAUAAAGCAUAAAUUGGAAAGGGAAAAGAUCUAGAGGAUGCAUUGUAGGAUUGCUCAUGCCAAUAAUUGCACCCUCUCGAUAUUGAAAAACCUAUUGUUUAUUAUUAUCUUCAAUCCUGAAUGAUGCACCUAAAACCCAAGUGUCUCAGGCCAACCAUUGCGCUCAUACCACUUGUUGCAGUACACAUUCACCUGUUUUUAAAGAAAGAAAUUCUACCAAUCGAUAUUUUCUCAAAUUUAAUCACAUAGAUCUAUUAUGGUUAACCAUAUGUACUUUUAUCUGCCAUCCAGAGGUACCUUUUUCCAACGUGCAACAAUUGUAUUUGAUUCACAAUUAUGUCUGAUAUACAUCACAUCAUGCCACUUGCCUCAAAUGAAUUUAAUUGAGUGAGGCAAUGGGAAGUAAUUAAGCUCUAUAUUGGUGGGUGGAGUGUUACUUCUGGAACCCUCAUCAUUCGUCCAUACAGGGGAACAAUUCCCUUCCUUCUAUAAAAUGGGAGCAAUUCUCUCACUGUACUCUAUAUAAAGGAAUAAGUGUCGUCCACUAAUUAAUUACACUUUGUGAGAUUUGAUUUUAAUUAGAGUUCGAAUUAAUGUUGCAGCUAGCAGCGGUGGCACUGGCAAACCAUGCUGCUCAACCAGCACCUCCACUUUACUGGAAUUCCAUCCUGCCAAACACACAAAUGCCAAGAGCUAUCAGUGAACUUCUGCAUCCUGAUUUGUGUUGAAUAGAUAUAGUAUGUUACUGGAGUACGUAUGGCAACAUAUUCACAAAUGUGUCACGUAUUUUCCAUUAUGACGUUGAUAUAUAAUUGCAGACUCCACAAACGAAGAAAAGAGCACAAAUGUCAUGAAUGCUGUUGGGAAUGGAAAGCCAAUUGACCACAAGGGCAAACCUGAAAAUACUGUACUACCACAGCUUGCACGACGCCCAUUUUCUUACAAGAGUGAUGAUCGUCCCACUGACAAUCAACUCCAUUAUAAAAACGUAGCUAUUUUCUUCUUGGAGAAGGACAUGCGCCCUGGCACAACAAUGAGCUUCCAAUUCCCUAGAAAUUCAAACACGGCUACUUUCCUGCCACGAGAAAGAGCUCAAUCGAUCCCCUUCUCCUCUAACAAACUACCAGAAAUUUUCAACCAUUUUUCAGUGAAGCCAACAUCUGUGGAAGCCAAAACAAUUAAGCAAACAAUCGAAGAGUGUGAGGCUCCAGGCAUUAAGGGAGAGGAAAUAUAUUGCGCCACAUCUUUAGAAUCAAUGGUUGAUUUUAGCACUUCGAAGCUUCGAACAAGAAACGUUCAAGCAAUCUCGACGGAGGUAUUGGAAAAAGGUGCCACCAUGUCCAUGCACAAGCACACAACAAUGCCGGGACUGAAGAAGUUGGCAGGUGUCAAAGUCGUUUUGUGUCAUAAGCAGAACUAUCCCUAUGCUGUGUUUUACUGCCAUGUAAUAAAACCAACAGCAGCUUAUGUUCUCUCCCUGAAAGGCGAUGAUGGGGUGAAAGUUAAAGCAGUAGCCAUCUGCCAUCUAGACACAUCAGAAUGGAACCCAAAGCAUUUGGCCUUCCAAAUCCUCAAAGUUAAGCCCGGAACAAUUCCCAUCUGCCAUUUCCUUCCCACUGAUCAUAUUGUCUGGGUUCCGAACCACAAAUCUGCAUGAUCAUCACUUAGCACUGUACGUAUAAUAACCUUUACCCCUGUAUAAUUAUCUCCCUACUCUACUUAUUUCUGCCUCUUCAUGUGGUGUAAGAUAUAUGAUGAGAUGAAGUUUUUGGGAUUAGUGGUCGGGUUGCCUUAAAAACACAGAUUACAGAAACUGCUUGAACUUAACCCGAUCAUGUUUUCUCUUGUACUCGUAAAGCAUGCUGUUGUGGUUCUACUUAAUUUCGUCCUCCCCAAUGUUUGAGUGUUUAAUUGUUACGUUGGAAUAGGCUGCUAAUGCAUGUAGUUAGAGAAGCUUUCAUUUAUAUCAAAG